UUUUUCAAUGUGAAUUAUGGCAUUUGAGCUACUGUUUUGCAAGUUUACUACCCCCAGUAAAAGUUUACUAGGGGUAGUAAACUUCAUUUUUUGCCGGUAUGCUUCCGGCAAGAUCCGAUGGGUUCUUGUGACAUUUUUUUCAAAAAAAUUCAGUGAGACUCGGCGAUUUUCCGAUCACCAUCAAUUUUCCGGCGACCGGUGACCGGAAUCCGGCGGCCAGUGUCCGGUGAUGAGAAUCAGGCAACCGGUGUUCGGUGACCGGAAUCCGGUGACCGGCGCUGGUGUCCGGUGUACUUCCAGGAAAGUCUUCUCUUCUUCUUUUUCUUUUUUUCUCUUUAAAUAAAGGUUAAGGGUAAAAAAGUCUUUUAAAAUAUCAUUUUAUUAUAUUUUAAUAAAAAUUUGUGUAUUUGGGCUUAAAAUAAGUACCUUGUAUUCAAAUGGGCUAAUAAAAAAGAUUAUCAUUGAAAUGGGGUUUGACUUUUUCUAUUUUGUGCAAAUGGUCUUUUUCCCAUUAAUGACUAACCAUGAAUCUUUUUGUCAAUUACUACAAAAGAUUAUUUUGUGUAGUUUAAACUAGAAAAAGUUUAUAUUCCAUGCCCCAUUAAUUGAUCUAUUAAUUUGAUCCAGUAUGACGGUGUGUUGAUCAAAAAUAUGCUAGUUCACGACAAUAUAUGAAACCAUCUGAUCGAGAUUAUGUAUGCAUAUACUAUUGACUAUGAGAUCGAUAUAGAAUGCAUCAAUGAGAUCACAUCAUAUCAUUUUAUUUCGGAGCCAUGAAAUGCAUGGAUGCAUCAUGGACCAGUUCUCUUGACUCUGACGAUACAUGAUCGAGCUAGUGAUUGGUUUUGACUCUGCAAGAACUACUUGAUCGAAGAAUAAUUUCUUGAUCGGAUCUCAAAAGUAGCUAAUUAACUAAUAUGCAUGAACAGUCAUAAUCACCUAGUCAGAAAAUGACCGACAUUUCAACUCAGCGGAGGAGAGAAACCAUAAAAACUUCACUGAUUUCUUUAAUGAGUUAGAGAGAGAGGAUUGUCCUUGUUUAUGAUUGUAGACAUAUAAAAUUUAACGAUAAAUAAUAAUCGUUGAAUUGUCAAACAACAAGUGGGCCUGACAAAUUGCAUACGUGGCUCGUGAGUUGGCAAAGUUAAAAAGUCUUCGGAGAUGCCACAUGGCGACACGCAAAUGGUCAGUCAACAACUAAAUCAUCGAAUCUCGUCUGAAAGCAAAUGUUAAAUGUCAACCGUUGAUCGAACGUCAAUCAAAUUAAAUUGGUCAUCGGAAUGGAAAGUAGACAUUUAAUCAAAUUAGUUAUACCUUAUCGGUUAUAAUUAAAUUAAUCAAUUAAGAUUGAUUGAUUUAUUUAUGUUAACAAUAAUAAUUGAAUUAAUCAAUUUAAAAUUGAUUGAUUUGGUUAUUACCGUUAAGGAAUGACAAUUAAGGCGGUGUCUUCAAAACCUACCAUAAAUGAAAUGGUGUCGACACUAUAAAUACCCCUUCUCAUAUCAAGAGGAGGACUUCGGACAAUAGAGAGAAAAAUCACUCCCGAGAACUCAGAAGUCUCGAAAUCCCCCGAAGAACUAUCAAGCUACCAAAUAGCCAGUUCUUCACCAAACUCAAAUCCCAAAUACUCGUCGCGUGAUCAACUCUCGUGACCCCUUACGUCUCAAGAACAAGUGCUUGUCACCCUUGAGUCAAAUCCAUAUUCGGAGAUAGAAUCAGAGGAAUUCACAAAGAUUUGUAACCCGCAUUCAUAUCAAUAAAAUUAUAUUAUUCUUUGUACACGUGUUGUUCUGUAAUUUGUCGCAGAUUAUUCGUGUUUACAAUGAUCAAACUCACAAGCACAAGUUCUUUACUUUUGAUUAUAAAACACAAUUAGAAUCUUAAUACAUAUACUAAAAUAAACUAUAAAGACCAAGAUUAGUUCUUUACUGGAAUUAUAAUUCACCAGACCACCAACUUGUUUAAUUAUGAUACUAAUCAAGACGACAUAGACUCUCUUCAUAUCCAACCACAUGCGGUGCAUGAGUCUCAAUCACAUAGAUGUCGGAGUUCUCUUCUUCAUUACGAUAAUGACUGGUAGACAGGAGUUUAGAAUUUUCUGGUUCUAGUGGACAUCUAUUCCUCACUAAUGCACUAGUCUCUGAAACCGAAAUUGAUUCAAGCGACAGAUACCAAUGCUUUCGUGCAGGCUGACUGGGAAUCUUUACGCCGAAUGAUCUAGUCCAAGAAUCAUUGUUGCCAUAGUCUCUCAUGACCCAAUAUUCAACCAUAUAAUAGUCCAAUUCACCAUCCCUGUACACAUUUUUGUGGACCAUUACAUACAAGCACCCUUCACGAGUAACACCAUGGUUCCACGUUCUGAUGUCUAGUGUUUGAAGAGCACUAGGCAGCUGCAUUAUCGAAAACUCCUCCUUUUCUAAAUCGAAAGCAUACAUAUGACAUACCCGUUGUGGUCGACUACGCCGACUACGCCGACAACGCCGACUACGCCGACAACGCGCUAGCCAAUGCAGUGCGUCACGGAAAAACACACCAGGUGACAUCCAGAUGUCGGCGCCGGGAGGCAAUAUUUCCAUGGGCUUCCAUGUUUCAGUCUUGGACGACAGGAUCGCAUCAUUCUUCACAAGUAUGUAUUCGUCGGUUUUGGACACAUACCCAAACCCCGAUUUGUACUCAUGAUUACUAAAACCCCGGCGGCAGGGAAAUUUCUUGAAGAACCCGGUGGAUGGGUUCCAUAUAAGAAAGCAUUCUUCUUCUUGAUUGGAUGGACAAAUGACACGUACAGCCACCAGCCCAUUGCAGGAGCCUAAAAACUCGACGUUCUUGUGAUGGAAAGGGAAAGGGGAAUUCAGAUUUCGGAGAACCAGAGAUUCCUUCUCAAUCAAGGUUGUAUCACUCAAAUCAAGACCUAGGGUUUCGAGUUUCAUGAGGUGUUGAAAUAUUAGGGCUCGAUGCUUGGGGGCUAACUGGAAGUGCGAUUUCGCAAAAUGGGGAUCGGAGAAGAGAGAGCGCCACCGUGUAGAUACACAUCUGCAUCGCCCCACCGAUUUGACCGGUAGCCUAGUCACGAUUUGUAGUAUGAUCUCUUCGGGUAAGAACGCAACAGCCGCCAUGGCGCCCGAGUUACAAUACUGCUCUUAAAGUUGCUUUUUAGGGUUUAUGAAGACGAGCCGAACAUGAACCUGCAUAACUCUGUGGUAAGUUCACCUUAAGCAUUUUGGGCAUUUGCCGUUUGGACCUAAACAUCCAUAACUUCAGAAUAAUUUUUAAAAAAAAAGAAAAAAAGAAAUUCCCAAUAAUAAUCAUCUUAAAGAGUAGCUACCACCUAAACUCUAAACCCCUAGACUUGAAAAGAUGGUCAUGAGAUCACUACAUCGCACAUAGUUGAAUCAGUAAUCAGAUUUUGUAAGCCAACAAUGGCGAAGUGGAUUCUGACAAUGUGUGAUGGUGAAUUUUCCGACAACUAAUCGGCGUUCUUGGCAGUAUUGAUUGAACUUACUUAUCAUCCGAUCGAAUUAGCCCACACUUAGAAAUAAGGUUGCAGAGGCAAGUAGCCACUAACUCGACUGCUCGAUCAUGUAUCGACAGAGUGAAAAAAGAGAACUAGCUCAUGAUGUGUGGCUGUGUGCAUGCAUUUCAUGACUCCAUUUACCACCAAGAGUGGCCGCGCGCUGCUGUGAUUUUUUUAGUUCAUAACUCAGUUUCCAGAUUCAUUUCAUUAGCUUUGUGGAUGAUGCAGGAGCUAUGCUUGGAGAUGAACCAAGAGCCAAGAGGAAUGUACAUGCGCCAGAAUAUCUUAAGGACUAUGUUUGGUCCAAGAGAUGAUUCCUUAUUAUAAUAUGCUUUGAUUAUUUACCUAUUAAGUGGUGGUAGUUUUAACGUUGUUGCUUACUUCCUUUUAAAGACUAGGUUUUGUUCUCUAUUUAAAGAGAUGUAUUGGCUCUUGUAAGGGGUCUUUGGAUCAUUCAUAUAUUAUAAAUAUUGGCAGCCGCCAGAGCAUCAUUAUCUUCUUCUCUUGUUGUCUUGUGUGUUUGAGUUCAGAGCUUUGAGUUGUUGUGGAUCGCUGAUCUGCAUCAGCUGGUAUCAGAGCCAAUGGCUCAUAAUAGGCGUGUUGGUUUCGCGGUGGGGCGUUGUAACAACCGCAACAAUGACAUGGAAGAAAUUAGAGGAUUGAUGCAGCAACUCAAUGAUCAUGUUGCUCGCUUCGAGACCCGAGGCCGGGGUGGUGAGGGCUCUGAUGAAGAGGAGGACGUGAACCCUUUUCAUGGUCGCGCUCUGUUGAGGGAGCCGCGUGGAGAGGGACAAGGUAACCGAUAUUUUGACAUGAAGGUUGAGAUUCCUGAGUUUGAAGGUAGGAAUCGAUCAGAUGAGUUUAUUGAUUGGCUCAAUUCUGUUGAGCGUAUCUUUGAUUUCAAAGAGGUGCCAGAGAACAAGAAAGUCAAGGCGGUGGCUGUCAAACUAACGAAAUUUGCAUCAGCCUGGUGGGAACAGCUAAAAGUUCGACGAGAGCGGUUGGGAAAACCGAAGAUUACUUCUUGGGAGAAAAUGAAGAAAGAGAUGAGGAAAAGGUUCUUACCGGAGAAUUACAUACAGAACAAUUAUUUGAAGUUGCAUAGCCUACGCCAAGGAGCUCGGUCAGUUGAUGAAUUUACUGAGGAAUUUGACCUCCUAACAAUCAGAAGUGGUGUGACUGAGGACGAAGAACACACAAUAGCCCGCAACCUCGGGGGACUACGACCUGAGAUUCGUGAUGUGGUUGUACUGCAACCUUAUUGGAGCUAUAAUGAUGUGUACAAACUAGCUAUCCAAGUUGAGAAAUAACAGAGGCAACGCCAAAGGCGAGCUGUAAAUGAGGAGAAGGGAAGUAAAAUGGGUGGUAAGUUUACAAAUGAUGUAGAGAAGCAAAGGUCUCAAUCUAAUGAGCCUCAAAGACACCCCAAUCCAAGUGGAAGGCAAAAGGUUGUGAAGUGUUUCAAGUGCUCAAGUAUUGGCCAUAUUCAAUAUGAGUCCCCUAACCGAAGGGUUGUUAAUCUCAUUGAAGAAUUUGGAGAGUCCUCUGAGUUAAAAGAAGACCCUCCUAUCUAUGACAAUUACAACGAUCAUGAAGACGAUGAAAUUACGUGGAGUGACCAGGGAGAAGCAUUAGUCAUACAACGAGCAAUGAGUGCUUCUAAAGUAGAGGAAGAUCCUGAGUGGUUACGACAUAAUAUUUUCCACACAAGGUGCACUUCAAAUGGGAAAAUAUGUGACCUCAUCAUCGAUAGCGGGAGUUGUGAAAAUGUGGUGGCUCAAGAAAUGGUAGACAAACUUAAUUUGAAGACGGAGAGGAGGCCUACAUCCUACAAGUUGGCUUGGUUCAAAAACGGGAAUGAGGUAACUGUCAAUCGGCGUUGCUUAGUGACAUUUUCCAUUGGUAAACAUUACAAUGAUUCUCAAUGGUGUGAUGUGGUGCCGAUGGAUGCUUGUCAUUUACUAUUGGGCCGUCCGUGGCAAUAUGAUCAGAGGGCAGUUCAUGACGGAUAUAAAAACACUUACACUUUUCAUAAAGAGGGUGUCAAGGUGAUUCUAGGUCCUUCGAAGUUGGGGAGCACUCCUAAGCCUACAAAAAAAGAUGGGGGAAUUAACUAUUUGUCUAUGGCUGAGUUUCUAGAAGAAGUGAAAGCUGGAGAUGAUGUGUAUAUGCUUAUGGUGAAAGAGAUAGAUUCUGAAAGGACUCUCCCUUCUCAACUUAAGCCUUUGUUAGGGGAAUUUAGUGAUGUUAUCCCAGAUGAACUUCCUGCAGGCCUACCUCCAAUGAGGGAUAUACAACACCAUAUAGAUCUUGUCCUGGGUUCAAGCUUGCCAAACAGACCGCAUUAUCGUAUGAGUCCGCAAGAGCAUGAGGAGCUUAAUAGACAAGUCACUGAAUUAUUAAAUAAGGGUGUGAUUCGUGAGAGUAUGAGUCCUUGCGCUGUUCCAGCUUUGCUAACUCCAAAGAAAGAUGGUACUUGGCGGAUGUGUGUGGACAGCAGGGCAAUUAAUAAAAUCACAGUGAAAUAUAGGUUUCCCAUUCCUCGUUUGGAUGACAUGCUGGACCAUUUGUCAGGUUCAAGUAUAUUUUCUAAGAUUGAUCUUCGAAGUGGGUAUCAUCAAAUUCGAAUGCGACCGGGUGAUGAAUGGAAGACGGGAUUUAAGACACGUGAUGGGUUGUUUGAAUGGAUGGUGAUGCCGUUUGGGUUAUCAAAUGCACCAAGUAUGUUUAUGCGGCUGAUGAACCAGAUUUUUCGUCCAUAUAUUGGGAAGUUUGUAGUGGUGUAUUUUGAUGACAUCCUUGUCUUUAGUUGCAAUGUUGAGCAACAUAUGGAGCACUUGCGCAAAGUUUUUGAAGUGUUGAGAGAGCAAAAGUUAUAUGCCAAUUUGAAGAAUUGUGAGUUCAUGACCAAAAGCUUGAUUUUUUUGGGCUACGUCAUCUCUUCAGAAGGAGUCAAGGUUGACCCAAAGAAGGUUGAAGCAAUAUUGAAGUGGCCAACACCCAUGUCAAUCCACGACAUUAGAAGCUUUCAUGGCUUAGCCUCAUUUUAUCGCAGGUUCAUUCGCAAUUUCAGUUCACUUGUUGCACCUAUGACUGAUUGCUUGAAAUCUAGUGUAUUUAAGUGGACAGAUGCAGCUGAGAGUAGUUUUCAGGCGGUGAAAAAAGCUAUGACAGAAGCUCCCAUUUUGACCCUACCAGACUAUGAGAAAGUCUUUGAAGUUGAUUGUGAUGCAUCCCGAAUCGGGAUUGGGGCUGUUCUGAGCCAAGAGGGUAAGCCGGUAGCCUUUUAUAGUGAAAAGCUCAAUGAUACGAGGAGAAAGUACUCCACUUAUGAUGUGGAAUUUUAUGCCAUCAUGCAAGCUUUGCGAGAGUGGAAACAGUACUUGAUAUACAAAGAACUUAUCCUUUACUCGGAUCAUGAAGCAUUGAAAUUUAUCAAUGGGCAACAAAAGCUUAACCGGCGUCAUGCGAAGUGGGUAGAAGAGCUUCAGGAAUACAACUUUGUUAUCCGUCACAAAGCCGGAGUACAAAACAGAGUGGCAGACGCAUUAAGUCGACGACAUGUUUUAUUAACAACAAUGGAGAUCAAGGUUGUUGGGUUUGAGAGAUUACGGGAUUUGUACAAAGACGAUGUGGAUUUUGGACAUAUAUGGACAGAAUGUGAGGCUCAACGUCCCUUCCAAGAUUUUCAUAUGAAUGAUGGGUUUUUAUUUAAAGGGAGCAGAUUGUGCAUUCCUAAUUGUUCAAUGAGGUUAUGGAUAAUUGAAGAGCAGCAUGGUGGUGGUCUUGGGGGGCAUUUUGGACGAGACAAAACAAUUGCUCUAGUUGGGGAAAAAUUUUACUGGCCAAAGUUGAAUAGAGAUGUGAUGAGGUAUGUUCAACGGUGUAAAGUGUGUCAUGUUGCUAAAGGGCAUUCUCAAAACACUGGUAUGUAUACUCCUCUACCUGAACCGAAUGCUCCAUGGGAGGAUGUGAGUAUGGACUUUGUAUUGGGACUCCCUCGUACUAAGAAUGGUCAUGAUUCUAUACUGGUUGUGGUGGAUAGAUUUCAAAGAUGGCACAUUUUGUGCCAUGCUCCAAAACCAUGGAUGCUAGUCACAUUGCAAAACUCUAUUUUCGAGAAGUAGUCAAGCUACAUGGUAUUCCAAUUACCAUCACUUCUGAUCGAGAUUCAAAGUUUGUGGGACACUUUUGGCGUACUCUUUGGCGAAGGAUGGGGACUAAACUUCAGUAUAGCAGUGCUCACCAUCCACAAACUGAUGGCCAAACUGAGGUAGUCAACAGGACAUUGGGAAAUCUAUUAAGAUCACUUGUGGGGAAAAAUAAAUCAAGCUGGUCUGAAGUCUUACCACAAGCAGAGUUUGCCUACAAUAAGUCAACUAGCCGAACCAUUGAGAUGAGCCCCUUUGAAGUGGUGUACUGCCGAAACCCUGUCAGCCCUGUGGACUUGGUUCCGCUGCCCACCAACGACCGUAUUAGUGGUGAUGCACAAGAUAUGGCUGAAUACAUCAAGAAGUUGCAUGAGCAGGUUCGUCAAAAGCUUGAAGCAAGUAAUAAAAAGUACAAGGAGAAAGCUGACAAGCAUAGAAGACAUGUUGAGUUCAAGGCGGGAGAUCUUGUGUGGGUAAAUCUGAGUAAAGAAAGGUUUCCGCGUGGAAAACAUGCGAAAUUGCGUGAUCGGGCUGAUGGACCAUUCCAAGUAUUGGAGCGUGUUGGAGAGAAUGCUUAUGUACUUGACCUUCCAAGCAACAUGAAUGUCUCUGCUACUUUUAAUGUUGCUGAUCUACAAGCUUACCAAGAGCCAAGAGGAAUGUAACUCAGACUCGAGGACGAGUCUUUUUCAACCUGGGGAGUCUGAUGCAGGAGCUAUGCUUGGAGAUGAACCAAGAGCCAAGAGGAAUGUACAUUCGCCAGAAUAUCUUAAGGACUAUGUUUGGUCCAAGAGAUGAUUCCUUAUUAUAUUAUGCUUUGAUUAUUUACCUAUUAAGUGGUGGUAGUUUUAACGUUGUUGCUUACUUCCUUUUAAAGACUAGGUUUUGUUCUCUAUUUAAAGAGAUGUAUUGGCUCUUGUAAGGGGUCUUUGGAUCAUUCAUAUAUUAUAAAUAUUGGCAGCUGCCAGAGCAUCAUUAUCUUCUUUUCUUGUUGUCUUGUGUGUUUGAGUCCAGAGAGGCUUUGAGUUGUUGUGGAUCGCUGAUCUGCAUCAGUGGAAUAGAAAAAAAAAUAUUUGGAUCAAACUACACAAAUUACUAGUUAGCUUGCUUGUAAUCAGCGGAGGAGAGAAACCAUUACUUCUCUAAUUUCUGUAAUGAGAGAGAAAGAGAGGAUGUCCUUGUUUAUGAUCAGACUAACAAGGACAAGUUCUUUAGUUUCGAUUAUUAUAAAGACUAUUAAAAUCUUAAUACAUAUACUAACUACAAAGACCAUGACUAUUGGAAUUACAUUCCACCAUAUCAUCAGACCACCAACUUGUUUAAGUAUGAUACUAAUCAAGACGAUAUAGACUCUCUUCGUAUACAACCAUGUCUGGUUCAUUAUUCUCAAUCAUCCAGAUGUCAGAGUUCUCUUCUUCAUUACGAUAAUGACUGGUAGGCAUGAGUUUAUAAUUUGCUGGUUUCCCUACUGGACAGUUAGUCAUCACUGAUGCACUAGUCUCCGAAACCGAAAUUGAUCCAACCCACAGAUACCAAUGUCUUCGUGCAGUACUGGGAAUCUUUACGCCGAAUGAUCUAGUCCAGCAAUAAUCAUUGUUGCCAUAGUCUCUCAUGACCCAUAAUUCAACCACAUAAUAGUCAAAUUCAACACAAUCCCUGUACACUUUUCUCAGGACCAUUGCAUACAAGCACCCUUCACGAGUAACACCAUGGUUCCACGUUCUGAUGUCUAGUGUUUGAAGAGCACUAGGCAGCUGCAUUAUCGAAAACUCCUCCUUUUCUAAAUCGAAAGCAUACAUAUGACGUGCCUGAUCUUGUUCCUGGUGUCGACUACACUCUAGCCAAUAUAGUGCAUCACGAAAAAACACACCAUCUAUCAUCCAGACGUCGGCGCCGGGAGGCAAUAUUUCCAUCAGCUUCCAUGAUUCAGUCUUGGACGACAAGAUCGCAUCACCCAUCACAAGUUUGUAUUCGUCGGUUUUGGACACAUACCCAAACCCGCAUUUGAUCCCUUUAUGAUUAUCCAUAUGACCCCGCCCGGGAAAAUUCUUGAAGAACCCGGUGGAUGGGUUCCAUAUAAGAAAGCUUUCUGUUUCUUGUUCGGAGUAUGGAUGAAACACAUGAAAGACACGUACAGCCACCAGCCCAUUGCAUGAGCCUAAAAACUGGACGUGCUUGUGAUAGAAAGGGGAAUUCAGAUUUCGGAGAACCAGAGAUUCCUUCUCGAACAAAGAUGUGUUACUUAAAUCAGAAGCUAGGGUUUCGAGUUUUAUGAGGUGUUGAAUUAUUAAGGCUCGAUGCUUGGGGCCUAACUGGAAGUGCGAUUUCGCGAAGUGGGGAUCGGAGAAUAGAGAGCGCCACCGUGUAGAGACGCAUCUGCAUCGCCCCACUGAUUUGACCGGUAGCCUGGCCACGAUUUCCAAAAUGAUCUCUUCGGGUAAGAAUGCAUUAGCUGCCAUGGCGCUUGAUCGAGUUGAAAGAGAGUAUAUAUAUUGAGACUCAACAAUAGUACUGCUCCUUCCCUUUUUAUUUAGGGUUUAUGAUUAAUUACGAGCCGAACACACGGAAUAUAAACAUGCAUAACUUUGUGCAGGGGGUAGGCCGGUAGGGGAAGUUUAAGGCUUCACCAAAAGCAUCUUGGGCAUUUGUCGAUCGUUUGGGCCUAAACAUGCAUAACUUCACAAUAAUCUUUUUCUUGAUGAAUGAUAAAGUGUAGAGACAAAGAGAUAGCAAGAGAAUCAUCAUCUUAUUCAUUGAUAGGAGCCCUUUAUAUAGGGAAUUACACAAUACCAAUAUGGUAAGGAUAUGAAUACAUAGAUCUAGUCUAACUACAUAUCCUAUUGGCAUAAGGCCAAGGCACACAUAGAGAAUAUCCUAGAACACUCCCCCUUGUGCCGCGCGCUGAUAUGCCGAUGGUGCUGAUCNNNNNNNNNNNNNNNNNNNNNNNNNNNNNNNNNNNNNNNNNNNNNNNNNNNNNNNNNNNNNNNNNNNNNNNNNNNNNNNNNNNNNNNNNNNNNNNNNNNNNNNNNNNNNNNNNNNNNNNNNNNNNNNNNNNNNNNNNNNNNNNNNNNNNNNNNNNNNNNNNNNNNNNNNNNNNNNNNNNNNNNNNNNNNNNNNNNNNNNNNNNNNNNNNNNNNNNNNNNNNNNNNNNNNNNNNNNNNNNNNNNNNNNNNNNNNNNNNNNNNNNNNNNNNNNNNNNNNNNNNNNNNNNNNNNNNNNNNNNNNNNNNNNNNNNNNNNNNNNNNNNNNNNNNNNNNNNNNNNNNNNNNNNNNNNNNNNNNNNNNNNNNNNNNNNNNNNNNNNNNNNNNNNNNNNNNNNNNNNNNNNNNNNNNNNNNNNNNNNNNNNNNNNNNNNNNNNNNNNNNNNNNNNNNNNNNNNNNNNNNNNNNNNNNNNNNNNNNNNNNNNNNNNNNNNNNNNNNNNNNNNNNNNNNNNNNNNNNNNNNNNNNNNNNNNNNNNNNNNNNNNNNNNNNNNNNNNNNNNNNNNNNNNNNNNNNNNNNNNNNNNNNNNNNNNNNNNNNNNNNNNNNNNNNNNNNNNNNNNNNNNNNNNNNNNNNNNNNNNNNNNNNNNNNNNNNNNNNNNNNNNNNNNNNNNNNNNNNNNNNNNNNNNNNNNNNNNNNNNNNNNNNNNNNNNNNNNNNNNNNNNNNNNNNNNNNNNNNNNNNNNNNNNNNNNNNNNNNNNNNNNNNNNNNNNNNNNNNNNNNNNNNNNNNNNNNNNNNNNNNNNNNNNNNNNNNNNNNNNNNNNNNNNNNNNNNNNNNNNNNNNNNNNNNNNNNNNNNNNNNNNNNNNNNNNNNNNNNNNNNNNNNNNNNNNNNNNNNNNNNNNNNNNNNNNNNNNNNNNNNNNNNNNNNNNNNNNNNNNNNNNNNNNNNNNNNNNNNNNNNNNNNNNNNNNNNNNNNNNNNNNNNNNNNNNNNNNNNNNNNNNNNNNNNNNNNNNNNNNNNNNNNNNNNNNNNNNNNNNNNNNNNNNNNNNNNNNNNNNNNNNNNNNNNNNNNNNNNNNNNNNNNNNNNNNNNNNNNNNNNNNNNNNNNNNNNNNNNNNNNNNNNNNNNNNNNNNNNNNNNNNNNNNNNNNNNNNNNNNNNNNNNNNNNNNNNNNNNNNNNNNNNNNNNNNNNNNNNNNNNNNNNNNNNNNNNNNNNNNNNNNNNNNNNNNNNNNNNNNNNNNNNNNNNNNNNNNNNNNNNNNNNNNNNNNNNNNNNNNNNNNNNNNNNNNNNNNNNNNNNNNNNNNNNNNNNNNNNNNNNNNNNNNNNNNNNNNNNNNNNNNNNNNNNNNNNNNNNNNNNNNNNNNNNNNNNNNNNNNNNNNNNNNNNNNNNNNNNNNNNNNNNNNNNNNNNNNNNNNNNNNNNNNNNNNNNNNNNNNNNNNNNNNNNNNNNNNNNNNNNNNNNNNNNNNNNNNNNNNNNNNNNNNNNNNNNNNNNNNNNNNNNNNNNNNNNNNNNNNNNNNNNNNNNNNNNNNNNNNNNNNNNNNNNNNNNNNNNNNNNNNNNNNNNNNNNNNNNNNNNNNNNNNNNNNNNNNNNNNNNNNNNNNNNNNNNNNNNNNNNNNNNNNNNNNNNNNNNNNNNNNNNNNNNNNNNNNNNNNNNNNNNNNNNNNNNNNNNNNNNNNNNNNNNNNNNNNNNNNNNNNNNNNNNNNNNNNNNNNNNNNNNNNNNNNNNNNNNNNNNNNNNNNNNNNNNNNNNNNNNNNNNNNNNNNNNNNNNNNNNNNNNNNNNNNNNNNNNNNNNNNNNNNNNNNNNNNNNNNNNNNNNNNNNNNNNNNNNNNNNNNNNNNNNNNNNNNNNNNNNNNNNNNNNNNNNNNNNNNNNNNNNNNNNNNNNNNNNNNNNNNNNNNNNNNNNNNNNNNNNNNNNNNNNNNNNNNNNNNNNNNNNNNNNNNNNNNNNNNNNNNNNNNNNNNNNNNNNNNNNNNNNNNNNNNNNNNNNNNNNNNNNNNNNNNNNNNNNNNNNNNNNNNNNNNNNNNNNNNNNNNNNNNNNNNNNNNNNNNNNNNNNNNNNNNNNNNNNNNNNNNNNNNNNNNNNNNNNNNNNNNNNNNNNNNNNNNNNNNNNNNNNNNNNNNNNNNNNNNNNNNNNNNNNNNNNNNNNNNNNNNNNNNNNNNNNNNNNNNNNNNNNNNNNNNNNNNNNNNNNNNNNNNNNNNNNNNNNNNNNNNNNNNNNNNNNNNNNNNNNNNNNNNNNNNNNNNNNNNNNNNNNNNNNNNNNNNNNNNNNNNNNNNNNNNNNNNNNNNNNNNNNNNNNNNNNNNNNNNNNNNNNNNNNNNNNNNNNNNNNNNNNNNNNNNNNNNNNNNNNNNNNNNNNNNNNNNNNNNNNNNNNNNNNNNNNNNNNNNNNNNNNNNNNNNNNNNNNNNNNNNNNNNNNNNNNNNNNNNNNNNNNNNNNNNNNNNNNNNNNNNNNNNNNNNNNNNNNNNNNNNNNNNNNNNNNNNNNNNNNNNNNNNNNNNNNNNNNNNNNNNNNNNNNNNNNNNNNNNNNNNNNNNNNNNNNNNNNNNNNNNNNNNNNNNNNNNNNNNNNNNNNNNNNNNNNNNNNNNNNNNNNNNNNNNNNNNNNNNNNNNNNNNNNNNNNNNNNNNNNNNNNNNNNNNNNNNNNNNNNNNNNNNNNNNNNNNNNNNNNNNNNNNNNNNNNNNNNNNNNNNNNNNNNNNNNNNNNNNNNNNNNNNNNNNNNNNNNNNNNNNNNNNNNNNNNNNNNNNNNNNNNNNNNNNNNNNNNNNNNNNNNNNNNNNNNNNNNNNNNNNNNNNNNNNNNNNNNNNNNNNNNNNNNNNNNNNNNNNNNNNNNNNNNNNNNNNNNNNNNNNNNNNNNNNNNNNNNNNNNNNNNNNNNNNNNNNNNNNNNNNNNNNNNNNNNNNNNNNNNNNNNNNNNNNNNNNNNNNNNNNNNNNNNNNNNNNNNNNNNNNNNNNNNNNNNNNNNNNNNNNNNNNNNNNNNNNNNNNNNNNNNNNNNNNNNNNNNNNNNNNNNNNNNNNNNNNNNNNNNNNNNNNNNNNNNNNNNNNNNNNNNNNNNNNNNNNNNNNNNNNNNNNNNNNNNNNNNNNNNNNNNNNNNNNNNNNNNNNNNNNNNNNNNNNNNNNNNNNNNNNNNNNNNNNNNNNNNNNNNNNNNNNNNNNNNNNNNNNNNNNNNNNNNNNNNNNNNNNNNNNNNNNNNNNNNNNNNNNNNNNNNNNNNNNNNNNNNNNNNNNNNNNNNNNNNNNNNNNNNNNNNNNNNNNNNNNNNNNNNNNNNNNNNNNNNNNNNNNNNNNNNNNNNNNNNNNNNNNNNNNNNNNNNNNNNNNNNNNNNNNNNNNNNNNNNNNNNNNNNNNNNNNNNNNNNNNNNNNNNNNNNNNNNNNNNNNNNNNNNNNNNNNNNNNNNNNNNNNNNNNNNNNNNNNNNNNNNNNNNNNNNNNNNNNNNNNNNNNNNNNNNNNNNNNNNNNNNNNNNNNNNNNNNNNNNNNNNNNNNNNNNNNNNNNNNNNNNNNNNNNNNNNNNNNNNNNNNNNNNNNNNNNNNNNNNNNNNNNNNNNNNNNNNNNNNNNNNNNNNNNNNNNNNNNNNNNNNNNNNNNNNNNNNNNNNNNNNNNNNNNNNNNNNNNNNNNNNNNNNNNNNNNNNNNNNNNNNNNNNNNNNNNNNNNNNNNNNNNNNNNNNNNNNNNNNNNNNNNNNNNNNNNNNNNNNNNNNNNNNNNNNNNNNNNNNNNNNNNNNNNNNNNNNNNNNNNNNNNNNNNNNNNNNNNNNNNNNNNNNNNNNNNNNNNNNNNNNNNNNNNNNNNNNNNNNNNNNNNNNNNNNNNNNNNNNNNNNNNNNNNNNNNNNNNNNNNNNNNNNNNNNNNNNNNNNNNNNNNNNNNNNNNNNNNNNNNNNNNNNNNNNNNNNNNNNNNNNNNNNNNNNNNNNNNNNNNNNNNNNNNNNNNNNNNNNNNNNNNNNNNNNNNNNNNNNNNNNNNNNNNNNNNNNNNNNNNNNNNNNNNNNNNNNNNNNNNNNNNNNNNNNNNNNNNNNNNNNNNNNNNNNNNNNNNNNNNNNNNNNNNNNNNNNNNNNNNNNNNNNNNNNNNNNNNNNNNNNNNNNNNNNNNNNNNNNNNNNNNNNNNNNAGAAUGUUACAUUGCUCUUGUCAUACAAAACCAAAGCUGUUAUGAGACUCGAUAGAGGUCACAAACGAUGCUUUUAAUGGUUUGUCCUUCGGAUUGAUCAUACACAAUCCGGAAAAGCCGCGAAUUGAUCAAACACAAUUCGGAAAAAGGCCUCGGAUUGAUCAAACACAAUCUGGUGAAAGGUCGGGGUUGAUCAAACACAACCCGGACAAAGAAACAAGAGUGAUCCAACAUACUCUUGACCCGCGAAUAAAAUUUCGGGAUUUUUGGUACCUGCACACACAAAAUCCCAAGCAUAGAAUGGAGAUGGAGAAGGGAGGAAAUGAUUUUAUCCUCCCCGAGUUAUUGAACUUAGAAAAGUUUAAGGUUUCAAAACAUACCUUUCUAAAGGCUGCCGAGAGGAGAAAUAACGUUUCGCCUACUUAUACUUCGAAUUUGGGGCUAAAAAUUUGACAGGAGGAGCAGCUCUGGAUGGGGAAGCUUCUGUCAAAAUUUCAGGUUGAUCAGAGCAAGGGAAGGUGGUGAACCGGUGGUCGGUAGCGGCGGCGGUCUGGAAUUUUCCGGCGGCCGGUUCGGAGACUUUCCGGCCGGUUCUCAGGGUGAGACCGGUGGCGUUGGAUCCAGGGCGGAGAGAGCUUUCUGGGGAUAUAAAAUUCCGGCGGAGGGCAGUCGGAAUUUUGGUCGGAAAUAGGGAAAAACAAGGCUGCCCGAUGUUAGGGUUUUGGUUUUUAGGGUUUAGAAAAAAAUGGUAGGCUAUUGGCUCUAGGGUUAGAACAAAGUGCAUGAUAACGUGAUGAAAGAUAAAGUGUAGAGACAAAGAGAUAGCAAGAGAAUCAUCAUCUUAUUCAUUGAUAGGAGCCCUUUAUAUAGGGAAUUACACAAUACCAAUAUGGUAAGGAUAUGAAUACAUAGAUCUAGUCUAACUACAUAUCCUAUUGGCAUAAGGCCAAGGCACACAUAGAGAAUAUCCUAGAACAUUUCUUUUAAAAAUUCCCAAUAAUCAUCUUAAAAGAGUAGCUACACUAGGAGACUAGAAAAGAUCAUCAGAUUUCUUAAGCCAGAUUUCACGAUGUGCAGAUUCGUAUGAAUUACCGGCUCUUAAUUAUACCAGCGAAGGAAAGAAAUUAAGCAUAACUGAUAGCGCUACAGGGCCAGAUGGAUUUAAUGGUCACUUAUUUGUUUCUUGUUGGGAUAUUGUGGGUGUAGAAGUGAUCAAAGCGGUGCAAUAUUUUUUUACACAUGGUCAGUUAUCUGCUUCUUUUAAUUCAGGGCUUAUUAUUCUUAUUCCAAAGGUGGAUCAUGCCGAUUCCAUCGAGCAAUUUCGUCCUAUUACUCUUACCAACUUAGUUUUCAAGAUUAUUCUAAAGAUUCUUGCACUUCGAUUAUCUUCAAUUGCAUCUCGUAUUGUGUCUCCUCAGCAGCAUGCUUUUGUUGUUGGCAGAAAUAUAUCAGACUGUAUCUUGGUGACUUCUGAGUGUUUCAAUCUUUUGGACUCAAAAUGUUAUGGUGGAAAUGUAGCAAUUAAAACAGAUAUCACCAAGGCGUUUGAUACACUCUCAUGGGACUUUCUUUUACAUGUUCUCCAAGCCUUCGGUUUUCAUGAAAGUUUUGUGCAGGUCCGAGUUUUAUUAUUAUCUGCCAGGCUUUCUUUGCUCAUUAAUGGUAGAACCUAUGGUUAUUUUUCUUGUGGGCAAGGUGUGAGGCAAGGUGACCCACUAUCUCCUUUACUGUUCUGUUUGGCGGAGGAGGUUUUAAGCCGUGGUAUUUCAAUGCUUGUAUCUUCUGGGCAGGUGAAACGUAUCCACUCUCCUAGAGGUACUCUAUCUCCUUCCUAUGUAUUGUUUGCAGGUGAUGUUAUUGUUUUCUGUAGGGGGAAUCGUCAGAAUCUAUUGAGGGUAAUGAGUUUUUUUUAUGAAUACGGUAGUGUUUCUGGCCAGAUUAUUAACAAGGACAAGUCCCAAGUUUUUAUUGGGAAACAUAACCGCCGACGUCACUCUAUCUCUGAUUGCUUGGGUAUUCCUUUAGGUACUGCUCCGUUCAUGUACUUGGGUGCCCCAAUCUUUCAUGGAAAGCCUCGUGUUGCCCAUUUUCAAGCUAUUGUUGACAAAGUCAGAUUGAAGCUUUCAAGUUGGGUGGGUUCAUUUUUGUCUAUGGCUGGGCGUCUCCAACUUAUAAAGUCUGUAAUAUAUAGCAUGUUUGUCUACACGUUUCAAGUGUAUGAAUGGCCAGUGUCCUUAUUAAGAAAAGUUGAGAGAUGGUGCCGAAACUUCCUUUGGUCUGGUGAUAUUGAUAAACGUGGAAUUCCUCUGGUCUCUUGGACGUCUUGUUGUGCGCCAAUUGAUGAAGGAGGUUUGGGGCUUAAGAAACUUGAUGUGCUAAAUAGCUCUCUUUUGCUCAAGCGUUGUUGGGAAAUUUUUACCUCAUCUUUUGAAGGUUGUUGCUUUAUUCGAAAUCGUUUUUCAAAGCGUCGUUCUUAUGCUCCAUCUUCUAUAUGGCCUGGAGUGCGCAAGUUUUGGGGGUUGGUGCAGAAUAACACUCGGUGGUUGGUUGGUACAGGUGACAAAAUCUCAUUUUGGAGAGACAAUUUUUUGGGCAGACCUCUCAUUGAAUUUUUUGGUAAUCAUGGUGCUCUGAAUGAUAAUUCUUCUUUGGUCUCAGACUAUAUUGAUAAUGGUUCUUGGGUUUUGCCUCCUCUUUUACAACUCAAUCUAUCGGCAGUGUGCAAUUUGAUCUGUCAAGUUCCUAUUUCCAUAAAUCCUUCAAUGGAGGACAAAUUGAUUUGGCAAGCUUCUUCUACCGGUGAACUUACCGCUAAGCAGGCCUUUCUCUUUCUGCAACAAGCAUCUCCUGUAGUGCCAUGGGGUAAGCCUUUAUGGUCUAAAUUUAUUUUGCCUCGUAUGUCUUUGCAUGCUUGGAAGGUUAUGAGAGGUACAGUAAUUUCAUAUCAUCUUUUGCAACGUAGAGGAGUAGCAUUGGUUUCACGGUGUGAAUUUUGUGGUAAUAGUACUGAAUCUCUAGAUCAUAUCUUUCUCCAUUGUUCUUUUGCUGCAUCAGUUUGGAAUCACUUCAUUUACAUUUUUGAAAUUGGACUUGUUCCAAACACAAUUGCUGAGGUUUUUAGUUUGGGUUUAGCCAUGGAUAGAAGUCCUCAGCUUAAAGAACUUUGGUUAAUAUGUUUCACUUCUAUUCUCUGGUAUAUCUGGCAUGCAAGAAAUCAGAUCAGGUUUGACAGCAGGACAUUUUCAGUUGCUGGGGUUUGUCGCCUAGUUUCAAGGCAUAUCCAAGCUUCUAGUAGAUUAGCAACUGGUCACAUGCAUAACACAAUUCAUGAUUUGUGUAUCUUAAAAAGUUUUGGUGCCUGUUGUCGAUCGAGGCGUAUUCCUAGAAUGGUUGAGGUCAUUUGGCAUCCCCCUUCCAUUGGAUGGAUUAAGAUAAAUUCAGAUGGUGCUUGGAAGCAUGAAGAGGGUAUUGGAGGUUUUGGCGCUGUUUUUCGCUAUUAUAAAGGUCAAUUUGUUGGAGCUUUUGCUUCCCAUAUUGAUAUUCCUAGUUCCAUUGCGGCAAAGGUAAUGGUAGUGAUCACAGCUAUAGAGCUUGCUUGGGUUCGUGAUUGGAAGCAUGUUUGGUUGGAGGUAGAUUUUUCUACUGUACUCGACUAUAUCCGUUCUCCUUCACUUGUGCCUUGGCAACUUCGAGUUAGGUGGUUGAAUUGCCUAUACAGGAUCUCUACAAUGACUUUUAAAUCUUCUCACAUUUUCAGAGAAGGAAAUAGGGUAGCAGAUGCUCUAGCUAAUCAUGGAACAUCUAUGUCUGAGGAGGUAUGGUGGGAUGUGCCUCCUUCAUUUAUCUUGUCCUAUUAUGAGCGGGAUCUUUUGGGUAUGCCAAAUUUUAGGUUUCGGUAAUUCAUUUGUUUUCCUAUAUUGUUUUUCUCUCUUAGUAUUAGACGUUUUUUAUACUAUAUGGCUGGUAUUGGCCUAGUCCUCUGGCUUAUUGUAUUUUUUUCUUAUUUUUUCAAUAAAUUUUAGUAGGGGGACGAUGUUUGUCUCUCUAUGCUUACCAAAAAAAAAAAAAAGAUCUCAGACUAAAAAGGACAAGUUCUUUAAUUUCGAAUCACUUUCGAUUGUAAAAGACGAUUAGAAUCUUAAUACAUGUACUAAUUAACUACAAAGACCAAGACGAGUGGAUCAUUAGGCCAUCUCCAACCAUUGUCCUAAAACCUAUAAUAUGUUUAAGUUUCUCAAUUUUACAUCUCCAACCCAAAUACAACUUGAUGAUGAGUAGCAUUGUUAUUGCCCUAGCAGCUAGAAUUCCUCAUUUCCUGCACACAUGUACUCCGUUUUUGGUUGUUACUUAUUUUUGCAAUUUACAUCUCACUUCAUCACAAACAGAGAAGACAGUGAAUAAUGGAUUAUGUGAGGUUGGGGGAGUUUUGGCUCCCUCCCUUAGCAUCAAUUGGUCUCUUCUGUUCUGUUCUGCCAUAGGGAGGAUAUGCCAGAACAAUAUGUUCAGUUCCUCGGUUUGCAAUUUCCCACUAUGUUUUUGUGAGGAGUUCGAGUGGAAGAUUUGAUUCUCAACAUUGGUUAUGAUUCUGACAAGAAGACUCGCCAUUUUCCUCCCGAUCAUUUCAAUAAGUUUGUUUCCAUAAUGUCAACGAGCUGGAGGUUUUGAUGAUGCACAGUAGGACCUAUUGUGCCGACACAACAUCUCCACAAGGAAUAGGAAGGAUAUUGUGCGUUAUUGAGAGAGCAGCCCAGCUUGAGCUCUGUUAGUCUCUAACAAGCUUGCUAGGUUAACUUUGACUUGAAAAAUGAGUUGCAGACAAAUCUUUAAUUCUCAUUAUCAAAAGUUUACUCUUGAUUAUGAUUCCAGUCGUCAAUUCAAGCUAGGCAAUCUUGAUAUAUAUAACUUAAAACAUAAGAGUAUUUGAAGUUUUGAACGUCCACUGAUAAUGAAUCUGUUAAACUCUGGUAACAACGUACAGUUUUCUUUUAUACGUGUUGUAUCGGCAACAGAAUGAUCCAUAUUCUGUCUGUUCUACAAGAUGAUGCUAUUGAUCAUAUGCAAGCACAUAUCCAAUUUUAGAGGUAACUGCUAAGAUGAUACCGAACGAGUAACCAAAAAGAUGAGCUGCCAGAAACACCAGUGACCACAGGAGUUUAUAUGGCUUUGGUUUUGAUCACCUAUCUUUUUCCUCAAAAAAUGAGGACAUACAGGUAUACGUAUAGUGCAACAUUGUGUGCAAUAUCAAACAUAGAUAUAUGGUUUGAGAGGCUAAAGAAAAUACGAUAGAUAAUCAAACAAGGUAAUACAGUGCAUGUCACAACGCAUAUGUAUGACAUUAGAUUGGUGUGCCAUAAUAACAAGUAGCUAGGCCAUAAUAAUAAGUAGCUAGGGUAGAUAGUUGAAACAAGAGUGUCAUACACACAAAACAUUACUUGGGACUUGCUGAGCCUGUGUCAGGAGUCAUGACUAGAGUGUCUCAACUGAGACAAAAAGAUCAUUGUUCUUCUGGAACUCUAUGGCCUGCGGAAUAGUGUGUCAACUGAGACAAAAAGAUCAUUCUUCUUCUGGAACUCUAUGGCCUGCGGAGUAUCCUUGAUUGAGCAUUGGUCAGUCAUGUGUUUUCCACCACAGUGAAAGCAUAAUAUCUUACUUACAUAAGUUUUUCCAGUCCCCCCAAGGAAGGCAGAAACCCAUGCAAAUCCCUCUGGUAAAGGUUUGUCAGGAUCGUAUAGUGGAUCCUUGCCAUCCCUUGGAUCACGUUUGGCCGCACCUUUGCACCCAUAAAAAAAGAGGAGGUUAAAAUCAGAACCCCGAAUGGGAUAAUCAAAGAAAAAGUCAUGAUAAUGAAAUUCAUGUUUUAUGAGUGUUACGAUCCUAACCCAGAAAUGCCAUUGCAAGAAAUGAAAAACGAGAAAGGAAAGGAAAACUAAAAUUCAAUAUAUUCUUCAAUACCAUUACAAGCAUCCUAGAUUGCCUUGUAUAGUAGGAGAAUAGGAACCCUAAAGACCCAUGUAAGAGAGAACCCCGUUUCAUUAACAAACUACUAUUUCUAGGAGGCUCAAACCAACAAAUAGCUCACCUAAACAUUUAGAUAAUGAGCAGCAAAUCAUCAAAUCAAAAUGAGUUCAUAAGUAGUCUUGGGGAUCACUACGGAAUCGAUCGAGGACAUAACUCAUCCCUAACUCUGAUAGUAAACACACACAAAACAGAAAGGCAUGAAGAGAAAUUCCAAAAACAGCUAAAUAGUAAAAUCAAGAGCAUGCAUACGUUCUGCAUCGGCCAAGUCAGAGGCCACCAAAAUCUUUUCAAACUUUUCUGCGAACGAGAGUUUUAGAUCUUCGCGAGUCAAAAAGCGGGCGGCUAAUUCAGAAUCUGAUAACUCCUCCAUCCUGUUCCGCUUCGGCGAUGAGGAUUCGAGGCUGGGGAUCAUCUCCAACGGUGAGGGUCGUCAUCGCUCGCUUCGAUUAGGGUUUCGCGUCGCCUUCAAUUUGGUUGUUGAUUUCGAUCUGAGGACGACUCGCUUUUUUACAUUAUAUAUAGAAUCAGGAUUUGGGCUUUGGGCCGGGUUUGUUCCGUCUUUCCUUUUCCUUCUUGCUUUUGGACAAGGUUUUCGUAACCACGUAUCGUUAGCCAAUAAGAAGAAGACAAGCGUCCUGUUGAAGAGCCACCACAGCAUCAGGGUUGUUGGCUUCUACGACAGUAUGGAUUGGGUCUGAAAUCACAUUUGGGCUUGGGGCCGAUUUCUUUCUUUUCGUUUCUUCCCCAGUAGGCCAAUUUGAGAUUGGAUCCGCUAGUUUAUCAAUGUAGAUAUUGAGCAGGUAUAAGUAUUCAUUAUCAGUACAAUGUACCGUCUAUGAAUAAAGAGAUUUGGAUCGUUUGUUAAGGAGGUGGCCAUUAUAAUUUAGUUUAAGUAACAUGGGUGUCUAUAGAAACUUAACAGAACUACGAUGUGACCGAAGUGUUAUUUGAAAUUUAUUGUGGGAAUAAGCAUCGUGUUUUCCUCAUUAUUUCAUGUGUGGGAAGCUGAAAAUGCAGCAUGUAUCAUGUACGAUAAUCCUUAUGAGGAUGAUAUAUUUAUGAUUUUUGUAAGUCGUUUCUUGUUGACGAUGGUUGAGUUAUUAAAGAGGGAUGUGAUUCCUUCUGUCAUUAUUGGUCGUCGAAAACUGUGAAAUAUUGAUGCCGACGACGUUGACUCAUUCUUUUUUGAGUCGGUAAGUCCAGAAGGACUUGAUUUCUCAUUUGGGUGGGUGAGUAUGCCUACGUUAGGACUUGAAAUCUUAGAUGAAAUUUUAUGUUAUACGGAGAGAUAUAGCCCACUAAAGGCCCAAUUCUCCUUAAAUUGCCAUGUCUUGAAAUGUUGUCCUCUCUUCUUCUCACAGUCACUCGCUCUCUCACUCACCAAGUUCAACACUUGCAGGAGCUCAAAAACCCAGAAAGCUCCAAUCUUUUCGAAAACCCAGAAAGCUCAAACCUUUCUCAAACAACCCAGAAAGACUCCAUUUUUAUAAGAAACCCAGAUGAGCAACAAGACGUUGCUGCAGGAGGUUUGCGCCAAAAAGGGGUGGGCUGCACCCAAGUACUGUAUCACCAAGCAAGGCCCUGAUCACAUUCCUCAGUUCUCCGCCACCGUUGUCGCCAAUGACGUCAGCUUCGUCUCUCAGGGCUUCCUCGGCUCCAAGAAGGAAGCUGAGGCCUCUGCUGCCGGAAUGGCGUUGCAAAAGCAUCUUGGUUAUCAAAGCCAACAGCCCAUUAGCCCAAAUGUCGAGUCUUUGUCUUCCCCAGGUAACAAGGUUUUACAAGUGUUUAAGCUUUUAUUGAUCAAGGAAGUUCUGUUGUGGAAUUUUGACUGUUUGAAUUUGUGAUGCAGUGAAAGUUGGCUGUGUGAACAAAGUUGAGGGCAAUCCCACAUCGGUGAGUCUCAGUUUCCUCAUAAUUGGAGUUAAAGUUUCCGACUUUAAGAGUUUAAGUUGAGGGAUUGUAAGACUAGCUUACAAUAUUGUUCAUGAUAUGCUGUUGAAUUAGAAUAUUACGAUAUAAUGCACUUGAAAACUUUGAGAAUUGGUAUGCUUAGAAGCCUUGUUAGAUAGAGCUCGAGGUUAAUAAGAUGUAGACUUGAUUAAUUGUUUCUGCUUUGCGUCCUGCAAUGUACUGUUCUUUAAUUGUUGAGUGUACAAGGAUUCAGGAUUGUGCAGUGUGUCUUGUUCAUUUAGUAACUCCUCCUUAUGAAUUAUAUUUUGGUUGUUUACUUGGCUCAUUUUUGUUAAGAGGCUUUGGGUUAAGGGUUUUGAAGAUUAGCUUACAUUAUUGUUCAUCAUAUGUCGUUAAAUGGGAAUAUUACAAUGAAAUGUACUUGACUGAUAUGCUUAGAGUAUGAUUAAGCCUUGUUAGAUAGAGCUUAAGGUUAAUAAGAUGUAGUGUUGAUUAAUUGUUGUUUGAAUCAGGAUUCAUGGUUGUGCAGUGCUGUCUUGUUUGAUUAGUAACUCCACAUUUUACUAAUGAACUUUUGGUGGUUUACUUAUCUCGUUUUUGCACUACUGUGUCCUGCAAUUUUGACUCUUAAAUGUACUGUUUGUGACUUUAGAGUAGGAAAAAGCCUUGCUAGAUAGAGCUUAAUGUUAAUAAGAUGUUGUGUUGAUGAAUUGUUGUUUGUAUAAGGAUUCCCGGUGCUACUGUAUUUGUAGAGCUUCAGGUUAACUUUUGGUGGUUUACUUAUCUUGAUUUUGUGCUACUGUGUCCUGCAAUUUUGACUCUUAAAUGUACUGUUUGUGACUUUUUGAUGGGGGAUAAAGUAGUUGUCUUUCUCUUGCAGAGUGAUACUAAUAUCACACCGAAGAAGAAGGGUGCAGAUGAAGUGGAGCAGUUGUUGGCUCAGGAACAGAAGGUAUGCUUUGAGUUAUUUGGUUUUACUUGGUGGUUAUGGUUGGAUGAAGUCGCGAGCCUCUGAAACAUGUUGUUUUAUGAUUAACCAGCUAUGGCAGAAAGAGAAGCUUGAGCUUGAGCUGAAGAACCUUGAAUUGGCGAUUGCAACUGAUGUGAAGAGUAAUGAGAUUCAACAAUUUGAGAAGAAACUGCAAGAUAUGGUAAUCAGUACUCUGUUGAUGUCAAUGAAUUCUGUAUCUAUUUGUGGGUGGGUAAUCUAGUAGCUAGAAUAUGGUUGGCUGACAUUCUCUUGGCCAUUAUGUAUAAUGUGAGCAACUGCUGUGCUUUUUCCUUUCAGAAAGAGAUGGCAACAAUGGAGCAGAUGAAAACUAGGAGGGUGAUAUCAUUGGUAGAAGAGAAAAAGGUUUGUUGUCAGUUAUCUUUUUGAAAUUAUCAGAUUUGGAUGAACAAAUCUCUUUGUUUGUUUGUUUUGGUAACUGAUGAACGAAUCGAUGAAUUCUUAAAUUUGCUUAUUGACUUGCAAUUGCAGGGAGAAAAUGAGAAACUCCAUAUGAAAGUGGCUGAACUGGAAAAGCAACUCCAGGCAGUGAGUGGGGAUAUGGAAGGGGGAAAGAAGAUAAUCGGUCUCUCCGACUCUUUCCGAAAGGAGCAAAGCUAUAAAAAUGAACUCGAGGAGACUCGUAAGGCGUUGAUCAAUGUAUGUCAGUUUGUUCGUUCCAUUUGGGUGGUUUGUCAAAUAUGUUAUUGUUCUAAUAUUAUCUCUAAAAUGUUUCCUUAGCUAUACUUGUAGUUUAUAUUGGAUUAAUUUACUGAUAUUGAUAAGCCUUAAACAUAUUGAAGCCUCUUGGCCUGAUUUGCUGAUUUGCUAAUCUUAAUAUGCUCUGAAUUGAUGCCUUAAACAUAUUGGAAUCUACGGUUCUACAAACUGCUGGGACUGUUGCUCUUGACAUUUUUACCUACCAAUUUGGAUCUUUGAAAUGUAAUUGUUAUAAUAAUACCUCUAAAAUGUUUCUUUAGCUAUACUUGUAGUUUAUACUGGAUUUGUUUACUGAUUUUGAUAAGCCUCAAACAUACUGGAUUAAUUUACUGGCACCGUUACCUACCACUUAGGAUCUCUAAUAUGUGAUUGCUUUAAUGUUAUCUCUAAAAUGUUUCCCUAGCUAUACUUGUAGUUCAUACUGGAUUAAUUUACUGAUAUUGAUAAGCCUUAAACAUAUUGGAGCCUCUUGGCCAGAUCUGUUGAUUUGCUAAUCUUAAUAUGCUCUGAAUUAGUUCGGAAGUUUGGGAGAAUUGUAGUGGAAUUAUAGUGUGCCGUCUGUAUUUUGAGCAAUACAGUGGAAAACCCAAGAAUGUUUGAGUGAUUUUUUCAGUGUUGUGCGUCUUAAGGAGCAUAAUGUUGCUAUCGUUCUUGUGUUAUCUUUGUUAUUUGCAGGUAUUACGUGAUGGUUCAAAAGAGAAUAUUGGGGUUAAAAGAUUGGGAGAUCUUGAAUGGGAAUAAUAGUCUUACUAAUUUAUUGAUAGAUAGAGUCACCCGAAUGAUUUAGAACAUCUAUCAAAACUAUAAUCUAUUCUAAUAAGAAAACGAAUAGGUCAAGACAUAUAACAGAAGGACAGAAAAGUAAUUUUCUUAAACAUUAUGUAGUUAAAAACAUGUUUUAACCAUAAAUUACCCAAAUGUAGUGGAGCUAAUCACUCGAUGUAAAUUACCAUGUACCCUCUUUUGGUUUUAAACUUUGGCCCAGUUUGGGACAGCUGUGCUGUGAGAAGAAUUGCUUCUGGAAUUGCUGUAAGAAGAAUUGCUUCUGGAAUUGCUGUGAGAGGAAUUAGUUGAGAUGUUUGAUAAACUGUUUUUAAAAGGGCAAAAUAGGAUUUAGGAAAAAUUCAUUUAAUCUUUUUAUGUUUCUGAGAUUGAUUCUCGCAAAAGCACCUCUUACCCUGUUUCUCUAAAACCCGUUUUUAAGAGAAUCUAUUCCUCUAAAAUCAGUUCUACGGGUGGUUACCAAACACUCAAGUUGUCCCAAAAUCACUUUUGACCCUAAAAGCAGUUUCAAAAUCGUUCCCAAACUGGCAUUUUAAUGUGAAGUAAGUUUAUAGAGAUUGUACAAAAAAAUUGAAAAGAAAAAAUAAAAUAAAAUAAAAAUAAAGGCGGAAACCAGGUAAACUCGCCUUCGCGCACAACUCACUCACCAAUGCAAACUUCGAUGUGACCACCGCCUCAUCUUCCCCUCCCUUUCAAUUCCCCGAUUUAAUGGCCCUCCGAUUCUACCCCUCCCCUUCGCUAGAUCUUCAAGCGGCGGCGAUGUGACGAGGCGGGCCUUGACGGAUCUGAAGAGGUGGAGCGGAUGAUGCCGCCGGCGAGCGAGGAGUGGAUGAUUCCGUCGACGAGACGCAGAGGAUGGAGAGGGAGACUCGGCGGAUCGCGCCGCCGCGAGAGGAAAAGCUGGGUUUCGAUAAUAGUAGCAGUCAUGGGUCGUGAAUUAGGCAUGUGGUCAUACGGAUUUUGGAUGACAGCGAACCUUGAAAUUUGGUUAUUCAUGUCCUGCUCAUGGUGAUUGAUUACUAGGAAAUUUUCGGUCUUUUUUUUAUCCAAUAACCAAGAAGCAUUGAUGGAAACAAAAGCACUGUAUGUUGCUCAAAUUAGUUACUCAUUUCCUUUUCAGGGAGAAAAGCAUUGCUGGUUUCAAUUCCUCUGGAUUGUCUUUAUUGAUGUUAGUUCUUUAUUUGAUGUUGUCAAUUUUGAGCUUGAUAUCUGUAUUUUUUGUUUUUCUAUUUUGUGUUUCACCUCUUAGCAUGUUGCUUUUGCUGUUUGAGCACUAGCUUUUUGAUGUUACUCUUAACGAUAGUAACGUUUCUGUUUGUUUCACUAAUUGACAGAUACUAGUAACAUGUUGGUUGGAAGGUCAACUAAGGCAUUGUCAGGAGGAGCCAGGAUUGAGUACAUUUUCCAGGAGACAGGAGACAGCCUUUACUAUCAUGUUUGAUUUAGGCAAAUUCUGCGAAGAGUCAAAUCGGCAAAUUCUGCUUUUGAUUGUAAUAGUUCUGGUGUCUUUAUAGAACCAUUUGUUCAGAUUAAGACUAACAGUGUUCAAAAGUGUUCUUGUUCGCUCAUUGAUGGCUUAGAUGCUUGGAUUCUGGAUCAGAUAUCUCUGUGUUUGUUGAUCUACUGUUGCAGAAGGUUAUUCUGAGGUAACAUUUGAGACUAGUAAUACACAUAUUUGAGAUUUGGUAUCUGGUGCUUUCUUUUGUUGACAUCGAAGCAUAUGUCCUGCUAAUUCCUUGAAAUUCGAUUAUGGGGUUUAGCAUUUAUUUCCUUGAAACUUGGAUUUCAGUACAAGAUUUCUUGUGGUUGUGGGUAGUUUUUAGUACUAUUUCCUUGUGUAUCCUUCUCAUCUUGAAACGUAACAACCCAUUCCUAGUAAUGUGCUCCAUUAUUUUAUCGGUUACAUGAAUUGAUUUAGUUGUUGUCAUCUUCAUUUCUGUUAAAGGAAUAAUGAUCCCAGCUCUUAAGUAAAGUUCUAUGUUUAAGUCUGGGACUGCUGAAGUUUAUUUUUCUACUAAUUAUGUCUGUGCUUUAUCUUAGUUGAUUGGUUUUGACAACAAUUGUUUUUAUGCGUUUAAAUUGUGCAUGUAGAUUGAGCCAUAUAUAUUCAUAAGCGUUUUCUGAAGUCAAAACACAUGCAUGAAGGUGAAGCUAUGUUUACGUUGUGUGGGGAGUUCUAGCAUUAAAGAGCAUGUCUAACCAUUUUCAAUAAUAAGUGUUAGGUUGUGUGGCUUGGUUAAUCAUGUUUCUUUGGUGCUUGAUCAUAGUUAGAGGUGAUAAUUGAUCCAGUUGUCAUGCUGUUGGUGUUGUUUUGCUGUUGCGGAUAGAGCUAUGACAUACUUUCAAACCAUGGUCCAUUAUGUUGUUGUUGUUUAUUGCUUAGCAAAGUACUUCAGUAUUGCUUUUGUUAUUGUUCAUUGAUAUGAGGAGUUAACAGAAACAGAAUUCUCUCAUCAUCAUGCUCUCAGACUAAACUUAAAACGUUCAAACUAAACUAUAGGAGGAUGAAGUCUGCCCAGUCUUGUGUCAUGCUCGCAGAUUAAACUUGAAACAUUCAGAACUAAAGUAUAGGAUGAUGGAGUUGUUGUGUUUUGGCUCGUUGAUAUGAUUUGGAAGUUAGGAUUCAGUAAGCAAAUCCAAAUCCAGAAAGGAAAGAGGUUUUUUCUAUAAGUUCUAGGAAAGUAAUCUUUCAAGAUCUGUUAGGAUUUUGUCGACUAGGUUUAGGAGUCCUAAAACCUUAUUGUAUCAGCAGCCCCUAUUCACUAGAAAUAGGAGCUGCAGGGGGUUAAGAUUGAGAGCACAGAAAACCGAGAGCUAAGGGUGAUAGAGAGAUCUAUCAGGGAGUUGGGGAUUAGCAUAGGGAUUUCAAUAAGUACUUGUAAUCAGGUUGUUAUUCUCCAUAGUGCUAGUGAUCUCUCAAGAGAGAUCACAUAAGUGGACAUAGGCCAGGGUUUUGGCUGAACCACUAUAAAAUUGUGUGUGCUGUGUUUCUAUCUUCAAGUUCAUCUAUCUACUUUGCUUAAGUCGUAAAGUACCAGAAAAGAUCCUAGGGCGCUAACCACAAUAGGAGUCUGCCCUGUUCCGUGUUGAAGGGAUAGGCGUUAGGCUUCUGUCGUUUUUGGGCACAUCACAAGUAGAUCAGGCUAGCAAGCUCCGCCCAGUCAUUUAUGUUAAGAAUACGUUGUCUUGUAUGAAUCUUUGGGGUGCUAGUUUCAUAGUCAUGGUAGUAGUACUACAUUUAAGUAAUUAUUAAUACAUGUAUUUGAAGAAAAUACAAUGUCUUAUUUCCAUCAAUUUAUAUAGGUUCAAUUUUCCUUUGGUAUAUAGUUAUAUCACUAUUUUCAUUUAUUGAUACAUAUAUUUUGGCUAUUUAUGCUGCUUAUAUAUUUCAAGUUGUACUUAUUGCAGGUUCUGUUCAAAAUUUCAGUUAAAAGUCUAAAUAGGUUGCAUGUAUGCUUAUAGUCAAAAGACAAACACCCAUUGUAUGUAUGCUUAUAAAAACUGACUCUGACUUCUAGUCUCUAUAUGUUACUUAUUUUUGUUCAAUGGUCACACUGUACGCAUAAGUAAAUCAUAAAAACAGGGAGAAGGAUUAUAUGUGUUUUGGUACUGUAUUUGUUUUUAUUAUUAAAACCGUUCUCUUUUGGACUUGAAAUUGAUCCACUCUUCUAAAAUCUGCAUCCAAUGGUUCUUGUUCUCAUUGUUUUGUCACCACUGUAUGAAUUCUUUUAUUUUUGAGUUAAUCAGGAAAGGUUAAAAAAUAAGAAACAGCGGGAGUAAAUUUUUUUGCUUGUCUUCACCUUGUUGAAAGCUUUUCGUUUGCCUGAUGGAAAAUGAAUUUUGGACACCUUGUUAGUGCGAGAAUAAGAGAAUUUUGAACAUAAGAACUUUAAAGUCCUUGUAUUUUUGAAGUAACAGGAAUCCUUAUGGUCAGUGGGAGUAAUGUCUGGUGAACUAUGAUUUUUGGUCUUGCUGCAUGUUUUACUAAAUUCAUUUUGAAAGCCCAGAUUCAAUUUGGUUCACGCAGAAUUGUGCUUAUUCAGGAAUACUUUUUAGUAAAUAUAUAUAGUAUGGUUUACCUGUUGGUAUAGUGUGUGUACAUGCUGGUUAGCUGACUGAUUCUUUCGUAACUGCAUUUUCAAAUAGAUUUAGUUUUUCAUGGAAUUUAAGUUGAAUUUGCAGUAAGAUUGGUUGUUUUCUACUAGAUUAAGUCAUGCUUGCAAAUGAUUAUUUUUGCGUAUAAUGGUAUUAAGUUUUAAUACAAUGUUUUAAGUAUUAUAGCAUGAAGAUUUGUGAGGUCACUUUGUGUUUUUCUGUUUGACUUGGCUGCAAAAGACUAGGUUUCAGUAACAAGAGAACAUAAUGUGGUUUGCCUGCUGGUCUGAUCAGACGAAUAGUUAAAAUGACAAAUAUACUGACGGUUUUUGCAUAUGAUGUUGGAAGGAGAUUGACUCAUCUCGAUCUGGACAUUGAGAUUAAGGAUGUAACGAGACUCCUGUGAUAGAUUGGUGAUCUGUGGCCUAGUUGAGUUGGAGAUUCAUGUAAUUGGACAAAAAAAAGAACUAGACAAUGACCUUUUUUCAGAAGAAAAUAGAUAGUGACCUUGACUAAUAAAUUGUGACGGCGGUUGUUUUCUGAAGAAGAAAUGAAAGAGGGAAUUAGACAUGGAGGUGUCACGGUGUUCAGGUCGAAGGGAUCAAGGGAAUCAGAUUAUUAAACAUGGCUUUAUAUUUCGUUCUUUAGAAAUAGUGGAAUAGACAUUUCCCUCAGUGAUGAAGUUAGAAUGCCUGAAUAUGCACACAGUGGAAAGUUCUACGGUACAUCUUCCUGCAUCUUAGAGUACACUGCUUCUUAAACUGAAACUAUAUUCACAUUAGCUACACCUAGGAGUACAGCCUAUAGAGUCUACCAUGCUAAUUGUUCUCAUCCAGUGUUCUGUGUUACCCAACUCAGUAACUCAGUAAAGCUGAAGGCUCCCUCUCAUCCUAAAUAUAACGAAAGAGCGAGCGCUAUCAGAGAGGACAUGGCAAUCCAAUCUUGACGACUGGGUUUCUCCCAUUAGUUCAUUGUAUCAUUUCUCUCCUCGUUCAGUUGAUAAAUAUGUAAUCCGGGCAGCUUAAUCUGAAUUUAAAAGCAAAGGUAGAAGAGAAAAUGGACCUGGUCUAAUAUAUCUGAUACCUUCUCUUGAUUAUCAGUGUAACAUAUGCUUCACAAACCGGUGUAUGGUAAAAUUUCUCUGUUCAACUUUCCAAUUUUUCAUUCAGUUUUUUUUAUCUCUGGCCAUUGAUACUAAUUAACCAAUGAGUCCCAAAAGCAAUUUCCUCAGGAAACAGUGUGAUAAUGGAAAAAUUGUCAUCAUAACAAAUGAAGGUUCUAGUUAUUAGGUGAACUACGCAUCUGUCAUUGCUUUGUUUGUUCAAAUGGUAAUAUGAUGAUAUAAAGACAGCCAAAACAUAAGGAUUUAUGACUUUGUCAUGUAGACAUGUACGUAUAUACUUGACCUUCAGUGUUUUGUUGUACCAUAAUAUCACACGAAAUUAGAGAGGUCUCAACUUCGAUGACUAGUGUUGGGUAGAUAAAAAAUAAAAAAAAAAUAAAAAAAACAACCACUUAUGAGUCAAAGGGAAGCUCAUCAGAAACGUUGGGAUUCAGUAAGCUGCUCAGCUAUGCCGACGGAUGGGAUUGGAUUAUGAUGGUAUUGGGGACUUUGGGUUCUGUUGUCCAUGGUAUGGCUUUUCCAGUUGGAUAUCUACUGCUUGGCAGAGCACUCAAUGCCUUUGGGAGCAAUAUUAACGACACAGCUGCCAUAGUUAAAGCACUGAACAAGGUAAACUUUUCGGAGAACUAGUCGUUUUUGAGAAAGUAUAAAUUGCUUGUGAGAGGGGUUAACUCAUUAGUUUGUACAUUUUUUUGUGUUUGUUCAGGUUAUUCCCUUUGUGUGGUACAUGGCCUUCGCCACAUUUCCGGCUGGAAUACUUGGUACGUUUCCUUAACCACUCUGCAAAUUCUUUGAAAAUCACAUACUUGUGACUUUCCUAAUCAUCCAUGGUGUUUUGGAUUUUGCAGAAGUUGGAUGCUGGAUGUAUUCAAGUGAAAGACAAGUGGCACGUCUAAGACUGGCAUAUCUAAGAGCAGUGCUCAGCCAGGAGGUUGGGGCUUUCGAUACAGACUUAACCAGUGGAAAAGUGAUCACCGGAAUUAGUAACCACACGAGUAUCAUACACGAUGCAAUCGGAGAGAAGGUAUCUACUGUAUAGAUGUAUAUACCUGCUGUCUACCAGUCAUUCUUGCUUUAGUUACUUACAAGUUUCUCAUGAUGAACUUACAGUUGGGUCAUUUUCUUUCAAGUUUGGCAACUUUCUUUUCGGGAAUUUUGAUUGCUGCAAUAUGCUGUUGGGAAGUUGCACUGCUUACCUUGUUGGUUGUUCCUUUGAUUCUUGUAAUCGGAGCCACUUACACUAAGAAAAUGAACGCCAUUUCGGCUGCUAGGAUGGUUUACCUGUCGGAAACUACCUCUAUGGUAGAACAGGUAAAGUCCAUGUUCAUUUCCAACAAUAGUAUCAAUAUAUACUCGUAUCUAUUCUAUAUAUCUCACUAACUGAUCAUAUUCCUGCAUUCCAGACCAUAUGUCAGAUCAAGACAGUAUACGCAUUCGUUGGAGAAAACUCGGCGAUCAAAUCUUUCUCAAACUGCAUGGCCAAACAGUAUUUGCUAAGCAAAGGAGAGGCUCUAAUCAAGGGAGUUGGAACAGGAAUGCUUCAAACUGUGACCUUCAUUUCUUGGGCUAUCAUCAUUUGGGUUGGUGCUGUUGUAGUCACUGCCAAGAGGGCAAGCGGUGGGGAUAUUAUAGCUGCUGUCAUGAGCAUUCUCUUUGAAGCCAUGUAAGCAACAUAAUAUAUAGUUCCACUCUUGUGGUAAAAGAUCAGAAAGUUCUACAUAAGUUCAAGCCAUUUACUUGUAUGAAUUUCAGUUCACUCACUUAUGCUGCGCCGGACAUGCAAGUCUUCAAUCAGGCAAAGGCUGCAGGAACUGAAGUUUUCAAGGUGAUCAAUAGAAAGCCAGCUAUAAGUUAUGAUUCACCCGGGAAGGAACUUGAUAAGAUUUACGGCAACAUUGACAUACGCGAUGUUUACUUUUCCUACCCUUCCCGGCCUGACAGAGCCAUCCUUCAAGGCUUUUCAUUAUCAAUUCCAGCAGGAAAAACGGUAGUCUUUGUAGGUAGCAGUGGCUGUGGAAAGAGUACUAUCAUCUCACUAGUUGCAAGAUUCUAUGAUCCUGCAAAAGGUUUGUACAUACCUCCUUAAUCUUCAACUUGACACAAAUGGGCAAGUUUCUUCUCCUAUUUGCCUUAAACUUUCAUCUUCAGGGGAGAUUCUGAUUGACAACCACAACAUCAAGGAUCUUGACUUGAAAUUCCUGAGGAAAAACAUAGGAGCUGUUUCGCAAGAACCAUCACUGUUUGCAGGCACCAUUGCAGACAAUAUGAAAGUUGGUAAGAUGGAUGCGGAAGAUGUAGAGAUCCAGAAAAUGCACACACUUUCAUAUCCCAACUUCCAAAUCAGUACUCCACAGAGGUCAGCUACUCAACUCAUCCACUAGCCAAGGCGGAGUAACCUGCAAUCUGUUAAUACGUGUUUUAUGACUCUUGAUUUGUAACACCUCGUCUGAAAUGCGGUACAGGUAGGACAAAGGGGAGUACAGUUAUCUGGAGGACAGAAGCAGAGAAUCGCCAUAGCAAGAGCCAUUCUCAAGAAUCCUCCUAUUCUUCUGCUUGAAAAAGGCAACAAGUGCUCUUGACUCGGAAUCUGAGAAGAUGGUUCAAGAAGCUCUUGACAAGGCUAUGCAGGGAAGGACAGUUAUCUUGAUUGCACAUAGACUAUCAACUAUAGUUAAUGCAGAUAUGAUUGCGGUUGUAGAGAAUGGACAAGUUACAGAAUCAGGAACUCACCGGAGCUUACUUGAAAGCAGUAAAUUUUACAACAACUUAUUUAGCAUGCAAAAUCUCAACCCAGUUCAUAAAUAAGGUUAAUUCACACUUAGUCUCCAUUGCAUGUAACUAUACAUGUAGAGCCAUAGAUAUCUAACCAGAAUUCAUUUGCAUACUGAAUGACUAACAGAGAAGAUGGUCCCUCUGAAAAAUCUGAAAGCAUCCACCAAAAGUGUUCACCUGAACAGAUAAGACAAGCCAAAGAGCCCCACAGCGACCGAUAUCCUAAUGAGCCUCCCAAGCAAGAAGAAGAGGCAAUAAGAAAAAGAGCCAUAUUCUUCAGAAUCUGGUUUGGCUUGAAAAAGAGAGAACUUGUAAAGAUUUGACUCUUGGUUCUUUUGCAGCAGCUUUCUCUGGUAUAUCAAAGCCUGUCUUUGGGUAUUACAUCAUAACAAUAGGAGUAGCAUACUACCACAAGCAUGCUGAGAGAGAAGUCUCAAAAUAUUCAAUCACAUUUGCUCUAAUUGGAUUCAUUUCAUUGUUCUCUCACACCUUGCAACACUACUUGUUCGGAAUGGUUGGAGAGAAGGCCAUGACAAACCUGAGACGCGCUCUCUAUUCAGGUUCAUUUCUAUAUACAGUGCAACUGUUUCAUCACCUCAUGUAUCCAUUUCAGUAAUGCAACGUUUCUUCUUCCUGAAGGUAUUACUAAACAUUAGCAUUGAAAUCUUGCAGGUGUGCUACGCAAUGAAAUCGGAUGGUAUGAGAAACCUGAGAAUGGCAUUGGACAGCUCACCUCAAGGAUCAUCAAUGAUACUUCAAUGGUCAAAGUGGUAAUUGCUGACCGGAUGUCUGUCAUUGUCCAGUGCAUUUCCUCCAUACUGAUUGCAACCGUUGUGAGCAUGUAUGUCAACUGGAGAAUGGGGUUGGUAGCUUGGGCUGUGAUGCCUUGCCACUUCAUUGGUGGUCUCAUUCAAGCCAAGUCUGCAAAGGGUUUUGCAGGAGACUCAGCUGCUGCACAUAAUGAACUUGUUUCUGUUGCUUCUGAGUCUGCACAAAACAUAAGAACCGUUGCAUCGUUUUGCCAUGAAGAUCAUAUACUCAAAAAAGCCGAAAUAUCUCUGGAAACCCCCAAGAAAAGGAGCAUGAGACAAAGUAUUAAGUUUGGCAUAAUUCAGGGAGUUUCUCUUUGCUUAUGGAACAUUGCACAUGCUGUGGCGUUGUGGUACACAACAGUUUUAGUUCACAAGAAUCAAUCGAGCUUCAAAAAUGGCAUAAGAUCAUACCAGAUUUUCUCUCUCACAGUACCUUCAAUCACAGAAUUGUGGACAUUGAUUCCGACUGUCAUUUCUGCCAUCAACGUGCUUACCUGCAUUCGAGACCCCUUGACCGCAAAACUGAGAUAGAUCCAUCUACACCAGAAACUUCAAAUCAGGAGAGAAUCAAAGGGAACAUUGAAUUUCAAAAUGUUGAGUUUAAUUACCCUUUGAGACCAGAAGUAACUAUCCUGAACAACUUCAGUGUACAAAUUAAAGCUGGAACAAAGGUGGCUCUUGUCAGUCGAAGCGGAGCUGGUAAAUCUUCAGUUCUCGCCCUUCUGCUAAGAUUUUAUGAUCCCUUGAAAGGAAAGAUACUCAUUGAUGGAAAGGAGAUAAGGGAAUACAACUUGAGAUGGCUGAGAACACAAAUAGGGUUUGUGCAACAAGAGCCUCUACUUUUCAGCUCCUCAAUCAGAGACAAUAUCUGCUAUGGAAACGAAAGUGCUUCUGAAACUGAGAUUGUGGAGGUAUCAAGGGAAGCAAACAUUGAUGAGUUCAUAAGUAACUUGCCUGAUGGAUAUCGAACAGUUGUUGGGGACAAGGGAUGCCAACUUUCAGGAGGACAAAAGCAAGGAAUAGCCAUAGCUAGAACACUGCUAAAGAGGCCAGCAAUCUUGCUUCUGGAUGAAGCAACAAGUGCCCUUGAUGCUGAAUCUGAGAAAUCUGUGGUGAGUGCAUUGGAAGCAAUAAAUUUAAAAAAGAAUGGGGGCCUGCUGUCAAGAACGACGCAGUUCACUGUUGCACAUAGGCUCUCCACAGUCAUAAACUCGGAUAAAAUUGUUGUCAUGGAUAAAGGUGAGAUUGUGGAGAUAGGUUCCCACUCAACCCUAAUAACAGCAUCUGAGGGAGCAUCUGAGGGAGUUUAUUCAAGAUUAUAUCAUAUACAGAGCAUGACAGAAGAGUAAGAUAUCACAUCUGUAAUCUUUGAAACGUGCAAAACAGCAAGAAAACUUAAUAUAAGAGCUUAUAUAUGUCUUUAAGAGCUACAAGUAACUUAAUUUCAUUGCAUUGCUUGGAAAAGAAAGAUGGGAUGUAAUACACUUGGACGAACACUAGGAGUCAUUUGCCUUGAGCUGUUCCCUUGAUACAGAUGUAUUGCCUUUUCUUUUCAAAGUUUGCUGCUUUUUAUAGAGAACUCAUCCAUAUACCAGAUGUUAGAUGAUGCCAUUUCGGCUCUAACACUAGUAGACAUGCAUUGUUGGCAACAUCACAAGGAGCGUAAUUCACUUAUGUCCUGCAACUCAUCAUUUUCAAUAUCUUAAGAUGGAUCGCUCAUUUUUCGUAUGAUUGUGUUAUAGCUCAUUUUUAUGGACGGACAAGCACAGCUAACAAGGAAUGUAAUUUAUCAAACAUAGACAGAUUGGCGGCUACAGAAAAUAUGUUAGUUUCAAACAGUCGAUCAGAAAGACAAAUCAUUAAACAAGACGGUAAUACGAUGCGUUAGAUGGAGCAGUUGACAAUAACACAAGAUAACAUAUAAUGCCAGACUUGGUAGAUCCUCAUAAGAUAACAGACAAACAUCAUUGCAAUUAUUUAUUAGUAUCUAUUAAAAUUCCUCUUGAUCGAACUCAUCAUCAUCACUCACCAGUACUACCCUGGACCUUUUUCUUGGGGCAGUCGGCAGGCCAGUGAUCUAGAAAGCCGCCACAGUGAUCACAACACAUCUUAACAAUAUAAUCUUUUUGAUCACUAAAAGGAUCGAAAGAAGCCCACUCAUGUCCCUUUGGUAAAGGAUCGUCAGGACCGUAUUCUGGUUCAGGGAAAGAAUCCCACUCCCAAGGAAAAUCACCCUCUUCAGCAGCAAGUUCUGAACGUCACCCACAACAAACAACAAGGUUAAAACAUAGAGGAAAAGUUGAUGAUCCUAAUAACGAAAUCAGAUGCAUUGUUAACUUGAAAUAAAUUACCAACAUGAAAAAAGAUACAUACUUUGGAGAGAAACAUUGUAAGACUUGGCCAUCCGGUCGUCUUCAGAGAGCUUUAGAUCCUCGCGAGUAAGAUGCACGCUGUCUAACCAAUCAUCUGGUAUUUCGUUUAUUACGGAUUCUGGUAAGUGGUCUAAUAAUCUUGUGGUAUCUCAUCGGUGACAAUCAUCUCCGAUUUCUCGUCUGUCAUGGCUGCCUUCGUUUAGGUUCGAUUUGAUUGUUAUUUCGAUGGUGCAUGGAUUCGCGUUUAGAUAUAUAUAUAGAUCACGAUUUGGGGUUUGGGCCGGGUAUUUUCUUCUUUUCCUUCUGUUAGAUAAGGCGUCGUUUGUAACCAAAAAAUAGAAAGAUAAGGCUUUGGAGGGAAAGAAGACUUAGAACAGUGAACUUUCAUUCUUCAGAAAUCCAAAUUUUCUUUUACUAUGCAUUUAAUACGAUAGCAUAGCAACUGAGAAGUCAUAAUGUUGAACAGGGUCCUCUAGAGUUCAAGAAAAACACUAUCUACAGUCUUGAGCAACUCCAGUUCAUCUCCACUUGCAAUGCCAGAAUCAAUAUAACACAACUGAAGCAAAAUCAAUGCAUCAGGCCUGAUUCUAAAUAGCAAUAUAACCAAAGCAACUGUUAUGUCUCAUUAGCCGUUACCUGGUACUGUGGCUUUCUCAGUGUGUGAACCCCUCUUUUUAUAAACUUCUGCCAUCCUCUCUUUUCCCUCAGUGAUCUUUCCAGCUCUGCUGUCCUCUGUAAUCAUGUUGCAGACAAGUCAAAAGUGAUUAAGAUGUUUAGUGAUCAGAUUUAAAACAUACAAGCUAACCGUAAGAUGCCACAUAGAUUUCAUAGGAAUAGAAGAUUACGUGACCAGGGUCCAAAAUUAAGAGAGUAUGUUGUUGCAUCCCGUUAUGUUGAUUUUUGACUUGAAUCCCAACAAUGGUUCUCGAAUGCCCAUCAUGUUGAAAGUACAAGGGUCUGCUCAAAGAACUCUAUGAAUUAGGACACAACAUAAAACAUGUUCAUCAAACAAUAAAUCACAGGGAUAGAGAAACUCACGUUUUGUUACUAAUUAUCACUCGGUGAUUUCCGUUUCUGCUAACGUUGCCAUCAUUAAAGUAAUUCCAGAUCCAAUCCAUGAGAACCUGAUGACCCUUGCUUUUCCUUGAAAACUUAUUUUCCGAAUUAUAAUCACAUUUCCUACCCCAAGAGUCACCUCCUUUCUGGCUAGUAGAACAACUUGAUUUUUCACAGCAACUCGAACUCGCUUGGUUAAUAUCAUGACUCCUUCCGGGAAGAUAUCUAUCCAUUGGUCCACGAACCUGAAUUGCUUUCCUCUUUCCACCAUUAUGUAUUCUCUUGACCUCAUCCCCAAGACUUGAACCAGGAAGAGAAAGAUAAUAUGGUUCAAGUUCUUUGGGACCAAAAUCCACUAUCCUUGCUCGCAGCCCAAAAGAACGGAAAAGGGCAGCACAUUCAGUUGUUCCAAUCCAUCUUCUCAAGCCAUAAAUUUUGUUAUUAAAGUGAUCAGACCCAGCUACAUCAAAUCCCUUUCCCCAAGCUAUCUCAAGCCAUCUUUGGAGUGAUGGGAUAUCAGGAACAAAUCCUGCACCACCAAACAAAACAUCUCGAGUCUCUUGCCUUUGCAUAAGCAAAUGGGAGCUCAGCAUUUGGAUAUUACGCCACCCACAACCCCAGCCAGAAUCUUCGGAUCGAAUGCUCUGAAUAUGAUCAGUAUAACCACACAAAAUAGUAGUCGUAUUUCUAGGUUCCAACUCCAAACACCCUCUCAGCAAAGCCGUCACACCACCUUCAAUCUCAUAGAAAGUAGUUCUAGUCUGUAAAGCAACCAGACUGGAGAUACCCUCCUCCAUGCCACAUUGCCCAUCAGAUCUCACAAAUGGCAAGUCUCUAAUUGUUUGAUUAUUCUGCAUAUAUAUACAUAUGAAACUACAAAGUUACUGGACUAAACUUCAAAUUCCUUUAUCAAAGAAGAACAUAACACAAACAUGUAACUUCUUACACCCAAAACAUCAAAUACAAUCAUUCUAACAACCAAACCAUAGUUGCACAUUGACAUAUGACACUUCAAUCUUUCAACACAUAAAUUCCAAUAAUCACUGCAAGCAUAGAACCACAUCACUCUAAUCCUAAGCUAAGGAAAACAGCAAUACAUACAAGAAAUACUAAAAAAGAAAGCAAAACUAACAAGUAACAUGGAUGGCGGUGAAGAAGGAGCUAAAGCAAGCUGGUGGGCAAACUCCAAGUCCAUAGCCAGUUGUUCAUCUUCAGCCUCAAAGUGACUAUUCGCAUGCCUGCAAUCCAAUUUCACAUAAUCACCAACACAAAACCCCUAAAGUCUUAAACUUUAUAUCCAAAAACUUCUGAUUCCUAGAAACAGCCAAAAAGGUUUGAACUUUCUUGCAGCUUAAUGUAAUUACCGUUCGAGUUGUGAUGAUGGAAUUGUGAGACUACAGAAUGGGCAACACGAAGAAUAAUCAUCCAUGGAACUGAUUUGAUCAGUACCCAAUUGCCCAAAUCAUUCAAAAUGGCGAGUAGAGGAAGAUGAUGAAUCGAGGCUCGCUCUCGUAAUUUGAAUUGUGUUUAUUUACUGGAGAGUGUUCCUCUUUCGUUUCGGAUCAAGACAAAACCCGGAUUCGAUAUAGUGGGUCAUAAUGAUUGGGCUUAUGGGCUUAUCGUUGGGCUUAUUGAUAGAUUUCCCUUAAAAGAUACGGGCAGAAUUAGGCAAUUAGCCCAAGACGUAGCAAAAUGCGAAUUAUAUGUCAUGGAAAAAAAAAAAAAAAGUGAUUUUUGCCAAAACCAGUGAGGUUACGAAGGUCCAAACUCCAAAGUCAUGGUACCCUGUUCGUGAAUUUUCUCCAAUUUCUAGUUUUUUGGUAAAAAAAUCUUGUUUUGCACACGUUUUCUUGGAUAUAAAUGUAUGUUCUUAUUUUUCUACAAAAAUUUUCUCAUAUUUAGAUCAUGAUUUACGGGAACUUUAAGAACUGAAAAAUCUCGAGCCGAUUGGUUCAUAAGAAUCACUCCAGCUUCAAGAAUGGCAUAAGAUCGACCAUACCAGAUUUUCUCUCUCACAGUACCUUCGAUCACAGAAUUGUGGACAUUGAUUCCCACUGUCAUUUCUGCCAUCAAUGUGCUUACUCCAGCAUUCGAGACACUUGAGCGCAAAACUGAAAUAGAUCCAUCUACACCAGAAACUUCAAACCAGGAGAGAAUCAAAGGGAAAUGUUGAGUUUAAUUACCCUUUGAGACCAGAAGUAACUAUCCUGUACAACUUCAAUGUACAAAUUAAAGCCGGAACAAAGGUGGCUCUUGUCGGUCCAAGUGGAGCUGGUAAAUCUUCAGUUCCGGCCCUUCUGCUAAGAUUUUAUGAUCCUUAAAAGGAAGGAUACUCAUUGAUGAAAAGGAGAUAAAAGAAUACAAUUUGAGAUGGCUGAGAACACAAACAGAGUUGGUGCAACAAGGACCUCUACUUUUCAGCUCCUCAAUCACUCAAUCAGAGACAGUAUCUGCUAUGGAAACGAAAGUGCUUCUGAAACUGAGAUUAUGAAGGUAUCAAGGGAAGCAAACAUUGAUGAGUUCAUAAGUAACUUGCCUGAUGCAUAUCAAAUAGUUUUUGGGGACAAGGGAUGCCAACUUUCAGGAGGACAAUGGCAAAGAAUAGCCAUAGCUAGAACACGGCUAAAGAGGCCAGCAAUGAAGCAACAAGUGCCCUUGAUGCUGAAUCUGAGAAAUCUGUGGUGAGUGCAUUGGAGGCAAUAAAUUUGAAAAAGAAUGGGGGGCCUGCUGUCAAAAACGACACAGAUCACUGUUGCACAUAGGCUCUCUACAGUAAUAAACUCGGAUAAAAAUUGUUGUCAUGGAUAAAGGUGAGAUUGUGGAGAUAGGUUNNNNNNNNNNNNNNNNNNNNNNNNNNNNNNNNNNNNNNNNNNNNNNNNNNNNNNNNNNNNNNNNNNNNNNNNNNNNNNNNNNNNNNNNNNNNNNNNNNNNNNNNNNNNNNNNNNNNNNNNNNNNNNNNNNNNNNNNNNNNNNNNNNNNNNNNNNNNNNNNNNNNNNNNNNNNNNNNNNNNNNNNNNNNNNNNNNNNNNNNNNNNNNNNNNNNNNNNNNNNNNNNNNNNNNNNNNNNNNNNNNNNNNNNNNNNNNNNNNNNNNNNNNNNNNNNNNNNNNNNNNNNNNNNNNNNNNNNNNNNNNNNNNNNNNNNNNNNNNNNNNNNNNNNNNNNNNNNNNNNNNNNNNNNNNNNNNNNNNNNNNNNNNNNNNNNNNNNNNNNNNNNCUGCUGGACAUUGUUAACUGACUGCACUAGUUACUCUUAAAACUAGGUGAUUGUUUAUGAAAAGUCAGCAUCAAUGCUCUGAUGGAGAGAAUAGCAAUAUCCUCAAAGCGUUGCUUAGCAAAGAAAGAUGGGAUGUAAUACAUUUGGACCAACACUAGAGUAAUUUGCCCUGAGCUGUUCCCUUAAUACAGAUGUAUUGCCUUCUCUUUUCAAAAGUAAUUUGCUGAGAAAUCGUCCAUAUACCAGAUUUUAAAUGAUGCUAUUUCGGUUGCAACACACUCAUGUCCUACAAAUCAUAAUUUUCAGUAUCUUAAGAUGGAUCGCAUAUUUUUCGGAUGAUUAUGUAAUAACUCAUUUUUAUGGACGGGAGCACAGCUAAACAUAUACAGUUUGCCGGCUACAGAAAAAAUGCCAGUUUCAAAAACACUCCAGGUAAAGUCGAUCAUUAAACAAGGUGGUAAGUCGAUCACAAUGACAAUCAUUAAACAAGGUGGUAAUACGAUGCAUAUUACAUUAGAUGGAACAGUUCACAGUAAAAUAAGAUAAUAUCUUGGUACAGACUUGGUAGAUCAUAAGAUAACAAACAUCAUUGCAAUUAGUAGAUAUUUAAUUAAGAUCCCUCUUGAUCGAACUCAUCACUUACCAGUGCUACCCUGGACAGUGUUUUUGGGGCAGUCGGCAGGCCAGUGAUCAAAAAACACGCCACAGACAUCACAUCACAUCCAAAGAACAAUAUGUUUUUCUGGUUCAGGGAAGUCCCUAACAUCAUCUUCACCAGGAGGUGCUGAGCAUCACCCAGAACAAACAACAAGGUUAAGACAUAGAGGAAAAGUUAAAAAUCCUAAUAACCAAAUCGAAUGAAUAAGAAACACAAAGGCCAACCGCCUCCUUAGCAAUUAAUCUAGUGGAUCAAUCAAGUCACAAACUUAAUUUGAAAUAAAAUUAACAAAAAGAAAAUUCAAAUCAGGAGGAGAAUAUAUACCUUCGAGAGUACACAGGAGAGCCACGUCCAUCGGCUCCAUCGGCUCGUCAUCAGUGACCUUUAGAUCCUCGCGAGUAAGAUGCAGUCUGUCUAACACAUCAUCUGGUAUUUCGUCUUUUAGGGAUUCUGGUAAGUAUUUUAAUAAUUCUGGCAUCUCUUCGAAAUUAAUCAUCUUCGACUCCUCGCCCUGCUUCAACUUCUUCGCAUCUGGCUCCUCCUCGCCCGUUGGUGGAUCCGGCUGCCUCUUGCCUGAGGGAGGGAUCGGUGCGGAUGCGGAUGCGGAUGCGGCUGUGUCCGUCAUGGCUGGCUUCGCUUAGGGUUUGGCGUCUCCUUUGAUUUGAUUGUUUAUUUCGAGCAUGGGUUCGCGUUUACCAUCAGGACUUGGGCUUUGGGCCUGGGUAUUUUCUUCUUGUUCCGUCUUUUCUUUUCCUUCUAUAAGAUAAGGCUUCGUCCGUUUGUAGGAGACGUCUGGUGUUUGUAGACAGGUGUCAGCAGGCGGGCAUGACACGGGUUGACAGCGUCUAUAUGUCGUUAACUAGAGAGAUGGUAAAUACGGGGAUGUAUUUGGGGGUCUGGGUUAGUUUGUUGAGGUAGAUACGGGGAUGUAUUCAGAGGGUGAAUGGAGACCAGGGUCAAAUGAGAGUCGUGGGGUUAACUUUAUCAGUGUUUAGUAUUGGGUUUCGUUUGGAAUUAGGAUUAGUGGGGUGUUUUGUAUGUUGAGGUUUUACUCUCCUAGUUUCAAAUUUACUAAUUCAGAAGUGUGGAAUUGAGUGGCAAAUUGAUAUUGGGUUAAUGAGGAAAUGUGGAUACAGUUGUUGUUCAUUAGCUACAAAAUGGGUCAAGACUGGCAAUGUUUCAAUGUCGCUCGAAACCAUUGAUAGUAUUGGUGAGACCAGACAUUCAUGGUGCCGAGGGGCACCAAUAUAAAAGUAUGAACUCUUUAAUUAUACUGGAGUGGUUAUAGCUUUUACAUUAAAAAAUUUGUCCUCUUUCUCUUCAGCAUAGGGUUUGUUCAAUUGAUAUUGCUAACAUGGGUUUGACCUCUUUUUUCUAACAAUCUAAAUGUAAUAGUAUUAAGUGAUGGAGAUGGUUUUGGGUGCUUGUGUAGCGUGAUUUCUGUUGGACAUGCUUGGCUACUGAUAUGUAAGAUAUGUGAUAGGCAAGGCAACUUUUCUUUAUUGCUGUGAUUCUAAUUUAGCAUGUUAUUAGUGUGUUUGUGGAAGUUUUCUCUGUGAUUGUUUUAAAUGUGUGUUGAUGUAAAUAGUUGGCUCAUCAACUUGAUAUUCUACUGAACUUCAUCGAUAUGAUGCUCCUUUGGGUUCUAAAUGCCUUCUUAUGAUAUUGUUAUGAAUUUGUAGUUACCAACUUGUUCAUAGUAACAAGUAUCCUUGUUUGGAUGUCUUGAUCAUGAAUAUAAACUAGCCUUUGAGUAUCUUAUUCGGAAAUCAUUGAAAUAUGCACAGCAGACCUUGUCUAUUUAUAUUGUUUAAAUUCCUUCUUCUCAAGUUAAGUUGCAGUCAUGACUCCUUCGAAUUUGGUACUUAUCAGUAUUGUUGUAUUCAAAGUCUGAGCUAUGUCUACCUUGUUCUGUAGUAGCACUUUGUAAUUUCUGAGGAAGCUUUACAUGGCUGCAUUUGAGUCUAUUUCCUAUCAAAUUAUUGUUGUUCGUUUGUAUUCAGAAUUCAUUCGUUCAAAGCUCUUCAUGCUAGUCUUCAUGCUAGUGUCCUUAUUAAGCUCUAAUUCUUAUCAAAUUCUUUGUUGUUCGGUUGUGUUCCUAAAUCCCAACCCACCAGUACAUAUAUAACAUUGUUGCUGAACCAAAACUGAAAUAUGAAGAUUUCAGGAACACUCUUAAAAUUAUGGCCACAGUCUAGUUUCAUUGUUAUUAUCUUGUUCCCUUCUAGCAAAGCUUGUGCAGCGUGUUAAGUUCCUGCUUCUUGUUCUCUUCCCAUCUUUCCAAUGAUCCUAUCAUCAAGUUUUAUCUCAGAAAUGAUUCCUUGAAUUCACAUGAUUGUUGGUCAUUGCCUUAUUAAACGUUAAAAACACUCCAACUGGUAGUAUUCCUUAAAACAAAUCCUAUUGUGAACUAGUCUUGCUGCAAAUUACUUUGGAGUUUGAACAGAUAUCCAUGUCCAUUAUCAGUUUACUAAGUAUACACCAGGUCCCUUCACAUAUGCCUAUAUUUGGGGAAAGUUUCAAAUACUAAAAAGAAAACAGAUUGUUCCCUGUUUUUUCUUACUAAGCUUAGGUUGCUGCGAUGAGCAAAUCACAUAUGUAUAUUUGCAUUGUUUGUUCAGUUGUUAAAUGAAGUUCUGAUUUCCUCAUCAAGUCUGGGGUCAAAACUGAAUUUAAUCAAUUGUUUUUUUUUUAUAGGAAACAGAGGUCCAUUCUUUUGCAACCUUACUUCUGAUUUUGUGUUUGUCUCGUACUGUACCCCUUUUGAGAUUUCCAGACCUAUACGUAUACCCCUGUUUGUUCUCCUUUUAAGUUUCCUGUUUACUAUCAGUUUGGUGGUUCUUUACUUCUCAUGCUUACAUGUUUCCUCAUUAAAGUAUAUCUGAGCCAAAGCUAUGUUGCCUGCUGCUUUAAAGUCUCAAGCUCGAGUUGAGAACAAACAUGAGUUUGUUCAUAAAGCAUGAGUUGUUAAAGUUGUGUUUCUUGACAAACACAAAAAGAAAUUUACCUUUCAAGGUUUACUUCAUGGCAAAACUUCUCUAUAAGAAAGAGUAUUUCAGUCUCUUGAAAUCCCUUAAUGAUUGUUUUGGUUUCAGUCUCUUGAAAUCCCUUAAUGAUUGUUUUGGCUUAAAGAAGCCAAAAGGUUUACAAAAAGGACAUGUUUGGUUUUGAACGGUAUUAUUUGAUUAGGCCCGGGAUAAGUUAAGUAGGGGAUUGUGCCUCCCUGGGGUGAAUAGACCAACAGUUUUGUAAUGAUCAGGAUUCCGCUUAGUACGGGGUGUCCUCGUUGGCUUUAAUACAAGGGUUUUCCGCUUGUACGGGUUGUGCUCAUUGGCCUUAAUACGAGCAAUGGGCUCCAACUGGAAAAGGAAGGAUUUCAAGGAUUUCGUUGGAAAAGAAGAAUAAGGGUUUCUGAACGUUGAACAAAGUGUUUGAAAGAAAAAGAAGACUCUCUGGUCUUAUUGCAAUUGUUGGAUUUGCGUUGGGUUUAAUUUUCUAAUGUCACAAGUGUGACUCAAAAGUGUUGGUCUCAGUUUGUUGUUCCUUUUACAUGUUCAGUUGUUUAUUUAAGUGUCCCAAGCUAAAUGUCGUAUUUGUUGAAAGCUGAGUAACCUUAUAUCAAUUGACUCAUUGAUUCCAUUCUCAUAAUUCUCAGCAACAACCUUCAUAAUUUAAUUCUAUUUCAUUCCGUUUACUACUGAUAUUCUUUCACAUUACUCCAAUUGCAUUCUAAAUUUGAAUCAUAGUACUAUUGAUUAUCUUCUGUACCUACUGAGCUUGUGAAGCUCACUUCCCUAUGUUUCAUUUGUUCUCAAGAAAGAAGUGUGGUGAUGUUUCUGAUAUUCCAGAGUUGACUUAAAUCAGAGUUCAUUACCCAGUUAUGCUUGCUUGUGGACUGAGUGCCUCACUUUUGCUUUAUUGAGUAUGUGCUGCUGCCUUCAUUAGAUUGUGCUCAGUACGUAUUUGUUUGGAAUGGUGGCAUUUUGUUAAUAUAGUGGUAUGAAGUAGAAAGUCCNNNNNNNNNNNNNNNNNNNNNNNNNNNNNNNNNNNNNNNNNNNNNNNNNNNNNNNNNNNNNNNNNNNNNNNNNNNNNNNNNNNNNNNNNNNNNNNNNNNNNNNNNNNNNNNNNNNNNNNNNNNNNNNNNNNNNNNNNNNNNNNNNNNNNNNNNNNNNNNNNNNNNNNNNNNNNNNNNNNNNNNNNNNNNNNNNNNNNNNNNNNNNNNNNNNNNNNNNNNNNNNNNNNNNNNNNNNNNNNNNNNNNNNNNNNNNNNNNNNNNNNNNNNNNNNNNNNNNNNNNNNNNNNNNNNNNNNNNNNNNNNNNNNNNNNNNNNNNNNNNNNNNNNNNNNNNNNNNNNNNNNNNNNNNNNAAAGUCCACUCUGAUCUGGGUACAUCUGAUGUAAAUUUUGAUACCAUGUGAUGGACAGCUUUGUAAAUAAAAUGCAAUCAGUUGCAUGUGUAUAUAAAGGAUCGUUUUCUUACUCUCUUUUACCUUGCUGGAUUAUGGCAGUCGAAUUUAGAGGGUGGCUUUCGAUUGAGAUUGGUGUAAAAAAGGAUCAACUGAUGUACUUCCUUUGCCUCCAAACCCGCAUCAAGGUAGAUACGAGAAGCACGAAAAAAGAAAGCAAUCACAAAACACAAUCCAUAGCAUUUGCUUGAAUGUAUAAUUCAUUACCUAAUACCAUUUUAAUUGUUGUAUUGUCCUGUCGAUUUCGCAUCAAUGUUAACAAUACAAUGUAGUUACAACUCGGAAGUACAAUAAUAUAUCUGAAAUCUGUGAUCACAACAACAUUAUUUUCAUUAAUAAUCUCAAAACAAUCACAAUGCAAGUGUCAUUGAUCAAAUUACACAUCUCUGCGUUCUCUCAGCUAGUCAACAUGUUUCCCUACCUUGUGUGCUCUUGAUACAAAUCCUAAUAAAUUAUUUACUCUCUAAAGCAGAUCUAAAACUCUUGAUGCUGAGAUACUUAGCCACUUAUCAAAAAGUGACUUGAAGGUGACUAAAACUCUUCAAUUUUGAAGUUGAGCUCUUCCACUUAUAUGUCAAUUUAAAUCUUGUUUCUUUAGCAUUCAUCUAGCUGUAUCUUGCCUGCAUGUUGUGUAAAGAAGAAUGAACUUAAUAGUAAAAGACUCAUAACUGAGCUACAUAAACCGAAUAACCAGUAAAAUAUCAUAGAAUGAGUAUAUCAUUAAAUUACAAUGAAUUGAACAACAAAAAGAGCAAAGCAAUCGAAGUGGUCCAAAUAAAAGGGCAACCAAAGCUAAAUACCUGAACAAUAUGUCGAGUUAGAACAUCAACUAGAUUGUAGGUUUUUCUCUUAGCUAGUUGCCAUUGUCCAGCUGUAGUUGAUCAAACAAAACCCUUCAAACAAUAAAAGUCAGUGUGUGUGUAUAUAUAUAGACACACAAUCGGUUAUCUACACACAGAGACACACCUGAAAAAAAAAAAUGAAGGUAAGAAAGCACAUUUUGCAUACCCAACAAGCCAUAAAUUAUAACCCUCUAGGCUUAACUUCCAAACUGAUAAGACUAGAAUAAUCUGUGCUUUUCAUUUACAAUUAUAUGGUUCUUGUAGUAAACCUUUACAACAGGGUUCCUUAGAGAAAUCAUUGUAUCAUGUCAAGCACUGUGCAACACCCUGACCCUUUGCAAAUGGGACUGUAAAACCCAAGCAACCAAAAACAGUGCCGGAGUCAAUGACGAGGACGUCAAAACGAAACUAUUGAAGUCAGUUAAGCGCCAAGAAUCUGUCGAAAUUGAAAAUCCCCGACAAACCCAGACAAGCACCCGUCUUUGUAAUCUCGCCGUCACUGGCUAUUUGAAGAAGGCGAACCAGACUCCUCUUCACGUCAAUGAGAGGAGACUAAGGAAAUUUUCCCCCACCUCUCUUCAAGUGAGGCCCUAUCUCCCCGCAUGAAAUGGUAAAGAAAAUCAUAGUCUUCCUGCAUAAACCCACGUUAGAAACGUAUGGCUCAAACGGUUAUAGACAAAGCAACUGAACCUCAUUAUAGUUAACAUUACUACGGAUAGACAAUAUCAACACUUGGCUGUACAAUAGUAACUAUAUUAAUUGCAGAAAUACAAUAGUUUACCUGAAGUGAUGCCAAUGAUCAAAUCAUAGAUUGAUGUCCUGAAGACACUCGAUUCUGUUGGCUCAUCCCAUGCCUCCAUAUACCAACUCAUACAUAUGAUUUCCAUAUACAAAUGCUUAAACCAACAAUACCUUGAUAUGACUAAAAUAUAAAUGCAAAUAUUGACUAUAUGACAUGCUUUCAAAUCCAACCUUUCCAACCACUUGGCAAAAGAUAACAAUAUCAUAUAGUCAAUAUUUACUUCUAGAUGGCUAUAGAAUAGAAUUCUGCAAUAUGCUAAAUUAUUGAAAUUACUCUUUAUCUAAAUGAACCCAGAUUUUAAUCUACACAUAUAUGAAUCUCAUUGUAAGAUGUAUUAGUAAGUAAAUGUUACCUCUUCUGAUCAUACCAUAGAAGUACUUGCUCAUCUGUCACCUCAUGUUCUGGUCUCUUCUGCUCCUUCACUCUCUUUUCUUCUAAAGAUUAAUUACAGUAUCCGGUAAUAACAGAAGAUAAAAAGAUUCCAAUUACAUGAACAUAACUAAGAAUUUCUCAGGAAAAAUUUAUAAUUUACAACAAAUCAUUACUAUCCUCUAGCUCCAGUUGUUUCUCAUGUGCAAUUAUAAACCAAUCUAUAAAUAUAUACAUAAUCAGGUUGCCUUUACCUGCUGUCCAGAGAUGUGUCCUCAUAGAUCCAGUAUCUAAGUACUUGUAUACACAUCCAGAAACUUAAACGAUAAUAAGUACUUUAUUCACCUUGCCAACAAAUAAAUUUAUUUAUCGCCAAACAGCGUAAGCAACAGGGUAUGGAUGUUCCCUGAAUUUGAUCCAGGGACAACCAUGAAUGAGGUGAAGGUCAGUCUGCAGACUUCAAAGCCAAGAAAGAGCCAUCAUUUUUAAAUUUAGCCACGAGUUCCUCCAAACCAAGAGAUAUGUCUCUAAACUUUAGAAAAAAAAAAUACAUAUAGGGGGAAUCUAGCAGCCAGUUAUUAUUGAAGUGUGUAGGUUUCUAUACCUCUGGUAACAAUAUAUAGUGCUUACUAUAAUAGAUAAUCUAAAUGAAACAGGCACCUACCUAGUUAAAUUUUAACUCCAUAGGCAACAAAUUGCUUCAUCACAGUAACAACAGCAAUCAAAAAACACAAAGAAGAGCCUUCACAGUUACCCACGCUUGAGAACAAAAUUUCAAAUUGUUGGUGCAAAAAUUUUCGGGAGAGAGAUUUCCCAACAUAAAUCUCACUCCGUUGAUCUUCGAGAAGCCUUGGACACAUCCAUACGACAAUCUAUCAAGGGAAAGAGGUACCGUUGUUAUUACUCAUGAUUGUUCCUCCUUCUUCAUCCCCCUGUUCUUCUCCAUAAGCGUGCGAAUUUAUAGACUUUUGAUUCCUUGGUCCUCACUUCCCGUCGUAGUGGGAGUCGUGGAAGGAGUUGUGUUUUCACGUUCUUCAUAAUCUUCUCGUGCUUCACGUUGUUUUUUCUUAUCUACUUGUUAGUUAAUAUGGACUUCGAUCAUCGGGCCUAAUUCAUAUAGUAGUGGCCCAAGCCAAAAUUUUAUACGCCCACAAUGCCCCCUUUUUCCUUUCCGUACGAGAUCCGAGUGCGGGAAGGAAAAACACAUAAAAAGCAAUCACUAGUAUAUGAGGAUAAAUAGGAACUACGACAUGCUUUUGCUAACUCUUAGAAAAUGAUUAGAAUAUCAUAUAAUAUUUCGUGAAUUUUGAAUCAUUUAACGUCCGGGGACUAAUAUCUCAUGAAUUUUGAAUCAUUUAACGUUCGGGGACGGAUAUCUAUUGAAUUUCGAAUCAUUUAACGUCCGGGGACAAAUAUCUCAUGAAUUUCGAAUCAUUUAACGUCCGUCUCUUGGACUGCGAUUUCAUUUACUGUCUAUUGGACUGCGAUAUCAAUUACUGUCUCUUGGACUGCGAUUUCAUUUACUGACUGCGAUUUCAUUUACUGUCUCUUGGACUGCGAUAUCAUUUACUGUCUCUUAGACUGCGAUUCAUUUACUGUCUCUUGGACUGCGUAUCUUUUAAUGUCCGAGGACGAAUCAUUUAAUGCCUCCGAGGAGGUCUUUCAAUCGAAGUUCAUAACCUCCCCAUCUCUAGAUUAGCUCCAAGUUGCCUAGGCCCCGAUCAAUCCUCUCCUUAACAAACUUCCUUUUACCUGCGUCCACAUCGCUUAUAGCAACCUCUGCAACUUCCUCAAUCAGUAGCUUCCGACGCGAUACAUUAACUUUUCUACUCCCAGCAGAUCUCCCACCUAACUGAUCGUACUUGGUUUCACUCAAGCUCCGAGGUACUACAGCUGCAGAGAACUGUCCAUGGUUUCCAAACACAUCAAGAUUACUGCUAGAUGCCGAAUCAAAUACAUGUUUGAAAAUCAUCCCCAAAGACCUCGCAGUACCCCUAUCAGGCACAUCUGACAGUGCCGCCAGUUUCUGCUCCUGCUUCUCAUUUAUCACCAGCUCCUGCUUCUCAUUUAACAUCCCCACCGAAUCCCCAGGAACCUCCUCCACCUUAUUCUGUUUCAGCCCAAAAGUACCAAUGUUAUCUAGACUCCCACAUAAGUCAACCACACCACCCCUACUUCCAGCAUCUUGGAGUUGAGAAUUACAAGACUGAACGUACUCUUCCAAACUGGGAGAUGUUACAAGUUAGAGUUCAUGCUCUCUGCAGCUCAUUAUAUUGGGACAGAGAAGCUAGGGGAUAAAUCAUCCUCCACUUGGACCAAGAAGGAUCAAAAGGAAUGGUAUAAAAUUAUGAAGGAAUUUAAGAUGGUACACUGGAAGGUGGUGUCACUGACAAACUCACUUACUCCCCACAAGAAUACAUUUAAUGGUCAGUGAAGUCUGAUUAUGUUGCUGCAGGUCUAUAUUAUGGGGUCAACAUAUCCUGUGUUGAUGAGGUUGUGCCUGUCUUCACAAGUCGUAAACCUGCAUUUCAAUUCUAGUUUAAGUAACGGUUGUAUUCUCAUUUCGGAUUAUCAAUGAAGAAUAUGAAUCUUUAACUUCAUUUCCUCUCAGUUUGUGCAAUUUAUCUCUUCAAUUUCCUUCCAUGGAUUACGCUCCUAACAGGAACUUAAUAUAAGAGCUUAUAUAUGUCUUUUAAGAGCUAAAUGUUAUAGUAUGGUAGUAGUUUGUCACCAAAAUAGAGGUGGCACAAGGUUAAUGACAGAAUAAAGUUGGGUGGAAGAACAAAAUUUGCAAUAUAUGAAUAUAUCGGAAGUAGUUCACUGUUAAAAAAGACGUAUGCAAGAGAAUAAACUCGCAUCAAAGUAAACUAUGGUAGGUCACAUAAUUUAGCCAAGACACCCCAGAUUAAGAGCUGACAGAAGAUCAGAGUUCCUAGCAGCUGAAUAGUAGGAUAGGAGUGAUUCCCCAACUUUCUGUUCCUCUUGCACAUACAAAAUCCUUGAACAAUGACUCAGUGAAGCGUUUCCACCAGUUUAACCUCAACAGUCAAAAACUUGGUCAAGAAUAGCGCACAAACUUCUGCACUUGGACCGACAAGAGCCACCUUUGUUCCACCUUUGUUCCUGCAAUUUUGCUUCUGGAUGAAGCAACAAGUGCCCUUGAUGCUGAAUCUGAGAAAUCUGUGGUGAGUGCAUUGGAAGCGAUAAAUUUAAAAAAGAAUGGGGCCUGCUGUCAAAAACGACAUAGAUCACUGUUGCACAUAGGCUCUCUACAAUAAUAAACUCGGAUAAAAUUGUUGUCAUGGAUAAAGGUGAGAUUGUGGAGAUAGGUUCCCACUCAACCCUAAUAAGAGCAUCUGAGGGAGUUUAUUCAAGAUUAUAUCAUAUACAGAGCAUGACAGAAGAGUAACAUCACAUACUGUAAUCUUUGAAAUGUGCAAAACAGCAAGGCAACUUAAUAUAAGAGCUUAUAUAUGUCUUUUAGAGCUACAAGUAACUCAAUUUCAUUGCAAUUAGUAAGCUGGCUUUGAUUAUUUCUGAUUGGGUUUUGCACAGCCCCAGGUAAAUGUUCAUGUGACAUCCCUCCCUCUAUUUGAAGUCCACAAACGUCAAAGAACUGCAGAAAUUAUUAGGUGAGUUUACGUUUUGGGCUUUAUGAAUGAUUUUCCUAUUGACAAUCUGAUUAUGUUGUGGUUACUUUUCAACCGAUAAGCCAACAGUUUCACCUCAUCGUUUUGGAUUGUAUUAAUCUGAACAGUAAUAGCUGCUGGAAAUUGUUAACCAACGUACUGCACUAGUUACUCUUGGUGAUUGUUUAUGAAAAGUCAGCUUCAAUGCUGAAAGAAAGUAGCAAUAUGGGAUGUUAUACGAUGCUUAGCAAAGAAAGAUGGGAUGUUAUACACUUGGACGUCCAACUCUAGGAGUCAUUUGCCUUGAGCUAGCUGUUCCCUUAAUACAGAUGUAUUGCCUUUUCUUUGCAACACAAGUAGCAAGGGAAAGGCUGCUGUAAACCAUGCAAUAUAUGUUGGAUCCGGAUCCUCUCCUGAGCUUUUUUUUUACCUGAGCUGCCUAAGCUUUUAAGGAGAUUAUGACACGUGGAAACAUCAAUCUAAUGGUCCAGAAGGGUACAACACGACUGAAAUGUUCCUCUCUCUUCUCAAAUCUCAAAGUUGUCUUUCUCCUCACUCACUUAUUCUCUUCCUCUCUUCUCUUCGGAGACUGCAUUUUCAUUUUCAGAUUCCACUUCUCAACUGAGCAUCUCUCUUUCUACCAAUAUAAAUUGGGCAUAUCAUUAUAACUUUGAGAAAACCAAAUCAAAGAAACUCAUCUUCGUGGGUUUAAAUCAAACACCCAGUUCAUCAUUCUCAUUGAUUCAAAGAAACAAAUAAAAUUUGAAGACAUACACCCAGUGGCGGAAGCAUUCUUGUGGCUAUCAGGGCUAUAGCCAUACCCAGAAUUAGCUGAAUCAACAGCUGAUGCAUGUAUAUUAGCCUAUAGAAGUAUUAGCCAUACCCAAAUUAGCCCACUAAAUAACAAAUAGCCCACAGGCUACAGCCCAAAUUAACCCACUAAAUAUCAAAUAGCCCACAACCCAAAUUAGCCCAUUUCUCAAUUCCUCAAAAGUCUCAAACCAAACUGCAGUCUAUCAUUCAUUUUUCAUCAUCACGCUCUGUCGCUCUCCUCCUCCUGCUUUCUCUCCUUCUCCUCCUCUCCUCCGUUGUCGCCUCCACCGUAACCGACGUCGGCGAUGCGCUGACCAGACAAGUCGUAUCAGGCGCUGCCGAGGAGGACGAGCUCCUCCACACGGACUCGCGGAGCGUCACUUGACUCACUUCUCGAACUUUAAAGCGACGUUCUCCGAUCUCAGUCCUAAGGAGUUUUGCCGGAAUUUCCUCGGGCUUAAGAAGAAGCGUCGUCUGCGUCGACUCCGGCUACCGGCAAACGCUAACAAGGCUCCGAUCCUUCCGACGAAUGAUCUUCCCACCGAGUUUGACUGGCGCGAGAAAUCUGCAGGUAUGAUCUUGUGUCCAUACAAAAUUAGCCAUACCCAUUAUGCAAUCCUGGUUCCGCCACUGCAUACACCACCAUCUCAUCCUCAAUUGCAUAGCUGAAAACCGAUAUGCAGCAGAAGCUUUAACUCAAACCCAUACAAAUUUGAUUAGUAUGAAACUCAAGCAGUCAAACAUCACCUUUACUCUCAAAUUCGCAGGAGAUUUGCUUUCAUAAAUUUGAAUGGGUUUAGAAAGAUUGUGGAAAUGAAAUUGAUUCAAAGUGAUUAUAGUCAAGGUGAUUCAUGAGAGAAUUUUGACUUAUAGUAGAAGAGAUUCAUAUGGAAGUGAUGAAGAGUAGAAGGAAAAGAAGAGGGAAGGGAGAGAAAUGCGAAAGUGAGAAAGGAAGGAAAGAGGCAACGAACUAAGGAAGAGAGAGAGAGAGAGAGAAAAGAAACAUAGAUGAAGAAGAAUUAUAGACCAUUAGAUCUCAAAUAAGCCACGUGUCUUCAUCUCCUCAGAAGCUCAGGAAGCUCAGGCAAAAAAUUAGCUCAGGAGAGGAUCCGAAUCCAUAUAUGUUGGCAACAUCACAAAGGGACUGACAAGUACAGGUAACUUGGUAUGUAAUAUAUCAAACAUUACAGUUUGCCGGCUUUUGAAAAUAUGCUAGUUUCAAACAUAAUCCAGGUAAAGUCGAUCAGAAAAACAAUCAUUAAACAAGAUGAUAAUACGAUGCAUAUUACACUACAUGGAGAAGUUCACAGUAUACGUAGCACGAUAAUAUCUAGGUUUGGAAUGUCAGACUUGGUAGAUCAUAAAAAAUAAAAAUAAAAAUAAUGAAAAAAACCUUGGUAGAUCAUAAGAUUAACAAACAAACAUCAUUGCAAUUAGUAGAUAUUAAAAUUCCUCUUGAUCGAACUCAUCAUCAUCACUCACCAGUACUACCCUGGACCUUUUUUUUGGGGCACUCGUCAGGCCAGUGAUCUAGAGCCACACCACAGACAAAACAAGACUUCUUAACAAUAAAAUCUUUUUGAUCACUCCAAGGAUGGUAAGAAGACCACACAUGUCCCUUUGGAUCGUCAGGACCGUAUUCUGGUUCAGGGUAAAGGAUCUCCCUAGGAAAAUCAUCACCCUCUUCAGCAGCAAGUUCUACCGAGCAUCAUCCACAACAAACAACAAGGUUAAAACAUAGAGGAAAAGUUGAUGAUCCUAAUAAAAAAAUGAGAUGCAUUGUUGAUUCGAAAUAAAAUUACCAACAUGAAAAAAGAUUCAUACUUUGGAGAGCAGCAUUGCAAGACUUGGCCAUCCGGUCAUCUUGAGAGAGCAUUAGAGCAUUAGAUCCUCGCGAGUAAGAUCCAUGCUGUCUAACAUAUCAUCUGUUAUUUGGUUUCUUACGGAUUCUGGUAAGUGGUCUAAUGCUUCUUGUCGCAUCUCAUCGGUGAUAAUCAGCUCCGAUUUCUCGUCCGUCAUGGCUGCCUUCGUUUAGGUUCGAUUUGAUUGUUAUUUCGAUGGUAGCAAAAUGCGAAUUAUAUGUCAUGGAAAAAAAAAAAAAAAAGUAAGAUUUUUGCCAAAAACCAGUGAGGUUACGAAGGUCCAAACUCCAGAGUCAUGGUAGCCUGUUCGUGAAUUUUCUCCAAUUUCUAGUUUUUUGGUAAAAAAAUCUUGUUUUGCACACGUUUUCUUGGUUAUAAAUGCAUGUUCUUAUUUUUCUACAAAAAUUUUCUCAUAUUUAGAUCAUGAUUUACGAGAACUUUAAGAACUGAAAAAUCUCGAGCCGAUUGGUUCAUAAGAAUCACUCCAGCUUCAAGAAUGGCAUAAGAUCGACCAUACCAGAUUUUCUCUCUCACAGUACCUUCGAUCACAGAAUUGUGGACAUUGAUUCCCACUGUCAUUUCUACCAUCAAUGUGCUUACUCCAGCAUUCGAGACACUUGAGCGCAAAACUGAAAUAGAUCCAUCUACACCAGAAACUUCAAACCAGGAGAGAAUCAAAGGGAACAUUGAAUUUCAAAAUGUUGAGUUUAAUUACCCUUUGAGACCAGAAGUAACUAUCCUGUACAACUUCAGUGUACAAAUUAAAGCCGGAACAAAGGUGGCUCUUGUCGGUCCAAGUGGAGCUGGUAAAUCUUCAGUUCCGGCCCUUCUGCUAAGAUUUUAUGAUCCUUGAAAGGAAGGAUACUCAUUGAUGAAAAGGAGAUAAAAGAAUACAAUUUGAGAUGGCUGAGAACACAAACAGAGUUGGUGCAACAAGAACCUCUACUUUUCAGCUCCUCAAUCACUCAAUCAGAGACAAUAUCUGCUAUCUGAAACUGAGAUUAUGAAGGUAUCAAGGGAAGCAAACAUUGAUGAGUUCAUAAGUAACUUGCCUGAUGCAUAUCAAAUAGUUUUUGGGGACAAGGGAUGCCAACUUUCAGGAGGACAAUGGCAAAGAAUAGCCAUAGCUAGAACACGGCUAAAGAGGCCAGCAAUGAAGCAACAAGUGUCCUUGAUGCUGAAUCUGAGAAAUCUGUGGUGAGUGCAUUGGAGGCAAUAAAUUUGAAAAAGAAUGGGGGGCCUGCUGUCAAAAACGACACAGAUCACUGUUGCACAUAGGCUCNNNNNNNNNNNNNNNNNNNNNNNNNNNNNNNNNNNNNNNNNNNNNNNNNNNNNNNNNNNNNNNNNNNNNNNNNNNNNNNNNNNNNNNNNNNNNNNNNNNNNNNNNNNNNNNNNNNNNNNNNNNNNNNNNNNNNNNNNNNNNNNNNNNNNNNNNNNNNNNNNNNNNNNNNNNNNNNNNNNNNNNNNNNNNNNNNNNNNNNNNNNNNNNNNNNNNNNNNNNNNNNNNNNNNNNNNNNNNNNNNNNNNNNNNNNNNNNNNNNNNNNNAAAGAUGGGAUGUAAUACAUUUGGACCAACACUAGAGUAAUUUGCCCUGAGCUGUUCCCUUAAUACAGAUGUAUUGCCUUCUCUUUUCAAAAGUAAUUUGCUGAGAAAUCGUCCAUAUACCAGAUUUUAAAUGAUGCCAUUUCGGUUGCAACACACUCAUGUCCUACAAAUCAUAAUUUUCAGUAUCUUAAGAUGGAUCGCAUAUUUUUCGGAUGAUUAUGUAAUAACUCAUUUUUAUGGACGGGCAAGCACAGCUAAACAUAUACAGUUUGCCGGCUACAGAAAAAAUGCCAGUUUCAAAAACACUCCAGGUAAAGUCGAUCAUUAAACAAGGUGGUAAGUCGAUCACAAUGACAAUCAUUAAACAAGGUGGUAAUACGAUGCAUAUUACAUUAGAUGGAACAGUUCACAGUAAAAUAAGAUAAUAUCUUGGUACAGACUUGGUAGAUCAUAAGAUAACAAACAUCAUUGCAAUUAGUAGAUAUUUAAGAUCCCUCUUGAUCGAACUCAUCACUUACCAGUGCUACCCUGGACAGUGUUUUUGGGGCAGUCGGCAGGCCAGUGAUCAAAAGUGAUCAAAAACCACGCCACAGACAUCAGAACACAUCCCACCAAGAAUAUGUUUUUCUGGUUCAGGGAAGUCCCUAACAUCAUCUUCACCAGGAGGUGCUGAGCAUCACCCAGAACAAACAACAAGGUUAAGACAUAGAGGAAAAGUUAAAAAUCCUAAUAACCAAAUCGAAUGAAUAAGAAACACAAAGGCCAACCGCCUCCUUAGCAAUUAAUCUAGUGGAUCAAUCAAGUCACAAACUUAAUAAUACACAGGUAAGGUCCUGACUUUGAAUAAUCACACACACACACACCAAAACGAGCUAACUUGAUCGAUGCUAUUUUCUGAUUACUUUUCUAUUAUUCAAUUCAUUAAUUCAAAUUCAGCACAGACAAUUGUAUUGAUUCUUUCAAAAAUUAGAAAACACAUAAACAAAAGUUAAUUUGAAAUAAAAUUAACAAAAAGAAAAUUCAAAUCAGGAGGAGAAUAUAUACCUUCGAGAGUACACAGGAGAGCCACGUCCAUCGGCUCCAUCGGCUCGUCAUCAGUGACCUUUAGAUCCUCGCGAGUAAGAUGCAGUCUGUCUAACACAUCAUCUGGUAUUUCGUCUUUUAGGGAUUCUGGUAAGUAUUUUAAUAAUUCUGGCAUCUCUUCGAAAUUAAUCAUCUUCGACUCCUCGCCCUGCGUCAACUUCUUCGCAUCUGGCUCCUCCUCGCCCGUUGGUGGAUCCGGCUGCCCCUUGCCUGAGGGAGGGAUCGGUGCGGAUGCGGAUGCGGCUGUGUCCGUCAUGGCUGGCUUCGCUUAGGGUUUGGCGUCUCCUUUGAUUUGAUUGUUUAUUUCGAGCAUGGGUUCGCGUUUAGAUAGAUGAAGAAGAAUUAUAGACCAUUAGAUCUCAAAUAAGCCACGUGUCUUCAUCUCCUCAGAAGCUCAGGCAAAAAAUUAGCUCAGGAGAGGAUUCGAAUCCAUGUAUGUUGGCAACAUCACAAAGGGACUGACAAGCACAGGUAACUUGGUAUGUAAUAUAUCAAACAUAUACAGUUUGCCGGCUAUUGAAAAUAUGCUAGUUUGAAGGUAAAAGGUUGUUGGCAAUCCUUAUAUAGAACAAAACACAACCUAUGAAGCCUAAAGCAAUGAAGCCUAAAACAAUUGGGAGUUUGGUCUUCCACAUCUGAAGAACAAGUUGAAGAAGNNNNNNNNNNNNNNNNNNNNGAUAUUAAAAUUACCUCUUGAUCGAACUCAUCAUCAUCACUCACCAGUACUACCCUGGACCUUUUUUUUGGGCACUCGUCAGGCCAGUGAUCUAGAGCCACACCACAGACAAAACAAGACUUCUUAACAAUAAAAUCUUUUUGAUCACUCCAAGGAUGGUAAGAAGACCACACAUGUCCCUUUGGUAAAGGAUCGUCAGGACCGUAUUCUGGUUCAGGGUAAAUAUCAGCGUUAGCUUACACACUUGGCCUCAAAUUCUUGCCAUGAGAAGAUUCAAAGAAGAGGGACCGAGACAAGAACAUCGCCGCCCUUCCCUUCCAAGUCGACAUCAUGGAGCCCUCCCUCCUCGAUAUAGGUCACUUUCUAUGGAUUCAUUGGUUUGGUUUAGUUUUGUGAAGAAGAAAGAGAGAAAUAUUGAAGGGAAGAAGAUGGUUUCUGAAGGAAUUGAUGCGUCCCAAGGACAAGUUGAAGUUGAUGAUAAUGGUACGUGGUGACUGGAUGCCUGCUGUUAGUCGGAGUACACAUUGAAGCUAGGUUUUUGAGAAUAAAAGCUAGAAGUGAGUCUUAUGAGGCGGCAUCGAUCGGCUGAUAAUAAUGAAGGGCUAGCUGGAUCACUUGGAGAUCUCAAGUGAUAAUGAUGCGAGUGUUCAUACAUCAAAUGUGAACAAUAUAAUGGUCCAAUGAGAUCGAGUAGUGAUGAGCAGAGCUGGAUGCUGAGAUCCUUGUCUGAGUCUAGUGUGGCUAGUAUAACAAGUGAUAUUGCAAUGCAAAAUGUUAUCCUGCAGAUCCGCCAGCUGAAGAGGUAUAUGCAUUUGAUACAUAUUCCCCAUUUUAUUAACCUUUCUCAUUUUUUUACUAAGUGCAUUCAUUAAGGACUUGUUUCAUUGUGUUGUUUUUUCUUUCUAUUUCAUAUAAGUUUCUUUGGAUAAAUUUAAACAUUAUGUCCUCUAGUUUUGGGGCCUCUACUGCAUGAUUGAUGAACUAAAUAUACGUAUCAUAUAAGCAUGUAAUAGUUGAUCUCUCAUCUUAAUCUCCGGCGGAAAGAAACUCAUAUGGUAUUAAGGGGUUUAGAACUCUGUCUCUUGCUGCCCAAUGUUUCAACUAGACUUGUAAACAAAUCUUAAGUAAGGCAUAUACAAGGGAACUAUCAUAGUAGUAAACGAGGUCAAUGUCACUGAUGGGAAAGUAUGCAAGUGCUAUAACCUGUAAACAGAGUAACAGAUGGAGAAUGUAGCUGUGAAGAAGCACCAUUAGACAUAUAUGGUGGAUCAGGAUCCUGUAGUCUCCUCAUGAAGAUUUUUGAGCCAUCCAAUAAUCUACUCAUAUAUGGUGGCGACCAUACUGCCCCAAAAUCCAAAGUGUGAAAGGAAAUGUCUCUUUAUGAAGACAUGUGAGUUCAUGGGGACCUUUGAGUGCAAAGAAGGAUCCAAUAAUUUAUGAGUGGCUAAGGUACCUUUAGGUUCACCCAAGGAUAAAGCAAACAGAUAGCAAAGUUGUGGAGAAGCACCAUGCAUGGUAAAUGCGAUAGAAAACAAAGAACCACCCCAGUUGCUAGAAAGUAGAAACUAGAAACAAUCCAAAUUUGUUAGGGUUUUACCCCAAUCAUAAUAAUAUUACAUCUUCUAAAAGAAAAAGAAAAAAAAAAAAAAAAAAGAAUCCAAAAUACAUCUGAGCUUCGCCUGAAGCCUGAAGCCUGAAGGUACACUACUAGUCGUCGCCGGCACCACUGCUGCCGUCGGAGAACCGUUCAUGCCAUUUUCUGCAUUCUUAACAGAGGUUUUGUUUUGAUAACAUUUAUAUAUCAUUCAAUUAUCAUAACACACUGCUAGAUCUGUUAAGAGUCUUCAAACGUGGGGCCCACCUAAAUUUAUCAUAGCAAAUGACCACAGUUACUAAUGACAGAGCCCACAUUUCAAAAACAAAAUUUUCCCUUUUAAUAUAUUUUUGAUUCCCAAUACUAUUCCAUAAAAGAAUAAUGUUUUUUUUUUUGGAUAUAAAAAAAAUAUUGUUUUUUUAGCUGUUGAUAUAUUGAUAAUUGAAAUUCGGAUUACAACUUGAACAUAACACACCCUCGCGGCCAAACGUUAUAGAAAAAUUUAAGUGUAGUUAUUGAUAAAAAAUUAAAUAAAAUUUGAGUGUAGUUAAAAAUAUAUAAUAAGAUUUUAAAUUUUAGGGUUCAAGUUAAGUUAAAAACACCAAUAAUUAUUAUUUAUAUUAACAACUGAUUCGGUUAAAAUAAUUAAAUUUGAUGAGAAAACGACCUACUUUUUAUCUGUAAUUGCAUAUAUCGUGCGUUUAUGGUUACAUGCUCUAAUCCGCAUGCAACGUCAUGUCAUGUGGAGCAUGUGAACUGGGCUGUUUUUUAAUUAUUAUUUUAUUUUAUAAUUUCUAAUUGUUUUUGUUUUAAUUUCUAACGGUUAGACGGCUUAACAUAGACGUGACCUAGUUGUUUUUACGGCCUUGAUUAUUCCUUCCCCUAUUCCUUUCACGUUUUUGACAACAAACCACCGUGAAGCCUUCCUUCUUCUCCAGUCCGUCGCCGGUGCUCUGGCUCAGGAAGGGACUACGUAGCAUACGUGCCGGACAAGUCAUCGUAACUCAUGGAGUUGAAACCCUCCUUCCUCGAGAAACAGAGCAGGACAGCAGCCGUCUGCCGUACGUUACGCCGGGAGACCUCUGUUUCGUAUCUCCCCUUGUCGUCCUUGCACAGAAUAACAAGGUACGUAUUAAGAUCUGCCACCCAGUAUCACACGAUGAGUGACUUCUCUCUCUCCUCUCUCUCUCCUCUCUCUCUCUUGAAUGGGAGGAGUUGACUAUGCUCUUGAAGGCUCUGAAUCCUACUGUGGAUAUUAUUAUGUAUUCAAACUUUGUUUUGAUGAGAAGAACAUGGUCGCAGGCGGACUGGAAUCACCAUAUUAGUUUGUAUAGUUUGUGAAGGACUGGUUGUUGAUGUUUGUUGAGUAGAAGAUGGUCGCAAACGGACCUGCUUGACUGGAUGGUGUGGUUAGCCUCUGCUUGCUGUUAUAGGUUAUGGAUUUUCCACCGUUAGUAGUUUGCUUAGUUGCUCUGUCUUGCUUUAACUUGAACCCAACAAUACAAUGAGUCUUCGAUCUUGGUGUAGAAGAAUGUGAAACUGUAAAGGGUCCAAACUUAUGAAUCUCAACCAAGUGGAGGCAUAUAUCAGGUUGCUGUCUUCACCCUAGUCUGAUUGAUUGUUUUAUUUCCGAAACAGCUUUGAUGGUUGCGCGAAAGUUACUGUUGUUGGAUAUUUGUUCAUUUUUUCUAUGAAGAGAAAGCUGCAGUAUUGAUUCAAUGAAGGCUCCUCUUGUAGUACUCAUAUAAAGUGUUGUUACAUGUUUACAGAAUGCAGAGGAACAGUUGGUGUCCUGAAAAUGAAUAUGCAACCUUUCUCUGCUUCAUAAUCUUUGGUGAAUUCCUGGUGUGCGUAUUGGAUUUAGUCAGUGAUGAAGCCUGAACCCUGAAGUGGGUUGCUGUUUUCGUGGUUUCAACUCAAUUGUCUGUGAUCUGCACCGCACUGUUGGAAUGCGGUCAAAAAGGGAAGUUUACGAACUAGAUCAGCUGAAAUAUUUUCUGGUUUACCGGCUUCUUUGGAGAGCAGCUGAGGUCCAUCUCAUAGGUAAAAUAGAAAGUUGAAGAAACUCUCUGCGGUUUAAAGUUGAAGAAAGUUGUAAAACAGAACUGGUUCCUGGAUGUUACAUGCAGAAGAUGAAUGUAAAGAAGUUGAUGGGUAUCUUUUCGCUUUGGUUCAAUUCAACUGCCUGAUGAUGAUACUCAUCUUGUCAGCUGGAAUGGUCACGACCGGGUUUCAAGAUGACAAAAGCACGCUGCUGAUGUUCAUUGUUCAGAAAUUGAUCUUGAAUGUGAUAAUCUGUGGUUCAGUUUGUCAGCCAUGCAAUCACAAUUUAUGGUCUUCACCAACUAUAAAUAAGAAAUCGCGGUACCAGCUAUAUCGUAUCAAUUGAUGUACAAUACAGUGGAAAGCUUGUUAUGUCUAAUCAGGUUGAUACCAAGUGUCUCUGUGCGUUAUUUCUCAUUAAUUUUGGGCUAUGUUUUAUAUUUUCCUUUUCUGAGUGUUGUAUCUCCAGGAGGGAAAAUAUGGUUGCUAAAUGUUCUGUCAUCUUGAAAAUAUGAUUAUCAACAAUGUAGCUCCAAGUUGGAUGAGAUAAAACAAUCACUUCAGGAGUCGGCCAUGUUCCCUCUCUGAAUGCAAGAUGUUUUAAAGGUGGGACUCAACUGUGCUGAUUGAGUGUUCUAUUCUCGAAACAGCUUUGAUGAUUGUGUGAAAGUUACCGUUAUUGGAUAUUUAUUGAUUUUUUCUAUUAAGGAAGCUGCACUGUUGAUUAAAGUUUGGGUCCUCAUAGAUUAGUACUUAUAUAUAGUCUUGUUACAUGUUUACAGAAUGCAGAGGAGGGAGCAUCUCCAGUGCUCUCCAGCGGAUGAGCAAUGAGACCGUGAUCAACGAGAAAGUCCUAAACGUGUUCGUCAAGGAGAUCACACGCACUCUCCUCCAAUCCGACUUGCAAUUCAAGCAAUAUCAAGAAGAUUGUCAGUUUGGAGGAUGUCGCUGCUGGUCACAACAAGCUUAGAAUCAUCCGGAUCUGUAUUGUUCAGGCUGCGUUUGAUCAAGCUCAAGCAUUUAAGCAAAGUGCUGAAGUUGGGGCUGUUGUUGUUGUUACCAAAAUGGAUGCUCAUGCAAAGGGAGAUGGUGCUCACAUAUACUAGUUAACUGUCCGCUGCAGCAACAAAGUGUCCUGUUAUAUUUAUUGGAACAGGAAAGCAUAUGGAUGAGUCUGAUGUUUUUGAUGUUAAUCCUUUUGUCAAUCGUCUACUAGGCAUGAGUGACUUGUUUGGAUUUAUGAACAAGACUCGGGAAGUUGCUCCUAAACUUGAAACCAGACAGAGCUUUUGCAAAAGUUUUCAGAAGGGACCUUCACGUUGAGGAUUAUGUAUGAGCAGUUUCACAACUUGCUUUAGAUGAGUUCACUUAGCCAGCUUACUUCAAUGUAAUGAUAAGGAAAGCCAGGCCAAAAUCAAGCGGUACAUGAUCAUGAUGGACUCGUCAACAAAUGAAAGAGUCGGACAGCCCAAAUACAAAAAUCUUUUCCGAGUUCCAUAUACGAAGUUCUGGUCGUCUGGUAAGAGAAGUAGUAUAUCGCUUGAUUUAGAAUACAGUGGAAAGCUUGUUAUAUCUACACAGCUUUUUAUAUCUAAGGUCAUUGUGCAUUAUUUCUCAAUAAUUUCGGGAUACCUGUUAUCUUACUAAAUUUUAUGGUGUUUAUGCAGGAUGUUCACCCUGAUAAUGAAUUUGCGAAGGCAUAAGACUAGAUCUUAUCCCUCCACAUAAGAUAAUGGUAACAUUUGCCAGUGUUGUCACAUUUUUUUUCGGUAUCGUCACACUUUCUAGUAUGGUCACAUUUUUAAGUGUUGGUCACGUCUUUUGGUCCUUUUUUUCUUCCAUUUUGUUUUUCAUUUUCUAGCAGCUAGCUUCUGGUUUGGUUUUUUGAGGUCUUUCACUUAUUAGAGUUUAGAAGUAAUAGAAGAAUUUUAUCGGAUAAAAACAGAUCUUACAAAUUGGGAAAUUGAGGUUAUGAUUAGAAGAAAUUGAGAGUAUCUUCAGUACACGGCGUGUAUCUUCACAUACAUACAUGAAUGGUUAGAAUUAGAGGAAAUAAUAUAGAAAUAUGAUAGUCAAACAUAUGAAUUGUUAUAAACGGUUAAGAUUGUGUUUUAUAAAUACACGUCGUGCAUAUGAAAAUUAAAUUAAAUUGAGAUUACACAUAAUUUUGACCCGGCCCAUCUAAUCCCACCGGGCCUGGUUGUCUGGCCUAUAAACCCUUUCAGAAGAGUCUGCUGCUGGUUAACAAACGAAAAUUCUUGUAUGCACCGAUGUACACUUGAAUAAGAUGUUUUAUUUAAUCUUAACCGUUCAUUUGAUCAGCUGUUGAUAUGAUACUAACGUCGAGACUUACACCGUCAAAGAGCAAACAAAAAAAGAAAAAUACUUCUCUGUCGCCGUCGCUCUUGUGGCAUCAGAGCUUCUACGCAUCUGCUUUCGAUUCAUUCAUUCUUUGUUUACCCACAUAUGAGAUCUCAGAAAUUGCUUUCUGUCUUAGCUGGAGAGAUUUGAAUUCGUGCUCCGCACGGUGGAUCCGGUCCAGACGAACAUAACUAAUCAUCCUCCAAUCGUCGUCGUCUUCAAUUUCUGGAAAGGUAUGAUUGAAAGGAUCAAUAGGCAUGUUGUUGUGGUUGCUCUGACAUUUGGGUAUUGAUUAUCUGUUGAUGAUUGCAGAUAUCGUAGACUUAUUAAGUAUUCAUGUAGAAGUAAUUAAAUGCAAGCAAUCUGUGAGUGAUAGGAGCCGUGAGGAGUUUGUGGCUUUGGCAUGGGAAUUCAUCAGCCUUGGGAACGAUUAACGCUGUUAUUCAACUGUUAGUGCACUUGACUUAGCUUAUAAACCCUUCAGCCUUCACACCCUCUCCCAUACUUGUCUCUUUCUCUUCCCCAAACAAAUCCCAGUCGCCUUUGAAAUUCGAAAACAGCUCUGAAAACCCUAAAGGUUGCAGCUUUAUUGAUGGAAGCAGAUACCCACAUGCUUAAGGUAAGAAAAGUUUCAACCUUUUAGAGCUUUUGAUUCACAUUGCUUGAGAUCAGUGUGGCGUUUUGUGGGUUUAGGGUUAGAAAAUGUAUUAAAGAUUUGGUUUUUAUGAACAGUGUUUAGUGUUUUUGCUUUGUUAAUGAAGAAAGUAAUAAGCUUGUUUUUGGUUUUGCAAAAGUUGUAGAAAUUUCAAGAUUUUAUUGGCUGUUUGAACAGAUUUUAGCUCUGUGUUCUUUAGAAAUUUGUUACUUCUGCUUGUUCUUUAUCUUUGUGAUGUUGUUUGAAUAGACUGGUAAAGUGUCACUGUGAGUUUGACUCUGCCUUUGAUAAAGCAUCACAUUCAAGGAAACUAUGUGUUGGCUUUGAGAUAAAUCAAUAAAUCAUAAAUGCAAGUCUUUAACCUUCCAUUUUGGAUUUUUCUGGCAAAACCUGCAUCUUUCCCCUGUUUUUAUUCCAAUUGUACUUUAGAUAAUGCAGUAUUUACACUUGUUCACACAGAUGAAAGAAUGUGUAUUAUUAUGUGGGCUGGAUGAAUACAAAGAGCAUACUGUGUAUUUUCUUUUCAAUUAACAUGGUAAUGUGUAUUUAUAAAUUACAGUGGUAGUUACUUUAUUUCACUUUCAGGUUCCUGUAGUGCAACCUGUAACAGAUAAAUAUGAGCAUCUUCUCAUCAAAAAAGAGAAGCAAUAUGAGUCUCCAACUCCGUGGGAGGUUUCUCCGCUCCAAGAGUUUGCGCAGCAAGUAGGGAUCUUAAGGGUAUGUAUUGUGAAUAGUGCGAACCUACAGAAACAAAUGUUGCUUAUAGUUAGCUGUGGGUCACUGAAGUUCAUUAUUUUCACUGGCCACAUGGUAAUUUCGUGAUCAGGUUUCAAAAAUUUCAAACAAUCAAUUCAUGGGAGAUGUGAUUGGAUUGGUUGCUCAACUUGGCACAAUUGGUACUGGUGAUCUUAGCAGGUUGGUGACCCCUUUGAUGUUUUUAACGCUUUCCUUCCAUCAUAUUUAAGAGUUUAAGACAUGAUAUAUGUUUCUUGAUAUUCACUUGUAUGCAGGGUAUUGGCUGAAUAUUUGGGCCAAGAUCAGAUGCUUGCUAUUGUCUGUAGAUCCUUUGAAGCUGCUGGUGCUCUUGAGAAGUUUGUACAGAAACCUAAGAAACCUAUGCGUGGGGAAGUGGAUUCUAUGCAUUUUCUCUGUGAACCAGCUCUACUUCAGAAACCUACACAUGGUCGAUCGUUUGUUUUUUGUCUGGAAGACAUAAGGUACCACAAGAGGCUUCCUAUUUGCAUUUUCUCUAGAGGGCUAAAAAAUGCUGUAUCAUGAAAAGGGAAUUUGAAUUUGUAUUGCAGGCCUUACACUGGUGACUUUGACCGUAGUGACCCUCAAAGGAAACUGGCAUUACCAGAUCCAGUCCUGCCAAGUGGAAUGGCUCCUGAUGGUUUCCUAGGAUAUGCUGUCAAUAUGGUUGACCUGGAUAGCCAUCAUAUACACACAGUGACAUCUGCAGGCCAUGGUCUCAGGGAAACAGUAUUAUAUUGUCUUCUAGGCGAGCUCCAAGUAUAUGAUACCAGGGAGGAUAUGUUGGCUGCUCAUGAUUGUAUUAAACAUGGUGCUAUUUCUUUGGGUGGAGGAAUUCUGAAACAGAAUGGAGUAACUUCUUUUGGAGUCGGGUAUCUCUCUCUUUUUUCCUCUGCUUAACUGUCUGGUUCUUGUUGGUAGUUCUCCUUGGUUCAAAAGUCAUGUCUCAUAGACUCAUACUCACUCGAAAAUCCACUAAAUCUUGAUGCUAGCAAGAGCAUAAACAACUCCUCAAGUCGUCUAAUAUAACAUUGAAGCAUUCUGAUAAGUUUGCAUUGUACUAUUCCAUGAUGUUUCUUCAAAAAUGUGUGUGACCCUAGUUUGGUGAUUUUUCCUUCAGGGACGUUGAAAUAUGUUUUUCAGUAGCAAAAAAUCUGGAGCUUCUGCCAUCAACAAAUGUUGUUGGUGUUGAGAAGCAGAUUGAGGAGAAGAGUGCGAGCGGAGCCAUCUUCCAAGGUUGGAAAGUGGGCCCGUUUAGAUGAUGUUCAGCCUCCACAUUCCCGAGUGAGGUAAGUUUUUUUCUCCAUGGUACUUGGGUAGACAUAAAAGUAACUUUUCGCAAUUAUAUAUCCUAGUUAGUAUUUUCUGUAUUGACCUUUGAGCAUGCAUCCUCAACAGUUUGCCAUAUUUGUCGACUAUACUCAUAUCAAUUCUCUUGUCAAACAGAGUUGGUUCAGUAUUUCCACCUCUCUCUAUAGCAUGUUACGAUGUAAAUGGCAAUCAAAUACCAUUUGCAACUACUCUGGAAGUCGCGGUGAAAGUUCAAACAAAUGAGGGUUUGCUUUUCCGUGUAGAGAAAUUCAACAAGGAAUUGUCAAACCAUACUUUGACAAUAAAGGUAUUUUAUGCAUGUAGAUUGGCACAUUUAUAGUGUAUGUUGUAUGUAGAGAAGCCUUUGAUUUUCUUUCUUUCUUUACAACUUGCAGAAUAUGCUGAUGGAGAGUGGCGAGUUAGACAAACUUUGACCUACAUAUGAAUCUACUUUAGUUGUAUGUUCAGAAGACGACAAAUUUUCAGUUUUGGUUCCAUGCGAAGGUAUUUACAGUAAAAGUACUUGUUUAUGGAAAAGAACCCAGCAUCGCAAUCUACUUUUCUCAUUUUUCUGUAUUGAAAACACUUUUUUUUCUUCUUUUUUUUUUGUUCAUUGUAUGUAUUGGGACUUUCUAAGUUCUGUUUUUGAUUUUGUUAUUUCAGUUAUUCCCGGAUAUCUACAGAGCGUCAAGGCUGUUCCUCCUAUUUUCGACAACCAAGUGCUCCCAGGUUACAUUAUCAAGCAGUUUAUUUUAGAGGUACAGAGAAAUUCUGUGGUUUCAUAGCUAAAUCAUGGUCAAUUUAUUUAAGAAUUCAAGCUAGAAAAUAUUCAUUGAAAAACAGCAAUACCUAUUUUAAUCAUGUAUCUCUUUCCCAGAUGUUUGAUCAAUAUGGCAAUCAUGUUAUAGAAGGCACUGAAGUGCUACUGAAGCUGGAUGGGUUUUCGAUUCAAGAUCAACUUGGUACAGCAUGUACGGUAAGACUCAUUUCCAUUGCUGAUUUUUUUUCCUUGGUCCUCAAGUUCUGUAUUGGCUUUACUCCCCACAUUAAUGAUAAUGAUGCCACCUAAUUACUUGCAUUAUGCGUUGGCACUUCUAUUUUCAUGCAUUCUUUUGUUAUAGAGUCGGAACCAAGUCAAAUAGUUUAAUUCUUUCAUACCUGAUUCAAUGCAGGUUAAUCAUCAGGGAUGCAAUGACCUCAGUGGCCUGUUGAAAGUAACCGCAGGUUAUGAGAAAAGUGGUAUGUACUUUUACUUGACAGAAUGUUGUUUUAUGGCUUAUUGUUUUAUGGAAUUGUGGUAAUAGUCAGUAUUUGGUUGUCAAGUAGAGUACUUGAUUUCUCUUUCCUAAACAAUGGUUGGCUUAUUCUCGCAAGUCUAACUAUACUGCUUUUUGGAUCAUUAAUUUCACCUAAUGAUAUUUUUAUAUUCUUCCCUUGGUUGCAGUAUCAAUUUCUGUACUGAAUCUUCAGUUUCAAACUGAGAAAAGGGUGUUGAUUAUGCAUACUCCAUCUGAGGCUGCAUGUGGAAUGGGAACUACGCUUGGGUCUCUUAAGUUUAAUAGGGGACUUUUAGGGUUCCAUGAUUCUCGUGAAACGAAAAUUUAUCGAUCAUCUGAAACGAAGUAUAUUUGUGAGUUUUUAAACUUCUUUUUCAGCCAAUUCUGUAAAUCUGAUUCUGCAAAUGUUCAUAGUAUAUAUUCUUUCAUGGUCUAAUGUUUUUUCAUACGUUCUUUUUCAGGCGAUUCAAAAGAUAAAUUUCGUGUAAUUUCAGAAACAUCAAACUUAUGUUAUAUGAUGCCGGGGGUUACAGACGUGUGAAAGUCUAGCAAUAACUAUAUCUGCUGAAGAAGUUUGGUUACUUGAACAACUAUUACCGGGAGGAUUUGUCAACAUUGAAACUGCGUUACAGAUCACCCAAACCAUUCUAGAACGUAAGAAAGUCAGUAUGUGAGCAUGAAUUGCACGCAACCCAGUAGUACCGGGUGGUUGAGAAGAGAGGAUAUCUAUAAUACCGGGUGGCGUGUGACACUGCUGUGCUUGCCAACUCUGUUUUUGAGAACUUGGUCAUGGAGAAUGGGGGGGGGCUACUCCACGCGAUGAUGACCUCCCUAAGGCAUUCCAUAGGAUUUAAUAUAACAUGGAUGGGAAAAUCUUAAAUGUGCAUGUGGCUCACAUACUCACUUUCUUACGUUCUAGAAUGGUUUGGGUGAUCUGUAACGCAGUUUCAAUGUUGACAAAUCCUCCCGGUAAUAGUUGUUUCAAGUAACCAAACUUCUUCAGCAGAUAUAGUUAUGGCUAGACUUUCACACGUCUAUAACCCCCGGCAUCAUAUAACAUAAGUUUGAUGUUUCUGAAAUUACACGAAAUUUAUCUUUUGAAUUGCCUGAAAAAACAUUAGACCAUGAAAGAAAUAUAUACUAUGAACAUAGGCUUCUUUUUUUUAUUCUCAUAUGGCGGAAUAAGUUUCCCUCAAGAUCUAGCUAUUUAAUUUUUCUAUUUUUGUUGGAUUUUCUUUGUAGAUUUAGUUUACAUAUUGAAUGGGUUUGCCUAUCAUACCAUAUGGUAUGACAUACCUACUGCAAAUGUUUCUAAUUAUAUGACACAUGAGGGUUGUUGAAAAGAGGUAAAUAGUUAUUACAUGGUCAUUUAGUUGUUUAAUGAUAGUCACUGAUUUUGUGAGGCAUGUUAUACUAUAUGAUAUAUUAGAAUUUUUUUCCGAAUUCAAAUGACAUCAGUCCCAUGGAAGAUGAAAACAGGGGCAUGUGGGGUUUUUAGAAAUCACAUAUAAGAUGGUGAGAUGAGGGUAGAAGAAGAAAGAAAUAUUUAAUCCAAAAAACAAAAGAGGAAGAAGAACAAAUACGGGUGAGAUGAUACAAAUUUGCUCCCCGAUUUAUUUUCCCCCGCCUUUAUCCUCAUCCAUCUAAAUGCAUAACACAUGUCCCAUAUUAUUUAUGAUCACACUAAAAGAAGGUUAGCCAGAAUCUUACUAUAUAUACAUGCACUAGUUCAACAACAAAUUAAUUAAGACACAGGGACGUACUAAUGGAAUUACAUUCCACCAUUAAGAACAAAUCGAUUAAGGACCGAAUUAAUCUACAGCUAGCUAGCAUCAUAUAGUGACCGGGCGGCUCUGCUUGUUUUGACUAGCUGUAAUAAUCCCUACCAUUACUUAAUUUAAUCAUCAUCAGUGUGUGUACUAAAUCACUAAUAUAAUGCAAAAGACAGAUCAAAGGCCAAUGCAAAAGCAGUGUUUCAUAUUUUAUAGACCAUAUCGUUCUCUACAUUUGAUCGACCUUGGAUUUUUCACAUUAUUCAACAAUUUUAUAUGUCUUCUCCUACCGACCAUUCAUGGAAAGUUCGAAACACAAGAGAUAAAAGAGACCUCCAAAGGCCCCAACUCAAACUUCCUGCUUCCAUGCAUGUAUAAGAUUAUUCCCUUUCAUUUACAUAAAGCUUUAUGAUCGAGUACAAAUUUUGUUAUAUUUAUUCCUAUCCAUAGCCUAAACUUUACGUCUUUUCGUGCUGUUUACUGAUUUCAGUAAUGCAUCGAUGGAUGAACGUCCAUAAGGGAGCUAGUGACUAAUAAUUUAUUUGUCCACUGCCAACUUCGUAUGGUAUAUAUGAUUUACUAAUCCAAAAAACAAAAAGAUAAAUUAUAAUCUUAUAUCGAUUUCUAAUUUUCUAUAUAUAUAUAUCAUAUCUUAUUGUUUUUUUGUUUUUUUUUUUUCAAACAUUGAUUAAUGAAACUGUCGAAUACAAGAAUGAGACAUUAAGCUUAAACCUCUAAUUACAAAGACAUGAAAUAAGUUAUGUGUUCUUAUACGUACCAUGACGUGCAAUUGAAGAAGAAUCGUGACAUCUUAUGGGUUAUGACAAUAUAUGCUGGCAUAUAUCAUAUAUGUAUGAUCAUCGCAAAGAUAGCAUAUGAUGGUACUGGAUGGUUUCAAUUGAUCACAUGUUUGAAGUGCGGGAUUAGUGAAUGAAUGAAUUAACUAGUACUCCAUUAUCAUCUAUAUCAUCUAAAUGAAUUAUGACCACGAAGUUGGAAAGCGAUUGGUAGUGGAAACUUAGAUUCUUAAAUUCUGGAACGCUUUCUUGAGAUUUGAUCAUGUUAUAUAUUAUUUGAUGAUCGAUUUGUUUGUCCAUGUUCCUUAUCCUUAUACCUACCGGAGUUGCCCUUCUUCACAGGAGCCAAUACCAUAGCGAAACUUGUAUGUUGUAUUGACUUGAAUAGUUGUCAUAUAUUCCUUUAUUACUACUAUAUAAAGGGCAGAAGCUCCAAGUCUUCUAAGCACUCAACCUGCACUUCAUAGCUUCAAGCAUACUUAAAGGGCAGUCCAUGGAUAUGUGUGAUCUGCAGAAGCAGACAUGGUGUGAUAUUGAGUCGGCUCAUCAAUCAAUCCCAGUCAUAUUCGUGUUCAAACUGAUGAUCACGUUAAUAAUAUGAUUUCUGAGACGAGCCGAACCAAUAUCACUCUUGUAUUCUUCUUUGCAUAAUGAUUCAGGGCUCAGGGAUAUGCAUGGUUAGGGCUAGAGCUAGCUAGCUUAGCUGCAGCAGCAAUUCAUGAUGCAGUUGCAGGUCAAUCACUCCCUGUUCGAUAAUAUAUCCGUGUUAAUUUAGAGACACUAUAUAAUAUUGCAUAAAUGCAAGUUAUAUACAUACGUAUAUAUGGAAACUAUAAUAAUCUAAAACCAUCGUUGCCGAUGGAGUAGUAGUACUUAACAUAUAUGCUGCCAUUCAGUUUUAGGUGACAUAGAUAAUCCUAAUUCUUUAGUUUCUUCAACUUGUUAUCGAUCAUAUACGUACCCAUUUCAUUCAGCUCCUUUAACUUCCAAGGAAAUUUUACAAACCAUAUCUCAAAUAAAUGUCAUUUAUCAGUUCAAUACACCAUAUUCAAAAACUAUCAUAUUGGUACUCAAACAAUGGAACAAAUUAAAAUCACUUUUAGUAUUUGCUAUCAAUGACGGCGUUAGUUCUCUACUUUUAAAAUGGUAUUUUUGUUUCCUUGAUUGAUACAAUUUUCUUUGACGACGGAGGCCGUUUUGCUACCACUCUCUUCUAAGAGUAUUGGAUCUUACGACGGUCUGACGAGAUUCAACAGCCAGAGACCCAGAGUAUGUCUUUCUUUUGUAUCCUAGUGAACCCAAUGCCCCAUUAAAAUAGGUGGCAUGAACUUAUUUCAAUAUUUGGAUUCACAAAUUUUGCUAUUCAUAGAUUUGCUACUUGUGCUUCUUCUGCAACUACUUUUCUUAAUUACCAACCAAAACAUCAAUCUCUGACAGAGCCAAUGAGUUCUAACAGAGAGGAUUCUUGGGUCGAGUUCUCCAUCAAGUUGGGUCGGAAACUUGGAAUGGAGAUCAGAAAAUUGGGAAUUGUUUACUGGAGAAACAAUAAAGUUUCGUGGCUAGUUGGAAUCUGGAUUCUAAACUUUGGAGGAGUUUUAAUUAUUGGAGAACUAAUGCAAGUACAAAAAGAAAACAAUGAAAAACAAGAAGAAGACUGUUCAGUUUGUAGGAAUUUUGUGUCUGAUUAAAGAGAUAUAUAGAUGAGAACAUGUGCUCAGGUGUGGUUGUGUGCGGCGGAGGGAGAGGGAGAGAGGAAAGCCAGGAAAAAUAAAAAGACGUAAUUGCCCAUGAAACAGUUUUUGUAGCAGUUGACUUGACACCAUUAGAGACGGAAUGUAUCAAAUUUAUCUAAGCUUUAUAUGUUGAGGUACCAAUAUUAUAGUUUUGAAAUGUCAUAUAUCAUAGUGAUGAAUUGAUGUUAUAUGUGGUACCAUUAGUAAAAUUUCCUCUUAACUUCCUAUCUAUCAUAUUCAAGAUAUCCAUUUCUACUUUUCUAGCAAUAAGACAGAUGCAGUCUCGUAUGGAAUAAAAACUUAGAAAUUUCCCUCAUUCUAAAUCUAUGGUUGGCCGGGAUUCGUAAGCGUAUGCAUGUAUCUAUUCUACAUAUAUCGAUGAUUGAUUUAUGUAUAGAAGUCUAUACAUAAAGUCUUAGUCUUCUGAGUUCAGACCAUGGAAGUGUCAUCCUCCACAGUUCAUGAAAACUAAACAGAUACAAACUAGCUAGUUCAAGGAUUUCUACACAAGCACUUGAAGCAAAUACUCUCUCCAUCAAAUUUGCAAUCUCAAACCCCAAAGGAACAUGUAAGUCUCAAGUCUCCAUGUUGGGCCGGGUCAUUUGCAUAACGGGCCAUAGAAUCAAGUCCAUGCCAGCUCAAGAGUAUCGCAUCGUUCAACACGAGAAAUUUUUCUGUCCUCCAGGAGGACCACGUCAGUAUGUCUAGUGGUCCUCCUUGGCCAAUAGGAAGCCGCUAUGUAGUAUUUUUUGACAUGUCAUAAUAGGAUAAAACAAUUAUUAUAUUUAACUUAAGUAAAUUCAACUUAAAAAAAAUAAAUUAAGUAAAACCAAAUAAGAUCAAACAAAAAAAGAACUCAAAUCUAGGGUUCAUCAUCUCCUUACCAAAAAGAAGAAGAAAAAAAAAUUCUAGAUCUCCAUGGUAGUUGAAAGAGGAUGGAGGUCGAAGAAACGAGUAAAGAAAAACCUUAAAUUGAACAACAAAGAGAUUUGUAUGCCUUCGGAGCUGGGUUUGAACUGCUCCAAAAUAAUUAUUAAACCCUUCACAUUUCUUUCAAAUGUCCCAAUGUCCUCAUAAAAGAGUUUCUAGAAUGUCUAUAGUACUAAGUGAGUGAUCUUAAUUUAGUGAACUAUCAUGGAGAUUUGAUUUUUUUUUCUUUUCGGUAAGGAGAUGAGAUGAACCCUAGAUCUAGAUCUGGGUUUUUUAUGUUUGAUCUUGUUUGGUUUUACUUAAUUCAUUUUUAAAGUUGAAUUUACUUAAGUUAAAUACAAUAAUUGUUUUACCUUAUUAUGACAUGUCAAAAAAUACUACAUGACGACUUCCUAUUGAUCGAUGAGAACCACUACUGGAGGACAGAAAAAUUUCUCGUUCAACACAGUGGAACCUUGCAUCUAGCGAGAGUUGACUAGGCUGGCAGGUUUGUUUGUCCAUGCCAGCUGCUCGACGUAAAUUAAGCUACUUGGAAAAAAGAACACACAAAACAGAACAAACAGAAAUUCCUCAACUUAAUUGUAAACUAAUCAAACAUAUUAAUUUUCUGGGUUCCCAGAAAGACUCCAUCAGAGAAAAGAGAACACAGAGUUGUGUUUUGGGGAAGACAAGCUAGCUAGCUCUACAAGGCCUUGUGCUUUUCUGUGUGGUGUGGAGGUGAACACAUACUCUGUUGACUUGUACGUCAGGUCAACUCCCCCCCCCCCCCCCCCCCCACCCAUUGUUAUAAGGUCAGUACUGUAGUUUAUAUCACUUUAGUUCAAAGUUCAAACUGAGGUUAUACUCUGAGCUAUAUCUACUUGUUUGUAAUGGGAUUAACCAAUUUGAACUGAGGUUAUACUCUGAGCUAUACUCUGAGGUUUGAACUGAGGUUAUACUCUGAGCUAUAUCUACUUGUUUGUAAUGGGAUUAACCAAUUUGAAGAUAUUGCUGAUCAUGGUGUUGGACUUGACCUUGAAUAUGAGUGUUUCAAGUUCAUAAAGCAAAGUUCAUGGUUAGUCAAUACUUCUUUGGUUUAGUUCAUAUAUACCUAGGAUCGGAUGAGGGUUAGAGAAGAAAGUGGAAAUGAGUAACGAGCUUUAUUGAUUUAUAUUGGCCUAAAUUUUUUUAACUGUAUAUUAAGGGAUGAACUAAAAGAAAUAUGACAAUUAAACCAAUGUCUUGUUUCAGAUUACUUUCUCGGUCCCUUAGCAAAUAGCAAUUUUUUGUUGUUGGUACCUUCGGUCUAAGAAAAACAAAGUAGUACAAAACCAAUAACGUACAUAGAAUGGUUGUUUUUGCAGAUGAAAUCUUGGUCAGUGUUCUUCCUUUGUGUUUAGAAUGUGGUUCAGCCAUAGCUGAGGGUCUAUAUUCAUAGAUUAUCUCAUACAAAGAUGGCAAAGGAUAUAGUUAUCGGUGCAUCUUUUGUUCCGGUGUCUGAAUUACUCUCUCAGACAGUGUUUGCCAUGUUUGAUACUGUAAAAUCAGCCAAGGAAGUCCUCAUUCACAAAGAGAACUUCAAAGUAUUUGCUACAUACCUGGAGAGAACAUCUUCUAUAUUGAAAGAGUUGUCAAAGCAAAACAUUGAGCAUUCAGAAGGCCUAGUUAAUGCUUUGGAGAUUGUCAAUCGAGAGGUGGAAGUUGCCAAGCAUCUAGCUCUUGAUUGCAGAAAGAAAAACAAGGUUCAUCUGUUGAUCAAUUGCCGGAAGAUUGUUAAGGCGCUAGAGAGCAGUACAAAAGACAUUGGUAGAGCACUUAGUCUACUCUCACUGCCUUCUUUGGAUGUUUCAUUGGGUAUAAACAACCAGAUUAGCAAUCUAUGCAAGGACAUGUUGGAUGCUGAAUAUAGAGCAGCUGUAGCUGAGGAAGAGAUUUUGGCGAAAAUUGAGCUAGGAUUACAAGAAGGAAAUGCUGAUCUGUCCCACACAACUGAUUUGCUUCUUCGUAUCGCUGAGACUCUUGGAAUCUCUAGUGAGCAUUCUGAACUGAAAAAGGAAUUUGAGGAGUUCAAACGUGAAUUGGAUGAUACCAACUUGAGAAAAGGGUCUGAAGAAGAUUUGCAAAUGGAACAGAUUUGUCACAUUAUAGAAUUGCUUGAAAAGACUAAUGCUGACACAGCUGCUGAGGAGAAAGUGAACGAGUAUUCAGAAAGGUCAGUUUCAUUGGGAAGGCAACCGUUGGAACCUCUUCGGCAAUUUUAUUGCCCUCUCACUCAAGAAAUCAUGGUGGACCCUGUGGAAACUUCAUCUCAGCAGACAUUUGAAAGAAGUGCAAUAGAGAAAUGGUUUGCAGAAGGUAAGAAUCUAUGUCCUUUGACUGAUAUUCCUUUGGACACAUCAGUUUUAAGGCCGAACAAAGCUCUAAAACAAUCCAUUGAAGAGUGGAGAGAUAGGAAUACCAGGAUCAUCAUUGCCUCUAUUAAACCAACUCUUCAGUCGAGUGAAGAGCAAGAAGUGCUUCAAUCCUUAGACAAGCUGCAGAAUCUAUGCUUGGAAAGUGACAUUCACCAAGAAUGGGUGACAAUGGAGGAAUACAUUCCAGUCCUCGUUGGACUUCUUGGUUCAAAAAAUAAAGAAAUAAAAAAGAAUGCUCUUGCCAUCCUAUCAAUCCUUGCGAAAGAUAGCGCAGAAAAUAAGGUACCUUCUAAUAGGUCAUGCACUAUUAUAUAAGAUUGAUGAUGCAUUUCAAAAUUUCCUAAUUUCCUAAUUUUCAUCAUGAGUAUGUUUAUUAAACUUUACAGGGUAGAAUCACAGCAGUGGAUAAAGCACUUGAAGCCAUUGUCCGCUCACUUGCACGGCAAAGUGGGGAAAGCAAGGUAGCAUUGCAGCUGCUAUUGGAACUGUCGAAAAGUAGAGUUGCGCGAGAUUUAAUGGGAAAUGUUCAGGGAUGCAUACUGCUCGUAGGAACAAUGUUAAGCAGCGAAGAUGAUCAAGUCACCGGACAUGCAAAAGAGCUUCUAGAGAAUCUUUCUUGCAUUGAUCAGAAUGUUAUACAGAUGGCAAGAGCGAAUUAUUUCAAACCUUUGUUGAAACUUCUUUCUUCAGGUACGCUUGGAACUUCUGUUGCAAUUAUUAUGUCAUUUCCUUCUUGUAUUGUGUAUUGUAACAAUCUAUAUUUGAUGCAGGACCAGAAGAUGUUAAAAUGGUUAUGGCAGGAACUUUGUCGGAAAUUGAGUUGACUGAUCACAACAAAUUAUCUAUAGUUAAAGAUGGGGCACUAGAACCACUUCUUGAACUGCUUUCAAAUGGUGAUUUAGAGAAGAGAAAAGUGGGUGUUAAAGCUCUUCUUCACCUCUCUAGCUUACCUCAAAAUGGCCUGGAGAUGAUUAGAAAAGGUGCAGUUGGACCACUGUUUGAGCUUCUCUAUUCUCACAGCUCAUCAUCACCAGCCUUGCGUGAGCAGGUAGCCGAAACAGUCAUGCACCUAGCCAUAUCAACCACCACUCAAGAAGCCGCAGAGGAUCAUGUCUCAUUGUUACACUCUGAAGAUGAUAUUUUCAAACUUUUUUCACUAAUAUCUUUAACUGGACCUGACAUACAAAGAAGCAUCCUCAAAACUUUCCAUGCAAUGUGCCAAUCAUCUUCUGGUUUAGACAUCAGAAUAAAGUUGAGACAGGUAAUUAACAUAACAAAAUUGAAACUUUUUUUUGGGGGGACUAAUAGUAAUAUAUACCCCCGGCUUCUUGUGAUCUUUCUAUUUACUUACAUAUGUGCAAUUCACAGCUCUCUGCUGUCCAAGUAUUGGUUCAGUUGAGCGAGGCUGAUAAUCCUACUGUCCGAGCAGAUGCCAUCAAGUUGUUCUCAUGCUUGACAAAAGAUGGUGAUGACAGCACCUUUUUGGAGCAUAUAAGUCAGAGAUGUAUACAUUCCUUGCUAAGGAUUAUAAAAAGUUCUAGUGAUGUGGAAGAGAUGGCUGCCGCAAUGGGUAUUAUUGCUAAUCUUCCAAAGGAUCACCCGCAGAUUACUGGUUGGCUUCUAGAUACCGAGGCGCUUCACAUCAUCUGGACUUGCCUAAGUGAUGGGAAUAGAGAUGCCUCAUAUAGAAGACAAUUAGUAGAGAAUGCUGUUGGAGCUCUUAGUCAUUUCACAGUAGCAUCAAAUCAGGAAUGGCAGAGAAAAGUAGCUCAAGCUGGUAUUAUCCCAGUGCUAGUGCAGCUACUGGCUUCUGGAACUGCUUUGACGAAACAAAAUGCAGCUGUAUCACUCAAACAGCUAUCCGAGAGUUCCAAAAGCUUGAGCAAGCCGAUAAAGCAUGGCAUUUUUGUGUGCUGCUUCUCUGCACCUGAACCUGGCUGCCCUGCACACUUAGGCAUUUGCACAGUUGAAUCUUCAUUCUGCCUAGUAAAGGCCAAAGCUCUUGAUCCACUUGUGAGAAUGCUUGGGGAGGCAGAUGUUGGUGCAUGUGAAGCUUCUCUAGAUGCACUUCUGACAUUGAUAGAUGGUGAAAGACUAGAACAAGGCGGCAAGGUGCUAGACGACGCAAAAGCCAUCGGUCUGAUUGUUAAGCUACUGAGCUCACAGUCUGCCAGGUUACAAAGAAAAUCUCUCAUGGCUUUGGAAAGGAUUUUUCAAGUAAAUGAGUUAACUCUCAAGUAUGGAACUUUAGCUCAUAUGGCAUUAGUGGACAUUGCUCAGAAGAAAAAUAACGACAUGAAAUCUUUGGCUGCCAGGGUACUUGGUCAAUUGGGUGUGCUUGGUAAACAGUCUUCUUACUUUUGAUUGAUCUCAAUACACUUCUCAUUCGUGAUUGAUGUAAAUUUGACAUUCGCUUCUCAUAUCAUACUCAACGAUUUCUUUGUUCAGUCUUUUCCUCGUAUAAGAUCAGUUUUUUGGUUAAUUCUAAGUUCACUUUUUCUGAGCCCGGCUAAUUAGGUAAACGGUGUAAUUCGUAUGAUAUGCAAUUUGGUAGGAGGCAAUUUUGGUGCCUGAUGUUGCAGUUAGGGCUCUGUAGAACACUGCUCAUAUCAUAGAAAUAUGGAGAGUAUAAUGUCAUUUAUUCAAACACAUCUCUACAUCAAACGCUCUUAAGUUUCUUCAUCAUCAAUAUAUGAAAUCUAAAUAAAAGUUGCCUACAAAAGAACCCAAGACAAGCAAUUUACAGACUAAAGUAAAGAUUGUUUCUUCUAAAAGAUCUAAAAUUAUGAAAUUUCAUCUUAGAGGACCGGGCAGCCAUCAACAAUAACCCCUUUGGCAGUAGGGCAUGUAGCCAAGGGACAUGGCUCUCCUUUGUUCCCCCACCACUCGAGAUUAAUGUUCUGGGACUGCAAGGUAAGGAAUAACAAUAUUGUAACAAAGGCAGUUCCGGCAUCAAGACCACCAGAGACAACAUAGUUAUACUUCUUCCACCAAUCUUGCCGGUACCUGAAGACAACAAAGCCUGAAACAAAUGCCACAAAUAUCCAACUUGUAAAGUUUAUAGCCGUGGCAGGGGGCAUCAUCCCCGUCGCACCUAGCAGGACAGGCAUGUUAACAGCGAGAAUCCAUUUUUGUUUGGGGAAAGCCCUAUGCGCAAGCCAAACAAGAACUGGAGCAACGGCGCCCCCGAGGAAAAACCAGUUGAUGUUACUGUAUUCACCAAGGUUUCCAAAAAUUCUGCGUGGUCCAACGAGACCCCAGAUAACAGAUGCAUCAAAGAACACGCGGUCCAUUGGACAAGUCCAAGGGCUGCCUGGUGGUAGCAGGGAGGUAUCACAGAGGUUGCGAAUGUCUGACAUCAGCCACCACGCUGUGCAUUGGUAUACAACCACUGCUACAACGGUUCCUACCAUCUGUGCUGUGAACAUUGCUCUUGGCGGAAUCUUCAUGUAGUGACCAAGCUUAAAAUCCAUUACAAAUUGUAGGGCUUGUGUCAUGCUAAUGUAACCAUACACUUUGAAGCACAUGUUAGCUACAGGGCGCUCAGGGUACAGGUAUCCAAUCACAUAUUCUGUGAUGACAUUCAAACCUGGUUCCUAUUGAAAAGAUGGGACAAAAUGUCAGAACCAAUACAAGCUUACAGUUAACAACAAGGAAAAAAAUUAAGUUAGUUACCAUGUUUGUUGUGGCAUAGAUGACACCAAUUGGGUAUGUGAACGCAAAGGCCAUGAAACAAGCAAGCAUUGCACCCCACCAAGGCAAUUGAAGUGACUCCUUGUAAUACACAGAAGCAAAAAUGAUAAGAGCAAUAUUGAUCACAAGGAUGAUGAUAAACCACAAUGUUGGCACCGAUUUGUAACUCUUCAUAAGCCUUGUGUGGACAUCCUUUUUCUUAUUUCCAUGAAACGCGUCCAGUAUAUCCCUGCAUAGAAAAUUAUCAAGUAAAAGAGUCCAAUGAUGUUUCCUUGCACAUAAAAGUCAAGCCAGAGCAUGAGCAUAACAAUCUACUUGAUGUUUUUAAGUCGAUGCUGAAAGUUUAAUUUACCUUGCAUUAAAGAGUAGAACAUGCAUAACUGUAGCAGAAAGUGCAGCAAAUCCAAGACCAUAAGUACAAGCGAAAAAGGUGCUCAAAUGCAGAGGCCCCUUCUUUGCAUAUUCGCCGUGAUCAAGUUGAAACCUGGAAUCAAUGACAUCGAGGACCUCAUACAUAGAACCAUUCGCCAUGAACAAGUGGCUAGAAAAUAUUGGGAAUGUUUUGGCGCUGUAUAUAUUAGACCAGUAUGUGAUGGGUGUCAUCACAUACAUGACAAGGAAAAAUCCAACAGCAACGUUGGCUGAGGCGAACCAUGGGCUAGCCAAAGGAGUACCAAGAUAUGAUGAAAUAGUAGACCAAUCAAUUGCAAAAGAACCAAUUCCAAGGCCAUUCAUGCCAGAACCCAGCUGGUUAACUAGAAUAGACUUGGGUCGAAUCCAACAAACCCAAGAGAUAGUUGUUAGCAUAAUUAAAAGAUAACCGGGGAAGAUAUAGUAAGCAAAACUGGCAAUCAUCACUACGAGGAAGAACUGGGUACGAGUCAUGCUUCCUUUAGGCCUUUUGCUCUUCUCAUGCAGAGCACUGCAAGCAAUCAGACAUUAAGAGAUUCAAUACUAUUAAGUAAACAAUAAAAGAAAUCAACUGGCUAAUACUAAGGAAGUAAGGAGCUAAGGAAAGUUUACCUGAACAAUGAAACCUGAACCAGAUUACCGGGCCACCACAUCUUCUCUGGCUCAACCAGAUAUUUUCUGAAAAUUCCAGCCCAACCAAACCCCAAAACCUAUAAUUUUAAACGGCAAUGAAUAUAAUAUACUCAAAUCUUUGUACUAUAUCAGCAUAAAACCAAUCAAAAAUCCAAAGAAAGUGAGCAACAAAAGUACCUGAGUGGUGAGCAUAACAAUAAAGGCAGGAAGAAAAGUGAGCUUCCUCUUGUAUAAGAGCUUAACAGCAGUCAAGAUAUGACUAGCAUAAACAGUCCCAGCCCCGCAAUUCGCAAAUAUGGUGAUCAAAACAUGUUCCUUGACAUUGAAAGGCCCCGGAUUCAUGGUGAACUCUAACUGAGUACCUUGGAAAAAGCUGCGCGUGGGAAGCACUCUCGCCAUGAAAUGUCCGAGUGGCACCACAGCAAUCUGUGCACUGAUGGCUGAGAUAGUCAAGGGCUGAGUCCUGUACCAGAAAAACUGGUUCACAAAGGAGAGAAGGAUACAUGAGACCAAACCGAGAACCCACAUUCGGAAUGUGAGCACCGGCAAGGUGGGAUCAUCGGUUUUCGGCACCGUCAACUCCACUUGCUCAAUGAGACAACGGUCAUCUUCCUUCUCCAUGUCCACAGCACUACGACUAUCUAUCUCCAUGAUUCACACUAGAAAACCGAAAACCAAAAGAAAAUCAAACCAAUGACCUCCUUGCUGUGUGCAUAACACACAACGCAGAGAGAAACAAACUAGGACGAAAGAUAUGUGUUAUUGGGGUAUGGUGUAUGAAGAGAUAGAUAAGAAGAUGCAGAUAAAGAAUCUGAAUCCAAGUGAAUAAUGCAUUUACUGAACAGAACAGAUAGGUAUACCUGAGAAGAAGAUAGAGGUUCAGUAGGUGUGGGACUCAGUUAAAACAACGAGAAAGAUUCUACGAUGCAUGUGAGAAUCCUAAUUAUUGUAGCAAGUUAGAUUCAAAUAGAAGUCCCCGCAUCUGUGUUAAGAUGUCAAGAUGGGCCCGCUGAGAAGUUAUUGUAGUUUACUGAACAACUAACCAGAACUUUGAAACAGAGUAUGACUCUUUUAGUCAGAAUCUGAGUGAGUGAGACCUCGAAAGAGAACGCCUAAAUUGGACUCACUUAACAUUUAAAAAAAAAAAUUCGACUCACUUAGAAAAUGAAAGACGACUUUAUCCAAAAAAAAAAAAAAAAUACUUAACAACACUACCAAAACGCAUGCGCUUCUACAUAGACAGUUUCUUUCAGUUCAGGAGGAUGAGAUGUAGUUGCUAGAACGUAAGUUUCAAGAUUUCAUAAUUUGAUUUUGAAUACUCUAAAUCCAUGAAUUAUUAAAUUUUUUUUUCUUAGAUUAUGUUUGAAUCAUAUAAAUUCUAAUUUCUAAACUGUGCGAGUAAUGAGGUAUUCGAGUUGGAAAAAUCUUCAUCGACUAGUGGAUCUUCCUAACUUGGGCUAUGGAACAGUACCUUGGCCCACUUCUGUCUCAAAGCCCACAUCACUCAACUUGGUCAUCAGUACUUCUGGUUUAACGGAAUUGGAUCCCAACUAUGCCUAUUUUAAUUUUUAACUAGCGUUUACAAGUCUCAGGUAAAUUCCCAAGGUCGGCAUCAUCUUACAACUUGUUUACUUGUUGAUUUGAUCAUUUAAAUACAUGGAAAGCAAAUACAACUUCUGCGUCAGAGAAAACCUAUCUGAUAAAUCAAAACGUCCCCCUUUCAAUAAAUUGAUUAUGAAUGGAACGGACGAUCACCGCAAAACUACUCAACUUUUCCACCUCCACAUUCACUUUCUCAUCGUCACCACAGUGAACACAGCCGACAGUAGCAAAGCAGAACUAAACCCGUGGAAGAAAAUCACAAUGGGUCAUUGUCUCCUUAGCUGGGUACAACUAAGUUGAAGUUGUAAAUACAAGCUAACAUGGGGAGGGCGAUGCACAAUCAGAGGUGCAUAUGUAUGACCCUGGACUUGGGGUGGGGCAAAGGUCACAUUGAUGAUCCUCUUAUGUUUUCUGUGAUAUCGCAUCCUCCAUCGACAUAUGAGUAUGAAACCAUUGAAUUUCCAAGUGGUUACAAUGGAAGCAUGCUGCAAUUGACUAUACUUUAAUAGACAUGGAACCUAACUCGGAAGUAGCUCUUCAAUACGGCAUGCAAUGAGGAACAUCAUAAAAGGUCGCAUACGGUUAAAAGACUGUAGCAAACCGUAUCUAAUACUUCGCCCCUGACAUAUGGUCAUGUUAUACUAAUGGAAUCAGAAACUGAAAGAAUCAGAUGCAACCCAAAUGACCAUAUGCUAACCUUUUGUUUUCAAGAUAAAGAAAAAGAAAAACACCUAGCUAAAAGGAGGCAAUACAAAAGGCAAAAUGAAAUGCAGCAAUUUGAAACCAGCUUUUCACAAGAACUUUUAAAAACUGAUUGUAUCAUUGAUUAAGGACAUUUUUAUAACAAAAUGCAGCAGCAAUCAUUAGAAACCUGUUCUUGGUAAAGAAAACAAUACGAACUAAGAAAAUGUGUAAAUGCUUGAAACAAUUCUCUCAAGGACAGGGGCAUAAACAUUAAGUUGCCAGCAACACUCAUCCUACACACAGACCAUAUGCCAAGAUAACCUAUAUACACACCUGUAUCCAGACCUGUAUCCAGUUUAGCAUGGAUUCUUCAAGGAUUAUCUAUAACUGACAGCAGAGAGCCAUGACACAAAUCGCAAUAUUUUCAAUACAUAAGAUAUCUACUUCAUCAGUUACCACAGUUUCAUCACUAAAUAGAUAUCAAACACUGAUUCAAGAGAAUGUGCAAAUGAAAGAGAUUUCAACACGUUCUACUAAAAAUAAGUUUACAAUAUCUAACGAAACGCAUAUGGCAUUACGGCGUAAGUAGUCAUAAUUAAAGUGCAUAUGGAAAAGUCUGAAAUAAAUAUAUAAAAUUGUCUGCAGAUGCCAAACAAGAAACCACUCUAGCGAUUUGCCCACGAUAAUCGAGAACCACAUAAUCUGAGUUGGUCCUAACUAUGCGCCUUAUAAAAAUCUUGAAACUGCAUGUUUGUUGUACGGCCCCUCAUUAUCACAACCUCCCAAAUCAUGCAAGUCCUACAGAGAAGAGUCGUCCCACGAUUUAAGUGAAUUUUCUUUUUAACUUUUACUCAGCACCUAACGGCCAUAAAUGAAAAAAGGUCGUGUGGAUCAAAGUCGGUAAUCACCUGAAAACCGCAUAAUUCAACGCUUCCCUCGGUGCCCACCACCUGACCUCGCACCAGGAUAGCGAGCAAAUUGCAACCUUAAAUUGACCGAGUCACGGUCAUGCUCAUCGAACGUAUAACCUGCAAAAUUGAGGUUGCCCAUUUACGCUAUAACUAAGGUACGUUUUAACGGCGAAUUAGGGCAUCAGCAGAUAGAUGUUAUAAGACGAGAAAUCAUUAGCUUAAAUACAUUAGGCCUAUCACUUUUCAAUACAGCUAAUCAGAAAAUGUGUUUCAGCACACUUCCUAAAACGUGUCACAUGCUUUCUCUCCUAAAAUAAAGUAUACAGUGAUUAGGGAAACCUUAAGAGAAUAAGGGUUUAACUGCCAAUAACAAAGAAAGUGUCUGUUAACACAUGAGAUGACUAUCAGCUCCACAUUCUUAGACAGCGAUUAAGAAUGUGGCUGAAAAUGAUCACUCAGCUUUCUAAACCGAGUUUCAGUAGUCCAUUUGAGUAAUGAAUCUUCAACCAAUCAAGGCCCCAAGAACCAACGGCCAGUCCUAUUGUUUAGAAGAAUUUGGAUUGGGGCACUGGGUGACUUUCUUGGGUAAACCUGCAACUAGGGAAGUAUCACGUGAAACCAAGACCUAACAAACGAAACUGACAUAUUCUCCUGAAACACAAAAUGGGCUGUGACAUAAGGGCAACAGAAACGUUCACUACCUCCUUCAACUUCAAUGUAUACCGGAUCAAAAGACAUACACCAUUCUUCUUAAAUCCCACGCUAAUCUCUUUAAAUGGAUAAGCUACAUAACUAAAUAAAUGAGAAGCUUUAAGGAUUUAAAUGUUGGUAAGCUGUGGAAGUUAGAAGUUUCGCCUCACAACUUUAGGGUACUGAUUUUCCACAUGAAUUAUGUUCGAAUGAUGCAGGUGUAAUCAUUCCUUUCUCAUAGUCAUAUUAUCACUGCUACCGUCUUUUUUUUGUUUUUGGUUAAUUGUCAAUUCCAUAGAGCAGUCAAACAGCAAUCGACUACAUAAAACUUUUCCUUCUAUCUUGUUCAUUUAAAAAGAAAAAUGCAUCAUGAAUGAUUUGGCAGUGCCACUUCUUGCGAAGUGACUAAAUAAUGUUAGGAAAUGCAACUCCACCACAAUUGUAUAAGAGGAUCUAACAACAAGCAAUUAUCUGGAAUGACCGGCACAAAUAUGUGGCUUUGGUCGAUAAAAGUUGAAAUAAAAUUGUGAGCUUACCUUGCAAGGCAUCCAUAGCCGUGGCUGCAUGGGCAGGGCUCAUAAAAUCAACAAAACAAAGUACCAAAGGUUCACCUCCAGGCUGCAUAAAUAGGUUAUUAGUGAAUCCACCAACCAUUAGUCAUUGAAUCUACCCUUGAAGAAAUAUAAACUUACAUGUCUUGACUCCUUGCUUACAAGUCUCACUUCUUUGUAACCAACAAAUGGGCGAAAGAUGUCUUAAACAUAGUGAAGGAAAAUCUAUUGUGAAGGUAAAAUGCAAAGGAAGAUAAGAAACUGAGCGCUAUACGAAGUUCAUCACUAAAAGGAUACGAGCUACUUCACGUCGCGUACAAUUGGCAGGCAAUCCUUCCACAAAAAGUGUACUCGUCGCACCAGGAGGAAGAGGAACCUCAGGCCUCCCACCUCCCAUUCCCAAGACCCUCUCUUUUACAGGCCCGGGUUCAACCAUUCCCAUCAUUCGUGGGUCAUCAACAGAACGACCAGGUAGUCCCCCGCUCAUGUUUCUAGCAGACUGUCCCCCACUAUAAGAUGACAUUUGCUGAAAGAUUACUUGUUACAUUAGCCUCCUACUAUACAUAAAAUAGACAGAUUGUGAUAUGUAAGUGAGAUGCAAAAAGUGAGUACCGCAGAACGAAGGUAGCGAUCAUAUGAUGCGUUAAUGGAGUCUGUAUCUCUCAUCCCACGGAGUGAACCUCUAUCAUCUUCGUGGGGAUAAUAACUAGGCAGGUCAUGGCCACUAUGGGAAUCUGAAAGAAGGAUGUACUUCAGUUAUAACUUUUGUAUCCACAUGAUUCUAAGAAAUCAAACUACAACAGCGUGAGCAUACAGAACAUAUAGUGUCAAUUAAAUAUUGCAGAAAACAUAACAGAAGUCAAUCGUUGUGAUCACUUGAAACACAUUACUAGUCCUAACCAGGUUACUAAGUAGUUAAGACCCAUCAAGAUGCCCAGAUAUCAAAAGAAUAUGCAUCUGCUAACAGGAUCACUUGACUUAAUUUGGCAUCCAAAGUGACAGCUUCGUAGUAUAUAUGCUAGCUAUAAUAAUCCGGAGUAAUAUCAUAGCUCCAGAAUAACUAAAACUAAAUAUGUGGAUGAUAUGAUCUGAAUACCUACCCAAUGAAUCCAGGAUUCAGACAUAAACAAGAUAACCCGUAGAUGAAAGUAAUUCUUAAAUGAUUGAUAAGUAUAGUCUAUAGAUAGCCUUAAAGGAUAUUUAGUCACUAUCCAGAAAAUAAACAUAAUUUCAAAACAUGAGUGCAGCAAAGCGCCAGCACAAAGCCUGGAUUUAAAUAUUAGGUAAAAAAACAGAUAAAGAAUCCAAAAAUUGUAUCCUAAGAGUCGGAACCAGCCAAGAUGCUAAAUUAAUUGAAUGAUUUGAAUCAAUACUGAUCAUCAAAAGCAACAAAUGAGUGUCCGCGUUAUAAGACUGCCUAUCCUGAUUAUGAAUGCAGUUCGAAGGGAUUGACAAAUCUUCACAAAAUUGACCAUUUGAAAUCAGCAAUGCUCAUUUUCAGCUAACAUAUGCAUGCUCGGCUUACAGUCAUGACUGUGCAACCAACACACCACAUGCAGAUACACAACUAAACUUAUCAUCUAAUGCAAUCGAGUACACCCUAAUAACAAACGCAAGCACCUAUUCUAUGCAUCAAAAUCCAACACAGCAGCACCUCAAUAAGUUGAUUUAACACACACAUCAACAGUGACGGAAUCGAUACAGCACAGAUCAUACGAAAAUCAUAUCACCACCACUAAAAAUCUCCAUUAAAUCGCUCAAACAGUAGCUAAAUCUAGCAUUUCAAACACAUACAAAAGAAUCCGCACUCCAUUUUCCAAUUCCUCACCCCAAUAAACCCUAGCUCGAACACUACUGAGCUCUCCUUUUACCAUUAAAAUAAUUAAAUAAAUAAAGCUCCAUCUCACUUUAAAUUCAGCUCUAUCAGCACAAUCGAAACAGAUCCUAUCCACAGUAGCCCUAAUUUCUCAUCAACCAAUCAAAUCAACAACAACUAAACCCUGCGGAUUCUACUAGAUUCAAGAAGGAACUCGAUGCGUACCGUAAUCUGGACGCGGACGCUUUCCCAUGCCGGAAUUCAUCCCCGACGGCGGCGGCUGCCGUCCGUCGCUGUACCUCCAGUAAGCGUCGGCCAUCUCAGAAGUAUCUGCAAGGUCUUGCAGAGCAGAGCAGAGCAGAGAGAGAUGAGAGCAGGAAAAAGAAGAGGAGAAAUGAGAUCAGAAAGUGUUGAGAGUCUCUGAAGUGGCGAAGUGCGGAGCGAAGAGUCUCUGCAGUUAACGUUUUUUUUGCUUUUUCAUACAAUCGUCUCUUUAUUUUCCCAAUUAAAAGCUUUUACCUCCGAGGUAAAUUCUUCUGUAUUAUUAGAGGGAACUGAAAUUUACAUUUCUAAUUUUACAAUUCACACCCCCGUUUAUCUCUUUUGGUAAUUUAAAUCUUGUUUUUAGUGAUAUGUGUUUUGUCUUUCUGUGAAAACUUUACCUAAAAAUAAAAGGUGGAAGUGUAGAUUGUAAAAUAAAAAGUGUAAAUUUCAUCUCCCUUAAUUUUUUUCGUUCGAUUAAUAAAUAAAAUAAAAUAAAAGUCACAACUCAGAAGAGCAUCAUCUUUCGAGCAUCAAUUAGAAUUAUUGAGCCAAUGCUUGAAAUGAAAAUGUAAAGUAAUUUCAUUGUCUUUGCCACUCAUUGUUCGUGUUAUAACUUUUCCAAAAGAUUGGAUCUCUUGAAAUAUAGUGUAUAAGACAUUGAAUUUUGAUUUAGUUGAUUUUUUUUUCUGUCUUUUCAAGUAGAUAUACUUUAUGAAGACAUACACCUAGAGAGUUAAAAAUGAAAGUUACUAGUAUUCAUUAAUUUGAUGUACACCAAAAAUACAUUACAAGAGCUCUUCAUAUCUUUCUUUUUUGUACAAAUGAGACAUUACCUUACUCCUUAGGUUUCAACAUUAGGCUCCCUGAUAGAAUGAGUGAGAUAUUAAUAGUUAACAAACCAAGAAGUCAUUGCUUUUCUUGAGGGCUUGUGGCUGAGCACAUUGACCAAUGACCAUAUACCUCAGUACAAACAUAGUAUAAGACUUAGUUUGGUAUUGUGAUUUAAAAACUCAAUUUUUUAAAAACUCAGUUUUAAAUAAGCAACCGUUAACCCAUUUUUUAAAAUCGUGGUUAUUUAAAUAAAAAAGUUCUAGAUAAUCACGUUUUAAAAUUUUUCUAAACAGAAAAUCUAACUAAAAUGAUGAUUAUAAUUUCCAAAACUCAAUAUCAAAUUGGGUCUAAAUCAUUCCCCAAAUAUCAUCUCUUUUUUGGGCUAUGAUACAUCAACUCCAUACAUUUCUCUUAUCCCUCCUAAGUCAGUCAGUCAGCUGGUCACCUACUUACUAAAAAACGUAUGGUCAAGUUACCCAUUUAAAUCCGAAAGUUGAAGUUAAUUGAAUUAAAUGUUUUAUUAUAUUACAAUUAGAUGACAAUUAAGUUUAAUUAAUAAGAUGAGAGCCAGACGUUUUCUCCUCUGUUCUUGUCUUCUCCUCACCCCCAAAAUCUGAAAAUUUGCUGAUGACCCAGAUUGAAAUAUGCCAAGGAUGAUCUGUGUGAUUCAUAUAUAAGUGAAGUGCUGCCAUAUUCAUCCAACCAAAAGCAAUGAACUAAAUGUUGUAAGGUAUUCCUAACAACUAAGAAUCUCCAGAUUCAUAGCUUCUUUACUGUAUUUCCCCAAAAGAAUGAAACUUAUUCAUAACAAUAUGAAAUCUACUCUUUCAGUAAUCAACAGAACACUUAAAACCAAUCAUAAUGCAUAUAAACACCAUCUCACUGGACACCAAACUUAUUGAUAUUAGAGAAAAAACAUGUAAAGGGAAGAGUAAUUUUUGGUUCAGUUUUGAACAAGAACACUACAAAUCAGAGCUUGGUUGAUCAUCCCAAGAAUUAGGGUUAUGUCUGAAUUUCAGAAUUUCUCAGAGAAGGCGAGGAGAAAGACGGGGAAGACGUCUUGCCGGUCUUGGUAUUGAUAUUAGUUAUUAAUUAGAAAUACAAUUUAAUAUAUUUUACUUCAAUUAACUCCAGCCCUUAGAUUUAAAUGGGUAAGAUCUGAUGGCUGAUGGCUAUUGACAGGUGAACAGGACUGUCAGGUCAGUUCCACACUUCCACUUGAUUAUGAUUGUAACUUGUUUAAUCAUUCUUUCUCCUUUAGUUCUUUUCAUCACCUAAUCUUGUCUGUAUAUAUCAGCCUCAAUUCCAGCUAUAAUAAAUAAAAGUCUCUAUUAUACUAAAACUGUUCCAAGUCAACUUUCUUAUCCAGCUUAGUUGGCUGGGCCUCCUGAUCAUAUAUAGUCAUCCACUCUAUAAAUUUGUUCACCUUGUGCUGUUGAUCAACUCAUCUCAGGGAGCAUAGUUUCUUGACACUCCUCCAUACCAUGUAUGCAGAUUUCAAUUCCUCUUUUGUUUCAUUAACCUUGCCUUCUCAUUUAUAACUGAUUACUUCCAUAUUAAUUGGAAUAGAAUGUGAAUCUGUGAUUAUGAUUGACUCAAUCACUAUUAGUGUUGUUAAGCUUUCAGUUUAAUGGCGGUAUAUAGUGGAAACCCCUUCUUCAGCUGCACGAAUUGCAAAAACCCUGUGGCGCUACGUGAAGAUCUUUUGUCGAAAAAAUUUGUGGUGAAAAUCAAAGAUUAUCUUAUUAUUGCAGUAGUUUAUACUAAGUUGUUAUAUAUUUGAAGUGUAAUAGUGUUAACUAUGUUCCUUUGCUGCUGCUAUUUGGAUGUUUAGGCAAAAUCUGGGGCAGCAUACAUGUUCUCUCAUGCAAUGAACGUCAUUGUGGGGCAAAAGGAGGACAAGAAAUUGAUCACUGGUGUUUUUUCUGUUGCUGGCAUACAUUGCAGCAAUUGUGGCCAAGAGUUAGGAUGGAAGUAUAUUCGAGCUUAUGAUCCGCAACAGAAGUUCAAGGAAGGCAGGUUUAUAAUCGAGAGAGCAAAGAUUGUCAAGGUGUACUACUAGUGUCACAUCAGAGAGGAACAAGGCAACACAUAUUACUACUGAGAAUAAUGUCAUUACCAUUUCCCAUUUGGAUGUUUAGUGUGCCUCUGUAAAUAUUGUGUCUGCUUAUUGGUUCUGCUUGUUUUUGCAGUACCUGAUGUGGUGUAAUGGUUAUCUGAGCAAUAAGAUUAUGUGCUAUAUGUACCUAAAGAUGAAAUUUGAGCUUGCUACUGCAAUUUCUCUUAAUUAUAUUGAGUGAGACUGCUGCUCACCUUACCUGACUUCAAGAUUUAAGGCUUGAUUAUGUGGCUCAAUGUUUGGAAGGGAGAGUACUCCAAUUCCCUAAUAUUGUCAAAGAGUACAGAUAAAUAGUUUCACAUAUGAACAAUAUAUAUAAUGUUACUACUGAUAGUAAAUCCCAUUACAAUUAAUCUAUGAGAUUAUGUUGGCUUUCAGCUCCUUGUAACCAAACAGUGCAAGGCAAGUUAACUAAAUGAGCGUUUAUUACCAAACAAUCGUUUAAUGUGAAUGCCGGGUGGACAAUAUACUUGCAGGAAAUAGGAAUCACAUUCAGUAGUCUUGAAAUAAUUCGUUGAAUUCAGAACCGGAACCUUCUUUAAGUCGCAUAUGAACUGCGAGUUCACAUUCCAAUACUUCUUAAACGCCUCCUUAGGGACUGCAGUGUUCUGAAGAUAGAGUCUGACAACAAUGUCAUAACUAUUAUUAGCUGAUCCAACAUUGUUGUCCUCGACGCGUGCACAUUGAUGCUGCUUAGCCUCAGAAUUAAGAUGCUUUUGAACUCCAAGAGUACUAUCCAUGUCCUGCUGCCCUUUGAAUGACAACUUGAGAAGAGUUGUACCAUCUUUCUCUUGGUAGAAGAUAUGAGAAUAGUUCUCUGCAACGAACUUCUUGUCUUGGUAAUAAGCCAUGACCGCAAUGUUAUCUUGAAGUAUGCUGAAAUCCUUGUUGGGGUUUCGGAGGGUGACAUGGAGGACGAGAUUAUAGUGGAGGGUGUCGGUGUUCUUUGUGGUGACAAAGGUGAAUUCCCUUAGCAAAGCAUCAGUGACAUGGAUGUUUUGUGAUAGGGAGUUUUUGAUUCUGUUUUCGUGACUAUACCAAUCGCGAUUACGCCAACACAGAUCAAAAGAAUGGUGGAGCAUAUCUCUGUAGAAGAAGCACCCCUCAUGGUUUCAACAACAAGGUUAUCCUAUGACCUUCAUUCUAUUUAUAAAGGGCAGACUUAGGAGAACAGGAGCUCUCAAGAAAGGUCCUCUAGAAAUAUAUUAGAUAUGGAAAGUAAAUCUAAUUGUUCAAAAGAUGGAAAGUAAAUCUAAUUUGAUUUCAUGCUUCUUAGUUCUUACUUCCUCUUUUUUUUUCUUUACUUGUAACCUCUUUUUUCUAAUUCUUUUGGGAAUAAAAUCUUCUCUAAAUCUUCUCAUGAAGAACAGUUUGCCUUAUAAGUACCAGUAUCGGGCUUAGUUUUUACUUCACCGAGCUAGCUUUCUUUGUCACCAUGAUCGGCGGUUCUAUGGAAUCUUUCGGAAUCAUCGUCAUUCUGGGUUUUGUCAUGGCCAUAAUCUAUGUGUUCAUCGAUUUAAGAAGAUGUGUUAUCGACCCCCACCACUCAUACAUUCAAGUAACUCAUGCUUCGCUUGCCGAGUUCAAUAGGACCACCAUCAACACCCUCCAUUAUAAUCUCUUACUCCAUAUCACCCUCCAAAACCCCAACAACAAUUUCGACGUCUAUUAUGAUAGCAUGGUAGUCAUGGCUUAUUAUGAAAACCAGAGGUUUAUUAUGGAGAAUCACUCGCAUGUAGUUUACCAAGGGAAGAGAAACACAACUCAUCUCACACUGUCACUCAAAGGAGAGAAGGACAUGGACAACACUAUUGGGGUGGUUGAGGAGGGGCAUCAUCAAGAGCGUCUUGAUUCCGAGGUUGAGCAGAAGCAGCAACAAUGCAGAUGUGACAACAAUGGUGAUGAAAGAAACAAGAAGUCUGGAUAUGAUAUUCUCGUCAGGUUCUAUCUUGAAACUACUGCAAUGCCAAACCCUAAGUCGUUCAUCAGGAUGAAUUGGAUGGGGAACUCUCAAUUCACAUGUAACUUGAAAAGGGUUCCAUUGAUCACAGCGUCUAAUUAUAAUCCUCGUUCCUUCAUGAAUAAUAUUGCCAAGUGUAAUACCGAUUUCUAUCGCGUAUCUCAUCCUCCUGGCAGUGGUUGAUCUAUUUGUCGAUGGAUUAUGAUACUUCAACAGGUCUACGAAUUGCCAAAAUUACUUGUUUAUUAUGGUUUUGUUUUGUGGAUUUAUUCGAAGAAUGUAUAUAUCUUAUGUGAUCUAAUCAUUAGUUUAUGUAAUGUUGAAUGAUACUUCUUAAAACUGAAAAAAGUACUAGUGGAUGAGAAAGGACUGCAUUGCUUCACUUCUCUGAAACUGGAAGGAUAUGACUAAAUUUCUAACUGCUCUGCAUCUUCAGCUAUUCUGGAACUAGCAAGGAAAUUUUGUCCUAUACUUAUCAGGAAACAAACCGACGCGGUAUCCUUUAUAUAUCAUGCUACUGAUUUCCUAUCACACAGUAGAUGAUUGUCUUGAACAACUUAAGUCACAUACUGAUUUACACAUGAAUACAAUGAUGGUUAAGCCUUGCACAAUUGCAGAUGGCAAAAGCUCAACAGCAUGAAACAAUGACCAAUUUUCUAGGGAUGCCAAGGUUGAUCUGUACAACACAAAUAUAUAGUACACUUACAUACAUCACCUCAAUUCCAGCUCUAAAAGUCUCUAAUAUGCUAAAACUGUUCCAAGUCAACUUUCUGAUCCAACUUAGUUGACUGGCCUCCUGAAAAUAUAUUCAUCCCCACCCUAUAAAUCUGUUCACCUUGUGCUGUUGAUCAUCUCAUCUCAGGGAGCAUAGUUUCUUGACACUCCUCCAUACCAUGUAUAUAUGCAUAUUUUAAUUCCUCUUUUGAUUACUUUCAUAUUGGAAUAGAAUGUUAAACUGUGAUAUUGUGAUUGACUCAAUCACUAUUACUAGUGUUGUUAAGCUUUCAGUUUAAUGGCAGAAUAUGGUGGCACCCUUCUUCCGCUGCAGGAACUGCAAAAACCCUCUGGCCCUGUGCGAAGAUCUUCUGUCGAAAAACUUGUGGUGAAAUUCAAAGAUAUUACUGCAGUAGUUUAUUCUAAGUUGUUGCCUAUUUAAAGUGUAAUAGUGUUAACUAUGUUCCUUCUUGCUGAUAUUUGGAUGUUUAGGUAAAAUCUGGGGCAUCAUAUAUGUUCUCUCAUGCAAUGAACGUCAUUGUGGGACAAAAAGAGGACAGGAAGUUGAUGGCUGGUGUUUUUUCUGUUGCUGGUAUACAUUGCAGCAACUGUGGCCAAUAGUUAGGAUGGAAGUAUAUUCGAGCUUAUGAUCCGCGACAUAUGUUCAAGGAAGGAAGGUUUAUUAUUGAGAGAGCAAAGAUUGUCAAGGUGUACUACUAGUGUCACAUCACAAGGCAACAAAUACUACUACUAGAUAAUUUCAUUACCAUUUCCCAUUUGGAAGUUUACUAUGCUUUGUAAAUAUUGUGUCUGCUGCUUGUUUCCGCAGUGAGUCAUUGUCAUGAGCAAUAAGAUCAUGUACCUAAAGCUGAAAUUUGAGUUUGCUACUGCAGUUAAUCUUAAUUAUGUUGGUUGAGAUUGCUUACUUCACUUGCAUAAAAAAUAAAUAAAUAAAAAAUUAAAGAUUUGAUUUUGAGCCUCAAAGUUUGGAAGGAGAGCACUGCAAUUCCCUCCGUAUUAAAGAUAUACGCUUGAUGUCCUAGAAACUGAGGAAGAAAUGUUGAUGCUUUAGAAAAUUCAGUCCUUGAAAAUCAAACACCUAGUCCAAACUCAUAAGGAACGUCUUUGAAAUGCUCUAUCUCACCCCAGAUUUUGUCUUUCUGUUCCUAAAACCAGUAUAAAUUGCUCUGCAUAUUCAACCUUGCUUUGUUAAUGCCAAUUCUUAAUCAUAAUUUACUUGCUAGUUUAUGCAUGUGAAGCUAAAGGCCUAAAGCUCCACCAUUGUGCACUAGAUUUGGGAUUCCUGUACAUGGUUAAGAUAACCGAAUAGUCUUCAUCUUUAUCUAGCUCUUGGAAAUUUGGCUGGUUAGGUGAGACCCUUUCUAAGCUUCUAGCUCUUCAGUUUUGACAAUUCAACAAGUUAUAGAUGAUUGAUACCAAACAUAACCAACAAGGUAAAGAUGCUUGCGCGUGUUCACCUCUCGCUCUCAGAGCGCGUGACUGUGUGAGUAUUGCACUUGGUGACUCGACCAGUUAAGUCAUCAAGCUCAAAAUAUUGCAGAAAGUCCUCCUUCUCCUGCCCAGUCCCCACUCUAUUAUUGUAGUUUGGAAACAAGCAACCAUGAUUCUCAAGACUCCACAGUUCACAGGUUUAGUUUUUCUUCUCUUUUCUCCACUCCAUCACCUCACUCUUCCUUUUUUAUUCAAAUCAAUGCCAUCUUGCCUUGGAUUGCACUUAUUGUUUACAAAUCAACAAGGUUUUAUUACCCUCCAAUUCUUCAAGUAAAGAGCAAAGAAGCUUCACAAUUUAUUGAAAAACUAUGAUUUAUUAGGAUUAUGAUCUUUAAUCUUACCCAAUUUUACAGUCUCAGAUCCUCAUCCAUCCCCAUUACAAUACUCAUUUUAUUGAUGGGUUUUUAUUUUUCAUGAAAUACUCCCCACCUUGCCCCGUCCUAAAUUAUUUGUCUAUUGGUUUUCACAAUCGGUUGUAAAUAUUUAUCUUCUAAAUGUUCUUGUUGCUUAUCCUUAAUUGCAAUCAUGUCACUUUCACAGCAUUAUUUUAUAUAUUUUUUCUCUAAAAAAUUUAAUUUUUUGCUUUUGGAUUCUUUGUUCAACCCCUGUAAUCCAUUGUGGUCUAAUCUUGCACGCUAACACAGUCGGUGUUCUUAUCUUUUGGUUUCAGGAUUCUGGGUUUUCAUUGAUCUUCUUCCAGGUGAUCAAAGUUUUGUUCUUGUCAUUCAUGUUUUGCUACUGUAUCGUUGUGUUGUCUGUGUUUUAACUGUCUGCUUUGUUGUUUGGUUUUCUGGUGAGCAGUGAGGUGUGUAGAGCUGAAUUAGUUAAAUUGAUGGCGGAUUUGGUAGGGCCUAGAUUAUACAGCUGCUGUAAUUGUCGAAACCAUGUUUCACUUCAUGAUGAUAUUGUUUCUAAAGCCUUUCAGGUGAGCCACAACAACAUUAGACUUAACUUGUUGGAUGCUAUUUGUUGUUGUUAUUAGUUCAUCUCGUUAUUGAUCUUUGAUUGUUGAGAAGGUUAUACUUAUGCGGUCAAGGAUCAUGUGGUUUUGAAAGAGCGUAGAUCAAAUUAUUGUAAGGAAAAUGAUCUUGUGUAGAGAAUUACAAUUGGGGUGCCAACUUUAUGUGUGUAGCUUGUUUGCUGUGAUCAAUGUUUGUGUCCUGAUAAAUAGUUUCAUAUCUGACAGACAAAAAUCAAAACCUGAAUCUUGUGACUCCAAUCUUUUGAUAAGUAUAUGAAUGCUUGUUUUCAUUUCAUAAUUGACUGUGAUAGUAAGUUUUGGACAUGUUUUAGUGAUUUAGUCCACGAUUCUGUUUAUAGGGAAAACAUGGUCGAGCUUUUCUGUUCUCCCAUGCGAUGAAUAUAGUUGUUGGGGCAAAGGAAGACAGGCAUCUUUUGACAGGUCUGCAUACUGUGGCUGACAUCUCUUGUGGCGAUUGCCAUGAGGUAUUGGGGUGGAAGUAUGAACGAGCCUAUGAGGCAUCACAGAAGUACAAGGAAGGGAAGUUCAUAUUCGAGAAGUCAAAAAUUGUCAAGGAAGGUUGGUAGCAACUAGCAAAGGGUUGUGCUUUUCUUUCCGGUUGAUGUAUAUGUGUACUAUAUAUUCGUGUUGUACAGAUCAAGCUUGGCAUUACAACAGAUCAAGCUUGGCAUCCCUUGAAAAUUGGUCAUUGUUACUUGCUGCCGAGUCUGCCAUUUGCAAUUGUGCAACGUUGUAUCAUCAUCAAAUUCAUGUGUGAAUAAAAAUUAUGGCAUUUCUCGACUCAAGUUUUGUAUGCUUUGAACAUAUGUGUAGAUCAGAAUUUGACUUGUUGUUCUAGAAAAUGAUUUACUGUGUGAGGGAAAUCAUUCAUAAAUGAUAUGGUGUCGGUUUGGUUUCCUAAUAUAUAUAGGACAAAAUUUUCUUGCAAGUUCCAGAAUAGCAGAAGAUGCAGAGCAGUUAUAAAUUUAGUCCGUCCAGAGUUCCAGUUCCAGAGAAGUGAAGCAAUGCAGUCGUGUGAAUUUUACCUCGAUUAGUUUGAAGCUUCACUUACAUGCCUGAACAUUGAACUGUAUAUUUUAUACUGCUGACCUUUCUCAUCCGUUUUCUCCUGUACGUUGGUAUAAGUGCUUUGUAGCAAAGUUCCAGACUCUUUAGGCAAACCAGACUCGAAGGCUUUUCGUUGUUUAAGAAUGUUUUAACUGAUAUAGUGAGGAAACUCAGUACAAUUUAGUUGCUUUUAUACUAAUCAAAAUCAUCAGCAUCAACUAUACAUGCUCAAUUUGGAUCCGUUCAAGCAAUUAAACGUCUCAUACUUUUUAUCUAUUCAUCCAUUCAACCUUUAAAUGCAUCAUGAUAUUAACCAUUUUUCAAACUGCACAAAGCUUACUGUGCAGUCACCAUACUUCAAUAGGUAACAAUGCAGCAGCUUUUGUUUGUCAUUACCUAAGUUCAAAACACUAUAGUUCAUCCACAUAUGUGACCUACAACCUCUGCUUAGUGCUUCAAUAGAUAUAUCUCAAGGGAAAAGUAUUUUCUUUUUUAAUCCGACACCAAUUACCAUUUUAUCAUCAGAGAACAGUGCAUCAAGCAUUCAAGCUACAGCUGUACUAUGAUUACAACAAGCAAAAAAUCUCAAUAUGUUUAUUCAAGAAUCCAUAUGCAAAUACCCUGGAAUCAGAUAAUAUAAUUUCUGUUACCUUGGAUCCAAUGAUCUCAAGUCAUCAACACACGAAGAGAAUAGAUACAGAACACACAUAUAUUUCAUAUAGUAAAGAGAACUGAACAAGAUCAACAAACCUGCAGAAGAGGCCAUUGAUCUCCAAACCUGAUCUUCUACACUUCUCAGUAUCGAAUCUCUCUAUGGGACGAGUGUAUGAAUGGUUGUACGGACCAGCUUUAUAUAUGAAUUCACUAAGCCUUAGCCAAUAAUAGAUUACAUCAUAUAUAGGAAACUAAUUACAUCUUAUAUUCCCAAUAAAAGAUCAAUCUGCUCAAUGUAUAGACAUGAGCAUAACAUAUAAUCCUGCAAACCUUGUCUAGUUUGUCUGUACCUCACUUCUGGGGUCAUGCAUGUCAUAGAAAUACCAGAGGAAGAUAGAACAAAUCCAAACCAUGUCAGGAACCUUAUCCAAAGUUGCAGUAACUUCCUCAUGAACCUUGUUUUGUUUACCUUGGACAACAAAAGGUAAACAAAACAAGGACCCAAGUCAAAUAAGGAAGAGAACGCAAAGACCCUAGCUUGCUGCUUUGGGCUGCUUCACUGAUCGUUCAAAGGUGAAAGGCCCAACUACUGUGCUGAGGUCAGAUGUCAAGGUCAAGAUUCUAUGAGGUAUGGGAUUGGUUUAUAUGAUUUGAUUCACUAGGGUUUUGUCGACUAUGAAAAUUUUCAUUUCUAUCACCCAUAGAGCAUGAAUGUAGGUUUUGUUGUUUGUAUUACUGCCAUGAACAUUGAGACAGUAAUAAAAUAUGUGACCAAGUGUUCAUUCGUAUUGAGGUACGAUUUCAUUCACUAUGAAAGAUUUCGAUCAUUUCUAUGGCGCUCAAAGAUGACUGUAGGUUUUCUUCUUAGAAUUGCAUGGUUACAAAAACUGUUCCGAUUCGCAUUUCGAUCAUGAAAUGAGGUGAUCAUGUUUUACCGGUUGGAUUCCAGGAAAGAGUUGCCUAUAUGCAAUUCAUUAAAUUUAGCUGUCUCACAUAUCUUUUGCCUCUUUGGCUUUGUAUAAAAUAGCCAGAACUUACUGCUCCAAACCCCUUCCACCAAAAAAAACAGAAAAGAAAAAAAGAAGCUGCUGCAUCUUCAUUUUCGUUUCAAGAAAUCCCUCCCAAGUCCCAAACUAUUGAGCCUGCUUACAUACUGAGGUAUGUAUCAGUAGUUCAGAAAUGAACUAAUGAUCGAUCGACUUUGAUAUUGUAGCUAAUAUAUAAUACUCUAGCUCUCGCAUCACAUUUUCGAUCAGCUUACUCUCCUUAGUUCACAGUGUAAGUUCGAUAGGUCAAUAUGUGAGGCUCAAUAGUUGAGAAAAUCAAUGUACAUAUAUAGGUCUUGACUAAUGUGUAGUACGUAUGAACACUAGGUCUUGACUAACUAAAAAGAACGAUAUUUGUUAUCACAUUUGAAGAGGCAAAACUAGUCAAAGAGUUUAUAAUACUCUUAUAUAUGAGUAAAAAUCUAAAAACAAUAGAUGUGGCUAAGUUAGUGAGAGAGGUCAAUUGAACCUCCUGCUCACCAUGUAACUACGCCCCCACUACCCGGGUAAGUUGGUGUAAGUUGUGAAACCGUGUAAGAACAUAUCCAUCAUGAAACGAUCCACGAACCAUCUCCAUAUUUGGAAAUUUCGUUACUAAUUAACUUUCCCCGAACCAUCUCCAUACUUCAUAUCAGCGAUCUUUCGAUCAAGAACCACUCCCAUGCCAUCUAUAUAUUGAUCGAGCACCCACUGUCUGUGCACUUAAACACUCAGCCAUACAUUGUUGCUCUCUCUCUCUCNNNNNNNNNNNNNNNNNNNNUGUGUUGUUGUAUAUAUAUAUAUAUAUAUAUAUAUAUAUAUUCUUGCCAAAUCGAGUUGCAGUGGAAUUGGGUAUUACCUAGUUAUAUAUGUACGUUUUCUUAGUCUAAUUAUUAAUUAAUUUGUUUUGUCAUGUAGAUACUCGGAGCUCUUUGGUACUAUUUUGCUUUUCAGCGAAACAUGGAUUGUUAGUUAUUUGUUUGUACAAGAGAAAAUGGGUGUGAACCUGGUACUUUUGCAUGUCGUGGUUAUACAAGGAGAAAUAUCACGUCGUUACUAAACGAUUUAUGUCCUAUAAAUCUUCCAAAUGCAACAUUAUUCAAUUUUGGUAUAUAUCUUGAUGCUCUCCAGUCCGGUAUGCUAAAUUCAACCGACUUCCCCCAAAAGUUUUUUCACUGUUUUUGGUGGGGUCUUCGAAAUUUGAGGUUAGAUGUUGUUAAAUAGAGCCUCUCGCUCGGAAUAUUAAUUUUGAAGUCCUUACUACUAAAGUGAUGGUUUAUUUUUGCAGUUCUUUUGGUCAAAAUCUUGAGACUAGUAUAUACGUAUGGGAAAACCUCUUUCCGGUUCUCAUUUGCUCGAUUGGCAUGCUACUGGUUUUAGUGUAUCUCAAUGCAAUCUUGCAGGUUAGUAUUCCAUUAUAAUGUAGUAUAAUCACUAUAAUGUAUGGUUGGUAUAACGUAGUGACACUAAUGCAACAAUGAACUCACUACCACAAAUAUGACCAGAGGGCACCAUCAAUAAUCAUUGGUGUGGAUCCAUAAUAGGCACGGCCCUAGCCACUAUUAUGAGAUUAGUUUGCAUUGCUCUCGUGGCUUUUCCCAACAACACACCAUCAUCUUUUUGGUGACUACAUAUAUAUUCACCAAUCCAAUCUUUGGUGACUUCAUUGAAUUAAUCCAAUAUUCGGCUCUAUCUCGUCUCUAGUAUCUCCUGCAAAGCAACAACAUGGGCAAAGAUUACUUGGCUAUAAAUCACCCCUCAUAAUUUUAUUUCCUUCAUAUAACAGAUGAUAUGUAUCCAGUGGAAAUAAAAUCAACUUGAAGCUCAUAAACUAUCAACAUGUUCAUAACCCGUGACUUCCUAAAAAUAUCAACUUGACGAACAAGUUCAUAUAAAAGCUCCCUACAUGUUAUGUAUCACAUACCGUAGUUCAUAAUACAAGAUAAUCCUCUCCUCUCUCUCCUUCCAUCACUAAAAUGCAAGUAUAGUGUACAAAGUCCACAUCUUUUCCUGCAACCAGAAAAACACACUUUGGGUAAGUUGGUCAGAAAACAUACAAUAAAAUUUCUUUUGGGUAAGAACCUUGGAAGAAACAAUUAUCAUUCACAUUUAUUAUAGUAAAACCUGGUUCAAGUUCAUAAAUUAAGCAUCUAUCGGCAUAGUUGACACAUAGAAGGUAAAAUCUGAAGCUAGAAACGAGGUUAUAGUGACCAAUAAUAUACUAUGAAUUAAGUUCCCAAUGAAUGGUAGUAUCAUAUAUAGUAAUGGUAGUAUCAGCCCACUUUUAUGGAUGAUGCAUAUUCAAUGACUGAUUCACAUUUACAAAAGAAUAUAAGUGUACCUUAUUGAGUGAACGACAUUUUUUGUCUCCUCAUUCAUACGGUCCUGCAGCUUUCUGUUUCUGAAUGAACACCCUACAAAAAAACUGCAUAUGACCAGUCAGUUAAGAAUCUUAAGAAGUUCAAAUAGAUUGAUAUGAAUCAAGGACAAUUGUAUACAAAUUAAGAACCGAUAAGGAGGGAAGAUAAAUAUGUAGGUGGAGUUUACCUCCUUCAACACCAGGGCAUCCAACUAUUCUUUUGUCAUAGUAAGACUUGACUAUAGGAGGCGCUUCCUAUAACACAAACAACAUACUAACCUUAAUACACAUUUAUACAUGUUCUAAACCAUGUAAACAUGCUUCAACUUUACCAGUUGAAAUUGACACAUAAGAGGUGCACAAUACGCAUAUUCUUUUGUCUAUUCAUUCGAUAGAGAGCACUUGACUAUGUUAACCACAAAAUUCAUAUGGUAAGAGGAGUCUGACAACUAUUAUCUCUUUUUUCAUUCAUUCACUCGAAGAUCAAAAUAUAAAUAAAAAACACCUUCCCCUCGAUAUUUAUUAGAACUCUGCAAUUAGGAAUCAAAAGACUCUUGUUUAAAGUCUAAAAGUAUAAAUGUAAAAGCCCACUUCUACGACAACAAAUGCCAAAGUCAUCUCAUAUAAUUUAUGAAUAAUGAAGCAAGAACAUGAAACAAAAAAAUUAAGUCUUUAGAGUACCGUAGUAGCAAAAGGACUAAUUGGAUUAUUAAUCUCAAGAAUUUCCUCCCCUAAAAUUAAGUCUUCGGAGUACCUUAGUACCAAAAGUCUAAACUAACAUUAAUAUGAAGUUUGACUAUCAUAUUCAUCUCAUCACCCAAAAACAGUGAUGUAAGCUACUCAAUAUAACAGACCACAAAAGCUGGAAGAAGCUAGUUAUGCAGUAAUUCUCUAUUUGGUGUAAAGAAUAUAAAACUCCAAAGAAACUGCAUUUGAUUGAAGAGUUCAUAAAAUUGAUUUCCCAUCAAGAAUAUACAUAGUCACAUUUAAGAUUAAUACAAAAGACAUAUCUACAAGUUAAAUGUGCAGAUAUACUGACAAUUAAACAUUAGUAUCUACAUGAACUCCUUUUUUUCUUAUUGAUACAUGAACUCCUUUUAUACCACAUCAAACUAAGAAUAAUCAAGUUAUUAGUAGAGUCCUUACUUAAACCUCAUGAACAUUACAAAGUAUUCAAAGCGAAUAAGCAUCCCAGAGAACUGAACUCACCAGCAGGUAAACAACUUCUAUCAAAUAAUUCUCGACAUUGUCAUUUCUGAAACAAGAGUAUCAAGAAUAAGCACCCAAAUUAGUCAGCACUUAAAAAAAUUUCAUCAAAAAACAAUUUUCAUCAAUUAAAUUAUAUCACCUUCCACCUUUCAUUAUCCUAAAGAUCAUGAAAAUGUCCAUUCCUUUUCUGUUCUUUUGACCAGUGUGAUAAGCUUUUCCAACCCUAAAAAAUUAACCCCAAAGUUCAAGUUCUGUGGUGGAGAAAGAAUGCAUGCAAGAGCCUCUAAAACCAAAAUCAAGAAAUUAUGAUGCCCAAGAAAAGAAAAGCACAACUUACCAAAGCAAUUAAAUAUAACAACUUCAUUACAGAUGUAAAAACGAAGCAGAUAGGGAGAUACACUGACUUGUUCCUCUUUCCAUUCAUCGGGUCGAAGCACCAGUUAAUCUUUCACAGCCCAUGGUGAUCUGCAAAAUUUUCAAUCGAUCAAUCGAUCAAUCUUCAUACUAUGCUAAAAGAUGAUAUCGGAAACCAAUCAAUGAAGCGAGAUUAGGAUUUAGGAUUUUCAUUAUCUGCAGUGCCGACGAGGACACGGAGUUUGAUUAGAUCGGUGUAUGGCCGAAAACAGACAGAGUAAUUUGGAGGAUUGGGGAGAAAUCCUUUGGGUUCUGUCACCAUUAGACUAAUAGUGCAUAGAAAAUGGUAUCUGAUGCCCACAUUUGUGGUAGUGACUGAUUACUGGUGUUUACUGAUCUUUUGGGAUAUAUCUGGACAGACAUACAUGCAGAUGGAAGCUAAAAAAUCAGAUUUGAAGGAAAUAGAGGAGAAGAGAACCACGGAUAUAGAAACAUGGUUAUGCGUCAAUGAUCUUUCUGGGGAGCUCAAGACUGAGAUCAUGGGAAACGUGCUAGAGAAACUGAAACCAGACGAAGAUGUCAAUAACGUGAAAGUUCUGUCUGUCAUACCAUGGCGACUUUCACUCGACAUCAAGAAAAACCUCUGUUUAGAUAUGCUGCAGAAAGUAAGUCCAACUCCAAACCUAAUGAUACAUAAUGGCGGGCCUAAUUAAUCUGUUAAUAAUUAUUCUCUUUUAUUUUGUUAAAUUCAGGUUCCCAUGUUUAGUGCUGGAGGAGAAAGAACGAUGGAAUUAAUCUGUGGGUAUCUUAAGCCAAUCAUCUAUAACGAGAACAGCUUUAUACUUCAAGAGGGGGAUCCAGUUGAUAAGAUGCUUUUCAUCACACAAGGUGUCGCUUUCCUCUACAGAACUACUAGUCCCGACGGAAGUGGCUCCUCAAACACGAGUUUUAUAAGUAAAGGUGAUCAUUACGGUGAACAACUUCUGAAUUUGGCACCAGAUGUUGAUCCUUUGAGCUUACCCAGAUCGAACUGGAGUGUCAAGUGCAGCACAAACGUUGAAGCUUUUUUCCUCAUGGCUGAAGACUUGAGAAAGAUAAAGAUUGAUCUAGUAGAGUCUGGUUAUAUAAUAGAUGGUUUGGUUACAAACACAAUGUAAACAUCAUCUGUAGGUAAAAACCUAUUUUCAUGUUUGAAGAGGUAUUGGACCUCAAUAACAAGCGUUGCCCACCCAGUCACUAAGCCCAAGUGCUAACUUUGUCAGUGAAGUCCAGCCUCCUGCUGUACUAGUGGAGGAAGUGUCGUCGGUGUACUUAAUUAGCUCAGUCUAGGCUGACUAGGAUCUACAUUAGUCAAACCUCUUUUUUCUUCUCAGCGUUAGGGCACCCCAAAUGUAUCACAUGCCAAGAUUAAUGAAUGUGAAAUACUUCAAGUAUGUGUUAUAUUACAAUGUCUGACCACUUGAACAGCUUCAUAGUUUGAACCUGCGUCGGUAACACGUUCAAUCAACUAGACAAUAACCACUACACCACUUGUAAUGGUUUAUAUAUUAGUUAUGUAACUUGGUUUUUGGCUCAAAUAUAUGAACAUACACAGAGAAUUGUAAUUACGUAAGGGGGCAUUUGAGAAAUAUAUAUAUAUAUAUAUAUAUAGCAAUAAACUUGUUAAAUUUAUCAAUUCCCACGAACCUGAUCAUCACCACCAGCAGUACGUUGUGACUGAUUGUCAACUCGUUACACCGCAUAUAUAUGCUAAUUAGUUCAGUAAGUUAAGAAAAGUAGAGCUAGAUUAUCAUACGAUGACAUAUUUAGAGAGCGAAAGACAACUAAUUGAGAGAGUCCAAAAGAUCAAAAUCGGUGUGGCAAUCCAUGGAUAUAACUAGCUAGCUAGCUAGCUCGAUCGGUAGCUAUAGAAUUGGAAAGAAAGGUUGUUAAGAGUAUAGGCCCAGUCAGCCCAGUCCUUAUCCUAGUAGCCCAGUCCAAUUCCAUCAACUUGAAGAACAAGUCACUCCACCAAAUUCCAGCCUUUAUAUUCUGCUUUUUUGUCCUUUUUCUCAGUUUUGUCAAUUUGCUCUUUGCUUGUAUCAAUAACCAGUUUUUCCAGAUUUUCAUUAGUCAAGUUAUCAACUUUAUGAUCAUGGUAGAUUUUUAGCAAAGGUGAUAGGAAUCAAGGAUUUAUUGAAAGCACAAAUGCAGAAAUGUAAAAAACACGUUGAAGAGGCUGAGAGACUACAUUUUGUAUUGCAUUUAUAGAUGAACAGUGUAUAUCUGAUACCAUUAUAGGGUAGGGAUUAUAGAGAAAUUACCCAAGUACCCUUAUACACUUAACAAAAGGGACCUUCACGAUGGAGGUGCCCAACCACAACAGAAACCCUAGCUAGUGCUUAAGUGCUUCCAGAAAUUAUUAAAGAUAUUCCUUACAACAAAGGAAGGCCUAUACAACAAAGGUAUUGGAGAGUGAACUCGCAGUUCAUAUGCGACUUAAAGAAGGUUCCGUAAACGAUUGUGAUUAAGUCGGCUAGUACUUUCAAGACUACUGAAUGUGAUUCCUAUUUCCUGCAAGUAUAUCAUGCGCCCGGCAUUCACAUUAAACGACUCGUUUAGUUAACUUGAAUUGCACGUACUUUGGCUUUUUUGUUGUUGUUAAUAUGUCAGUAUAAUACUGGUAUACAAGCUUGAGUCUGGAGCUUUAGCCAAAAAAAAAAAAUGAAAACACUUCACUCUGGAUCGGAGCUGUAAGGUUAAUAAAAAAAAAAAAAAAACUAAUUUCAGUUUAUUCCUAUCAACUUUAGGUCGAUCAUUAUAUUAGUCUAUUUUCUUUUAAUUUCAUCAAAAACACCUCUCACCUUUUAAUUUUCAUCAGCCGUGUCCAACUAUCUGUUUUUCAUCCAAUUCACCAGUCAUGUAAUGACUUACACUAAGAAUAAAACCAAAUUUGAAGUCGCUGAGCCCACAGAAAAAGAGCAAAAUAGACAAAUUGCAUUCAAUCCCAUCAAAAUCACUAAGCUUAGGAGAUUGUGAUAGGUACGGAUAUGUGUAUCGAUAUGGGGGAAAAAUGGCCAGAAAGUUAUUUUUUUCAGAAUUUGAUUUUCUUCUUGAUGUCAUGUAAUCACUUGAUGGAGGAAUUGAAUGGAGAACAGAGGUUUGAACACGGCUGAUAAAAAUUGAGAGUUGAGGGUGUUUUUGAUGAAAUUGAAAUAAAAAUGACUAACAUGAUGAUCGACUUAAAAUUGAUGAAAGUAAAUUGAAAUUAGUCCAAAAAAAAAAAUGAUUGAUCGAAUUGUGUUGUGACUGAUCACAUGUAUUGGCCGUGUCUGGUAGCACAGACUAAAUAGGGUCAAGUCUUGUUCAAACCUGACAAAAUUAGAUUUGCGGAUAUCUACCUUGUUAGGAUCAGAAUCCACAAAAGGUAAUGAAAUAAGUAAAACUAUUACUAGGAAACUAAAGAAAAUAAAUAUUCAUCCCUCCAUCCCCACAAUGGAAGUUUAGAACGAUAUAAAAAUUAAGUAUAACUUACGGAACUAAACAACUGUUUGAUAACUACCUAGGAUGGAUGAGAUCGUCUCCUACCUUACCUCAGCGAGCUAGCUAGCUCGGUAGCUAGAGAAGGUAAUUGCAAAGAAAAGGACCUUCACGAUGGAGGCGCUCAACUACGUACAACAGAAACCCUAGCUAGUGCUAGUGCUUAACUGCUUCCAGAAAUUGUUAAAGAUAUCAACACUACGAUUUCGUUUCUAUAUAUGGCGUUCAAAGAUGACUGUGGGUUCUCUUCUUAUGAUUAGCCAACGAGCUUACGAGCAUCGGGAUAGCUAGAAGCUAGCUAGUCAUUAUGUAUGCGACUGAUUGAUAAUUUGUAUUGGAUAUAUCAUAUAUAUAGCUAAUAUCAUGCAUGCAUAUAGAAAAGUGUCGUAUCAGUUGAUGUAUAUUUUAUACUUGGACUGCAAUUUGUUCAAGCGGCAUGGUAUCUGCAAUUAGAAUGUAGCCGGCCAGGGCUGCUUGGGAGCUUUGACAACUAAUUAAUUUGCAAUAUGAAACAUGACGUAAAUUACGGAGCGGAUUCUACGCACCAAUUAAGGUGCACUCGCACUAUUUUUAAUUAACAUAGAAAGACUAUUGCGACGUGGAUGACCAAUCAAGAUAUUACAUAUAUUUUUUAUUUUUAAUGAAAUUCCAGGAAAGAGCAAGUUUUUUUUUUUUUUUGUUCCGAUAAGGACCGGAAAGAGCAUUUGAUUUGCUUACGCCGUGUAACCAUGUAAGAAAUUAUCCAUUUAUCAAACGAGCUUCCCGGAACCAUACAUAUAUUUAAGUACUAAAUUUUCCCCGGAACCAUCUUCAUAGGUAUAUCAGCCAUAUUUCAAGAACCAUUUCCAAUUGACACAGAUAUAUAUAUAUAUAUAUAUAUAUAUAUAUAUAUAUAUAUAUUAUAUAUAUAUAUUGAGACUAUUGAGGUAAGGCACCGAGUGUCUGAACACUAAACACUCUCUCUCUCUCUCCCCUCUCUGGUAAAUUAUGGAGAUCUCCGGAUCCGCUGAAGAGACGGUAGUGGAGUAAGUUUCUUCAACCCCUCUAGCUACUAAUACCAUUUUCUCUUUUGUUCAUGCGAAUCAUUCACAAUUUAUUUAUUUUUUUGAUAUCAUGUUUGUUAUCAUGUUGAUCAGUAUUACAGCAGCUACUUCAGUGACCGCAGUUGUGACGAGAGAUGAAGAGCAUGUACCAAUAUUAUUGGAGAAAAUCAUAAACAUUCUCCUUUUAAGAAAUCGCAGAGACUCCUUUCUUCUUGUUUGCAUGCUUGCGGUCUCAUUGGAUCCUUUAUUCUUAUACAUUCCUGUCAUCGACGAAGAUCUCAAGUGUCUCAUAGUGGAUGGGAAGUUGAGGAAAGUAGCUCUGGCUUGCCGAUCGUAUACGGACUUCUUUUAUAUAAUGGACAAUCUUGCUCAAUUUUCUUCCAUGAGUAAUGAAUUCGGUGGUCGGGAUAUGUGGCGGUCGCACAUCCUAACUAACUUUUUUGCUACUGUUCCCAUUCCACAUGUAAGACAGCGCUGUUAAUUCUUGAGUAAUCAGAUAUAUUUUCUAAAUUGGUUCAAUAUUUUUCAUGUGGUUUUGUCGAUUUAAUUUGAGGAAUAGUUGGUCUAACCCUCGUUAAUUAACGUGUACGUGCAUGCAGAUAGUAUUCUAUACUUUGCAUAAAAUGAGAGGUUCGAAUUCGCAUCUAAGAAUGUUUCUGAACUCGCUUCUUGUAUUACAAUAUGUACCACGAGUUCUGCGCAUCUACCAAUUGAGAAGGGAUGUUGGGAAUGCUAAUCCCAAGUUUCAUUGGGACGGCGGGAAACCUAAACCCAGGUUCCAAUCUUCGCAUUCUAGAGCAUGGGUCGGAGGUCUUUUCAUGUUCUUUAUGUUUAUCCUUGCAAAUCAUGUAAGAUUCAAUCUUAUAUCUAUUUAUUUCAACAUGAUAUGUAGUGUGUCGGACCAAGAAAAGAAGAUAAACUCUCAAACAUAAGAUUUUAACUUUUAAACAUAAGAUUUCUCAAAGUUGCAUUAACUUCUUUUCAUCACUUUAUGGACUGAACUACCAUUUUAACCACACAAUUUACAAUCUUAAGACUAAUUGAGGACUAAUGUUGUAACUAAAUUUUUUAUAACAGUAAAAACUAAUAUUGUUACUUUAAGGAUUCAUUUUAGAGUAAAUGACACUUUAGUACUAAUUUUAAAGGUUUAUUGCCCACCCCAAUGAAAAACUUUUCCUAUGCCCAUUUCAAUUAAACUUAAUAGAAUUACUUUUCUACCCAUAACUUAUCUAUUUCUCUCCUCUCAUUCCGGAUCUCUCUNNNNNNNNNNNNNNNNNNNNNNNNNNNNNNNNNNNNNNNNNNNNNNNNNNNNNNNNNNNNNNNNNNNNNNNNNNNNNNNNNNNNNNNNNNNNNNNNNNNNNNNNNNNNNNNNNNNNNNNNNNNNNNNNNNNNNNNNNNNNNNNNNNNNNNNNNNNNNNNNNNNNNNNNNNNNNNNNNNNNNNNNNNNNNNNNNNNNNNNNNNNNNNNNNNNNNNNNNNNNNNNNNNNNNNNNNNNNNNNNNNNNNNNNNNNNNNNNNNNNNNNNNNNNNNNNNNNNNNNNNNNNNNNNNNNNNNNNNNNNNNNNNNNNNNNNNNNNNNNNNNNNNNNNNNNNNNNNNNNNNNNNNNNNNNNNNNNNNNNNNNNNNNNNNNNNNNNNNNNNNNNNNNNNNNNNNNNNNNNNNNNNNNNNNNNNNNNNNNNNNNNNNNNNNNNNNNNNNNNNNNNNNNNNNNNNNNNNNNNNNNNNNNNNNNNNNNNNNNNNNNNNNNNNNNNNNNNNNNNNNNNNNNNNNNNNNNNNNNNNNNNNNNNNNNNNNNNNNNNNNNNNNNNNNNNNNNNNNNNNNNNNNNNNNNNNNNNNNNNNNNNNNNNNNNNNNNNNNNNNNNNNNNNNNNNNNNNNNNNNNNNNNNNNNNNNNNNNNNNNNNNNNNNNNNNNNNNNNNNNNNNNNNNNNNNNNNNNNNNNNNNNNNNNNNNNNNNNNNNNNNNNNNNNNNNNNNNNNNNNNNNNNNNNNNNNNNNNNNNNNNNNNNNNNNNNNNNNNNNNNNNNNNNNNNNNNNNNNNNNNNNNNNNNNNNNNNNNNNNNNNNNNNNNNNNNNNNNNNNNNNNNNNNNNNNNNNNNNNNNNNNNNNNNNNNNNNNNNNNNNNNNNNNNNNNNNNNNNNNNNNNNNNNNNNNNNNNNNNNNNNNNNNNNNNNNNNNNNNNNNNNNNNNNNNNNNNNNNNNNNNNNNNNNNNNNNNNNNNNNNNNNNNNNNNNNNNNNNNNNNNNNNNNNNNNNNNNNNNNNNNNNNNNNNNNNNNNNNNNNNNNNNNNNNNNNNNNNNNNNNNNNNNNNNNNNNNNNNNNNNNNNNNNNNNNNNNNNNNNNNNNNNNNNNNNNNNNNNNNNNNNNNNNNNNNNNNNNNNNNNNNNNNNNNNNNNNNNNNNNNNNNNNNNNNNNNNNNNNNNNNNNNNNNNNNNNNNNNNNNNNNNNNNNNNNNNNNNNNNNNNNNNNNNNNNNNNNNNNNNNNNNNNNNNNNNNNNNNNNNNNNNNNNNNNNNNNNNNNNNNNNNNNNNNNNNNNNNNNNNNNNNNNNNNNNNNNNNNNNNNNNNNNNNNNNNNNNNNNNNNNNNNNNNNNNNNNNNNNNNNNNNNNNNNNNNNNNNNNNNNNNNNNNNNNNNNNNNNNNNNNNNNNNNNNNNNNNNNNNNNNNNNNNNNNNNNNNNNNNNNNNNNNNNNNNNNNNNNNNNNNNNNNNNNNNNNNNNNNNNNNNNNNNNNNNNNNNNNNNNNNNNNNNNNNNNNNNNNNNNNNNNNNNNNNNNNNNNNNNNNNNNNNNNNNNNNNNNNNNNNNNCGUCAUCUAAGUUGAUUUUUCUCUUUUUCAAUGUGAAUUAUGGCAUUGGAGCUACUGUUUUGCAAGUUUACUACCCCCAGUAAAAGUUUACUAGGGGUAGUAAACUUCAUUUUUUGCCGGUAUGCUUCCGGCAAGAUCCGGUGGGUUCUUGUGACAUUUUUUUCAAAAAAAUCCAGUGAGACUCCGGCGAUUUUCCGAUCACCAUCAAUUUUCCGGCGACCGGUGACCGGAAUCCGGCGGCCAGUGUCCGAUGACGGGAAUCAGGCAACCGGUGUUCGGCGACCGGAAUCCGGUGACCGGCGCUGGUGUCCGGUGUGCUUCCGGGAAAGUCUUCUCUUCUUCUUUUUCUUUUUUCUCUUUAAAUAAAGGUUAAGGGUAAAAAAGUCUUUUAAAAUAUCAUUUUAUUAUAUUUUAAUAAAGAUUUGUGUAUUUGGGCUUAAAAUAAGUACCUUGUAUUCAAAUGGGCUAAUAAAAAAGAUUAUCAUUGAAAUGGGGUUUGAAUUUUUCUAUUUUGUGCAAAUGGUCUUUUUCCUUUCAUUUUUACAACUUUUAGGAUAAAAUUGAUGAAUGUCAUGCAUUAACACAUUGUAAAAAAAAAAAAUUGUUUUUUAUUACUCUAGCUAUUUACUUUUUUUUUUUUAAUUGCAGAUACUUGGAGCUUUUUGGUACUUUUUCUCUUUUCAGCGAAACAUCGAUUGUUGGUUAUUUGCUUGUAAAAGAAAAGAUGGGUGUGAAUUGGGUACUCUUGAAUGUCGUCGUGGUUAUACAACGAGAAAUAUCACGUUACUAAACGAUUUAUGUCCUAUAAAUCUUCCAAAUGCAACAGUAUUCAAUUUUGGUAUAUUUCUUGAUGCCCUCCAAUCCGGUAUGCUAAAUUCAAUGGACUUCCCGCAAAAGUUCUUGCACUGUUUUUGGUGGGGUCUACGAAAUUUAAGGUCGGAUGAUGUUAAUUAAAUAGAGGAACUUGGAAUAUUAAUUUUUAAACCCUUGAUAUUUUAUGAUAUACUAUCUAAAAAAAAAGUGCUUGAUAACAUACUGAAGUGACCUUAUGGUUUAUUUUUGCAGUUCUUUUGGUCAAAAUCUUGAGACCAGUACGUACGCAUGGGAAAACCUCUUUGCCAUUCUCAUUGGCAUGAUUGGCAUGCUAGUGGUAUUAGUAUAUCUCAAUGCAAUUUUGCAGGUCGGUACCCAUUAUUAACCGAUAUAUAUAUAUAGAUUUUCUCAGGUAUGGAUGUUCGCAUUUAUUCUUACGGUACGGAUUUCCACUUUACACUCAUUUUUCAAUCGAAUUUUCACAUCUUCACCGUCUGAUAUUUAGAUAUUAAUGUAUAGAUCAUCUCUGUAAAAUUUCAGCUAAUUUGGUUAUCAUUAAGACACUCAAACUUGAUUAAACCAAUGGAUGAACAUAAUUCUGUCGAACUUGAACAGUUUAUGUUUAUAACAGAAAAACGCAGUUUUGAAUGUCUUAAUGAUAACUAACUUGGCUGAAAUUUUACAGAGAUGAUCUAUAUAUUAAUAUCUAAAUACAAGACGAUGCAGAUAUGAAAAUUCGAUUGAAAAGUGAGUGUAAAGUGAAAAUCUGCACCGCAAGAAUAAAUGUGGACGUCCGCAACUGAGAAAUGCUGUAUAUAUAUGGCGGAUAUGAAGCGGAUGUCCGCAACUAUGUUAAAGUGUGGACGUCGGCUCAAAUCAACUCCGGUAGCUGCAUAUGACAGCUCUUCUUCCAUCCUCAGACGCCAUUACCAUCAAGUUGAAUACCAAGGUAAUCGAAGAAGAAGGUUCGGCGCCGGAAAAAUUGCAGAAACUUGAAAAAGCUCAAUCUCGGAUUUGAAACUCAUCACCGUUGAGUCUGUCGGCGAGAAGAAGCUCAAGAUGGAGCUCUUGUUUGAAACUAGCAAGAACAACGAAGCAAUAGGUGCCGCCGGAGUUAAUUUGAGCCGGUGUUCGCACUUUAAGAUAGUUGUGGACAUCCGCUUCAUAUCCUAUAUAUAUAUGUUGUAUAAUGUAUGUUUGAUAGCACGCAACGUCGACACUAAUGCAGUGAACUGAUGUUUAUUUCUGGUGGGAUAGACAUACAUGCAGAUGCAAACUAAAAGAUCAGAUUUGAUGGAACUAAAGGAGAAGAGAACUACGGAUAUAGAAACAUGGUUAUGCGUCAAUGAUCUUUCCGGGGAGCUGAAGGCUGAGAUCAUGGAAUGCGUACUAGAUAAACUGAAUCCAGAGGAAGAUGUCAAUAACGUGAAAGUUCUUUCUAUUCUACCAAGCCAACUUUCACUGAUCAUAAAGAAAAAUCUCUGUUCAGAUAUGCUACAGAAAGUAAGAUCUAACUCCAAACUGGCAACAGAUCGAUAACCAAUUUUGGCAAUUAACACUGGCAGAACUACUAAUAAUUGCUAUAAUCUUAACAUAAAAUGAUUUUUUUAUUAGUAUUUAGUAUUUACUGAUGGUAAAUGACCAACCUCUAAUUAUUACUCUUAUCAUUUUCUAUUAUUUUUUUUAUUACCCAAAAAAAAAACAAGAAAAUAGAUAAGAGUAAUAAUUAGAGGUUGGUCAUUUACUAUCCGUAAAUACUAAUAAAGAUAUAUAUAUAUAUAUAGCUAAUUUAUCAUUCAUGAUACAUAACAUGGCCUAGUUAAUUUAUUAACUUCUUAUUUUGUUAAAUUUACGUUCCCAUGUUUAGUGCUGGAGGAGAAAGAUCGUUGGAUUUAAUCUGUGGGUAUCUUAAGCCAGUGAUUUAUACUGAGAACAGUUUUAUAAUUCAAGAGGGGGAUCCAGUUGAUAAGAUGCUUUUCAUCAUACAAGGUGUCGCGUUCAUCUACAGAUGUAGCUCCGACGGAAGUGGCUCCUAAAACACGAGUUCUAUAACUAAAGGUGAUCAUUACGGUGAAGAACUUCUGAAUUUGGCACCAGAUAUCGAUAAUUUGAGCUUACCCAAAUCGAAAUGGAGUGUCAAGUGCAGCACAUACGUUGAAGGUUUUAUCCUCAUGGCUGAAGACUUGAUAAAGAUAAAGAUUUCUCUAGAUGAUUAGGAUGCGCUCCUGAAAGUCUAAAACACAAUGUAAACAUCAUCUAUUUGGCAAAACCCUAUUUUCACGUUCAGUGUACAGUGUACACCCGUGAUUGAAGAGGUAUUGGGCCUCAAUAACAUGUGUUGCCCACCAAAUCACCAAGCCCAAGUGCUAACUUUGUCACCCAAUUAAGCCAAGCUUCAUGAUGUACUAGUGAGAAAUUUAUAAAUUGUUCUGGUUUCUGGCACACAUAUGCAUGUUGUACUUAGCUGAAAUGUUAGGUAACUGAUGAUAUAUAGAUCCUAGUCAGUACAUUUAGUAAAACCUCGAUCUUCUUUCCUCUCAACGUUAGGGCACCCCAAAUGUUUCAUAUGCUCAAAUCAAUGAAUGUGAAAUACUUCAAUUAUGUGUUAUAUCACAAUGUCUGAUCCGUUUAACAACUUCAUAGUUCGAACCUACGUCGGGUAACACGCUCGAUUAACUAGCUAGCUAGGCAAUAACCACUAAACCACUUAUAAUGGUUUAUAUAUUAGUUGUGUAAGUUGGCUCUAUAUAUAAGAACAUACACUGAGAAUUGUAAUUAUGUAAGGGGGCAUUUGAGAAAUAUAUAUAUAUAUAUAUAUAUAUAUAUAGCAAUAAACUUGUUAAAUUUAUCAAUUCCCACGAACCUGAUCAUCACCAUUCACCACCAGUAGUUGUGACUGAUUGUCAACUCGUUACACCACAUAUAUAUGCUAACUAGUUCAGUAAGUUAAGAAAAGUAGAGCUAGUUUAUCAUAUGAUGACAUAUUUAGAGAGCAAAAGAGAACUAAUUGAGAGAGUCCAAAAGAUCAAAAUCGGUGUGGCAAAAUCCAUGGAUAUAACUAGCUAGCUAGCUAGCUCGAUCGGUAGCUAGAGAAUCAGAAGGUAAUUGGAAAGAAAGGGACCUUCACGAUGGAGGUGCUCAACCACAACAGAAACCCUAGCUAGUGCUUAAUUGCUUCCAGAAAUUAUUAAAGAUAUUCCUAACAACAAAAGAAGGCCUAUACAUUUUUAAUAACUAGAUUAAUAGAGAGGUCUACAUCUGGAAGAUUUUGCAAGGUAGGAGAAAGAUUAUUUCCUAGCAUGCUUAACCAUGAGAAAGUUUCGUGGAUCCCACCUCACCUCAUUCUUGAACCAAUUCGCAAUCGAAUCGAAAAUGCCAACGUAACUAAAUCUCUACCACUGUAGAGUAACAGUAUCCUCUGAAUUCCUUCAAGAAACCAGAGGCGACGUAUGAGUUUAAGCAGAAACUAUGGAAGAGAAAUGCUUAGGUGAGUUUAACAGUAUCCUCAUCCAAAUUUGCAGUAACUUCCUCCAAAGUCUCAGGAACCUCCUCAAAAGUCUCAGGACCCACCUCCAACUGAAUUACAUUCCUGCUCAGAUAUAUGCUCUUAGCUUUCUUCCAUAUUUCCUCAUCUUCUGACCUGUGUUUUGCAGCUUCUUCCAACAUUUCAGUAAUUUCCAUAGCAUUUAAUCUUCCAGUAUCACCAGUGAUCGACAAAUCCUGGUCAUCAUUGCCUUGAGCAGACAAACUGAGAAUGCCAUUGGCAUCUGUCUUGGCUGUAACAGUAACAAUGUCACAACCCUUGGUGCAGAGCUCAAAUUUCCCCAACAAUUUGGAACUAUCUUCAAGCUAGUUUUCCUCCUUCAACCUCUCCUACAACGUUGUUGUCUCCUUCAAAUACCUUCACAACAAUGUUUCUAUCAUUUGACUGAAGAAAGCUCUUCUCAAUGGACAUCUUAAUUUGGCAUAAAUUCAGGAGUAACAUCAUCAGAUACAUACGGACUCUUUAACAGAAAGCAAUAAAUCAAGAGUAAAAUUAGAUACAGAUACGGACUCUUAAAAUACAGCAAUAAAUCAGAUACAGACCCACUCCAACUAGGCAACUACCAUAACAAAACCAAUAAAUAGAAAGAAAAAAAAAAACAACAAAGUAUAAAACAGAGGCAAUUCAAUUCAAGCAUAGAUUACUUGUUUGGAAAAAGAUACCAUACCGAAGAUUGUUAGAAUUUGAGCCUCUAUUUUGUAUUUUGAACAAAGUAUGAUCAAGAUCAAUUUGCUGUAGCAAAUGAGGCAGAAGAAAACUCAGUUGAACUUUGAAGCAAAUCUUUUCAGCUUCUGUUUCUUACUUCUGGAAUUCUUACAGAUUACACAGCAAACAUACCCUUUUUAUAGGGUGCAAAGUAACCUACAAAAUAUCUUAGAAACACCUAAUUAACUAUAUUAUAAUUGUACUUUACAUGCAACAAAAUAUCUAGAUUAAGUGGAGGAGUAAACAAUAAACCAAGUGGCUGGAAAUAUCUCACUGCUGCUGUAAGGACUUCAGCUUCCCUGCAGCUGUGAAUUUCCUACUGCUUCCUAGUAUAUUGCUGAAGGAAAGCAUUAACUUCAACACUCCCUCUUAAUGUUUUGCUUCUGCACUCCUAGCAGGCCUCUGAGGUAUUCAUACCUCUCUUUUGGUAGAGCUUUGGUGAAGAUGUAUGCAACUUGGUCAUCUGUAUUACAGUAAACCAGAUCAAUCUCAUUCUCAUCAACUGCAUCCCUGAUGUAGUGAAACUUCAAGGCAAUAUGGUUUGCCCUACUGUGAUACACAGGGUUCUUGCUCAUGGCAAUUGCAGACUUGUUAUCACUGAGAAUAGUUAUUGCAGAUGUUUGCUUCUCACCAAAGUCUUCAAUGACUCUUCUGAGCCAAAUUGCUUGUGAAAUGGCUAUUGAUGCAGAUACAUACUCUGCUUCAGCUGUAGACAAAGCUAUUGAUUUUUGCUUAUUUGAAGCCCAGGAGAAUACACCAGUUCCAAGUGUAAAAGUAUAUCCAGAUGUGUUUUUUAAGUCAUCAACACUUCCUCCCCAAUCACUAUCACAAAAGCCAAAGAGUUUUGGUUCCACAUUCCUCUCAUACAGUAUUCCAAAGUCCAUUGUACCUUGAAUGUAUCUAAGGAUUUUCCUUGCAGCUCUAUAGUGAAUCUUGGUAGGAUUAUGCAUAAAUCUGGACAUCAAACUUGCAGCAUACAUGAUAUCAGGUCUUGUUGUUGUCAAGUAAAGCAAACUUCCCACUAAACUUCUGUAUAAACUCUCAUCAGCUUUACCACUUCCAUCUUCUUUUGAAAAUUUUUCAUUGACAACUAGAGGUGUUGCAACAACAUUGCAACCAAGCAUUUUGAACUUCUCUAGAAUUGUCUUUGCAUAUUUCUUCUGAGUAAUGAAGAUUCCCUUCACUGCUUGAACAAUUUCAAUUCCUAGAAAAUAAUGCAAGAUUCCCAAAUCACUCAUUUCAUAUUUCCUCAUCAUAUCAGACUUGAAAUUUGAAAUCAUCUUUUCACAACUUCCAGUAAAUACCAAAUCAUCAACAUAUAAGGAGACAAUAAGUAUGCUUGAUUUACCUUCAGUUUUGGUGUAGAGAGCAGGUUCAUUUUCACUCCUUUGAAACCCUCUUUCUGUGAAAUAGGAAUCGAUCUCACCAUACCAAGCUCUUGGGGCUUGUUUCAAACCAUAAAGAGCUUUUUUCAGCUUAUAAACUUUUUUCUCUUUACCCUUGAUGAUGAAACCUUAUGGUUGCUCCACAAAUACUUCUUCUUUCAGCACUCCAUUUAGAAACGCCGAUUUGACAUCUAGCUGGUGCAAAAACCAGCCUUUUUGUGCUGCAAUGGAAAUCAGACCUCUGAUUGUCUCAUGCCUUGCAACUGGUGCAAAAGUUUCAUUGAAAUCAACUCCAAGUAUCUGUGAAUACCCUUUUGCCACCAAUCUUGCUUUGUUUCUUUGCACAAAACAUCUGCAUUUAGCUUGGUUUUGUAAAUCCACUUCAAACCAAUGGCAUCCUUGUUGUCUGGUUUAUCAACAAGCUCCCAUGUGUUGUUUUUCACAAUCACAUCAAUUUCCUCUUUCAUCGCAGUCCGCCAGUAAUCUUCUUUCACAGCUUCUCUAAAUCUUUCAGGCUCAAAUAAGCAUGCAUUACAGCUUUCAUACUUCAUUCAAGCUUCUCAUCCUUCUUGGUGUAGAUUGAGCAUUUGAAUGUGCUGGUGAGGGUUGAUCAGGACUGUGAGGUGGAGUUUGUUGCGGUGGAUUAAGUUCCAACCCUUCUGGAACAUCUUCAUCUUGAACAGCAUUAUCUAGCACACAUUGUUGCUGGACUGAACUUUGAUUCCAAUCCCAAGAUGAAUUCUCACUGAAGAGUACAUCUUUGCAAAUAACAAUUUUCUUCUUUUUCAUAUUAUAGAGCCUAUAGCCCUUUGUGUGCAAGCUGUAUCCCAUGAACACAGACUUCUCACUUGAUUCAUCAAGCUUCUUCCUCAACACCUUUGGGAUAUGUGCAUAGCAAAUUGAACCAAACACCCUCAAGUGAUUAACACUUGGCUUCCUUCCACUCCAUGCUUCAAAUGGUGUCAUUCCCUGCACUGCAGUAGUUGGAUAUCUGUUCAUCAAAUACACCACAGUAUUAAUUGCUUCUCCCCAGUAUUCUAGAGGCACUUUCUUGGCAUGCAGCAUAGACUUCGCCAUUUCGACGAUUGUUCUAUUUCUCCUUUCAGCUACCCCAUUUUGCUGCGGUGUGUAGCUUACUGUAAGCUGGCUCUCCAGACCAAUAUAUGCACAAAAAUCUCCAAACUCAUUUGAUGUGUAUUCACCACCUCUAUCUGAUCUAAGCUUCUUGAUUUUGAGAUCAGAUUGUCUCUCUACCAUAGCUUGAAACUUCUUGAACACAUCAGAUUUGUGCCUCAGGAAAUAAACCCAAAUCAUUCUUGAAUAAUCAUCAAUGAAUGUAAGGAAAUAUCUGUUACCUCCCCCAGUAAUUAUUUUCAUAGGACCACAGACAUCAGAAUGGACCAACUCUAGUGGUGUUUUUGCUCUCCAUGCCUUCCCUUUUGGAAAUAAGAUAAUGUGAUGUUUUCCAAGUGCACAUCCUUCACACACUUUAGUAACUUCUUUAAUUUUUGGCAAUCCCUGCACCAUUUCAUUCUGAUGCAGCAGCUUCAGACUUUGAAAAUUCAAAUGUCCAAGCCUUUGAUGCCAAAGCCAAGGAUCUUCAUGCAGCUCCAUUUUUCUUGCACUCUCAGUUGCAUACUUGAAAGUCAGAGGAAAACUUUUGUUCCUCUUCAUUUCAACUUCCACCAUCAGCUUCUUGCUACUCCCUCUCUCAAAGAUUUUGCAAGUGUCAUCACCAAAAUGCAGGUGAUAUUUAUGCUCAACGAGUUGUCCAACACUUAGCAAAUUCGAAUCAAGAUUUGGACCAAGCAUUACAUCUCUGAUGAACAUUUUUCCAUUUUUGGUUUCAACAGCAACACUUCCUUUGCCUUUUGUAUCCACCAACAUUCCAUUUGCCAUCUUCACCUUUGUAAUGUUGUUGUAGUCAAUGUCAUAGAGAAGGUUGGCAUUUGCAGUCAUAUGAUUACUGCAAGCACUAUCAACAAGCCACACAUUCUCAUUCACCACAGUGGUUACAGCAUAAGUGACACAGAACAUGCUAGCAUCACUUUGUUCUUCACUGCAGUUAGCCAGUUGAUUUCCUUUGUAGUCACAAUCCUUCUUGACAUGACCAAACUUGUUACAAAUUGAACAUUUUGGCUUCCCCUUAAACCAACAUUCACCUAUAUGCAUCUUGUCACAGAUUGAACACUUCGAAUAAUUUGAACUACUGCCUCCUUUAUUUUUUCUUUUUCCUGACUGAUCUUAUCUACCCUCCCACUUCUUGCCUUUGCCUUUCCAAUUCUUUUUCUUUUUAGAAUUUGAACUAGAUGGCUCACUGUUUGUGUUUAGGCUUAGUGUUUGAAAGGCUUUUUCUGUUGGUUCAUCAUGACUCAUCAACCUCUGAUCAAAAGCCUUAAGUGUCCCCAUUAAAUCCUGCACACCAAGAGUGUCUAUAUCCCUAGCCUCCUCUAUAAUACUUGCUAUAGCAUCAUACUUUCUAUUCAAACUCAUAAGGAUCUUUUGUACUACUCUCUUUUCAGGUAUAGGUUCAGCAUAAGUUUUCGUCUGGUUAACUAAAUCAGUCAAUCUAGUGCAAUAAUCACUUAGCAGCUCAGUUUCAUUCAUUCUAGUAUAUUCAAAAUCUCUCCUUAAGAAUUGAACUUUAACAGCUCUCACCUUAUCUGAGCCUUUGAACUCAACCUUCAGAACAUCCCAAGCUCCUUUGGCUGUUCUCUCAUUUGCAAUUCUUGGAAAGAUAGCAUCUGUGAUUGCGGUUUGCAAAAUACCAAGAGCUUUUGCAUCUUUCUUGAUAUUUGCCCUCAGCUCAGUUCUUUGAGCAUUUGUCAUCCCUUCAGCUGCUGGAACUACAUAGCCUUCAUUCACAUAGCUCAAGAGAUCACGUGAUAUGAACACGGUUUCCAUCUUUAUAAUCCAGAAAUCAAAGUUCUCUCCUGAGAAGAUAGGAACUCUAACUUCUGAACCAUUUUCUGCUGUAGUCAUUGCAGUAGCAAAAAACUAAAAAAGGUGUUUUUUGUUUUUUUUAUCCAACAUAUGGUACACCCCAGUUGAUAUUGAUCAACAGGGCUCUGAUACCAUGUUAGAAUUUGAGCCUCUACUUUGUAUUUUGAACAAAGUAUGAUCAAAAUCAAUUUGCUGUAGCAAAUGAGGCAGAAGAAAACUCAGUUGAACUUUGAAACAAAUCUUUUCAGCUUCUGUUUCUUACUUCUAGAAUUCUUACAGAUUACACAGCAAACAUACCCCUUUUAUAGGGUGCAAAGUAACCUACAAAAUAUCUUAGAAACACAUAAUUAACUAGAUUAUAAUUGUACUUUACGUACAACAAAUUAUCUAGAUUAAGUGGAGGAGUAAACAAUAAACCAAGUGGCUGGAAAUAUCUCACUGCAGUAAGGACUUCAGCUUCCCUGCAGCUGUGAAUUUCCUACUGCUUCCUAGUAUAUUGCUGAAGGGAAGCAUUAACUUUAACAAAGAUAGUGUUCUCGAGGUUAGACCUCAUCUGAGUCACAUCAUAGGCAGCAAUACCAAUCAAACGAUGGGAUUCAUUGAAAGCCACACACGAAGGAAUCCGAGUUUUGCCGUACUCGUCGGUGAUGAGUUUGACACAACCGAGGCUUGGAUCCCAAACUCUGACGGACGAGUAGGCGGUGCUGAUGUCGAUUCCGAUCACAGGAGCUUUUUCAGAGGAAGACAUUGUCCCAAAUCGAUUAGGGCUUCGAAGAGAACUGUGGCUCAACGAGAACGUUGCGAGUUGAGACUUAAGGUUUAAGGUUGUUGCCCACUCUUUGUUUACCUUGGACAACAAAACAAGGACCCAAGUAGAAGAGAACACAAAGACCCUAGCUUGCUGCUUUGGGCUGCGUCACUGAUCGUUCAAAGGCCGAACUACUGUGCUGAGGUCAUAUGUCAAGGUCAAGAUUCUAUGAGGUAUGGUAUUGGUUUAUAUGAUUUGAUUCACUAGGGUUUUGUCGACUAUGAAAAUUUCCAUUUCUAUCACCCAUAGAGCAUGAAUGUAGGUUUUGUUGUUUGUAUUACUGCCAUGAACAGCGAGACAGUAAUGAAAUAUGUGACCAAGUGUUCAUUUGUAUUGAGGUACGAUUUCAUUCACUAGGGUUUUGUUACAUGUUAAUGUUGUUCAACUAUUUAUGAAAUAUUUCAUUUCUAUGGCGCUCAAAGAUGACUGUAGGUUUUAUUCUUAGAAUUGCAUGGUUAUAUCAAAAACUGUUCCGAUUUGCAUCUCUAUAAUCCCAGUUUACGUGGGAUUCUUUCCUUCAAUAGUAGUUAACACUAGCUCUCGCAUCACAUUUUCAGUGAAUAUGUGAGGCUCAAUAGUUGAGAAAAUCAAUCUCUAGUGGUCCCAAAACAAUAGUGGCGCUCGAUCAAUCAGUUCCUAGAAAGAAAUAUCGAUCAAACAUGGCUUUAAGUUUUCUGAUUCUUUAUUGCUCUAGCGGGAUUCCAGGAAAGAAUAGCUGUUUUGGUGUUUUCUUUUUAUGAAAUUCCAGGAAAGAGCAUGAGUUGGUGUAAGUUAGCGUAACUCCCGGCAUGUAAGAACAUAACAUCUCUCUCUCUCUCNNNNNNNNNNNNNNNNNNNNNNNNNNNNNNNNNNNNNNNNNNNNNNNNNNNNNNNNNNNNNNNNNNNNNNNNNNNNNNNNNNNNNNNNNNNNNNNNNNNNNNNNNNNNNNNNNNNNNNNNNNNNNNNNNNNNNNNNNNNNNNNNNNNNNNNNNNNNNNNNNNNNNNNNNNNNNNNNNNNNNNNNNNNNNNNNNNNNNNNNNNNNNNNNNNNNNNNNNNNNNNNNNNNNNNNNNNNNNNNNNNNNNNNNNNNNNNNNNNNNNNNNNNNNNNNNNNNNNNNNNNNNNNNNNNNNNNNNNNNNNNNNNNNNNNNNNNNNNNNNNNNNNNNNNNNNNNNNNNNNNNNNNNNNNNNNNNNNNNNNNNNNNNNNNNNNNNNNNNNNNNNNNNNNNNNNNNNNNNNNNNNNNNNNNNNNNNNNNNNNNNNNNNNNNNNNNNNNNNNNNNNNNNNNNNNNNNNNNNNNNNNNNNNNNNNNNNNNNNNNNNNNNNNNNNNNNNNNNNNNNNNNNNNNNNNNNNNNNNNNNNNNNNNNNNNNNNNNNNNNNNNNNNNNNNNNNNNNNNNNNNNNNNNNNNNNNNNNNNNNNNNNNNNNNNNNNNNNNNNNNNNNNNNNNNNNNNNNNNNNNNNNNNNNNNNNNNNNNNNNNNNNNNNNNNNNNNNNNNNNNNNNNNNNNNNNNNNNNNNNNNNNNNNNNNNNNNNNNNNNNNNNNNNNNNNNNNNNNNNNNNNNNNNNNNNNNNNNNNNNNNNNNNNNNNNNNNNNNNNNNNNNNNNNNNNNNNNNNNNNNNNNNNNNNNNNNNNNNNNNNNNNNNNNNNNNNNNNNNNNNNNNNNNNNNNNNNNNNNNNNNNNNNNNNNNNNNNNNNNNNNNNNNNNNNNNNNNNNNNNNNNNNNNNNNNNNNNNNNNNNNNNNNNNNNNNNNNNNNNNNNNNNNNNNNNNNNNNNNNNNNNNNNNNNNNNNNNNNNNNNNNNNNNNNNNNNNNNNNNNNNNNNNNNNNNNNNNNNNNNNNNNNNNNNNNNNNNNNNNNNNNNNNNNNNNNNNNNNNNNNNNNNNNNNNNNNNNNNNNNNNNNNNNNNNNNNNNNNNNNNNNNNNNNNNNNNNNNNNNNNNNNNNNNNNNNNNNNNNNNNNNNNNNNNNNNNNNNNNNNNNNNNNNNNNNNNNNNNNNNNNNNNNNNNNNNNNNNNNNNNNNNNNNNNNNNNNNNNNNNNNNNNNNNNNNNNNNNNNNNNNNNNNNNNNNNNNNNNNNNNNNNNNNNNNNNNNNNNNNNNNNNNNNNNNNNNNNNNNNNNNNNNNNNNNNNNNNNNNNNNNNNNNNNNNNNNNNNNNNNNNNNNNNNNNNNNNNNNNNNNNNNNNNNNNNNNNNNNNNNNNNNNNNNNNNNNNNNNNNNNNNNNNNNNNNNNNNNNNNNNNNNNNNNNNNNNNNNNNNNNNNNNNNNNNNNNNNNNNNNNNNNNNNNNNNNNNNNNNNNNNNNNNNNNNNNNNNNNNNNNNNNNNNNNNNNNNNNNNNNNNNNNNNNNNNNNNNNNNNNNNNNNNNNNNNNNNNNNNNNNNNNNNNNNNNNNNNNNNNNNNNNNNNNNNNNNNNNNNNNNNNNNNNNNNNNNNNNNNNNNNNNNNNNNNNNNNNNNNNNNNNNNNNNNNNNNNNNNNNNNNNNNNNNNNNNNNNNNNNNNNNNNNNNNNNNNNNNNNNNNNNNNNNNNNNNNNNNNNNNNNNNNNNNNNNNNNNNNNNNNNNNNNNNNNNNNNNNNNNNNNNNNNNNNNNNNNNNNNNNNNNNNNNNNNNNNNNNNNNNNNNNNNNNNNNNNNNNNNNNNNNNNNNNNNNNNNNNNNNNNNNNNNNNNNNNNNNNNNNNNNGAAGGGACGUGUAUAUAUAUAUAUAUAUAUAUAUAUAUUACUCUAAUAUUAAGUUAUUAACUGAUUUGUUUUGUCAUGUAGAUACUCGGAGUUUUUUGAUACUAUUUUUCGUUUCGGCGAAACAUGGAUGGUUGGUUAUUUGCUUGUAUAAGAGAAAAUCAGUGUCAAUUUGGUACUUUUGCAUGUCGUCGUGAUCAUACAACAAAAAAUAUCACGUCGUUACUGAAUGAUGCAUGUCCUAUAAAUCUUCCAAAUACAACAAUAUUCAAUUUUGGUAUAUAUCUUGAUGCUCUCCAGUCCGGUAUGCUAAAUUCAACUAACUUCCCGCAAAAGUUCUUGCACUGUUUUUGGUGGGGUCUUCGAAAUUUGAGGUCAGAUGUUGUUACAUAGAACCUCGCUCUCGGAAUAUUACUUUUGAAGUACUUAAUACUAUACUAAAGUGAUGGUUUUAUUUUUGCAGUUCUUUUGGUCAAAAUCUUGAGACUAGUACAUACGCCCGGGAGAACCUCUUUGCGGUUCUCAUUUGCAUGAUUGGCAUGCUAGUGGUUUUAGUAUAUCUCAAUGCAAUCUUGCAGGUUGGUAUCCCAUUAUAACGUAGUGACACUGUAUAAUGCAACAAUGAACUGAUUACUGAUGUUUACUGAUCUAAUUGUGGGAUAUAUCUGGACAGACAUACAUGCAGAUUGAAGCUAAAAAAUCAGAUUUGAUGGAAAUAGAGGAGAGGAGAACUAUGGAUAUAGAAACAUGGUUAUGCGUCAAUGAUCUUUCUGGGGAUCUCAAGACUGAGAUCAUGGGAAACGUGCUAGAGAAACUGAAACCAGAAGAAGAUGUCAAUAACGUGAAAAUUCUCUCUGUCAUACCAUGGCGAUUUCAACUGGACAUAAAGAAAAACCUCUGUUUAGAUAUGCUACAGAAAGUAAGUCCAGCUCCAAACCUAAUGAUACAUGGCGCGCCUAAUUAAUCUGUUAAUAAUUAUUCUCUUUUAUUUUGUUAAAUUUAGGUUCCCAUGUUUAGAGCUGGAGGAGAAAGAACGAUGGAUUUAAUCUGUGGGUAUCUUAAGCCAAUCAUCUAUAACGAGAACAACUUUAUACUUCAAGAGGGGGAUCCAGUUGAUAAGAUGCUUUUCAUCACACAAGGUGACGCAAUCAUCUACAGAACUAGUCCCGACGGAAGUGGCUCCUCAAGCACGAGUUCUAUAAGUAACGGUGAUCAUUACGGUGAACAACUUCUGAAUUUGGCACCAGAUGUUGAUCCUUUGAGCUUACCCAUAUCGAACUGGAGUGUCAAGUGCAGCACAAAAGUUGAAGCUUUUUUCCUCAUGGCUGAAGACUUGAGAAAGAUAAAGAUUCAUCUAGUAGAGUCUGGUUAUAUAAUAGAUGGUUUGGUUACAAACACAAUGUAAACAUCAUCUGUAGGUAAAACCCUAUUUUCAUGUUUGAAGAGGUAUUGGACCUCAAUAACAAGCGUUGCCCACCCAGUCACUAAGCCCAAGUGCGAUGCCCAGCCUCAUGCUGUACUAGUGGAGGAAGUGUCGUCGGUGUACUUAAUUAGCUCAGUCUAGGCUGACUAGGAUCUACAUUAGUCAAACCUCUUUUUUCCUCUCAGCGUUAAGGCACCCCAAAUGUAUCAUAUGCCCAAAUUAAUGAAUGUGAAGUAUUUCAAGUAUGUGUUUUAUCACAAUAUCUAACUACUUUAAUAGCUUAUAGUUUGAAUCUAUGCCAGUAACACGUUCAAUCAACUAGGCAAUAACUACUACACCACUUGUAAUGAUUUAUAUGUUAGUUAUAUAAGCUGUUUUUUGGCUCAAUAUAUAAGAACAUACACUGAAAAUUGUAAUCACGUAAAGGGGCAUUUGAGAAAUAUAUAUAUAGCAAUAAACUUGUUAAAUUUAUCAAUUCCCACGAACCUGAUCGUCACCACCAGCAGUUGUGACUGAUUGUCAACUCGUUACACCACAAAUAUAUAUGCUAAUUAUUUCAGUAAGUUAAGAAAAGUAGAGCUAGAUUAUCAUAUGAUGACAUAUUUAGAGAGCAAAAGACAACUAAUUGAGAGAGUCCAAAAGAUCAAAAUCGGUGUUGCAAAAUCCAUGGAUAUAACUAGCUAGCUAGCUAGCUCGAUCGGUAGCUAGAGAAUCAGAAGGUAAUUGGAAAGAAAGGGACCUUCACGAUGGAGGUGCUCAACCACAACAGAAACCCUAGCUAGUGCUUAACUGCUUCCAGAAAUUAUUAAAGAUAUUCCUUACAACAAUGGAUGGCCUAUACAUUUUUAAUAACUAGAUUAAUAGAGAGGGUCUACAUCUGGAAGAUUUUGCAGUGGGAGAAAGAUUAUUUCCUAGAAUGCUUAACCAUGAGAAUGUUUCGUGGAUCCCACCUCACCUCAUUCUUGAACCAAUUCGCAAUCGAAUCCAAAAUGCCAACGUAACUAAAUCUCUACCACUGUAGAGUAACAGUAUCCUGUUGAGAAAUGCUUAGGUGAAAACUUAUGUAACAUAAUUCAAUUUUAUGGGUCAUAUAUACAUGAUCAUACACGGUUCAUGGUGGAAGAUGAUCGACUCUGCACUAGAAUUCGUGGCUUAAUGAUGAAGGAGGGUUAGCUAAGUGGGUGGAAGAAUCUCUCAAAGUGAUCCCGCCCCAGAUGGUUCUGAAAAGAUCUGACAUUUCCUGCCCUGUUGCCAAAGCAAAAAAGAAAGAAGGAAAAAGAAGGGAGAAGCUUUUUACUACUAGGAUUGAAGCAAAUUUGCUCCCUAUCCUUCUCUUCCCAUCCUUUUUUAUAAAUGUUAAGUGUCUUUUAAAUUUAAUUAUUUUAACAAAAAAUAAAAAUAACACUUCACGUUCAUCUAAAAAGUUAGAUGAGAAAAUUUGCUUUCGAUUGACACCCACUAUCAUUUCAAGUCGACCAUUCUUUAAUUUAAUUGCCUCAAACAAGUAGAUAAUCCAUCAGUCUAGCGAAUACACAAUCAAACCACAAAUCUAACUAGAAUGAACAUAUCACGAGUCAUUCGUGUACAUAACUUAACUAAUUACCACUCUCUCUUGCUUCUCUCUGCUUGAUCAUCAUUAGGGAACCCUAAAAAGGAAUAUGGGACUUGCUUGGCCUCCUCUUGUACUCAUGAAUCUUCAUACAGCAUUUAGCAGUUGAGCAUUCCUCGUGAUCUUGAUCACAUUUGAAGCCAACCAAAAACAAUAAGCUUCAACCACGUACGCACUUCAUCAGUAGAGAGUCGACUAGCUGGUGCUUAAAGCAACACAAAAUCAGAAAGAAGAAAAUUUCUUCAUCAAAAGAAAAGCGGUGAGAGGAAAGAGAGAGAGAGAGAGAGGAGCCGAAGGAAAAUUUACUAAAAAGACCGAUAACAGAGGAAGAAAGAAAUCCCAUAUACCCUAUUAAUCUGUUAUUUUACUUAUCAAACUCCGAAGUCCAAACCCAACCCACCACCCAUGUGAAAAUCAAAACCAAAAUACCAUCUUCUUGAUCAUCAUUGUGUUCCUCUUUUACCAUGAUCCUCCACCUAACAUUCCAUUCCAAUACACACCAGAAUGAUCUCCUUCCCCUCUAUUUUGCUCAAACUCAGUACUUGUAGUAGUAGUUUCAGUAGUAGUGCUUGGAAUCUGCUUCAAAUCCUGAUCAGUAGGAAACAACAGCCUUGCAUGAUGAUGACUAGUACCAACACCUUGAAGACUUCCAUAGCCACUCUCGUACCCAUCAAGAGAAAAACUGAGACUUGGCUUAAACUCUUGCAAAUUUGGAAACCCAUGAUUAUUACCAGUAGAGAACAUCGUAAUAGUAUUCGAAUCUGCUACAGACAUGGGAGCCAUGAAAGAGUUCAUUAAUCCCCUUGAUGCAUUGAUCCCGGUACUUUUGAGCAGCUCCAUAGCCGAGAGAUUAUGAGGGGAUAAAGUACUAAUUCUAGAAGAGCUAGGGUUAAAGAUGCUAUGAUGAUCAUACUCGUGAUCCGAUGUUGGUGGGUAUGCUAGGUUGAGAUCUUGACCUUGGUGGAUCUUAGGGUUUUGAGAAUCAGCGCUUUGUUGGGUCAUCACCAGAUCAUGAUGAGCAAGCUUCUUUGAUGAAUUGGAAGUUGAUGGUGAGGAAGAUGAAGAUCUCUUGUUCUUCCUAGAGCCUCCACCCACUGGAACAUUUCUCAAAGAUCCACCGUCAGUCCAAUACCUUUUACAAGUCUUGCAGAAGUACCUUGGCUGAGAGAGACUGUAAUUGUUAUAGUAACAGAAUUUAGUGGUUGUUGAGUUGCACCUUGGACAAUUCAAAGCUUGAUCCUUUUGGGGUCUUCCUCUUCUUUCUAAGAUAGGCCUUGAAUCAGGAACUUCAGCUCCCAUGGAUUUAACUCCAAUCCCCUGAAAUUAAUAAAAUAUAAAAACAAUAAAGCAAAAGAAUAUGAACAAAGACAGGAAAAGGCCAUAACUACGGUGGUGAUUGAACUCAGAAAGUAUUUGUCUCCCAAAAAAAAUUUCAGACAGAGAUUUAUGGAGGAAGAAAGCAAAAGGAAGAAAACAAGAGAUUCAGGAUUACCACAGCAACAAAAGAAACAAGUUACUUUAUCAGAUGAUGGAAAGAAAAGCUAAGAAAGAAAGAAAAAAGUGCAGUAGUACUACUACUAUCAACUUUCCAAGACAAAAUCAAAGACCUGAGGAAGACAACAACAAUAUAAAUUCUGAUAUUAGUGGAGGGGCUGAGCUAACCCAAUAACAUAUAUAUCAUCUGUGGAGAUGCAAAAGGAUUAACUUUAGAACUAACAAUCAAGUUAAAAGAGAGGUACUCUAAUUCAGCUUUGAAAAAACACAACCCUAGAAGAUAAUUUUCAUGAUUUCAUGGAGGAAAAGGAAAAAGAAAGCAAGCUGUCUUUACCUGUGGCCAGUGAGCUGUGUCCAUGGAUUAAGAAGGAGAAAAGGGAAGAGAGAAAAAGCUAUCAAAGUCUUUCAGAAAGAGAGAAAAAGAAAAAAACAACCACUUUUGUAAGCAGGAUGGUCUAAAAGCAAAGAUGAAGCACUACUUGAGAGGAGGAGAGGGUAUAUGUGGUGUGGUUCCACGGGUUGCCCAACUAUGAGAAAAGAUGGAGAGAGUGCAUGGGUGGGGUAUUUUUGUCUUUUAAUGCCCUUUCAUUGUCAUAUAUACAUUCCCAUUUCAUUAUCUCAUUAUACACAUUCUCAUUCAUCCCUUUAAACAGAGUAUUUGGAAAUAAUGUGUACAUGCACAUAAGUAGUUUAAUUAGUAGAAUAUAAAUGUCCUUGCAUUUGUCAAAUGUCAUGAUGCUUUGUAGAAUUUAGUGGGUUCUUUUCUGAAUUCUGACCAGAGAAAGAGGAAUGAGGUUUGCAUUUUUCCUGCUCCAUUACUAUUUCUUCUUCUUCUUCUGUUACCAUUUUCAGCUGCAUUUCCUUUAUCAAAUGACCGGAGGCCUCCUUUCAUUUGUUUUCCACUGAUGCCUAUUUACUCGACAUUAAUUUUCUUUUCCAUGAAGAACAAUGUCUCUUUAUAAUUCAUCAUUCUAUGGAUUUUGGAUAGACGUUUAGUCCAAAUCUAAUCUCCUAUUGAGGAAAAGAAGAAGACAGACAGUGACCACAUUAAACCUCCAAUUUCUCACUCCAAAGCCAACACAUAUGAUAUACAUGUAGCCCCCUAAUCAAGCCAAGCUACUCCACCAUUAGGCAUAGCUAAAUCGAGCUAGAAUUCGUAGCAAACUACUCUAAAAAAGAAUAGAGAUUUCUCAUUACACAGAGGAAUAUAGCGAGGGUCUUUCUAAUCUUACCAAGCUUUGCGUUUGCGUACAAAAGUAAGAAGAAUCACCAAGCGGAAAAUGACAAGAGAGAAAAAGCUCAGUGGAGUACUAUACAGAAGUCACAGAACACAAACUCAUCGUGGUGACGGCGGCAGAGAGACGUCACUGCCGAAGCGGCAGAGGCGACGUGGCGGCAGCAGAGACGUGGCGGCAGACGAUUGGCCGGAGAGCUAGCCUGGUUGCUGAGACUUUGAAACGUGUCGGUGGAGAAUAUCUAGGACUCUGGGUUCCAUACUUCAAUCUCCAUCGAAGGAACAGUGAGAUGAGAACAGUGACGAAGGAACAGUACUAAGAAGACAAAGAAGAUGCGCGCAUGUGGCGGUGUUCUAUCUUAAACUCCGAACUCUCAACCUAAGCAACUCUAGCUGUUAAACCGUCGUACGUUUGUCUGACUCCAUUAGGGUUUGAGGCAAAUAUCAUUAGGGUUUUCAGUUCCGUACGUAACGAGGUGCUGCCACGUCUGGUUAGGGUUUUAGUCCUUAGCUGGCUGUCACUGGUAGCCGGAGCAAGCACCAUUGGUUUGUACGACUUGUUGUCAAGCUCGCUUGUGGCUUUGGAUUAGCAAUGAUUUGAGGUUUUGAUAAAAACGAGGGAAUCGAUUCCCAUAUCCGUGACAGUGUUACCCAUCACUGUGUGCAGGACUCGUUUGAUGAGAGAGAGCUCGAAUGGAAUCUAGUUUGCGUUAGCUUUGCAUAGUUGCACUAGGAAUCUAUAUAUGGUUAGCAUUCAAGGGAGUGAAGACGAUUUGUCCUUGCUCUCUUUUCCUAGUCGUUUUUGCAUUUGAUAUUUUUGCAAUUGUUUCAUAGUUUGUGUGAUCAAGAUGUUCAUUAAUGGAUGUGUUUCCAUUUUCCAUCAAUUACUUCAUUUCCAAUGUCAAUCAGAAACGCCCUCCUCAACAAAAGGGUAACAACUUCGGGCAAAGCCAGCUCCCAUAGUGAUGGAAAGUGUGUACAAAUUCACAGGAACGAAUUCACUGUCGUAGAGUAGUUCGUCUACCGUCACUAAGGAUUCUAGAUUCGUGUAUGCAAGACUCGUUGGUUAUCUAUCCUUAUAUCGUAGGUAUACCGUAUACGUUUGAAUCACAAUAGAUUACAUAUGCACAUCUUUGUCAUUCUAGUGAUUUGUAGCAUUUCUGAGAUCUUCAAUUCGGAUCUCUCGUACUACUAUCUAGUCAUGUAAUUUGGAAGAAAUCUGAAUGUAAAAACUUGAAUUUUCCACUGAAAAUGAUGUGAAAUUGCCUUGAAAGUUUUUCCAAAAUGGCUACACAAGCGACAAGAAUGAAAGCAUUCCAUAUUCAGUGAAGAAUGAGAAACGGGAAGAAUACCUCUUAUGGCUUCUCCGUCUUUACAAAGAAGAACCUACACACUGGUCCAGCAAAGGUAGUUCCACCCAGAAAAGCAACAUGAACAUGUGGGGACCUUAAGGACAUUCAAAAAAUCAACCAUGGCCUAUCCAUUCCACUACCCAUAAAGCUAUUAGCAAUGAAGCUUCCCUGGUUUUGAGUCAUUACCAAAUAAGUAGUUUUGUUCUUGUAAGGUUCCCCAUAUCUUCAUCUGAAUCUUACUUUGCCUAACUAAUAUCUUACAAUUAACCAAUUUAAAAACCAUCUGCCCCAAUUACAACAAAUCUUGGUGCCUUGGUUGCCCAACACCAAAAGUUACAGAAUCUUUAUUUAAAGGAAACUUCAAGUCCUAAAUAAAGAUUAAAAAUUUACAUGGCAAACCUAGCAAGUUAAAUGGCCCGUCUCACAUUAUUCUAAAGGACAACACACAAGACAUAUGAAAAGUUAGGCGAAGCAUGCGUGUCAAUUGUCAAGAUAGUAAUCACCCUGAACAUUCCUUUAGUUUGAAAAUGAAAAGAGAUUCAUACUUUAAAACCGGAUAACUAGGGAGAAUUUGUCCCCUGCUUUCACUUCUACAUCCAACAGAAUCUUAAAAUUAAUAGUUAUACUUCAAGAUCAAGCUGACUUCUAUGUGGGGGCAUAGAUGGAUUGGAACAAUUCAACAGGAAUAUAUUACAAGUAUUGAAACUAGACCUACAGAAAUGUGAGCGGCAACAAAUAGGCCACUGCCACACUAGUGCACAACAAUUAUCGAGUUCAACUUACUCGUUCAACUUGCAGACAUCAAUGAACUUCUGAACUGCAUUGUGGUACUGAGUUCCCUGUGACAUGAACACAAAUGAUAUCAAACACAGCUACCAACAAUGUCCAUUCAUGAAUGUGCAGGUUCAUAUCAAAAGUUCUCAGAACGUCAAAGUGAGAUGUCCAAUUAGGAGAACAAGUCAACCCAUGUGUAAUUACCAUAUGGCAAGAAUCAACAAAAAAUACUUUACGAAUUUCAACUUAUAUGAGUUUCCCGCAUAUAGAGUUCAAUGUAACAGAUACCUCCCAGUAAAGCUGGUUGCAGUCCAUGCACUGCCAAAACUGUAGAUUCUUAUCAAACAAGCAGUUAGGGAUUCUUUGGAAACCUUUGGCAGCUUCCACAGCCUCUUCAGUCGACAAGGGCUUUUGAAUAAACCUACCAUUGCAUCUGGUGCAUCUUGACAUCAGCUGAUCUUCACUAACUUUCAGUUGGAAAGUUUCAAUGACCUGCAGGUAUAAUUCAGAUUUAGCCUGAAACAACACUUCCUCUCCAUCUUAUAGCUUCAAUGAAAGGUAAAGCAGUUUCCCUUUAAAUGCAAUCGGAUUGCCACAGAAGUGGGGAGUCUUUCAAACUGAGCACAUGCGUACCUCAAGUAGCUGUUCAUUCUUUAGAAGAUUCUUCACCCUAUAUAUUUGAUUAAUGAUUAGAUACUCAUAUCUAAGUAGCUUAGCAUCCCGCGUCAAGAGCACUCUUUUCUCUCUGUUUGCAUGAUCUAUUAAUUCCCUGCAUACAAUGAAUCUAAAUUAAUAUUCUCAUGGAAAAGAUAUUAAAACAGAUUUAAGAUCUACAUAUAAAUAACAUAUAACAGCAGAAUCUUGAUAAUACCUGGAUUCAGGCUUUUUCGAAUAUGGGCUUGCAGCAUCUAUACCAACGCACCUUAAAUGUUUAGCUAAGCCUUCAACCUGAAAUAAGCAUGAUCAAGAAAGUAGCAUGUUACAUUUCAGCAGCAGAGUUAUUGCAACAAGAGUGCAGCAUAUAUGCAAAGGCUUUGUUCUUUUGAAUUUUUUCUCUGGCUUAUUUGGCAUCACUCAUGGACGAAAAAAGAGAAAAAUAAACUCAAAGCAUCAAACUUACCAUCACAUCACAUAAAAACUUUGGAUGUCCAUCGCCCCCUACAGUCAAAUCCCAUGGUGCAGGACCUUUCCAAUCAUCGUCAUAUUGUCCAUGCUUGUAACCCACUGAUGACCGCCUUUUGCCUUUUCUUUUGGCAGCUUUGGGUUUCUUAUCAGAUUCUCCCAACAAAAUAUUUUCCCCAUAUUUGCUUGCAACCAUCAAGAGAAAUUCAUCCAUGGGCUGGGUAUUCCUAGGUUGUGUCACUAUAGCUGUUCCCUCUACGGCACUUAUAUCAUUAGAAACAUCUGUAGCUCGGACCAUAUCUACAGCUUCACGAAAUUUCAUCCUUACAACUUUAUUACAUAUAUCAAACUUCUCAAGAAGUACUUGUUUCAACCCAAGGUUCACAAUGGGGGGAUGAUGUUCAGAAGAAGAGUGAACUAAGAUCCCUGCAGUUACAAUUUCAGUAACUCCACCACCAACAGGAAGUAGCAAUUUGUAUGACAAAAGGCAAGGCUUCAAAUAUAAAUAAUCUUAUCCUUUCUGUGAUUAACACAAUAACGUGCAAGAAAAGCAAAAACUCUAGUAUACGAAGCAAUUAAUGUGAUCUAGAGAUGUAGCAUGACGGACCUUCCUUGAUGACCUUCUCUCGGAAGACAUUGAAUAUUUCAAGCAAGCAAUGUGCAUCCAUAGCUGCAUAUGUUUUCUGCUCUUCUGUAAGAGGACGACAUGACCAAUCACUACAUUGUAGUUCCUAAAGAAGAGAUGUGUUACUUUUAACAACUUAUUACAUUAACUAAAAAAAAAACCAUCUCAUCACUCCAUCGCACUACUUACAGCCCAAAUUAUGAUACUGCAGAGUAGGAUAGGAACACAAAUGAUACUCAAAUUAGCAUGAAAAAAGUUUCAAAAGCCAAACCUUUGAAAGAGAAGUGCCAAGGAGUUCUUUGCAGAUAGUUGCCAAACUCUUGGUUUCCUUUGGUGCCUUCUUUCCAGGUGGUUUCUGUUGCAAAUGCUGGUAUAUGCUUGUAAUAUCCAAAUAUGGCUCCACCUGUUCACCAUAUAUUCAUGAGCAAUGAUCCCAAAAUUAAAAUCCUCUCUAUAGAAAACUACCAACAAAGACUCUACAAAACCACUCUUCACAGUUAACUAGCUUUCCAUCAUCAAGGGUGACUACUCGAAGCAGAAACUAGGUCAUAAGCAAUUCAUAUUGAACACAAUAACUCAACUUUCAACCCAAACUCACAUCACAGUGUCACACUAUCAACAAAAUGGCCUUGUUUCGCUUCUUCACUAACAUCCAUACAAUUUAAGCAAGAAUUUGAAUAUUUCCACUAAAUAAGCAUCAUUAUGAAACAGAGCAAAAAACAGAGCAAGGUAAAAAGCAUUCAACUUUGUUAAAAUUACUAACUGGGUAACUCUAAAGCAUUGAACUUUACUCAGAUAACUCUAAAUCUCUUACCCUAUCAAACCCAGAAUCACAACCCAUUGAGCUGAACGUCGAUGACAAGUAAAUCAAAUCCUGCUUAAACCUGAAACCCAGUUUCAGAACAUCAGGAGAAACAAACGCGUCCCUCAGAAGUUCCCAGAUUGAAGGAAAAGGGAGGGAGGCCAAGUCGAGGAGGAAGACGACGACCGAGUCGAGUUCGUGGCCGAGUUGGCAGGCGAGUUGGAGGAGAGAGACGGUUGGGUAAGUGGGGUGAUGGGAGCGGAGGGGCUUCCACUCGGCGUCGAGGGCAAUGAUGGUGGAGCGCGUCAGGGAGGAAGUGAGGUGAGUGAACUCGGGGGACUCGGUGGAGGAGACCAAGUGAGUUUUCAGGGGGGUUGGAUUUUGGGGAUCCAUGGUGGAAGAAGAAGAGUAGCUCUCAAAGUUUCACUUUUUUUGUUUUUGGGAAGACAGUAGCAAUUUGGGGAUGGACUAACCGGUUCGGUUCCGGUCCAAACUAAUUUUCGAAGCCGGGUUGAACUAACCGGUUCGGUUUCGGUUGAAUUCGGGUUAUGAAAUCGUCAAAAUAGAUCGAGAGAUUUGUCCGUGCUGUGAGUCUUGUCAGAGCGCUUUCUCCUCCUUGACUAUAAGGAGCGCUUUCUCCUCCUUGACUAUAAGGAGUAGAGAGAUUUAACUUUAAUCAGCAUUGACGGGAUUUGAAUCUAGGUGAGGGUUCCACAUCUAAGUUUUUACCAACUCGACUAAAUGUGGUGAUUAUAUCUUCUAGUGUUAAAAUGUCACGAAACAUGUUACUUAAAAAACCAACAUCACGUUCGGAGGCGCUAUCUCAAAUUUGUAAAAUGUUUCAUUAUUUUGCGUGUUACCAAAAUAGGUGUGGGGUUAUUGGUCAAACAAAACAUUGUAUCUUAUAUACGAAAAUAAAGACUGAAAAAUAAAAUAAAAUGUAAAUUAAUUCGUGACAUUGCUCGAAAUGAAAGAUUUGUUGUUUGAAUUGGUGCAUCAUGAAACCAAAUUUUUGAACAAUUAAUUCAGCGAGAACUCAUAUUACGAUUUUAAACACCAUGUGGUGAUACAACCUAAUAGAAUCACAACACCUAUGAACAACAAACAAACAGACGGAGUAGAAAAAACAUAUAUUAUCUCGACCAGACUAACGAGUGACAAGUACAUUUGAUAUGGGCUAAUCAUACUAGCACAUACCACCGGAUGUACUAGAAGUGCAUAAGUCAUCGUAUCAUUAAAUUUCAUAGUUACUUUUAGCACCUUAUAGUAUAAAGGAUUAAAUUCAUUUUACCCUCAUGAGGUUUCGAGUUGACUUCAUUUCUAAAUUUCAUCAGCUUUGCCUAUUUGCUAAGACUCCAUCAAAAUUGAACCUUAAUUUGACUUUAUAGCUCACUUUAAGGACUAGAACAGUCGGUUAACGACAAAACAUUUUAUGAGCUGUUUUAUAAGAUUCCAUGUUAGCAUUUAACCUUCAAAUUGGACAAAGUCUUAGACAAUAAGCUAGACAGAUGAAAAUUGGAAACUUCAGGAGGUGAAUUUUCAAAAUUGAGAGAACGGGGAGUAAAAUGAAGUUAACCCUAAAUCUUAGGAGAGUAAACUGAAUUUAAUGCUAGUAUAAAUUUGCCCAAAAAAUUUGAACCAGACCUUUGGGGUUUUAGGCCCAACACCACAUUACCCAUCUUCUAUUUCGUUUCUAUUUUUACAUCCGACCCGACCCGGCCCCGUCAACCAAACAGUGGCGCCAAAACAACACCACCACUUCCCGCCAUACGGCGCCAAACUCCAUUUCCGCGCCAAAAACCACCCAGUCCUUAAAUACCACCGCGACCCAAAUCGGGAGUCGAGAUUUCACAGACACCAAAAAAUGGUGGCGGCCCUGAGAAAGAGAACCCGAGCCUUAAACCCCCAACUCGUAAUGGAAACCGGAUCUGAAUCCGAAAACGACGACGUUUGCUGCGAGGAAUGUGGGUCCGGCCACUCUCCGGCGGAGCUUCUUCUCUGCGACGGAUGCGAUAAAGGGUAUCAUCUGUUCUGCCUCAGACCCAUUCUCGUUAAUGUGCCAAAGGGAUCUUGGUUCGGGCCGUGUUGCUCUAAACAGAAGAAACCCAAAUGUGAGUUCAUCGAGUUUUUCAGUUUUCUUUGGGUUUAGAUUUUGGAUUGGUUCCGAUGAAUUUGUUGUGUUGUUGAAUUGUUGAAUUGGGUUUUAUGGUUUUGUUGCUUUUGGGUUGUUGAAUUUGAGCUGUUUGAUUAGUUUGGUGGAUACCCAGUUUCGGUUAAAGCUGGUUUCUUUGGUUAUUGCAGCUUUUCCUCUCAUUCAGACCAAAAUUGUUGACUUCUUUCGGAUUCAGAGAAACGUCGAAACACUGGAGAAGUUAAGUCAAGGUAAAACACAAUUGAAUUACAUGGUUUAAAAUUGCCUUUCAAAUUUGGGUGUGUCUGAAAAUGUUUGUUCUAUUUUGUUGGGACUAAAAUGGAUUCUUGGAUUGGAAUUGUUUGUAGAUAAUCGGAAGAAGCGAAGGAGGGGAAGUAGUUUGGUGGUGUCGAAAAAGAGGAGGAAAAUGUUGCCAUAUCAUCCGAGUGAGGAUCCUGCAGUGAGAUUGAGGCAAAUGGCGUCCCUUGCAACAGCUUUGACGGCCACGGGAACUGAGUUUAGUAAUAAGCUAACUUAUAGGCCUGGCAUGGCGCCGAGGGAGGCCAACUGUCCAGAUUAUGAACAAGGAGGCAUGCAGGUAAUUAACAUUCACUUUUUAAACUCAGAUAUAAAUUGAUUGGUAACUAGAACUGUUCAAUCAGUGUCUGAUAGUUUAUGGUUUGUUAUGUUAUACUGUUAUAGACUGUGAACAUGUCCCUCUUUGAUUGAUAAGGAUCAGAUUUGGUGCAUUCAGCUCAAAAUUUGGACUAGUCAUUACUUGUCUAUUAAGUGGAUUGUGCCUCAGUCAAAUUUCUUGGCAAACCCAAAUCCCUAGAUAUAGUGAUCAUGAGUAGUAUUAUGGCUGGAUCAAUGUCUUUGCUUCUGUAUGUAGACUAAAGUUUACAUGGAUCAGACUUGGUUAACCACUGAUUCAACUCUCACUUUUUAAAAGGUUCUAUUGGUGUGUAGCAAAAGUAGAAGAACCAAUCACAUUACAGUAAGUUACAGUAUCUUUAAUCUGUAUAGACAAGAAUUUUAGGGUAGAAAAUGGGAGCUUUAGUUGGUUAGCUGUAGUUACGCAACGAAAACGAAACUGCUUCUAGACAACUUGGUGAAUGUGAAGUCAUUAUAUGAAACUGCUGGCCAUAUCGGACUUGCAUAGUUACAUGAUGAUGAGUAAUUAAUGGGGUUAACUCUUUUUAUAGCUUUGAUAUGGCGGUUUUAAAAAAGAAAACCGGGCCGAAAAGAAAAGGACAGAAUUCUCUUAUGAGGCCAGGGAGAGAGAUUGAUGUUUUGCUGGAAUAUGCUGAAUUUAGAAUUAGUUGUGGUGCAUAUAUGCAUAAUAUUUCAUGCCUGUGAUGCAUUGCAAGUUUCUCAUACGUAAUAUAGUGAUGUUUAUUGAUGAACUGAUUUCGUGUGUUUCAGGUUUUGUCAAAAGAAGAUUUUGAAACUUUAAAUUUAUGCAAAAUCAUGAUGGAAAGAGGAGAAUGUCCGCCCCUCAUGGUUGUUUUUGAUCCUCAGGAAGGGUGAGUAUAAGAACAACAAACAUACUUUCUCAUGAAAGCCGAUAUAAUUGAACUCCUAAUUUAUUGUUGUUUCUUAACUUUUAUAGGUUCACAGUUGAGGCUGAUAAGCCUAUUAAGGAUUGGACGAUAAUCACAGAAUAUGCUGGAGAUGUUGAUUACUUGAAGAACCGUGAAAAUGAUGAUGGGGAUAGCAUUAUGACAUUACUUUCAGCUGCUGAUCCUUCAAAAAGCCUUGUCAUUUGUCCUGACAAGUAUGGCAACAUUGCCCGCUACAUCAAUGGCAUCAACAAUCACACAAGGUUAGCUCAUCAUCUUCUUUUUGAAAUUUUGAUUGCAUGCCUUGGUGUGUGUACCUUAUUCCAACAUAUGAAAGCCCUGAAAGUCAUAUUCAACUGAAAUUUUUGUAAGUUGGAUAGCUGCAUUGUCGUCUAUAUGACUGACUCUGAAAGGAAUAACAUACCUUAUCCCCUUGAUCCUUUAUGAGUGAUAAGUUAAAAGUAAACAUUACAUGUCUUAAAAGCCAAUAUGGUCCUUAUAAGUAGAACUCUGAAUACACUACUGCAUAGUUAUCCAACAUGGUAACUGCUGUUUUUAAGUCAUUCAAAUGCUGCAUGAUGUAUUAAGCUUUGAUAAGGUGUAGAAGUGUAGAACAUUAUUAAGCAUAAAAUGUUGUCUGCAGAGAAGUGUGGAUUGCUUGUGUGACAAUAUAAUUAAAGUUACUCUAAAUUGGUGCAGGGAAGGGAGAAAGAAGCAGAACCUAAAAUGCGUAAGAUUUGAUGUCAACGGCGAGUCUCGAGUAUUACUGAUUGCCAACAGGGAUAUACCAAAGGGAGAAAGAUUGUAUUAUGAUUACAAUGCAUAUGAGAAUGAAUAUCCUACUGAGCACUUUGUGUAGCCUUCUUUGUGUCACCAACUCUCCCCUUCCCCCCAGUAAAUAAAAUGAAGCUAAUAUCAUUAGUCAUGAUUGCUUAUCUAAGACCACAAUUCUUUCGUUUAUUUACAUUCAAUCUCGAAUUACAGCGAAUGAGGAUAUGCAAUCUGCAAUUAAAAUGCACCACAUUGGUUCUUUUUUUUAUCAGAACAAAUUAUCUGCCAGUGGCAUCCCUUCACAAAGGAUUAGAAAUUGGCUAAAGCUCUGGAUUUACUUUAAGAAGAUGAUUGCUCUAGAGUCAAUGUUUUAUCACACCAUUGUAAACGAAUGUUUCUUAUCUGCGUAUGCUUCUCAAAUCCAAAAUUUUGGAUCCAAAUUCGAGGCUAAGCAUUUUUUUUCAUCUUGAUCUAUGCUCAUAUAGUUUCAGAAAUCAUCUUUGGGCCUUGUCAUAAUGGAUCAUCUUAAGCCAAGUGAAGAAAACUAAUUUGUGCAAUCUGCAAUUUAAACAUGUUGUUCCUUUUAAAUUGGGCUCGGUUUGUGUCCUCAAAAUACAAUGAGCUUACUUAUAUAAUUAUUUUUACAGAACCGUAUAACACAUCAACAAGGAUCUGUGGCGCAAUGGUAGCGCGUCUGACUCCAGAUCAGAAGGUUGCGUGUUCGAUUCACGUCAGGUUCAGUCUUUUUUUUCCUUCAUUCUUUUUCCCCUCCUCAAAUCAACUCAGGCAGAUUUUUGAGAUGCUAUGGACACUUUUAUCCUUUUGCAUUUUCUAACAGUUCAAUUUGUUUCCCUCUCUUGGCAUAUACAUACACAAGGAAAGUUAAGUUGAGGUGUUGGUUGAGAGUGAUGCAGAAACUGAUGGGCAAGAGCAGAACUGUCAAAACAGUGAAAGACUAAGUGUGGUACAACAUGACAACAGCAGAAACUGUCAGUGAUCCAUAGCAAAAGCACAGCACACUUUCCCUUACCUACUUAUAAGUUAUAACUCUCUUCAAUCUUCAUCAUCGAGUCGAGGACCACCUCAUAAUGCGCACAUAAAUCUUUCUUCACAAACAAACAACUCUCUCUAGGGUUCUUAUGUACUAAUAGACUGGUCCAGAAAAACUCAGGCAGCUAAUUUAAGCUGCUGCAGUACAUAUAUAACGACCACACUGUGUCUAACCCUAGCUGGCAAAAUCAUUCAAAAUUCGAGCAGUUGAAACUUGAAAGAGAUAGAGAACAAACAAACAGAGAAAGGAGAUCGGAAAAGUGGGCGCGCGCCAGCUGCGAUAAGAUCUGGAUGGGAUGAUGAGAUGCAUCCCCACAGUUCUGUGGUCACGCGCGUACUCUCAUCUCAUGCAUUCACUCACCCUUAUGAUCUUUAUUUGCGCUAGCUGCAGAUCGAUUAGGGUUUGAUAUACGUAUGCAGUUUUGAUCUGUAAGUUUUAGAUUUAUAUCCCCAAAUCUGUGGUCCUUUUUAUCACAUCUGUAAGCAUGAAGCCAUGAACUGAACUUUUAAUUGUACUUAUUGGCUUCGGUUGAUGUUUAGGAGGUCCAGCCAAACAAACACCUGCUUUCAGAGAUUUUUCAUCAGAAAACUAGCUAGGCAUAUAUUUCGAUCCCAGUAAGAAAUGUUCAGCACCUAUAUGCAGUAUUGCAGUUCAAGAUUUGAUACAACUGGUAUAUAAUUGGACUGAGAACGCGCAUAAUGUGUUUACAAGAGCCCUACUUGCACGUCGUGCAUACAAUAAUUUCUUUUACGUCUUGAUUAGAUGAAGAUAAGGGAUCAUUCGUACUCGAUCUAAUCAUUCUGUUGGGAUCGAGUUGUCCAUGCAAAUGAACUUAGGCAAAAUCAAUCAAAGUUCGUUGAGAACUAGCAGUACCAGCGGCAUCAACCUGUUUUGGUUUUUUCUUUUUGUCAAAACGCAAAACAGUUCAAAUAAUCGAUCCAAUACUUCUGAACAAUAUCUUAAGUACAAAUUUUGGACCACCGACAUGCAAUCGUGACUUGUCCAAAUAUGAAUCUCUGCCUUUUCUUCUGCUAGGGCUAAAUAUAUAUAAAUUGUGGGAAAAAUAUAUUGGGACCAAAUUGAAAUUCGAAAGUGUGUAUAAUUGAAUCUAUAUAUAUAAGAAAAAGAAAAGAGUUUGGUAGUAGAUCCCCAUCAUCCUAAAUUGACAUAUAUUUUCAUGGAAAUUGAACCAAUCACAGACCCUACACCAGCCUGUUUGGUGGAGAGCUGUCUCUCUACACAAACAUACACUUAUAUCUAUCUAUAUAUCUAUCUACAACAACAUGAAUCGCAUUCCACAGCUACACAUUCAUAUAUAACACAGUUUUUCUAUUACAGAAGAUUUACAGGUCGAUAUCCAAAGCCGUGGUACGUUGUAUGAUCAUAACAUUGGUGAGGACCAUAUCAUAACCACGUACGAAUUCACAUAUCAAUGUCAAUAUGACGGAUGAUGAUAAAUCCCAAUUGGGGUACAGUAGAAGAGUUGUAGUUUUCAGUUUGUUGCUUUUCAUUUGUCGAAAGAAGCUAUAGCUAGAGAUGAGCCUCUCUCCGGCUCUCCCAUAUCCAAAGGUUUGAUUCGUGCAUCAUUUCACUCGCCCUCAUCGAAAGCUUUCCUUGUCUCAAAGUAGAUCCUGGUUUAGAUUUGAUCAUGUAUUACAUGUCUUUUUUUUCGAUAGUCAACUUUGUUUGAUCGACUGGUUCUGAUGAAGGGCAACAUUUCGUCAUCAAGGUAGUGUGUUAUAUAUUCCAUUCAUGCAUCUGCUUAGCUUGUGCAUGUGCAGAUAUGUGUGAUCGAUAUAUCUAAUACGUAUACCAAGUUUCCAACCCAAAAUGUGCAUAAACAGUUCUUCUUAAUACAAACAAAGAAAUCAUCAAUCAAGGAAAUGAUUGGAUAUGGGAAAAAUGGUUAACUCGAACUAAGAAGAUAUGAUUUUUGUGUUAUGGUAUGAUGUUUCGGCUAAUUAAUAGUCAAACAAAUCGCAGUAAUGUAUGCACAAGCAAAUUUUCAAGUUAAAUAGAGCGUUAGACGAUAGGGUGCGGCUAUUGCCACCCCACCAAAUGCUUUCUUCACCCCAUAUUUCAAUUUUAAACUAAAUAUUCCAAUACUAACCCCACAAUCAAGAAUUUUUGUGAAAAUAUAAUAUUAAAAUAAAAUCCAAACAACAUCAAUUCUCUACAUCUUUACAUUGGAAAAAAAAAACAAAAAACAAAAUACUCUACAUUUUUCUAAAUCAGAUUUGUAGAAUCACUUCAAUAUUCAACAUGGUGGUUAUACAGUGUGAUAUAUGAGAUUGUUAGUUCUUAUUUUUAUUUUAUUUAUGGUUUCAAACGUAGUAUUUCAUAUAUAUAUAUAUAUAAUAUUCAUAAUCGUAAAGAAAAAACUACAAGAAAGAGAUCGAGGAGAAUAUAGGAUGUGGUUUGAGAAGAAUGGAGGUAUGCGUCAAUUAUAUUGAUGAAAUAUUAUCAUUUUUGUAAUUGUAAGUUAAAAGAAAGAAAAUAAAAACUAGAUUUUCACAAAAUUUUAAUGGCAGAAUUGGAAUUUUAAAGGUAAAAAAUUAGAUGUGAGGUGAACUGAGAAUUUAGUGGGGUGGAAAUAGCCGCACCCUAGACGAUAUUAGUUCCUUUGUCGACAACCGAUUUGGGAUGACUAGCUAACAUCGGCCCACAAUCUCAAAAUCUCAUGCACAAACUAAUUGACCGAUACUAUAUAUAUAUAUAUAUAUAUAUAUAUAUAUAUAUAUAUAUAUAUAUAUGUANCAUAGUACUAUUUAUAUAUUGUUUUUAGAAAGUAACAAGGGUGUUAUCGAUCCAUAAUCAUGAUAACUAUCGUUGUAUGUGAUUAUCAAGGAAACAAUAAUAAAUGCAUUAUUGAUGAAUAUUACACGCACAUUCAUUCGUAGUUCUAUUAACAUGUUUAGUUUGUUCUUUAAAUAGAUCAUGUUAAACUAUACACUAUAUAGUACAUAUAAUCAUCGCAUUGUGAAAUCGAAAUUUAUAUAUGUAAUCAUUAGAAUGAAUAACUUAGAUUCGUCAAUAUAUAAAUACUACAUUAUCAAGUUAGUACCAACAAAAUUCCCCAAUAUGUUUAUACCUUAUUUUAUCCAUGUCGGCUCUCAACUAUAUGGAGUAAUAUGAGGCACCAUGCACAUGUACCUAACAAGAAUGCCCUUUUCUUUAUUAAACAUGUAUGUACACACACGAACCCAGAUGGAGAUCGAGAACACUGCUCCUUGGAGUUUUAUGUGUGAUCCAUGCAUGAGCACAAUGUUUGUCUCAAAUUUGGUUUAGAAAACUAAAAUCAUAGACCAUUCCCAAUUUGUAUACAACAAGCUUGUAUGGGUCAACUACUUAUAGAAGUGAAUCACAAAUUACUAGAAGAAACCACCGUACCAAUACCAAUACCAUGGACUCUAAUUUUCGAUAAUUAUAAUUAAGAGCCAAGAAUCCUGGCUGGUGCUCUGGGGAUCUUCCUCGAUCCAGAAAAUUGAGUAUUCUUGUUGCUUGAGUCCUGGGUAUGCCUUGUUAAUUUGAUGUAAUAUAUUGUUCAUUUGGAUUCGCAACUUCCAAAUACAUAUAUACUACUACAAACUGAUCACCAAUCCAUGUACAAAUAUACGUAUAUAGUUGGCAAUUGGCAGGCCAACAAAUGAAAGAGUUCCAAUCAUACACUCAUUAUUGGUGAUUAAUUUCUGCUUAGUGUUAGUAUAGCAGUUCGAUAACCAAAUAUAAACCCUAAAAAGCUAGCUAAUAUUUGUUGUUGUGUUUAUUUGUUGGUACACCAACUUCAUUAUGUGGAUGCCAUGUGGCACGUAGGGUUUGUUUCUGGGUUUGCCUGGCCUCCAUGUGAAGGACAGAUCGAGCAUUGUGAAACAGAUGGAUAUUCCAUAACUUGAACCACAGAUUUCCUCUUAUCAAAACUAACACUUUCUUUCGUUAUAGAUGAAUGUAUUAUCAUAUGUAUAUGUACGUAUAGCUAGCGUAAAAUAGAGGCAAGCAACUCCUUUGGUAGUUUGCAUCAUGCAUGAUGCAAGGUAUCCUUGUUACUUGUUUUCAUAUCCCCUUUCCAGAUAAGUGUGCGUACUCUUAAAAUCUUGGGAUUUGCGUCGUGAAAGAUUAGGCUAAUUAACAACUUAUGCUUAAUUAAUUGGUUGUUUAGCAAUUCCAAGACAAAAAAAACUGAUGUGAAUAACAUUAUUCUGGUAAAUAAACUGUAAAUGAAUAUUUAUCGUUUUGUACUCAUAAAAGCGUUUACUUCACAUGAUCGAAGGUGUUUAAAUAUGAAAAUAAGUUAUCUUUCGACGUUUAAACGUUUUUUUUAUUUUUCAUAAACUACUCUACAUACCGAUGAAGGAACAAAACUUGACACGAAUCGUUGAAAGUUUGAAACUGAGUAUGUGCAACUUAAUUACAGACUAUAGAAAUCAAUCUGACGGUGGUUAUUUGUUGAAGAAAUGACCGCCGAUGGAUUAAUGUCGGGAAGCUCUUAUAAAGAUUGAAGUAGAUGUCACAUGUUUCUCUUUAUUCUGCAGAAAAAGCAAAGAGCGUCUUUCUGGUGUGCAUUUUGGGUGUCAAUUAGCUUUAGCAUGACUUGUACUAAUCAUCGUUGCAGUAAAAAGAAGGUUGGCCGGAAUAUUUCACACAGAGACCUACGUACCUAGCUAGCUAUAAUCAACUCAUUCUAAAGUAAAACAAGCACUAGCUUAAUCACUUUUCAUUACUUAUAUAUAUAUUUCACUUCCUUGUCUCCUUUGCUUGUUAUUUCACUUAUUUGCUUUUGUAAUCGAUCUCAGCUGAAUUCUCGUCAUAGUUCAUGCACUAUGAACUUGUAUUAGAAAUUCAAAGUUUAAGACUACAAGCGGUUAAAAACCAAAAGAAGUCCAUUUGGACCGAUCAUAUAUAACGGAACGGGUGCAGUAGUGUACAUCUGGUCAGUAAUUAACUAAAAGAUUAAUAAUUGAUCAAAAUUAGAUUUAUAUUUAAGGAUUGAAAAUAAAAUAAAUCAACUUAAAAAUAAUUUUCUUCAUCCUUAGAUUUACAUCUAACGGUGACUGAUCAUGAAUCUCUUAGUUAAUUAGUGACCAAAGAACACUACUGAUAACGGAUGACAUAAUAACAUCAAGUGCGUGUAUUAGUUAUUAUCAUAAAACAUUAAUCAAUUACCAUAAAUGGUAAGAAACUGAAAUUGCGUGUCAUGUAUUCGAUCACUUGCUCCGUCGGUGUACAAAGAACUUUUAACUACGGACAAAAACAAUCAUCAUUUUGAAUUGGAUUAACAAAGGUAAGCACUAAGCUAGCUAGGUAGUGAUAGUGUUACGUAGGUGCUGACUAUUACUUCCGCAUUGGAGGAAUUGAACAAUAUUAAAGAGAGAUUGCAAGUAAACUGCCUGGUUUAGCGGAAACAAGCUGACUUUUACUUUGGGACUUUUGAGGGUUUGUGUAUGCCUCGAUUGGUAACAAGCGAAAACCUAAUGACAAAACUCACCUAAUUUAGUACUAAUUACUUCGUGCAUUUUAUAUUGAUCGAUCAUUGUGUUUCACACUUUCACCUUUUGACUCAUAGUGUUUGUGUGGCUAACUCGAGUAACAUAAAAACAUUAUCUAUCGAAUCACAUAUAAUUGUUAGUCCAUGUUCGAUGAUCAACAAAUGAUCAAUGAUAAGAGAUUAUUCAGUUAUUCAUCGUAUAUUGUAAGUUAAAUCAAUUACUUUAGAUAUUUUAUAACUACAGUAUAUCAAGCGGAUAAAGAUUCUUCAAAACAAGAAAAAUGUUACUACUUAUUAAACAUAAAGCUUACUGAUUAUGACCCGCUACCAUUUCAUUAAUUCUCGCUUGGAUUCUUAAAAAUUGCAAAUUGCUUCCUCUAUCUCAAUUCAAACGUGCAAACACAUUAAAACUCCAAUUAACUAUGGCGGAUUUUCAUCAAUAGUUAGGUAGCACGCUUGUUUAAGCAAUGGUACUUGAUCAGUUCAAGAUUUAAAAUAGGUUAUUUUCCCUAAAUUAACUACAGUAAUGAACAUCCUAAUGGCAUGAAAUCCUCUUAGUAAAAGUUAAAACCCUUGAAUGGAAAACCCAUGCAGAACCCAUGCCCUAUAAUAUUAUCCAGAAAAAACCAGAUUUGACCUGUCAGUCUGUUUCAAGUGUUAUUGGGCAUAGCUGGAAGCAUCACAACCCAAUCCCAUCCCCUCUUAACCUCUUUUAAAUAUAUGGAUGUGAAAUUCACGUCUUUUAAAUUGUAAUUCAUACUCUCAUUUUUUAUUUUUAGUCAUUAUUUACAUAAAAAGAUAAAAAUUAAGUAAUUAAAAACAAAAUUUAAGUUACAAAAAAUAAAAAAUAGAAGUGUUAAUUAUAGGCUGAUCAUAGUCACAGUAGUAACUAGUAACUACAUUAAUAUUUUGUAUAAAAAGAAACUAAAUUCAUAUUAAUAUUAUUGGUAAUUUUGGAUGUGGCAAAAUGACAAAUAGGUAACACUCAUAUAGGUCACUGAAUUAUAUAGAGGUCUCUAAAAUUAAUAAUAUCAACAACAUAAGGGUCAUAUGUCUCUGACUAUUGACCACUACUAGGGCAUUACUAAUCGACGGUCAUAAAUUUAUUAAUUUUUGGUUCCAUGGUUCUGAUUCCUCAAUUAGACUUCUCACGUCAACAAUAUUGGCAUGGACCCAAAGUGGAAAGUGACCAACCUUACACUUAUAACUUAUUCAUUUUCCUUUUAGUCAACAAUAUAUUCUUAUUCUCUCAUAGUCAUUUAGGGAAUGGAAUAUUUGGUAAAAUGAUACCAAAAAUAUAAAAAAACUGGUGUAAAAGACAAAACUUGUUUCCGUCUACCAUUUUGGUAAUUAAUUAACCAAAAUAGCAAUAUAUAUGAAACCUUGAAAAGAAAUCCAAACAAAUCAUUAGUUAACAUCCUCAACCAAUAUCUAUAACAUAAUAACAGACACGAACAACAAAUCUCAUUAAACUAUAACAUCGACGUAAAACAAUUCUUUAUUAUCAAUAAGUUGUACUCUUUUAGACAAUCAGACUCAACAAUUAAAACGAGAAGUACCCUGAUUAGCUUUAAUACCCAAGAUGAAGCACUCGAACUAUCAUUUUCGUUUUUCAUACAACUCAAACUAUAAUUUUCACAAAUUGCCAAACAACAAAUCUACAAUGUUUUUUCUUUAUUAACUUUGAAAUUACAACCUUGAUCAUUGUGGAGAGAGAGAGAGAGCACAAAACACAUCCUAGUCUGGAAGUCUCGUUUCUCGGGCCAUCGAUUCACGAAUAUCAAGGUACAUGGCAACCAUUUCCUGUUCUACCCUUUGGCCACAUUGUCCCUCUAUUUUCCUUUCUUUUUUUUUUUAAUUUUCAAUUCCCGAAAUAAAUACUAGUAAUUUCCGCUACAAUAUUAAAUUUCUCCGCAUAUUUCUGCCCAGUGCUUCUUUGCUUCCUCGAGAGAGCCAGCGAAAGCUCUCACAAAUAUUGUCCAUGGCUGCUUCCUCUUCUUCUGCUUCGAUCCUUGCCCUCUUCUUCACUCCCCAACAAUUCUCCUAGACCCUCCUCCAAACCCAUGUAAUCAAACUCUCUAUUCCCUUCUAUUUUUUUUCUUUCACAAUUCCACUAUUUCAUGAUUGCUCUGUUUCAUUUGAAAUGAGAAUUAUAUCACAACCCAAUUGGGUUUGUGUUUCUAAUGCUGAGGAGUGUUGGGUAAUUUUUGGGUUCAUUAUUGAAUUUUGGGUCUGUUUUUUAUUUAUUUUUAAGAUAUUUAAAUUGUUUUUGUGUUGUGGGGGAAGAGAGACCAGGUUCAAUGAGUUUGGGUUGGGAUCCAUGUUGGAUCUCUUGGGUUUUGUUUUAUUGUUAUUAUUAUCAUCUUGCUGGUUUUGAUUAGCAAGUGGUUUGGUUUGUGUUAAACUGAUCUUGGUUUCUGUGUUUGGUUUUGUUUUUUAAUUGUGGUUUAUUUUGAUUUUGUAGUUAGUCAUACUCAAUCGGGGUUGCUUAUCUGGAGGGUGAUAUAGAAGCUGUCCUGUUUAUAAUGCUGGUCUGUUGAUGUGGGAUUUUCAUGGGUUGAGCUACUCGAAACCGAUAUAAUGGGGAGUCUUAGUGAAGAAGAAUUCGGGUUUUUCGAUGCCCAUGAGGAGAUUGCAUCAGUGUCUGAUGCAAGUGGUGAGAACAUUGAGGUGUUGGAUACGAGUUCUAGUGCUGUGAGUUGGGUUCGGGAUAGUUUUCCUUAUGAUGUGUGGGUUAGAAGCCCUGGGAGUGUGAAGGAGAGACGGGUUAGGUUUCUGGAUUGGAUGGAAGUUAGUGCAGAGCAGAUUGUGAGGGAGAAUUUGGUGGAAGUGUCUAGUGAUGUGUCGAGGGAAAUAAGUAGAGUUAGAGAGAGUAGUGGGGCGGUGUUGAGAUCCUUAUCUUUCGAAGGUGAGUUCUCUUCAAGUCGCUCUUCAAUGUCGUUUUGGGCUAAUGAAUUUAGGGAUGGGAGUUUGAGUGGGAGAAUGGUGUGUAAUGGAGAUGAAGUGGGGCUGGAUGGGAAGGUCAGUGAAGGUCGAGAAGUUACUGAAGAGUCCGAGGAGCGCACUUCAUGUUCAUCGUCUUCCUUAUCUCAUCGACUGAGUGAAAGAAGAGCUGAAGAGAUUACUGAUAAGGGGGCGAUACUGAAGAGAGUUAAGAAGAAGUGGUUGAGUAGAUUGCGGUCCAUGACAUGCCUUGAUGAUAAGCAAAGGAUUGCUGACAGGUCACCGGAGAAUGAUGAUGAUACAGUUAUGGGGAUAAGGUCUCAUAGAAUGAAGGUUCGCCAUUCCGGGAAGCGGUUGAAGGAACUCUCAGCUCUUUACAUGGGGCAGGAUAUCCAGGCCCAUGAGGGUUCAAUUUUCGCCAUGAAAUUUAGUCCUGAUGGACAGUACCUAGCAAGUGCUGGUGAAGAUGGGAUUGUGCGAGUCUGGCAAGUGGUGGAGAAUCAAAGGUGUAAUGAACUUGACAUUCCGGAAAUAGAUCCAUCCUGCAUAUACUUCACCGUGAAUCAUCUCUCUGAACUGAAUCCACUAUUUGCGGAUAAAGAGAAAGUGAGCAAAGCACGUAGCAUGAGGAAAACUUCAGAUUCAGCAUGUGUCAUAUUCCCCCCUAAAAUCUUUCGGAUAGUUGACAAACCAUUGCAUGAGUUUCAUGGGCAUGGUGGUGAAGUUUUGGAUCUCUCCUGGUCAAGGAACAAUGUAAGUGAUUAUUUGAAUUGCACUUAACAUUUCAUGACUGUAAUCCAGUAAAACAUGACAGACUUUCAAUUUGGUUUUCCAUUGAUAUUUUUUUUUGUAAUGCAGUAUCUCCUGUCGUCUUCAGUUGACAAAACUGUUCGUCUAUGGCAAGUGGGAUGCACUGAUUGCGUCAAGGUCUUUGCCCAUAGUAAUUAUGGUGCGCUUCUGCCUCAUUUACCUGCGUUUUAAAAUAUCUUUACUUGUUGAGGCAGUAGCCAAUGAUGAUAUACAACAGCUAGAUCCUAACCACAAUGUGUUACAUGUAAUUGAAUUUAACUGCGAACUCUUUUCUUUAUGUUGUGGACUCUUGCAGUGACCUGUGUUCAAUUCAAUCCUGUGGAUGAUAAUUACUUCAUUAGUGGUUCAAUAGAUGGCAAAGUUCGCAUUUGGGGAAUUCCUUGCAGUCAAGUUGUUGAUUACAGUGAUGUACGAGAUAUAGUUUCUGCGGUGUGCUAUCGCCCUGAUGGGCAGGUUUGGUGAUUUUCUUGCCCUUUCAUCAUGUAGAGAUAUGAUGUAUGCUCAUUAUUUAUUGAUGUUAACCAGUACUACUGAUUUCUUGUGCAGGGUGCUAUUGUAGGCUCAAUGACGGGCAUAUGCCGCUUUUAUAAUAUAUCAGGUAUGCUGUGAUAUUUAUGAUCCCCCCUGCGGCAAAUGAAUGACAGUUUAAUCACGUAGGAAAAUAUAUUCAUAUUGAUGAAUUGGUUAUGUUUCUCUCGGAACAGAUAAUCAUUUGCAAAUGGAUGCUGAAAUAUGUUUGUACAGUAAAAAGAAGGCUCCCUGCAAAAAGAUAACAGGCUUUGAGGUAGCUAAUACUUUUGUAUUCUUCUUUUGGUUUCUUGUGUUUGUUACCUAUUCGUUAGGGAUCCAUUCUUUUUUCUUUUCUAAAUUAUGUUAUUAAUGCAGUAUUUCCCUCAUGAUCCUGACAAAGUAAUGGUCACUUGCGCCGAUUCACAAGUCAGAAUUCUUCAUGGUUUGAAUGUGGUUGGAAAAUACAAGGGUAUGUGCAUUUCGUAAGCUCUUUUCAUGAGAUUCCUUUGUCUGCAAACAAAUUUUACACUCCUUUGGCAUAAUUUUAUGCCACAUGUUUGUGAAUUUUAGAUGUGAUAUAUGACAUAUCCUUUUGCUAAACCUCAUCUCUCGUCUCUUGUUUAGGAUUAAAGAAUGCAGCAAACCUGCGAUCUGCCACUUUCACUUCAGAUGGGAAACAUAUAAUAUCAGCAAGUGAGGAUUCUAAUGUAUAUAUAUGGAACUGCAGUGAUCAGGAGAAAAGCUUUUUCUCUCAGGCAAAAAGUACUAGAUCAUGUGAGCGGUUCACCAUGGAUGCUUCCGUAGCAAUACCGUGGUCUGGUUUGAAAUGUGAGGCCUUAGAACAUGCAGGAAAAUUUGGUGUUGUGGAAAAUAAAUUUCCAGAAACUCUGCCUUUUUCUUCACCUGCAUGCUUUUCUCUGAGCCAAGAAUCUUUCCUCGAGUCUAUUCCCAAAGGAUCUGCGACUUGGCCUGAGGAGAAGCUUCCGACAUCAAGCCCCUUGCCAAAGUCAUCCACAAUGCACAGAUCUGAGUACAAGUUUUUUAAAACUUCUUGCCAGAGCACAUCGAGUUCCCAUGCGUGGGGUAUGGUUAUUGUGACUGCUGGUUGGGAUGGACGGAUCAAAUCGUUCCACAAUUAUGGGCUACCAGUGCCUGUUCGAUAGUAAAGUGCUUUGGCAUGGUUUCAAAGGAUUGUUCCUAUCACAGUUUGCAGGACACUCAACCUGUGAUGCGCUCUUCAGCUGAUUACAAGCUACAAAUCUAAUGGAUUGACGAGUGACUACAUUAUCUUCGGCUGCAUCAAUUGCCACAGCAGGUCCAGGUUGACUACUCUAGCAGGCAUGUGCUUGAUGGUUGGACUAAAGCAUUUGCUUCUUCAGUGGGUCCCUUCUCAGAUUCAGAGGUAACAGUGACUGAUUUAUGUCCUGACAAGUGGCAGUGAUUCAAUGGUUGCAACAUAAUCCAUUUUGGAAUGAGCAAGUGGCUGAAUUGAGGCUCCGUGGGAUGUUUUUGAUUUGCCGGUUUGCCGAAGUUGAUGUGGAAGCCAUUUGCUAGGCGAGGCCAACUUGAGAUAUCAUCCCUGUAUAAUUGCAGGUGCUCUGUGGGCCUUGUAGAACUUCUUUUGUUCUCUCAGAUGGGAUAGGGGAAUCAAGAGCUGGUGGCUGAAAUUUGUUUCUGAAAAAAAUGGUGGGGAACUUCACAAUACUAUCAUGCUGGCCGGACAGAAUUAUUGAAUUGUUUGUCUGCCAUUUUUUUGUACGGUCUCAUGGUGGGUGUAUGUGACCUUUGGUUAGCAGUGAUUGUUUAGGGCGUCAAUUUCCUCUAUAGUGGCUAGUUUAUUUCAGCAGCCAGGGGAUGGGUAAUCAGACCAUCCAAGCACGCUCUCGGGGAAGGUGUUUUCUGGCUGGAACGGUUGCUUUUGCUCGAAUCCAUGGUGGACGAGCAUUGUGAAAGUUGCGGAAUCCCCUUUUGCUAACAAACAUUGUAUAUUUAUACUCCUAGUUCAGUCUUACUCUAACAGUUGCUCAGAUUAGACUCCAGUAGAUAGGGCUUUUGUUAACAGGAAUUUACUUUGAGAUUUUGAUAAUGUAACUACAGUUUCAUCUUGGAGUAUUUAAAUGAUAUAUUCAUGUAGUUCUCUACAUUUUCAUAGCUAAGAACAACAAUGGAAUUGGAUAUGUUUUGCAAAACCACCAAUCGAGGUUUCGAUUUGCAUAUGAGGCGGCUUUGCCAUUAGCAAUGAAUGAAUAUGCAUAGAAGAAAAGAAUCUAAACAAACAGUUGAGAAGUGAGGCAGGACAUGUGAGAAAUCAAGGCAAUGGAGCACAUUGCAGGUAAAGAUAGCACUAUUAGGAGACAAUGGGAACAAACUAAUGACCAAUUAUGAAGAAAAGAGCAUAAAGAAGUGAUUUAGGAGAUCGAUUAUAAUUGGACAUCCAGAUUCUUCUCUUCUCAUCAUUACUUUUAUGAUCAAUCAUAAUUGGACAUGAUAUUAUUAUUUUUCCCUAAUCACUGAGUGCAAAAAAACAAAACGUACAAUUUUGAAAGAUUCUUGGCUGCUAAUACAAUUAUGCCAAGACAAGCUUCAUAUCUUGAUCUUAUGGACCUAUCCUUACUUCCAAAUAAAACCCAACGAUGAUGAUCAUGAAAUGCAAUCCACCAUAUGUAGCAGAGCAGUGAAAAAGAACUACUGCAUUUUGGUGUAUCUUGUUUUGCAGCCAGAGUUUGGUUCACUGUGGACGGUGGCGGAAUGGUGGUGAUGGUUUGGAACAGAGGCCAGGGCAAGGCGGACGAGAGAUGGGCCUAGGCGGAAUCGAUGCGGGCUGGGUCUGCGGGCUAAAGGGAUCCGUCAUUUAAAAAAAGAAAUAUAAAAUUUUUUUAUUUCGAAAUAAUUAUAUGGGGGUAAAAACGGAAAACAAAAAUCAACUUCCUGCGGCCUGGCGGGGAUGACACUAAAACUACCAGUGCAACGAGUGUCUCUCGCCGGCGGCAGUCGACGAACCAGACUCGGCCGUCAACGCCUGCUCUUCUUCAUCAGGUACUUUGUUCAACAAUCUUUCUCCAUUAUCUUCACUCCAAUUCAUGCUUUACGAUUCCAGUAGUAAUCAAAGUUUCAAAAAACGAAAAGAAAAAUAAUUCGGGGGUAUGUGUUAAUUUGCAUGCGUUCUUUGAACUGAUCGAUUUGGCUAGAAAUUUACAAAUGCUUAUUUGAUCCUAAACGUACUAUGUAAUCCAUUUCGAUCUCCGGUAGCUGUCGAUCAUCAGACUAACAAUCAAAUGAAUCUAACCGGCUGUAUUCAUGUGCGGAACUGAUCAAACAAAACUCGAUUGUAUAUAGAAAAACACAAGAGAUACCAAUUUGGUUGAAGAAAAAGAAACUCGAUCUCUUUGCACACAGACAUUUAUCAUUCAAAACCAACCCAUUUUAUUUACACCAUCACCUUCAUGCAUGCAUUGCAACGCCAAAAAAAUCCACACAUGCAAAUCGGAUCAGGUCUGAAUCCAAACCCCACAAACUCGAAACAAAAACAGAAAACAAACCUAGAGCAACAAAAACAAACCCCAGCUUUCACCUUCUUAAUAAUCAGACGGGGAGCUUGGCGACGUCGUUUUGGUGGGGAUGGCCGGACGUCGUCGGCGUGGAUGGGAUGAACAGCUGGGGGCGGUGAUCGCUGAGGUUGACGGAGCGAGAGAAGAGCAUGAGAGGGCGGUCGUGGGCCUCCUCGGGGUUGGUGGUGAAGUCGUUGUCGUCGUGGGUGGAGAGGUUGAUGCAUGCGCACCGCUCCAGCGACGUGAAGAAGGCCGAGGCCACGUGCGUCCCCAGCCAGCUCAGACACGAGCUCUGCUGGCUCUCCAUCGACGGCGACGAGAAAACGGAACGUCGACGGCGGCGAAUGUUGUUAAAAUAUGGGAUCUGAGAUUUAAUGCAGGGAGUGGUAGAGAGAAAGGGAAGCUCAAACCGAUGAGAAGGUCAAGUAUACGAAACAAAGCGCGUCCAUGGAUUAUUGCUUGGAAUUAGGGGAAAGACUGUUUCUAUUUAUGUAAUAGUUUUAUUUUAAAGGGAGGUUUAGAUGGGUAUACGAGGACGAAUGACUAUGAGUGCAAUUGUAACGCUCUGAUUUUGCACAAUUUCACCUCAUCACAUCGAGCCUGUUACAGUGUUUGUGUAUUCGUAGAGCAUGAGUAAUGGAUCUUAGAAUUCAAAUCGGAGCGUUACAAACAAUAGUGUAGGCUUCAGAGUCGAACAAUAGUGUUAGGGUCUUUCUAUGUUUCAUAGUUUCAUAUAUCAUAAAUCACAAGCAACCAAACCUCUAAAUAGGUUUAACAACAACAAAGUACACUGUACAAUAAUUUAGGGGUGGGCGCGGGUUGGUGUGGUGCGGGUUAGAGCUCAACCCUAAUCCAAUCUACUUGAAAAAUGAUUUGGCAAUGAGUAAAUGACACUUUAGUACUAAUUUUAAAGGUUUAUUGCCUAUUCCAAUGAAAAACUCUUUAUCAACCUCAUUCCAAUGAAUUCUAAUAAAAGGACGUCAUUACCCUUGACCUCAUUUAACUCUCUUUGUUUCUUACUUUCUCCUCUCUUUAUCCCGAUCAAAAACUCUCUCUCAUCUCCUCACUUUUCUCUCAUCUCAUUCUGACCUCUCUCUCUCUCCUCUCUCUCUCUCUCUCUCUCUCUCUCUCUACGUCACUUACUCGUCUNUCUCNCUUACNCUCGUACNCUUCUNUACUCNCUUCUCUACCUCUACUCUCUCUCNCUCUACUCUCUCUCUCUCUCUCUCUCUCUCUCUCUCUCUCUCUCUCUCUCUCUCUCUCUCUCUCUCUCUUCUUCUUCUUCUUCUAAAACCCUAAUACCAAUCCAACCAGUCAAUCACCAAAGCGUAUUGGAUUCCACUCCUCCGAUCCAAUUGCAAUCGAUCCGAGCACCGCCUCUGUUGGAUCGGAUCAACUCAAUUUGAGGACCUUGUGAAUCAAUCAUGGAUUCGAGUCGGAGAGCUGUGGAGUCGUACUGGAGGUCGAGGAUGGUCGACGUAGCUACCUCCAACGAGGACAAGGUCGCGCCGGUCUACAAGUUGGAGGAGAUUUGCCAGCUCCUGAGGUCAUCGCAUGUCAGCAUCGUCAAGGAGGUCUCUGACUUUGUCUUGAAGCGUCUCGACCAUAAAAGCCCCAUUGUUAAACAAAAGGUGUUGUCCUAUUUCAUUCUUCUUGUUUAGAUCAAACUGGUGAAUUUCAUGUUUGAGUCUAAAUGUGUUGCGUGCGAUAUGAAAUCAUGUUAAAAAUUGAAAUCAAGUUUACUACCCCCAGUAAAAGUUUAAUGAGGGUAGUAAACUUUAUUUUUUUGCAUCUAAGUUGUUCUUCCUCUGUUUUAGUCUGUAUUAUGGCCUUGAAAAUAUUAUUUUGCAAGUUUACUACCCCCAAUAAAAGUUUACUGGGGGUAGUAAACUUUAGUUUUUCGAAUCUAAAUUGUUCUUCCUCUGUUUUAGUGAGUAUUAUGAUCUUGAAAAUACUGUUUUGCAAGUUUACUACCCCCAGUAAAAGUUUACUAGGGGUAGUAAACUUCAUUUUUUUCUCAUCUAAGUUGAUUUUUCUCCGUUUGUAAUAUUGAAUUAUAACAUUUGAGCUAUUGUUUUGCAAGUUUACUACCCCCCAGGUAAAAAGUUUACUAGGGGUAGUAAAUUUUAUUUUUGCAUCUAAGUUGAUUUUUCUCCCGUUUUAAAAGUUUACUAGAGGUUAGUAAAUUUUAUUUUUUCGCAUCUAAGUUGAUUUUUCUCCUUUUCAAUGUGAAUUAUGGCAUUGGAGCUACUGUUUGCAAGUUUACUACCCCCAGUAAAAGUUUACUAGGGGUAGUAAACUUUAUUUUUUCGCAUCUAAGUUGAUUUUUCUCCUUUUCAAUGUGAAUUAUGACAUUGGAGCUACUGUUUUGCAAGUUUACUACCCCCAGUAAAAGUUUACUACCUCCAGCAAAAGUUUACUAGGGGUAGUAAACUUUAUUUUUCUGCAUCUAAGUUGAUUUUUCAUUGUUUUAAGGUGUAUAAUGAUCAUGGAGAAACUUUAUUUUGAGUUUACUACCCCCAGUAAAAGUUUACUAGGGGUAGUAAACUUUUUUUUUCGUACUUGGGUUAAGAUCACGUAAAUUCCGAUGGCAUUUAAAAAAAUCCAGUGAGAUUUCCGGAAAAUUCCAGCCACCGGAUGCUGGCAAUUUUCCGGCUGUCGAAAAAUUCCGGUCACCGGUGACCGGAUUCCGGCGGCCGGAGUUCGGAGUGCGGCGACCGGAAUGCGGCCGCCGGAGCCCGAUGUGCUUCCGGCAAAGUCUUCCCUCCAUCUUUUUCACUUUUUCUCUUUAAGUAAAAGGUAAGGGUAAAAAAGUCUUUAAAAAUAUAAUUUUAUUAUAUUUUAAUAAAGAUUUGUGUAUUUGGGCUUAAAAUAAGUACCUUGUAUUCAAAUGGGCUAAUAAAAAAGAUUAUCAUUGUAAUAGGGUUUGACUUUUUCUAUUUUGUGCAUUAGGGCUUUUUCCCUUUGGCAAUUAAUUCUUCAAACCGUAUCCAUAUUCCAAAAAGCCUAAUCUAGAUAUCUGGGUGACCCGCAUUCCGGAUUGGUUUCGGAUAUGAUUCAACCCAUAUUAUUUAAAAUAUUUUUCUUGAAUCAAUCUAACUCGCUUUCCAUGCGAGUCUGCAAGAGAGACGAAAGUACUGAGAUAGAUAAAAAUGAGAGACGGUGGGAACCCUAGCUAAGAGAGAAGCCAGAGGCGUUUCCAGUUCUUUUAUCGUCGUCAAGGGAUAAGAGUUGGGCCUGAAAUGUUAUGGGCUCAAGGUUUGAAACUAUAAAUCAAAUCAUAAUCUAUUUAUAGUUCAUCAAAUUUGUAUUACAAAUAAUAUAAUUAAUUAAUUAAUUAAAACUGGUGUGGGUUGGUUUGAAUUAGAUUGAAAUUUUCCCAAUCCUAAUCCAGUCCGCUUUCAUGCCGGUUGGAGUUUUCUCAAUGAUUCGAUCCACUACAACCGAUGCAGUUUGAAAUAAGGCUUGAACCGGUACUGUAUGGUGCGGUACCUACAAUAAUUAUCAAGUAACCAACCAAACAAACAUAUUAGUGUAUAACAACAAAAUAUGAUCACAGUAGGGCAAGACUCAGAUUCUAUCAACAUCAGCAUCCUCAAACUCUAUGUUAUCAUCGCCGUUGUUGUCCUCGUCAUCAUCAUCACCCUCAUUAGGUCUGAAAUUGUCAUUCAACUUUCCAUUAGCUUUGAGCGAUCGUGCCUCGUCGGGCAUGUACCUGUGGAUGACACUAGCCUUACCAUCCUGGUAGUCUCUUAAAUUUACGAGGACAAUAUCGUCGGUAGAGAUCCAAACCUUCUUCUGUAACUUGCCAGCGAUGUUGCGGAGGCGAGACAGCGAUGUUGCAGAGGCGAGUCACGCCGUCGUGGCACUUGACAUCUAGUCGGCUGUUGCCUAACAUGCGUGUGACUUGCCCGUAUUCCGUGCCAUCUACUUUAAAGAGAAGCUCUCGCUUCUCAUCUUCGGCUUUGUUUGUUCUCAUCUUGCGGUUCUUUCCUCCUUUUCCUUUGUUCUUCGGCAUCUUGUUUUCUUCUUCAACUUAUACUUCUUUUUCUUCUUGGUCCUGUUUGUUGUGUUCUUAUAUAUAGGAUUUUCUUUGGUCGCCAGGUGAAAAAGGAAAUCCUAGAACCACAAGGAUUAAAUAUCAUCACAUGUUGCUUUGGGAGAAAGUUUCGUUUCAUUUCAUUUAUGUACGACAUGUCGCUCUUUGUAAUAUCUCCCUUGACAAUUCGAUUGGCCAUACGCGAUCCCACGUGUCAUGCCACGUGGCGUUGAUCUUUCUAACAGCUAUAACGGAUAAGGAGUUGAAGAUUGAAACAGAGGAAGCAAAAACCAUGGCUGCUUCUCUAUCAAUUCCACUGUCGACCCGGUUCUCUCCGGCAAAACGUCAUCGUUUAAAUGCGCUAGAGCUCCGUUCACCUCUCCGUGUUUGUUGCUCUGGUAAUUAGUUCAUCUCAUUUUAAUUGUUUUGAUUAAACUCUGAAAGUUAUAUUGGGAUGUGACUUAAAAGACAGUUGCUUUGAUUUUAGGUUUCUCUAAGAAUAAAAGAUAUAGAACUUUGUUGGUUUUUGUUGCAGCUUCUAGGGAUGGUGCUGAAUUGGAGGGAAAGUUGCCUCAGUUGAAGAAGCAGCUAAAGAAUGUAGCUUGUGGCAUUCUGGCUGUUUGGGCUGUAACUACUGCCUCACCUGUUAUUGCUGCUAAUCAGGUUCAGAACAUAGUUUAGCUCAUUCUGAAUUUACUGACUGACUUACUCUGUUAAUUUACUGAUGAAAGGAACCUUAAGUGACUUUAGGGGAUCUUAAUCCUGUUCACCUUACUAAUGACUAUCUUUUUCCAUUAUAUAUAGAGAGAUAUACCAAUGGACUACUGAAUGUCCCAUUGGAGAUUAUAAUUUGAGAUAACAUUUUGAAAGAACCAAACAAAACUAGGACAUACAAGUGAUACAACCAGCUAAGUAGUUUACGAGCUGAUAGAAUAGUUGGACUAGGAAAUACAGUUUGGUAUGCAACUUCAGCUGAAUGCCGGAUCUCAAAGAAUCUGUUGACUGUUGCCUUUGUAGCAAAUUUGGUUGAAAGCUUAGCAUGAUCGAAUAAACAGCCGAGAAAUAAACUUUGUUUUAGUGAGUAACCCAUAUAGGUAUAUACCAUAAUACCAAUUCACUUUAGCAACCUUGCCUGGGAAUAGCAUACUAUGUAGCAUCAACAGUUUAGAACUCCUGAUUUUCCCGUACCAUUUUAUGGUAUGAAUUGAAAAUCAAAUACUUUGCACCACAUUUUACUAUCUAGCUAGGUUUAUAAGUAUUCUAUCGAGUUAGGUUCCUGUUUCCUUAGGCUCUCAGGAUAUGGUUGUUAAAUUAGUUGAAGCUGAAAUUUCACCCUCCAAAGUAGUUAUAUAUGGUAAUGACAACAGUGAAUUGAAGACUACUAGUUUAUGCCUUGACUUAUGAUCAUGGAAGUUACUAAUUAGAUUUACAUUAAUUUUUGCAUCAAUCAGAGGCUGCCUCCAUUGUCAACUGACCCAAAAAGAUGUGAGCUUGCGUUUGUUGGUAACACGAUAGGUCAAGCAAAUGGAGUUUAUGACAAGGCAAUUGAUCUCCGCUUCUGUGAUUUCACAAAUGAAAAGGCCAACCUGAAGGGGAAGAGUCUUGCAGCAGCACUCAUGUCUGAGGCAAAAUUUGAUGGUGCAGACAUGACAGAAGUUGUAAUGUCAAAGGCUUAUGCUGCAGGAGCUAGCUUCAAGGGUAAGAUUGCGUAUUGUCUACCGUUACUGUCAAAUGUAUGGAUCAAAAUAUGGUUAGUUUAUAAACGAGCAAAAUUUUCGUUGUUCUUUACAGGUACAGACUUCACAAAUGCAGUUCUAGACAGGGUUAACUUUGAGAAAGCCAAUCUACAAGGAGCUUUAUUUGUGAACACUGUGUUAUCAGGCUCCACUUUCGACAAUGCACAACUUGAGGGUGCAGUGUUUGAGGACACCAUUAUAGGAUACAUUGAUCUUCAGAAAAUUUGUAGAAAUACAACUAUCAAUGAAGAAGGAAGAGCUGUUCUGGGGUGCCGAUAACAAUUUUCUCACUAGUAAUUAUCGAGUUUCUUUGUUAGCUGAUACAGUGAGAUCCAUCUGUUGAAGAAGAAGAAGAAGCAACCUCUGGUGCCUCAUGUAUUUCAAGUUUACUUUUUGCUUACUUAAGUGUAUAUCCAUAUAGAAAGCCUGCUUUGUGUGUAUUAAGUGUUUGCAUAUAGUGGAAACAGGAGGCUUUCUUCUUUUUAUGAUUAUGUUUUCCAUUCCGAACAAUACAAAACAAAAAGAAUUUAUAUUGAGAACUGUUCAUCAAAUUCUUUAAAUAAGAAAAAGGUAGUUAGAUCAGAUUGCACAUCACCAACCAACUUCGAAGCAAACCAGUUAUUGUUUUUUUUUUUUUUGAAAUGCUUAAACCUGUUAUUAUACACAUAGUUAGUGUCUAUAUAGAAUUCUCAUACAUUAUGCUCAAUUAUGUAAAAUAUAUUGUUUAGAUUCUUGAGAAUGGAAAGUAUCCAAUGCUCCUUCCAGGAUCGGUGAACGUGUUCUCUACUCCCCAGUCCUUAAAGCAUAUAUAUAAACACAGGGACUAAACCACUUGGUUUACCAACUCAACAAGUUUCUAGUUCUUGAAAGACUAUGAAAGUGACCCUCCAUUCUUCAGGGACAGGUCAAGUUAGAUGAGGCCUGAUAGCAACAAUUCCAUUCGACAUGUACAAGUUUGACAUCUCGCAUCAAAACUCCUUUGAAUUCAUCAUGAUUUGAUUCCUGCAUAUACUUAGUAUAUGAUGUUGAGAUAAUAUACCCAGUUUCGUAGAAAUGUCAUCUCCCUUUCAUCGUUUCUUCUACCUAAUUUCAAUCUGAACUUGGACGCAGGCAACCAAGGACACAAGAAAUUAAGAAAUUUAAGUGCAACAGUGAUCUUUUAGCCGCAAAUCUUGAAUUGCAGAAUAAUGAACGCAUUAAUAUUUUUAAGCUGCAUGUGUAUAUAUAUAUAGCUAUGUGAAAAUAGUGGUUGAUCUAAUUUUAAUGAAUACUGUACUUUGGAAAUUAGCUAACACUGUUAUAUAUAAUGUACCAACCAUUCCAGAUCAACACCUAAAAUUCUCUAUUGGUGUGUGUUUACUAUGCAGCCAGUACCUAUAUAUCCAUGUCAUAGACUUCUGAACGGACCGUCAAAAAUGAACCGACAAAUGACCAACUCUGCAAGUCUACAUCUCCAUUCCAAACCAUUCCUCAUAUGCAUGCUAACACCCAACAAUCUUCCCUUUUCACCUCAUCAUCUAUACUAAGCUCGCUAGCUAGUUACAUAAAAUGGGAAAAAUCAAACUCAACGACUCAGAAUUAAAGGUAGCUCUCACUUACUGUGCUUUCACACUAGAUCCUUGACCUACUCAAACCCACUUACCAAAGCCAGUGGCUUACCUAAGCUUGUUUUGUUUUGAGUGGCCAUGAGCAGCCCUAUUUAUGUUUGAAGACUCUUACAAAAGAGUUGUGCAUAUAUGUGGUACUAGUAAGAACUCUUGUGGAGGAGAGAGAAGCUUUUGGAGCAUACUUGAUAUCCUCUUUGUAAUAUUUCUUGCUCAAAUGAGUAUUCCAGCCGCGACAGUUGUUUUGGCUGGUGCAUGCUGGCUAGCUACUGCUGCAGAUCAAUCUGAGAUACUCAUUUGAGCAAGCAACGUUAGAAGCAGAGGAAGUUUUGAUAGAUUAAAACAUCCAUGUACUUGAUUAGAGCAUUAUAUCAGAGACGAUCAGAUCGAUAAGCCAUCUUUGUCUUCUUUGCUGGCUGCACUAAUUGAGAUCUGUGGAAGAUAUAUGAUAAACAGAUAAGUGAAUAGCCUUACAUUUCCUCUUGCCAUAGCUAAUGCAUAUGUACAGUAGUAUUUUGUUGUUGUUGGUUUGCUCACCUUGAUGAUUAAAAUUAAGAUAGUAUCUAGCUAAUUUCACCAAAAAGAUCAUUUUAGCUUCAUUUUAAUUUGUUGUGUUUUAUAGCUUAGAUUAAUUUUGAUCAUCAUGAAUUCAUGGAAAUCUUAUUUCUCAGUAACAUGCUUAAUAUAUACCUGUAUAUAUAGGUAAAGAUUUCCUGGAAAUCUUUUUUCUCAUUAACAAGCUUAACCUCCUAGCUAGUUAGCCUAGAAAUCUCAGCAUGCAUAUAUGCUAAGCUAGCUGAUUUUCUUACAAGGAAAGUCAUUCAAAGUGCAUGUGGUGAUUAGUUUCUGUUGGUUCUUUGGAUUAUUCAAAAUAGGGUAGUUUCUAUUGGUUCUUUGGAUGAUUCAAAGUAGGUUAGUUUCUGUUGGUUCUUUAGAUGAUUCGUUUAUAUAUAUAUAUACACAACCGGACGGGCGGUGGGCUCCCAGAAUGUGGCAGACCCUUCUUAUUUGAGAAUGAGGGUGUGACUUGUUCCUUAUAUUGUCUGUCUCCGAGAAGCUAAUAUCGUCUACUCAUUUAUUAUUUAUUAUAAAUAAAUAAAUACACGACCAAGUAGGCUUCUUUUUAACAACCAUAUUGUGAUCUCAUCAUCAUUAUGCAAUACUAAUUGGAACAUGCAAAUUCUAAUUAGAACAAAAUUCGACUUAAUUAAUAAGAGCAUUAUGUUAUUACUAGUCUUAGUCACUUAUGGAUUAAAGUAUAUCUGAUCCAUAAGAGUUAAAGAGUCCAUUAGCAACCAUUAUCUGUGUUGGUGAUGCAUAUGGAAACGUUAUAUGAGGUUUCUUUGGUUACUAAGUCGUGUCUCUGUGGAAGAACAUUUGGAAGGGUACGUCAAUGUGUCUCUAAAACUAAGGUGAUUUGGUCCUUGUUCUCUCUACAACAAGACAUUCAGGUCAUCCCAUCUAUGGUGUCUAAAGCUAGCAGAGAGGAGAAGACAAAAGCUAAGAACUCGUCAGAUGUAGACCGUCUAGCUGAUCUGUUAGGAGCUAUAAAAAUCAACGAAGGUAUGUUCAUGAUCCCAUUAAGUACAAUAAGUUCAUGUAUAGAUAAUAACUAAUAAGAACGUGUUUAUGCAUAUGUUUGUGAACGAUUUUGUUAAGCUCAUGUAGAAUUUACGUUCUUUUGCUCAGAAUCUCAUCAGAUCAUCAAGCAAUAUAGCAAUCUGGAUUCUCAUCUCCAUAGCUUGAUAUUGCUCAUUGUUUUCUCAGCCACCCUUAUUGCAGUAUGUGCAGAAAUACGCUAGCAGAGUUCCAAUCCCACAUGUCUCAACAUGUUAUAUUCAAGCUCUCUGGUCAAGAGAAGGGACUGUCGUGGAUAUGAAGUCGAUUGGACUAAAGAUACUUCGCAUGUAGGCGGAGGAAUAAUACCGAGCCCCGUAAGCCCUGUACGACAACAAGGAUUCAAAUGUGGUAAGACGGUAAGACUGUAGCUUAGCAUAUAUAGAAAUGUAAAUAUUGUUUUUCAAUAUUUUUUUGGUUGUCGGAGACGUACGUGACUGACUGCCAUAUAUACUUCUGUACGAUAUAUGAUGUAGGUGCUUGCUGGGCUGUAGCAUCGGUGGCGGCAGUAGAAUCGGCUACCAGAAUCAGUUCAGGACCUGAGGUAUCACUUCCGCCACUUUCAGUCCAACAAAUUCUGGACUGUGCCCGCGGUGACGGUUGUAGAGGAGGAUUGGAAACUGAUGCUUAUUGUUACAUAAUAAAGAAUAGAGGACUGGCAAGCGAAGAAAGAUACGGGUCCACGGAGAAGAAUGGAAUAUGUGACAAGAGCCGAGCAAGUCAGGUUGUCGGAGGUAGCAUCAUGGCAUUCGCGCUGGUACGUCCACAAACGGAGACGGCGCUCGAGGAAGCCCUCUGCCGGGGACCAGUGACCGCUGGAAUUGCUGCAAACAGCUUAGACUUUGUUAAAUAUUCAGGCGGAAUAUUUCGUGGGGCUUGUGGGGUGGAAAGCGACCACGCUGUCUUAGUGGUCGGAUAUGGAAAAGAUGAUGACGGUACGAAGUAUUGGAAGAUUCAGAACUCUUGGGGAAAGAGUUGGGGGGAGGGAGGGUACAUGAGGAUGUCCUACGAGGCUGGAGAGGGAUGUGAAAUUACGCAGAAUGCUUCUUUUCCUUUGGUGAAUGUUACAGAUUACGAGAUCAGAUAGAUUAGAUAUAAUGAGACUAGAGAUACAAAGAUUAUACUUAAUCUUUUCCGGAAAAUUCUGUAUGCAAAUCAACCUCCUAAGUUAGCCUAGAAAUCUCAGCAUGAUGCAGAUAUGCUAAGCUAGCUAGCUGAACUGGAUUCUGGUUUUCAGCCUCGGUCUAGACUUGAAGUGCUAUGGUGUACGUGUUGUUCUUUGCCCCCAUAUUCUCAUGAUAAUUGAUACAAGAGGUUCUGUCUAGGUUGGAAAUGUUGGUGGGUUUGCUUUUCAUUUUGCAAUUCCUUCUCCAUCAUGGCAAGUAAAGAUAAUUCUCUCCCUACUUUCCAAUCAAGGUACACCCAAAACUGUUUAACUAGCUAGCUUUUACCAACAACUAUAGUAAAACCAAACUGAAAAAUCUAGUCACUUUGUUUGUUAAGCAGACGACACUAAGCUGUGCUAAAAGGAUAUUUUCCUGACUAUAUUAAGGUAUAUAUAAAUCCAAGAAGCAGAUGUAAAGGAAUGUGAUGGAACAGAUUCAAAGGUAGAGUUCUCUGAGACAUGCACAGUUCUACUCAAGUACUUAACCCUCGACAACAAGCUAGAUAAGAUUAUGUCAUACUCGCCCGAUUCCAAAGUAAAGCAUCUAGAGCUCAAAUACUUAUACUUCACCAAUGCUACCCCAUUGUCAUAUCCACCAUUGUUCUUCUUCUUCACCUCCCCAACGUACGCAUCACUACUACUCAUCAUGGAAAAUCGUCGGCCUGAUAUCACACUAACCAGAGGAAGCACUAUCGUUUUGCUGUUUCUUGCCUCGAUCUUCAAUGUUCAAGGUAUGCCUCAUCAAACGAUCUAUGAUCUAUCUCCGUUCCUCAUGCUAUAGAUAUGUUAGACAUUUCAAUCUAGUAGGAGUGAUUUAUUGACAUGAAUAAUGACUACUUAACUAAUAUAAACAUUUGUCUAGGAGUGCAAGGAUCUAUAGGGGUGAACUAUGGCACGGUGGCGAACGACCUCCCGCCACCGUCCCAAGUCGCGCACUUCCUUCUACAAUCCACCAUCAUCAACCGUGUUAGGCUCUUUGACACCAACCCUCAAAUACUCCAAGCCUUUGCUCAUUCCGGCAUUCCCCUAACAAUAACGGUCCCCAAUGACCAAAUCCCCCACUUCACAAAACUAAGGUUUGCCCAAAAUUGGCUCAAUACCAAUGUCAUACCAUACACCCCGGCCACCAACAUAGUCCGCAUCUUGCUAGGAAAUGAAGUGCUCUCCACCACCAACAAGUUGUUCAUUGGGAAUUUAGUCCCUGCUAUGCAAACCCUUCACAUGGCACUUGUAGAUGCCUCCUUGGACCGUCAAAUCAAAGUCUCUACUCCACAUUCUCUAGGCAUUCUCUCAAGCUCAAGUCCACCAUCCUCAGGUAAGUUUAGGCAAGGCUAUGACACCCAUGUCCUUAAACCACUACUCACUUUUUUGAGAGUCACUAAGGCUCCUUUCAUGGUUAACCCCUAUCCCUAUUUCGGAUACUCGGGCGACACGCUCGAUUAUGCACUUUUCCGACCAAAUGCCGGUGUGGUUGAUCCCAAUACUAAACUUCUAUACACCAACAUGUUGGAUGCCCAAUUAGAUGCUAUAUAUUCAGCUUUAAAGGUUGUGGGCUUUGCGGACCUCGAAAUUGUUAUAGCCGAAACAGGCUGGCCUUCGAAGGGUGAUGCAGGCCAAGUUGGAGUUGACCUAGAGAGCGCAGCCGACUACAACCAAAAUCUCAUUCGUCACAUGACAUCCGGUAAUGGUACCCCGUUGAUGCCAAACAGGACUUUUGAGACCUACAUAUUUGCCCUCUUCAAUGAAAACCUCAAGCCCGGCCCAACAAGCGAGAGAAACUUUGGGCUUUUCCGACCCGACAUGACACCGGUCUACAAUGUUGGCGUCCUCCGGCACACGGUAGCUGCCGCAACUGACUACCAAACUAAAAAUGUUCCCUUUUUCAUGACAUCAUUUUGUAUCUGCUUAUUUGGUUUGUGGACUUGGAUCUAACAGGCUAGUUCGUCUACACCGGGGAAUGAAAGCCCAAGCCCAAAGCAAACUCCGUCGCCGCUGCAUGCAGGAAAACAAUAUUGUUUGCCCAAAAAUGGGGCAGACACAGAGGCCUUGCAAAAGAACAUUGAUUAUGUUUGUGGGCUAGGAUUGGAUUGUGGCCCGAUUAAGCAAGGAGGGCCGUGCUUUAUGCCUAACACAGUUAGAGCUCAUGCAGCUUAUGCCAUGAACAUAUACUAUCAAGCAAUGGGAAGGAACGGCUAUGAUUGCGAUUUUGAGCAAACGGGAGCCACCACAACCGUCGAUCCAGGUAAAGUUCUUCUUCUUCUUUUUUUUUUUGGUUACAAAAAGUUCUUCUUCUUCUUUUCUUUAUAAGCAAACCAUUUAUCUUCAUUGUUGUUGUAACUCUGAAUUUUUUCUAUACCAGGCUAUGGAAAAUGCAAGUAUUGAUGAUGGAGAGAAUUGCAAUGCUGAAGAUAUAUUACCUCCACCUUAGUAGCCCUUUCUAUGUUUACCUUUUUCUAUAUAAUGAAUUCAUAGCUCAAGAUUGUAAGAUAGACAUCAACUUUGUCAUUUAGAAUGCUAUAAUGUUUAAAGAAACAUGUAGUAAAACUAUAACUGUUUGUUUGUGAAUAUCAAUUUUGUUGUAUUUGGGAGAAAUAUGAACUCGAUCAGCUUACUAUCAUGAAUAGUCAUUAUAAAUUGAAAGUAACCGUUUGUUAUGCUUUUAGUUUGGCAGCUUGAAAGUGAUCAUUGUAAAAUAACACGAGACCAUAUCGAUGAUUAAGAUAUAUGACAAAAAUACAGAUGCAAGAUGAUUUUAGCAUAUAAAUGUCUAAAAAUACUGAAAAUUCUUAUAUGCACUACGUGUAUUUACACGAUAUAAUCAUAACCGUUCAUAAUAAUUUAUAUACUUGAUCAUUAUGUUUCUAUAUUAUUUUCUCUAAUCUUAAUUAUCUAUGUAUAUAUGUGAAGAUAUACGCAGUACACUGAAAUUGUUCUUAAUACCGGAUGUGCAUUGCACGUGAGCAGGGAGAUUUGUCCGCGCAACAGCAAACACCGCACCCUUACACAGCAAGGCAGAGGAAGCAGACGCCUGGCAGACCAUCGCGUUAGUAAAACUUCAGUGCUACAAGUUAAGACGGCCCAAAUUACCAUUUUUGUCCUCUUAGAUCGGACCAACCCCUCGGGAUCUCAAUGCAAUUUGACACUAGUUACAUAAACGCCCAACUGAUCCACUGCAUGCCAAGCACCUUAACUUUCUCUAUUCACCGUCGGAUCACUACACUAUUCGCCAAAACUAUACACGCGUACAGAUCAUCCGUCUUCACCGCACAGCCCACGGUACAGACGCCCGCACCCAAUCCCUGCUCUCCAGAAAUCUAAUACCCUAUAUGACCACUUCACCCUCUGCCCAUAUAUCCACGUGCAUGGGCAGAACAGUCAUUCUCUCACUCUAUACGGUGCGCUGAGUCCCCCCACCGGCGCUCGUGAAUUCCCUCUGUUUGUGAAUUGAUCAAAUUCUAGGGUUUUGAAAUCUCCCACCGCUUUCUUUUGCUCUCCAAUUUCCUCUUACUUGGUUUAGUUUUCGAAUUAAAAUUGUAGCCGAAACCGAAAUGGGAGGCGACUGGCAGCAGCUGCUCCAAUCGGUUGUCCUCGGCCUCAUUUUCUCCUACCUACUCGCCAAGCUCAUCUCCAUAGUCGUCUCCUUCAAGGACGAAAAUCUCACCAUCACCCGCGCCGGCACCGCUCCGCCCGAGCCCAGUCCCUCCCGCCCCGACACGGCCCGCUCCGCCGACUCCGCCGCGCUGCUCCACGAGGCCGAUUCGGUCGUCGCCGAGCACGGGAGCGUCAGGAGCAGCGAGGUUGGGAGCGACGAUGACUGGGAAGGCGUGGAGAGUACGGAACUGGACGAGCUGUUCAGCGCCGCUACGGCGUUUGUGGCAGCGGCCGCGGCGGAGAGGACGAAGGUCUCGACGGAGAAACAGCUGCAGCUUUACGGACUUUACAAGAUCGCCACCGAGGGACCAUGUAGCGUGCCGCAGCCGUCGGCGCUGAAAAUGACGGCUCGCGCCAAGUGGUGAGAGCUCAGUACUGUUCUAUUGAUCUUGAUGUGAUAUUUUGUUUAGGGUGAUAUUUUGUUUAGGGUUUAGGAUCAGGAGUUUCGAGGUUUCGUGAAUUGAUAUUUUUAAUUGAUGAUUUAAACUAUAGAUUUUUGAGGUUUUGAUAUGUGGUAGGCAAGCAUGGCAGAAACUAGGUGCUAUGCCUCCUGAGGAUGCAAUGGAGAAGUACCUUGAUAUUGUUUCUGAGCUAUAUCCUACUUGGGCUGAUGGUUUGAUUGUGGUGAGUAAGUCUCGAUUUGUUUUUAAUGUUUUGCCGUAUCAGUAAUGCUGUGUGGUUACUUACUUCCUGUUUGGUUUUCUUGCUGGCUUGUUUCUGUAUUGCUAGAAGAGCAAAGGUGGAGAUGGUAGCUCGGGUGGUAAUGAUUCUAAAGGACCAAUGGGGCCGGUUUUCAGCACUUUUGUUUAUGAGGAGGGAUCUGAAAUUGAUUUGUAAGCUUCUCACUACAUAUGUUUUCUUCUGCUUUAAGUUUUACCGAAACAGUCAUAGUCAUGUUCUAGAACCCAGGAAUGCACUAGUAUUAUAUGGUGUCUUAAGUCUGUAGUUAUAUCAAUUUUGUUUUUCACAAUGCUCUGAAAAUAGUCAUCUGAAAUGAAUGAGCUAAGUAUAUCAUUUUUUAUUGUUCCCUGUCAUUAGUUAAUACAAAUUUUUUUUUCGAAAGAAAAAUUAAAAAAAUCAGGAAGUCAUGCUAAAUUGAAGUUGUUUACUUUGCAGCAAAAUGGAUGCGAUUCAUGCCUUUGCUAGAGAAGGAGAAGUGGAUAACUUGCUUAAAUGCAUUGACAGUGGUGUUUCAGUAGACACAAAGGGUUUGGUUCUUCCUCUAUCUUGCUGUGCAGCUUUACUCAAGUUCUUCUCAUCAUGAUCAUCCGUAUUGAUUACUUGAAUGUUGCUGUAACUGUUAACCGAUAGUACAUAUGUAGUGUGUUUCUGGGUUGUGAUCAGAGUAGCGUUACUCAUGAACCAGCUCUUAGGGGCUGUUUCUUGUUACGAGCCAGAUAUGAAGCUUAAUCCAUGUCUAGUUCCCUAAAAUAUAGCUUUGAGUACCACUGUUAGGAUCCUGUGGAAAUAUGAGCAAUUGAGGUUGUCGUCAGUUGUCAUCAUACUUAAUUGAAUGUGGAAAAAAUAUAUCAAGAUUAAGGUUGUGAAUAGAACCACUGCGGCAUGCGGAAAGAAUGAAACUCCAGUUUUAGUAUGGCUUGGUGGUAAAUGUGCUUACCUCAUAGGGAGCUGGGUGUGGAACUUUUGUAUGUUCUUUCGUAUUUUGUAGGUAGUAAGGUAGAGCUUAUGUUUUGUUAAUUCAUGACAAGUGCUUACUACAUUCCUUAGUAUUUUCUUCUAUUGUCUGUCACCUCUUUCCUUCACCAUUGAGAUAUUAAAAUCUUGCAUUAUUUUCAUUGAAACCACUUAAAAUGGAAUCUGGCCAAAAGUUUAUAGAGACUCUUUUUGUAUGGUAUAUCUCCGUAGUUGUCAAGCCUGGGAUGCGUAAUUGUUAUCUGUGCUGGUGAUAUCACCAUCUGAAGUAGCUUUUGUGAAAUGAUUUCAGAUAGUGAGGGAAGGACCCCAUUGCAUUGGGCUGUUGAUCGUGGCCACCUACACAUGGCUGAGAUGCUUGUUAGCAGGAAUGCUGAUGUUAAUGCAAAGGUAGAUUAAACUUAUAAGCAUCUAUUUUAUGUUCCAAUCUUGCAAUCCAAUUCCAUCUUGCUUAUGUUAUUUCAUUUUACAUAAGCUAAAGUUCUGUGUUGCUUGGUCUUGGAAGGACAAUGAGGGCCAAACUGCAUUGCAUUAUGCUGCUGUGUGCGAUAGAGAGGGCAUCGCUGAAUAUCUUGUGAAGAAAAACGCAGACACAAACGUGAAAGACAACGAUGGCAACUCUCCAUCUGAUCUUUGUGAGUCAAAAUGGUCGUGGCUGCAGCGUGCAAAGGAGUAGAGGUACUGACAGAGGGUCUACGUCUGUUCCUGCUGUACUGAUUUUUCAACUAGUCCUUGUGGAUGGCUGUAUAUGGUGAUGUAUAACCCUUCCACUAAAUUUAGCCUCUGGAAAAAUGUUAAAGUAGAGCAGUAUGUGUAUGUAGUUUUACACAUUGUCCUUGUGUAGCCUUCUUUUCCUGUUUCCCCUAUUGUGGAGAUGACAAGAAAAGUUAAAAUCACCACGCAAACUGUUACAGGCUUGCAGCAUAUGCAUAGCAAUGCCCAUGUUUCGUUUAGUAUGCCAAUGCCUCUACUUUUUUGGCCAUUGCAUUGGUAAAUCUAAUUUUCUUUUUCUAUGUCAAUGAAUCUCAUACAUGUGUUUGAGAGUCGAAUUAAUUUCAAAUUUCUUGUUGCUCUUAUAGUCCUCUCACAAAAAUUGAUCGAGACCCAAACUAGGGGAGAAAGAAUGCUCACAAAAUUACUUAGAAUAAACCAGUCUUUCUUGACCAAUCUUUAUUUCAAAACUAGAUUAUGAAUGAUUGAAAGUCUUUCAAACAAGAGGAAAUGAGGAUUGAAUAUGCCGAAAGUCUUAUGACGAGAGAUCAUCGUACACGGCGUGUAUCUUCACAUAUAUGAAUUUAUUAUAAAAUACAUGGAUAAUCAAAUACAUGAAUUGUUAUGAAAAUAUAAGCGUCGUAUAAAUAUACGUCCAUAUUUUCAAGUCUUAUAAUAUCAAAUUAUUAUAAUUGACCAAAGGAAAAUAAGAAGUUCCAGUCUUAUAAUAUCAAAUUAUUAUAAUUGACCAAGGGAAAAGAAGCAUCCCAGGUAAUCAUCAAAUCCCAGGUUCCAAGACCUGAUCUUCAAAUCCCAGGGCUCUCCUUGGCAUGAAACGGUAUCUCCGGUACAUUGGGGCUGUAGGCUUGAGAUCAUAUCGCCUACGCCUAAGGCGAGAUGGGCGGCGGCCGCAGCACCGAGAACUGAACUCCGCUGUCGUCUGGUCUGAAAAGGCAUUAAGCCCAGCAGUCCACGUGUGUCCCCCUUCAUUGUUGAACUUUUGCACAUAGAGAUAUUUGGCUUUGAAGAUCUCAAACCGUCUUGUUUUCUCUUCACUGGUGGAGUAGACACGAUUGUGCUUUGCCAUCCAAUCUUCAAAAAUCUGGGAGAUAUUAGCUGGGUUGUUUUGUUCCAAGGAACUAGCGGAAGGGGGCUGACAUACUGCUAGGGUUGCUGAGAAAACAAUGAGCAAUAUCAUUGUAGACAUGCAGAAGCUUUGGAGAUGAGAACCCAUAUUGUUUAAUGAUCUUGAGCGAAAGGCUUGACCUACUUAAUGGAUUUCACUCACAGACGAUUGAGCACAAAUACAUAAUGAGCUCGGUUAACCUUACUUGCAAGGAAACUAGUCUAAAUACAUUCCAAAACCAUAAGAUACAAAUACUGAUAUCAAGCUAUUUGUAUUGAUAUCAGAUAUUCACAUAUCAAACAUUCCUAAACAGUAAAGAUACAAAAGAUUAAUUUCUUAAAUUAUUAUUUCAUAUCUUUAAUUCAUCUUUACAUUUAAUUUAUGAUUUAGUUUUAAUUACCUUUCCAUUUUUGUUAAGAAAAACGCAGACACAAACGCGAAAGACAACGAUGGCAUAGCUCAAUCCUCCCAGUUCAAAUUUUCCCAAUUAAGUUGGUGACAGAUCUUUAUUAUACAGUUUAUUAGAUGGCUUAUUGCUUAUCACCAAUUAGGAGACGCCUAUAUAUAGCGAUGCAGAUUAUCUAUAUUAACAUCAUACCAAUACCUCUUACAGUCCAACACCUCAUUGGCUCAUUGUUCGCACCUGUAUUUUGCCAAUCAAUUAAUUAAGAGCCUCUACUUCUGAGAGAGGCGUUUAAUCUGAUUGACAACCUAGCUCGAUCAUCAGAACUAUGGCUACUUCAAAGCAAAAGUUGUUUGUGAUCAUCUUGGCUUCAUGGGCGGUUGUAGGCUUAGGCCAGUUGACGUUGGAUCUUGAUGAGGAUAUCAAGGGACCAUUUCCAUGCAUGCAGAAACUGGCGCCUUGUCAAGUAAGAAAUCAAACCACCAAUGAUCCUGUUCCUGAGACAUGUUGUAAACCGUUGAGGGAUAUGCUCUUGGGUGACGAUAAGAAAUGCAUUUGCGACGCCUUUAGCGACCCUAUGGUGUUGAAGAAGCUGAACUCAACUCAGGAUAAUGCCAUGGAUCUUGUGUAUUAUUGUGGCGGGCAGCACAAGUCAUUAUGCGACGUCGACAGUAAGGAUACUAAGGAUAACGCAAAGCCAUCUUCACCAUCUUCCCCGCCAAGUCCACCGCCAGCUCAUAAUGCAGCCUCUCGUUUCUGCAAAUCUGGUUUUGCAGCCUCGUUCAUUGCAGCUCUGGUUUUUUCAGCAGCAUUUUAAUUAUCAGGAAUGCAUUUGAUUCGUACAAUUGUAAUUCAUGUAUUUUUGGCUGUUGUUUUGAAGCGCUAGGUCGAUCGUAUUGAUUGAUAUCGAGGCAUAAUUGAAAUAAUGAAAUUUGAAAUCUAUCAUGAAGCAGAGAAGCAGAGAACAUGCAUGCACACUUUUUGUUUAUUACCAGAGGAAUUCAUUUUCUUUUUUAAGGUUGAAAUCUUUACAAGUUAGAUAAACUACCCCAAUGAGGGUUGCGACAAAAUUGAGGCAAUUUUAGGUAGCCAUAUUUCGUCUAAUGAACUACAUUGCAAGCAAAAUAAGGCAACCUAAUUUGUAACAAAAUCAUAAUAAAAAGAACAACGGACCUGGAGAAGAUCGUAAAUUUCUUUCUUUUAGAUUUCUCAGCUGGUGUUGCUGCCUUUUUGGCCGGGUUAAGCUAGAGCGUCUUGGUAAUCCUUGAUAUAGAUCGUAACUUUUAUUUUUCAUUAUUCAUAUAUCACGAUCUUUACAUUUAAUUUAUGAUUUAGCUUUAAUUACCAUUUUUAGUUAAGAUUCUUCAAGUAUUAUAAUCCUUAAGAUAAAAAUACUGAUAUCAAGCUACUGUAUUUGCAUUGAUAUCAAAUAUUCACAUAUUAAUACAUUCCAAAACAGUAAAGAUACAAAAGAUUAAUUUCUUAAAUUAUUAUUUCAAUUUUUUCAUCUCUACAUGUAAUGUAUGAUUUAGUUUUAAUUACCUUCCCAUUUUGAUUAGUUAAGAUUCUAAUAUUAUAUCUUUCUUGUUUAAGAAAAAUAUGAUUUAUUGUGUGUGCCUUAGUCAAAAUAGAAUCAGAAUAGGAUUCGAUAUCAAUGUUGUAAUAUGAAUAUAUGUAAUUUUCUUAUGUAUUGUAUCCUCUAAAUAUAGAGACUUAUUCUAUGAAUGAAAUACAACGAUAUUCUCCCCAAAUUCUCUCUCUCAGUUAAUUUCUCCCGCAACAUUUCUCUCUCCGCGUUCGGUCUUUUACAAUCGCAACCUACUUUGGUCAUAUGGAGAACUCGUUACAAAAGGCAGGAAUGGCUUCAGAAGCUUGUUGUUUGAUUCAAGAUCUAAAUCUGAAAGAUCACUAUAACGGAGCUUCUUUAGUGGAGAAGGAUGAUGCUUUGAAAGGAGGUUUUGGUGUGAGUAAAGCUUAUAGUGAUUCUUUGAUAUGUGUGAAGCCCGCUCCAACUAAAUCUAAAGUUCGUCAUAUGAUGGAGUAUAUAGUUUUGAGGGAUGAAUCUGAUGACUCUAAUGGACCUUCUGAUGCACAAUGUGUUCAAAGGAAGAGGAGAAUUCUAACUGUAGAAGAAUAUAAUAAGGUGGUCGAGGAGUUGUACGAGUGUGGGAUCCAGCUUCCUUUUAAGUAUCCAGAUGAUGUGAUAUUAAACCCUCUUCCUGUGAGGUAUCCAUCGCACCGUUAUAGCGAGGAGGAGGAGUGGCAGGUCAUAUCAGAUGACAAUGAUGAGGUCGAGGAAGAGAUGGUGGACGAGGAGGUUGUAGUAGCUUCAAAGAACUUUGUGGAACUUUGUGGCGACUAAAGCUGGGUUGUCUAAUUCAAUUUAGUGGAGUUUGAUCUGGUUAUACUUUCUUCUUGUUUGGAGUGUACUUUCUAUCUGAAUAUAGAAUUCCGUAUUUCUAAAACUGUGCUAACUCAUGAAUGGUUUUUCUGUCAAAAUAGGUCUGUCAUAUGUUAAACAAAAAAAAAAACUAGAAGAGUAGAAGUAUUACUCCAAUACAUCCUUCCAUCGAUCAGGUUAAUUAAAUUAAGAAACCCAAUAUGAAUUGGCUAUUGAUGUAAAAGUAGUGAUGAUAAUAUGUCUGUUGCAGAGUUCCUAGUCCCUCGUCUAUAUAUAUUUCAUAGCUAGAUGCAAAUCAUUUCAAUAUCGACUCUUGGUUUUGUGGUUUCAAUUGCGCAGAUCUUUGCUAUGGAUACUAAUAACAAGCAAGAACGCUAAAAUUGUGAGAGGCCAUGGUCACUUUCUUAGUAGGAUUAUCUUGAAUUGGUGCCUGGUUUAUUGGAAUCAUAAUACUAACUUUGGUUAACUUUUAUCGCCCCCUACGGAAAUUUAUUGAUAAGAUAAAAAAUAUAUAAGAAGCUAGAGAACUAAGCCAAUGUCAGCCAUAUAAUAACUUUGGUUAACUUUUAUCGUCCCCUACGAAAAUUUAUUGAUAAGAUAAAAAAUAUACAAGAAGCUAGAGAACUAAGCCACUGUCAGCCAUAUAAUGCGAAUAACAUCUGAGUGAGGUGAUAUGAAGUUAAAAUUUGUUUAAAAAAUUCAAUUUUACUUGGAUUACCAAAUUUCAUAAUACAUUUUUUCUCUAUGUUUCAUGGAUCCAAUAUAAUUGUUUGCUUUUCUAUUUCUAAUUUGGUACACAAACAAAUGGGCUGAUCCUAUAUAUGUUUAUGUACCUCCCACUUCUAACUGUCAUUAACCGUUUUCGCCACCCUUGUGCAACAUGGAUUUUGGCGGAGUAUCUCCCCACCAUGUCCCAUAUGACCUCGCCUUUCUCCUUUUUUCUGUACCCCUUUCUUCCUUUAACGCCAAGCAAUGGCGAAGGGGGUCUAUCUUCUAUUCGCCGCCGCGAUUGUUGCUCUUAUAGUCCUCUCUCCCUUUAAGCCACGCCACCAUGGCCAUCACCGCCGCCUUGGCUUCACCGGCCACGUCCCCAUUUUCGACCCUCUAGUAUCCAAGAUGGAACGGUACGUGGAGGAGAAGGGAUUAGAAGACCACAAUCAUACAAUAGAUACGGAACACGACUUGGUUAUUGCUAAUGAUGUUGAGGAAGCUCAGCAAUAUUUGAACGAGGCGGGAAACUUGAAUUUAACCAUGAGGCUGGUGAAUCUCUUCCCUUUGUUGGAUGUGGCACCCGAAGAUGGAUUUGUCAGCUACGAUGAGCUGAAGCAUUGGAUUGUGGCACAAGCCAUGGAAAGAAUGAUAUAUAGGACACGGAGAGUAAUGGCAGAAAAUGAUAGAGAUGGAGAUAGAGCCAUUUCUUUCAGGGAGUAUCUGCCACAAUUUUCCAUUGAGGAUAUUGGUACAAUACUUGUCUACCUUCUACAUGUUGCACUUUUCUUUCGAGCUCCAUUUCAUAACGUUAAGCCUUGUUUGGUUCACGGAAUGGAAAAUGUUUCAAAACUCUAGAGCACCGUAGGGUUUCAAAUAAUUUCCACCCUUUGAUUUCGGAAUCUUUUUUCAUUGCAAAAUUUCUAAUUCGCGAAGCAGAACGAUGUUGUUGUAUAUUUUGGAUUCGUUGGACAACCAUUGAUGAUGUUAAUGAUUGUGAAACAGAUAGGAAUGAUAUGGAGCAUGGAGAAGCUGGAUGGUGGAAGCAGCAAUUUGAUAAUGCUGAUGCUGAUCGGAAUGGUUUACUUACCUUCAGUGAACUUAAAGAGUAAAUUCUCUAAUUUUAUUCCCAUACUAAUAUUUUCUUCGAAGAUUUCGGCUAAUUUACCUUUCAUUUGCAGUUUUUUGCACCCAGAAGACAGUUCAAAUGACCGAAUUCAAAGAUGGCUGUUGACAGAAAAGAUGAAGUACAUUCAUUCUCAUCACAUACAAUACCGAUUUUCGCUCUUGUUUACCACAUUCCUUUUCUAUGAACAGUUUGUUGGAUCCCUAGUUUGUUACAUGCAUGAUUAAUAUUAAUUUGAAAUGUGCAGAAGGAUGGACCAUGAUAAAGAUGGCAAGCUGAGUUUUGUGGAGUUUUCGGACAAUGCUUACAAUGUCUUUAAGAAUUACGUUGAAUUUGAGACAAGCGACUUACCCAUAGCAAAAGAGAAAUUUGCAGAGCUUGAUGUGAACAAGAACAAGUACUAUACAGACAUCAAACUAGCUUGUUUCUUUUUCAUUUACUGCCUAAAUUAACAACAUGUAUGACGACUAAUUUCAAAAAUUGGGAAAUGUUUGGCAGAUUCUUGGAAGCUGAAGAAUUGAGACCGAUACUACAUUAUCUUUACCCAGGAGAACUAACCUAUGCUACUUAUUACACAAGUUUUCUAAUUCAUGAGGUCAGUUGAGUGCAGUAUAUAUACAUUGUAGUAUAUAUGAAUGUGAAAGAAAGCACUGGUUUAUUAGAUACAUUUGAGCAUUUACUGAAAAAUGUGAUGGUGGCAUUGUUCAUUUCAGGCUGAUGAUAACAAAGAUGGAAAAUUAACGUUGGAAGAGAUGCUGCAUCACGAAGAUGUUUUCUACAACACGGUCUAUGAGAGCAGCGACGACGAUGACAUCCAUGAUGAUCAUGACGAAUUCUAAACUACUUUGAUGCAAUGAAAAUGCAAUGUUUUGAUCUAUGUAAUCUGGUGGAGGAUUGUCCUACGUAUCUCAACAUUUGAAAGUUGCUAAGGAGACUCCAAUUGCAGGAAGCAAUGCAUCAAGAAGAAAAAUGUAGUUGGAAGGUUCAUUAGGAAGUACCAUUUUUGAUUUGCACAAAUCCAAGUGCCCUCCUAGCUAGACAGAUUUAUGAAGUGUUUCCUGCAAAAUCACUUGUUAUGAAAAGAACUCCAAACAUUGGAGGGAAUUUUUUUUGUAAAAAAAAACAAAAAAAACACAAACUCCAAACAAACCCUAACAAAGAAUGAUGUGCUUUGUUUGGCUGUUUCCUGUGGAAAACUUAAAGGAAAAUAGAAAUGAAGGAAAUGGAUUUUCAAUGACAGUAGCAAAGUUCCAACUUCCAACUCAUGAUGGGCUCUUUUCUUAUCUGUGCAUCAAUUAUAUAUUUCUUACUUCUUUAUGAAGAGAAAAUAAUAAUUGUUGUGGCAUUGUCAUCAUCAUUUUUAGAGUCCAGGUAAUGUGCUUUGUCUUUCCACCAAUGAGUUGCUUGGAGCCAGUAGUGCAGGUAAUGCUAUGUAGCUACUGUACAUAACAUCAACAUCUUAAAGCCAUCACAAUCUCAACCUUUGAUCACUCUAUUUUGUGCUCUCUUCCUGAUGUAAUAUGCACCCAUAUCACAAUCAGUUAAUAGAAAUGUACAAGUUUAAAGAAAGUCUUUAUAAGCUCUUAGUGUGCGUUUCACUAAUAACAACAGCUGUACGUAACAACAGUUAUACAACUAAAAAAUUACGUAUUUUAAAUGCGUACACGGUCGAAUAAGUACACAAUUCUUUCUUAGUCAUUCGUAACCAUUUCAUACGUAGUAACUACUAAUUAUCAUGCAUCUGAAUUAAUGUCAUCUAAUCGCGUAAAAUUAGUACCCCCAUUAUUUACAAUGAGAAAAACAAAAAAGGUGUACAUUUCAUCCUUAAAAAAAUAAUAGACCCAUACGAACGCGUUCUAUAAAACUGGGGCCCGCAAAUUAUUGAAAUCCAUUUCUUUUUUUUCAAAAGAAAUUAAAUGAAAUUUUUAGCCUUUCUGCAAAAUCCAAAGUCCAGCUGAGCAACUCUCUCUCUCACUAUUUCUCUGAGGAAGAAGAAGAAGAAGAAGCCCUCUCUGCUCCGAUCCGUAACCGCACGGUUUUCCAAGCUCUCUCUUCGUUUACAGGUAAUUCUAUAUAUCAAUGCUCUAUUUCAAAUCCCUAAUUUUCGUUUCAGUGCUAAAAACUAGUGUUAUGUUACAUGUACUACUGUGAUUUUGAUUUUGAUUUCAAAGCGGUUCGAUUCGCUUGAUUACUGUUCGAUUCCGCUCGAGCGGUUCAGUUUCGAUACUAGCUUGAAGCAAUUCGAUCGGUUAUGGAUUUGAAUUUUUUUUUUUUUUUUGCGAAUUUUGUUUUUAUUUAAUGUGGUGAGGAUUUUGUGAAAUCGUAUGCGUGUGAUUGUGUUUAGCCUCAUUUGAUCUGUGAAAUUGUUCGUUUGGAUUUUGGUGAUGCGGUUUUUGUGUUAUGGAUUGUUUUAGUGGAAAUGAGGGUUUUUGGUUCUGUGAGUGUAGCAGGGUUUAGGUUCAAAUUUGAUGUGUAAUGAUGAAUGGAUAGUGUAAUAUAGAUUUUUGUUAGCAGUGUUAAGGAAACUGUCCGAAUCGGCUUUAAUUGAUUAUGCUAUGGAUUGAUGGUUACUGUAAUCAUAGUGUUCACACUCACUCUUUCAGUUGUAGAAGUAUUUGUUCUGUUGGUAGAUUUGGAGUGGUUUCGGGAAUGGCUAUUUUCUGCGGUUAAUUUGGAUUAUUCAGGCAAAUUCACUAACUCAGGGGUUUGCGGUUUUGUUUUUAUGUCCAGCUGUAGGUUUAUGUUUGGUUACUUGAUGUUAAUACCUUCUCAGUCUGUAGUCCUGCAAGAAUGUGGAUGUUAUGAUCUAUUUGUCACCUGUUACCUUGAAUUGAUCUAAUUUAUUAAACAGUUAUUCUUUUUGUAGUUUCAGAUACAGUAUGGCGCUGGAAGUUACCCAGGUGCUUCUGAAUGCUCAAGCAAUAGAUGGCACUGUGCGGAAGCAGGCUGAAGAAAGCUUGAAACAGUUGCAGGAGCAAGAUCUUCCUUUGUUUUUGUUAUCUCUUUCUAGAGAGCUAGCGAAUGAAGAGAAACCUGUCGAGAGCCGAAAAUUAGCUGGUUUGAUACUGAAGAAUGCUUUGGAUGCUAAGGAACAACAUAGGAAGUCUGACCUUGUUCAGAGAUGGCUGGCACUAGAUCCUUCUGCGAAGAACCAGAUUAAAAUGUGCUUGUUACAGACCCUUUCUUCCCUUGUGGCAGAUGCUCGUUCAACUACUUCACAAGUCAUUGCGAAAGUUGCUGGUAUUGAGUUGCCUCAGAAACAGUGGCCAGAACUGAUUGGAUCACUCUUGUCGAAUAUUCACCAGUUACCGCCUCAUGUAAAGCAAGCCACUUUAGAGACUCUUGGCUACUUGUGUGAGGAAGUCUCGCCUGAAGUUGUGGAUCAAGAUCAAGUAAAUAAAAUACUGACGGCUGUAGUUCAGGGUAUGAAUGCAUCUGAAGGGAGCACUGAGGUUAGACUUGCUGCCACCCGAGCACUGUACAAUGCUUUGGGUUUUGCUCAAGCCAACUUUAGCAAUGCUAUGGAGCGUGAUUAUAUUAUGAGAGUUGUCUGUGAGGCAACUCUCUCCCCAGAUUUGAAGAUACGACUGGCUGCUUUUGAGUGUCUGGUUGCAAUUUCAUCAACUUACUACGACAAAAUAGCCCCUUACAUUCAAGACAUCUUUAACAUCACAGCAAAAGCAGUUAGGGAAGACCAGGAACCAGUUGCUCUUCAAGCCAUUGAAUUCUGGAGUUCAGUUUGUGACGAGGAGAUAGAUAUAUUGGAAGAUUAUGGGGGUGAUUUUACAGGGGACUCUGAUAUUCCUUGCUUUUACUUUAUCAAGCAGGCACUCCCUGCUCUUGUCCCUAUGCUUUUGGAGACACUACUUAAGCAGGAAGAGGAUCAGGAUCAGGAUGAAGGAGCUUGGAAUAUUGCUAUGGCUGGGGGAACAUGCCUUUGUCUAGUGGCUCGGACAGUGGGCGACGAUAUUGUUCCGCUUGUCAUGCCAUUUAUUGAAGAAAACAUAACAAAGCCAGAGUGGAGGCAAAGGGAAGCAGCGACUUAUGCUUUUGGUUCCAUCUUGGAGGGUCCGUCGGCAGACAAGUUGACACCUAUUGUUAAUGUUGCUUUGACAUUCAUGCUCAGUGCUUUGACAAAGGACCCAAACAACCAAGUGAAGGACACUACUGCUUGGACCUUAGGAAGGAUUUUUGAAUUCCUUCAUGGUUCAACUGUGGAUGCACCGAUUAUUACACCAGCAAACUGCCAACAGAUCAUCACAGUUCUUCUUCAAAGCAUGAAGGAUGUGCCAAAUGUUGCUGAGAAGGCCUGUGGCGCUCUUUAUUUUCUUGCCCAGGGUUAUGAGGAUAUAGGGGCAUCAUCUCCCCUGGCUCCUUUUUUCCAGGAAAUUGUUCAAUCUUUAAUCACUGUUACUCACAGAGAAGAUGCUGGGGAAUCACGAUUAAGGACUGCUGCAUAUGAAGCGUUGAAUGAAGUUGUUAGAUGUUCGACUGAAGAAACUGCUUCCAUGGUAUUGCAACUUGUACCUCUUAUAAUGAUUGAACUGCACAAGACUCUUGAGGGCCAGGGACUAGCAUCUGAUGAGAGAGAGCGGCAGAGUGAGUUACAGGGACUUCUCUGUGGGUGCUUACAAGUCAUUAUUCAAAAGCUAGGUUCGUCAGAGCCAACCAAAUAUGUUUUUCUGCAGUAUGCAGAUCAGAUAAUGGGACUUUUCUUGAGAGUAUUUGCUUGUAGAAGUGCUACUGUCCAUGAGGAAGCCAUGCUUGCCAUUGGGGCCCUUGCUUACGCAAGUGGCCCAGAAUUUGCAAAAUACAUGCCCGAGUUUUACAAGUAUCUGGAAAUGGGUCUUCAGAAUUUUGAGGAGUACCAAAUCUGUGCUGUCACGGUCGGUGUUGUAGGGGAUAUUGCUAGGGCAUUGGAAGAUAAGAUUCUGCCAUAUUGUGAUGGAAUAAUGACCCUACUGCUAAGGGAUUUAUCAAGUAACCAGCUGCACCGCUCUGUAAAGCCUCCUAUAUUUUCCUGCUUUGGUGAUAUAGCUCUGGCGAUAGGAGAGAACUUUGAGAAGUACUUGAUAUAUGCCAUGCCAAUGCUUCAGAGUGCUGCUGAGAUGUCGGCCCGCACAUGUGCUGAUGAUGAAUUGACAGACUAUACCAAUUCUCUAAGAAAUGGAAUCUUGGAGGCAUAUUCUGGGAUUUUCCAAGGUUUCAAGAACUCACCAAAAACACAGCUCUUGAUAGCUUAUGCUCCUCAUAUCCUGCAGUUCUUGGAUAGCAUAUACAUGGGGAAAGACAUGUGAGUCCGUCUGGUGUUUAGUACUUUUAUCUUUUUUAUAUAUUUGUGUGUGUGUGUGAUAUAUUGUUCCCCCCUAAUUUUGGAACUCUACUUGUUUGUAGGGAUGAUGUGGUGAUGAAAACAGCUAUUGGAGUUCUGGGAGAUCUAGCAGAUACACUGGGAAGUCAUGCAGGCUCUUUGAUACAGCAAUCUAUGUCUAGCAGAGAGUUUUUGAAUGAAUGCUUGUCUUCAGAAGAUCUUUUGAUUAAAGAAUCUGCAGAAUGGGCCAAGUUGGCAAUUAGUCGUGCCAUUUCUGUCUGAGGCUGCCACCUGGUGUAUUCUAUUUGUUUGGAAGUCCCUGCAUGCAUUUGGGUGUGUUGAGUUGGGUCAUAGAAUUGCAUGAGUCAAGCAUCACCAUUUUCAGUCGGGCAACGGAAGCUGUGUCAGUCUUCAAGUUGUCACUAACUUGCAUCAUCUACAAAAGUUGUGACUAACAAUUGCAUCAGCACAAAGGGCUUGGGUCCUGGUAAUUUCAUAGAAGAGUGGGCAGUGAGUGUCACUGAAGCGGUUUAAGGCAUGCAGGUCACAGAGGAUUUUGGCACCAGAGUGGACGGUAAGUGACAUUGAUGAGUGCAACUUUUCUCAGCCACUCAGGUCGAUUGGUCUUUGAAUACUGAAGGUCUUACCAAUAUGUGUGUCUCCUGCGGUGAUCUCCUCCAGUGAUUUUUGGGUCAGAAUGCAUAAAUUCCCUAAUGUUUGCUCGGGUGCUGACGCCUUAUCACCACCCGUUGUGUGCCAUGUCCCUCACGUCUUCCUUACCAGGUCUUGAUUCCUGAAUCUAGAGUCUGCAUCUAUUCAUAUCUUCAUUCAUCCGUCAUAGUUAGUGUGUAUUCCAGAAUAUCUCAUCAGCAGAUCUGACUGCUUUCUCUUAUGGGUUGAGGGUCGAGACGUGCUAUUGGAAAACGCAGAUCCUGCAUUGCAUUAUUCAUUUUUCAUAUUCACAAAGUUAUUAGAUUUAAGUCAGUUUCAUAUGUCCAAUAUACCAUGCAUUUCAUGAAAUCAUUGUAAUGCGGCUUUUUUGAAGAACAGGUUUUUCUUUUGCUCAGGAACAUGUAAUAACUUCUUGGGUUUUGCUAUCUCCACCUUUUGGAAUUUGGUAUCAUUCAACAUCACAAAGUGUAAUGGUGCUUGAUUGGGAGAGGCAUUGUAUUUGGUGGAUUGCCUCAUUUGUUAUCUUUCAAGACAUAUUACAAAUUAAACUUUAUGUGAAUUUUGUGAUAUAAUUUUCAUUACCCCUUGCAACAAGCUCUAUUCUGAUUUUGGUAUUCAUUGCAAUAUGUUUACCUAGCAAAUUAUGUUAGGCAGAUAUGGUAGAUUUUCAGCUAAAGUAGUCGUCUGAGUUUUGAAUAGGAAGAUAUGGUAGAUUUUCGAACACUGAAGACAGUUCAGAGAAGGUGCUGUAAUGUAUUGUGAAUUUGUGAUAUGACUCCCACUAGCACACACCAUUGUGCGAGUGAGUGGAAUAAUACUGAGCUCUCUGCUUUUCCAUAUUGUACCUCUUGUUUGUUUCUCUGGCAAAUCCCCCGCCACACCAUGUGAGGUGAUCUUCUUCCUUGGGAGUCUUGGACUCGUCAUUAACUUUAUGAAAACAAAAGCUUAGAAAUUAAAUAUAUAGCUAUUAAAUCUCAGUGAGCAUCCAAAAUGAAUAGCCAGUCCCACUUUGGUAAAGUCCAUUACAGUGACACUACAUUACAUUACGCUGUUCACAGCACUUACUUAUCUCAUCCAUGGCUUCCAUAGACCAAGUACCAAGCAUAGCUUCAUGUUCCAAAAAUGGACUAGCCCUCCCCAUCAUUACCAACAUAGAUUACCAGGGUCCUAAAUUAGGGCUUUAGGGGAAUAUGAUUAGUGCAAACAUGUUUUGUCUUAAUAGAAUUAGUAUAAGAUAGUAGUGUACUUGUAAAUGUUUGACUUGUCCCCUCUAUUGUGAAUACUAUGAUAGUGCUCCCCCCUCUCCCAACUCUCAACUAGUAGUGGGUCGCCAAAUUUUUCAAUUCAACCCUUGUAAUUCAUCAUAGGUUUUCAUGUAUCUAAUAUAUAUUUGCUCUCAUCUGUAGCCCACUUUGUGUAUAUGAUCCACUUUGCGAUGAAAGCCGAAAUAGAAGGACCUAAAGCAGAAUUAGGUCAUCAGUGGUGUUUUGUACUACGGAAAGUUGAAAUGAGAUCUCUUUAGGAGGUGGGAUAAUGUCACACCCCGAUUCGAAAUCGAUGUCCUUUUCCUAUCCGUUGAGGUUUGGGUUAGAUCCAAAGUUGAAACCAGAUCUUUAGGAGGUGGGAUAAAGAGAAUUUGAUGAACUUGAUCUCCAAGUCUAACAUUGUCAAAGGUCUAUUGAGAAUCACUAUUAGUUUUGUCGAGCGAAAGCCUUAAGGUUAUGAAUAUGUGAAUGUGAAGAAAUAUCUUAGCAAAUCAAAAGAUUGUUCUAAAACAGGGCCGCCUAACCCAUCUAGGAGUUACAAGCCAACCAUCCGUCCUAGUAACGUCUAGCGAGUUUUCGAACCAUAAUUAUAUGUCGUGUUACAAAACAACACCGUCCAGCACGCCUAGACGACUUCUAUACGCUCUAAGCCUGCCCUCUAAAUUGAGAGCGUCUAAUGAGUUUUCAAACUUUGAUCAUAGUAUUUGUACUUGUGUUGUAUCUUGGAACCGAUACAAGUGUUAGAUUUAUGGUACACGUAAUAUCUUUGUUGUGAUGACAUCUCAAUACACAAUUUAUCGACAAUGGCAUUGAAACAAUGGGCCUGCACUUGGAACUUGUGCACCAUUGAAAACAAUGGGAGCAUAUAAUAGCCAUGAGGGCGUCUGAUGCGUCAAUGUCGACACAUGAUCAUGAACAUUGUUGAAGAUGAGAACUGAUAAAAGAAAACGGGCAAGGAAUUCAAGCCAUGCAAGGAAUUGUUGCAGGAGUUGACUUGUGUUUGUGGGCAAAAGGGAAGUAGGGUAAAGCUAACAUUCAUCAUCAUCAUCAUGUUUCUGUUGCUAUUGGGUAGGAUGAGUGCACACAAUGAAUGCUAUAACAGCUCUCUUCUCUGCUCUCUUUAACUAUAUAUAGCUCCUUAUAAGUCAUAGCGCACAUGCUUUGCAAUUGCUUGCUUCCUACCACCCAAGUAUCUUUCAGCAACCAUAAAAGGCCACCCUCUCUUCCCCUACCUCCCUCCUCUAGAGCCGAAGACCUUUAACUUUAUCGAUAAGAGAUCACGACGAAAAUAAGCAAUGGCUCAGCUUAGAAACAACUUCGUCAUUCUUCAAGUACUUCUCCUCUCAGUGCUUCUCAUUUCCUUAGUUUCAGGUAAUUAAUUACGCCAAAUAAAAAUCUCACUCAUAAUGGCAUAUGUGUGUUUUAAACUUUUGACCUGAUAAGUACUGCAUGCAACUCUUGUAGGUAACAACACUGUUGAAGGCUUCAAGGAUGACAAUGAUCAGUUACUUCACAAGGUAUAUAUAGCACUAGUGCUUUUAUCAGAAGCUUGAUUCUGCUAGCUUACAGGAUUAGCUAACUAGAUAGUUGAUAUGGUCUGUGUUUGAAGGGUGUCAAAGUGAAUUCAAGGAAGCUGUUUAUGAUGCCAGAUGCAACAAUGCAUGACUACGAUGAUGCGGGAGCCAACCCCAAACACGACCCUCGAAGGAGACCUGGCAAUGGGAGAAACCCAUGAUCGAUUAUCGACUGCUACUAUACGACUACUACUACUACUUGAUCCACUUAUAGUAUCGAUAAUUUUGAUCAUGUACUAAGGAAUUAAAGGAGACGAUGUACGUCACCUGAUAUACAGGGCUAGCAUUAAUCCAGACUAGAGUUUCUUCAAUAAUGCUGAUAUGAUAUGCUGGUGUACUAGUCUAACGAGUUGUCCUGUGUGGCCAUUAGCCAUAUAUAGGAAUGCCAACUUCAUAUCAUAUGCAAUUCCUUUUGGCUACUGUUUCUCUAUUAUAUAUGUAUCAAGUAUGAAAUAAACUUUCUGCCAUUGGCACUGUAUGAAUAUAUUUUUUCUAGUUCGAACAGGUUUAAAGGCCUUUACCAGCACUUAACUAGCAUAAACAUCCUUUUUACUUCAUCAUCUGGACUUUUAGGUGGAUAUUAAGAGCUGAUAUGCUAUUGUGUUUGCUGCUGACUCAAGUUAAGACACUACUUUUCCUCAUCUGUUAGAAAAGCCACCACUUCUAAUGUCUGCUUGACUAUCUUUUAUGUGUGUGUUUCUCUAAUUAUCAAACUUUUGAGAUUUCUUUGAGGAUUGGGAUUCGGUCAUCUCAAAAGGGCAUAUAUUUGAUCUUAUACACGCACCUUUAGAUUUUGCUGUAGCCUGUGAAUGCAUGAGCUAGCACUUCCGCUUGAAACUUGUGAUUUCAGAACCUCAAAAGUCAUUUUCCCACAUAGUUCUUGCCCCUGAAGGAAAGGUACUCGCUACGACCUGUCGUAUUAUCUUGUCAAUUUUUGGCAAUGUCUGGCUGGUAGUGUGUGUGAGAGUGAGAGAAUUCUUAACACGAGCACACUGCACACAUUAUAGUUCAAACCACUCUCUGGUUGAUUGAUUAAUUUCUUCACUCACAAACUAUCAUUGAUCAUGUAAAAUCAUCUAAAUUUUACUAUUACACUUGCAAGAUUAUUCUAGUUCACCUAAAUAAAAAGUAUAUCAAGGCGUGAGGCAUGUACAAUUAUGAUUAUACAAAUGUAAGUGUGAAAACCUAUGUUGAUUUCCAGUAUAUACAUCAUCCUCAGGAGUCAGGAACUCAGGAUGCCUCAGAUUCAUGAAGAAAGCAACGAUGUUGACAUCCAAAUUCCAAGCGAAACGAGCCCGAUAGUAGCAAAAGCUUGCCCAAAUUCAUAUACAACAUUUUGUUUUUGGAAGGGCAAACGUUGCCAGUCUGUUCGCCUGUGGGUGAUUCAAAACCAGGGUUUAGAAACAGAAAAGAAACCAAACAAGGUGGUGAUCAAACCAUGCCUGCAUGUAGAUGUAGAACCAGAUACAUACCCUAAAUCCGCAAUGACGAUGCUGAUAUUAUCUUGUGACUUGUUAUCCUGCAGAACGUGUAAAUCUUAUGUCAUAAGAGACUACCCAAUUAAGUAAAGAAUCUAACCACUAUGGUCAGAGUAAAACAGUGUUCAGUAAUUAGUUCUUACCAGAGCAGCUUGAGCAAGCGCGUCACAAGCUAGCUGAAAUCAGAAACAAAAAGUAUAUGUAGUUAAGCACUGUUCUAGAAUCAAUGUAGUUUUCCAAAUACAAAUGUGCAGGCCAUAUAUACCUGGACAUCUCCGUGUUGUCGAAGCUGAUUCCUUACAAAUGAAACCGCAUCUGAGCUGAAAUUGACAGCAACAGAAGUUUAAAGGUGACUCCUCCUCUUUUGAAUAGAUUGAAGAGAAAAGUAUGACAAUUGGGAAAGUUUUUAAUGAGCAAUCAAGAGUGUCAUGAUACCUGUUUAUGUAAUCCCAUAAGCCAUCAGAUGCUAACACUAGAAAUUCUGAGUCUGCCCCAAGACUUGCUUGAUAAAUGUCUGGAGUUGCAGUAACAAGGUCUCCACUGAAUUGCACUCUGGAACAACAUAAAAUGAGUGGUUUUACUUUAUAACCGCUGUUUUACCAUAUACUACAGUAAAAGAAAGAACAGUCUUCUUUACGCUACUUGCUCCUAGACUAGAGUACACUAGUGUUUAAACCAUGUGUUUAUGAUAUGCUUAGUAGUGAUGAACUGACCAAACUCCAAAGAAUCCUAAAUUACAAGAGAAAAAGGCUGGGAAGAGAAAUAUUGAGGCAAGCAGUAGUCAUUAAGAUGUACAAGAUUACUCACCGAGAAACAAAUUUCUCCGUCCAUCUUCCUUCUUCAACUCCUUUCUUCAGCAUCCUUUCCAUUUAUCAAAAUGCAACAACCCUCAGUAUUGUGCAUAACUUGAUAAUCCUUAUAUCAAAAAUUACAUGAAAAACUAACAAAUGCAUCCCUAAGUUAUAGAAGAAUGAUCAGAAAGUUAGAAGACUGAACUCGUUUUUCUUUGUCUUGAACCGCAUGUCACCAAAAGCGCGAGAUACAGCAAUGUCUCCACAAAUUCUUCCAUUGACGAUCUAUAGACACCAAAUGUAAGUUGUCAACCGAUGAACAUAAGACCAAACUCAAAUGCAAUCACACAAUGGAACAAAGGAAAAACACCAAUCAGUUUUAACUGUUGUCUACAAGGUUAAUACCUUACAAUGUCUUUCAAGCAUUUACUAUCUCAAAAAAGGUAAAAACUUGGAAAUAAACGAAGAAUAGAAAAACACACCCAUCCACCUGCUUCUCUGAUUCUUUUAAUUUCUUGCAGACAGACCUUGUUGCUUCCAUAUGGUCGAUGAGGGCUAGUCAACACCUCUGCUUUUCCAGAACAAGACUGAACCUGCAUCAGUCAGUGAGCUGAUAAAUCAGCAAACUAUAUACCACCUUUCAUAUAAAAGGGGUCUAUACAUACACCAGGAGAGCAUUCAAAUAAAAGCACCAUACCACAGACGAAUCGCCAACAUGUGAAAUGAAAAGCAUAUCGUUCCCAACAAACAUAACAGUAGCUGUUGAACCAGACUCAUCUUCUUCCCCAUUCCUCUCAAGCCUUUACAAAAUGAAACACCAUCUAAACCUUCCAUGGAAUAAUAUCGAAUACAGAAUCAUGUUUGCAACUAUACUAUACAAAUUUCAUGCAAAUGCCAAUUCAACAUAUUUGCCUACCAAUUCAACAACUUUGCAUCAACUCUUUCAAAUGCCUCCUGUAAAGCCUCUCUAAUAGCUUUGAUAUCCUUCCCACUUAAUAGCGAACCGCCUUGUAAAGCCUCACAACACUCUUUGUAGAGCUCAUCUCUGUUACCAAAGAUUGAAAUUAUUCAGAAAGUUAAACCCCGGACUCAGAAAACUAUAUGAUGCUUAUACACAAUAUCAUAUUGCUCAAAUAGUAACCAACGUACUUGCUAUUAACAAACUAACCAAGAAACUUUAUUUGUCCAAAACUGCCAUUUUUCACCAAAACCGUGGACUAUAGCACACGUUUUUAUAGCCAAAUCGCAUUUUCUUAUUUUCUUCACCAAAACAAAACCUUCCCACCCUCGAAUUAUAAUAUUUUUAACAGUUCUCAUACUCAAACUCGAAAAACAAAAAAAACCAAUUCAAACAGAAAAAGUAGCAACUAUUAAUAUAACAAAACCUGAGAAACUUGACAGAGGAGAAGCCAGCAUGUCCAUCAAAAACCGCAGCAAAUGAAUAACCGUCAAGGCCAUCGGACCGGACAACAACGCCGUCUUCCAUCUCUUCCCGCGCUCCCUGCAAGCUGGUGGAGCCCCACCUGACUCCGGCGACAUCAGCAGAGGACGAUCCCGGCGCGUCUAUGGCAAUCGCUGAGCAUAGUGGGGUAGUUGACUUGUUGGAAAAGCUGCUGCUACUGUUCUUGUUGGUGUUGGUGGGUGAGGUCUUGAAUGAGCCAGUACCUCCACCGCUGCAGUUGUAUUUGGUUAAGAGGAACCUCUGCAGUUGUGGACUUAACAGAGCCAUGCAGAAGUCUCUACUACUGAGUUGAAGCGGUGAGUUAGGGAACGAGUUGUGAGUUCUGAGAAUGGUGGUGGAGGAUAAGAGGGAGACCAUAGGAGAGUGAAGCUAGGCCUUUAACUGAUUUAACGGAUUGGGGUGGGAAAGUGGGGCCAUUUGGUGCAUUAUGAUUGGACAAUGUUUGCCACGUCAGAUUGACAAAGGGUUUGACUGUCAACGGUUUAUUCAGUAAUUUUUUUCUUUUUGUUAUUUUUUGUUAUGGUGGCUGAGUGAGUUACCACUCGUAGUUGGGGGUGUAUGGCCUCUCACUAAGGGAUGUAUUUCCAUAAAUUGAGGUUCGAACCAAAUAUCUUAUUAUCAGGAAGCCUACAACGUUUGUCACAUUUACAUCAUAACAUGCUUCUAUUAGACCGGCCCUAUUAGGUGGUUUGAUUCACUACUUUGAAACCCGAUGAAGAUGAGCCGAGAAAUUUUAUGAUCAAGGUUUUAAGGAAGACAUUGUGUGUUCCACAUCUUAAAGAACAAGUGUAAUAAGAAAACAACAAUCACCGCCCAGAAAUUCCGCCCCCUUUAUUGCGGUACGCUGUUCUUCAACAAGGUACUCUCGUUGGAGUGAAAAGAACAAUUGUUGGAGAGGUGAGUAUUGUUAUAAUUUUUAGCAUGUAUGGUUUAUAGUUUAGUACAAGUUUCAGACAUGUAUGGAUUUUCUUGGCCAACCUACUGGUUUAAUCGAAUAACUGUAAAUGCUAGGAAAGAUGUUCAUGAUCUCAAAUUCAUUUUUCUUCACCAAUUUCCAAGUAAGUGUAACAGGGAGAAGAAAAAUAUUGCAAAAAAGAUACCGUAAAACAAUACCGUCUAAAGUACCAUUACAACAUGCACAACACAAAAUCAAGUAUAAAAUUCUUUCAAAUACGAUGGCCCUGGUUGGAAGGGGUCAGAUUCUUCAUAUGCUUCCGGUCUAUAAAACCCAGCAUCAUUCACACGGUUACUUAGCACCUGAAGGAUAGCUUUCUUCUUACCCCCAUAUUCAUCUCGGUUGUUCUCAACAUACUCGUUGGCCUCAGCCGCAAUUUCAUUCACAAAAUCAAACCGGUUGUCCUCUGAGAGUAGUAGUCUCUCAAUGUCCAUUCCCAUGAGCUGUCCUCCAUCCUUGACCUUCCGAACCUGUUCCUCCAGAAAAGGAACUCUGUCCAUUCCGUAUCGCAACAUGUCAUCCUUCUUUGUCUAAAGCAUGAAAAAUGUGGACAUCUUCAGUUAAUGCUCAAUAGCACAGUAUGAGAAGGUUCUGACUUACAGGGUAUACAAAACAGUAAUGAUCACUCAUGUAGCUGAAAUUUAUCAGUAAACACAGAAUUUGUGGGGGAAAGGCAAACUUGCAUAUAAAAUGCUCUCCAGUUAUACACACUAGAAUCCAAUACGAAACAAACUCAAACUUCUAUUGAACAUAAAUCAUGUUUUUCCAUCAGAAAUCAACCAAACAAUAGACUCAUCGACUUAACCUUACAAUACUUGACUCUCAAAUAUAUUAUCACUUUCUCACCUACAUUCGACCCCUUUGCUGUAAGAACCUAGUUAUGCACAAGCAACAGCGACUAAAUCUACUGCGAUUUAAAUUGCUUAAAUCUUCUGUUCAAAACCCAUCGUUCAGUUCACAAAAGUCAAAAUUUACGUACUUUCAAAUUUAUUAUGUUUCACUUAAGUAGACACUGAAGCAAGUUCACCUUCCCACAUUUCAAAUCCUCUCAACAUUGGAGUCCAGACUGUAUUGCAUGCCCGGUAGCAGCCACUGAACUUGUCACAUGAAGAAUCCCAUCUCAACAUGUCACAUAUUGUCUCCUCAUCCAGUUCCACACAACUGAUCAACUCAAUAUGAGAAAAACACCUCACUUCUUGUCUUGUAAUUCAAAACAAACCAAACAAUCCACAACUUAUAGACUCAUGACCAUAACCUUACAAUGCGAAAAACUACAAAUGGCUGCUCCUAAACCCUAAUGCCACCACCCUAUCCUUAAGCAGUUAAGCACCAACAAUAACAAUUCCACAAGCCUUUUUUCCAAACUACUUCACAAUUUCACAUAGAAGUCAUAUCUUUCACUACUAUCGUAACAUAUUCACUAGAUGGAACAAUCAAUUAGGGUUUCUCAAACAGUACCAGUUUCCUUCGCCGCCACACGCUCCGACCUUUCCCAUUCCUUUGCACCCCUGAAAUCACCUGCUUCCAAGAAAACACCAAAACCAACAUCAAAUGCCAAAAAACAAAGAUUCAGCAAAAUAAAAACAAACCCAAAAAAAAGAAAUAGAAAGGAAUGAGAACAUAUCUCUCACCUGCGUUCUGAAGAAGCAGUUGGAAGAAGCCACUGUGUUUUCCACUCUCAGUUGUACCGCACUCUGAAACAAUGAAAUAAAGACAUUCAGAAUCCAAAUUUCNNNNNNNNNNNNNNNNNNNNGAGAGAGAGAGAGAUUACAUGGGCAGAAGAUGAGAGAGAGAAGGAGGGAAGAGUGGAAGCCAUGGCUGACCAGCUCAGUUGUGUUUAUCUUCUGAGUUGAUGUUGGUUUUAGUUACUCACACGCUGUUGGGUAAAUGCACGAAAACAAACAUAGAUUUACAGGAAUACCAUAUCGGGCUAAGGAUCCGAACCCGAGUGUUUUGGACUUCUGACGGUGUUACGGGGCAAGUUGGGCGGGUUCAAGGAUAACUCUUGUUCAAGAAGUGAAGAUAUUUUUGAAGUUUUUCACUUCUUCCGUUUUGGUUAUAACUUAUAAGAAUGUAUUUUCGUAAACGCUGCAGGCAGCAUGCGUUUUUGUUCCUCGUCUCAGUUUUGGAUUAUCGUUACCAAGAGAUUCAUGGUUAGUAACCAUUAGAUUUACAUCCAAGUUAAUCACUGGUAUAUUUACAUCCAAGGAUUGAAAACAAAACAACUCAACUUAAAAAUAAUUCUCUGCAUUUUUAUAUUUAAAUCUAACGGCUACUGAUUAUGAAUCUCUUGGUCAAUUACUUACCAUAUGAACACUACUGCUUCAUGAGUUCAUGUGAAUGAAGUUCCACAUUCUACCAAAAAAAAAAAAAAAAAAAAAAAGAAAGAGAGAGAGGUAUACAUCUAAGAAUAAUUCACCUGCUAAUGAUUUGGUGACCAUUUAUUGUAUAUGACUAUAUACUUGGAUGUAAUUCAAAUAUGGAUUCAACUAUUCAAGUAGCUGCGUGUGAUUUGGUUCGACCUUUGUUUGCCAUUAAUUAUGCAUUUAAGCAACUUAAUUAAGUCGUCAAAGCCAAAUGCAAAAGUUACAAGCAAGGUUUUAGGAAUCUCAAGCAAAAAGCAAAUACAAAAUACAAAAAAGUAAUUCAAAAGCCUCAUUUUCUAUUUGUUAUACAAAAGUUAUAAGCAAGGUUUUCACUAUAGAUAAAAAACAAUUUUCAACGGUCAUUUCGUAAACCACUUUCGUCACGAGAAAAACAUCUUUAACUUGAAAAUCCUGAAAACGUGCCUAAUCCGACUUCGCUAAAGGAAACAAAUCCAACCCACCCUCACCCCCAUCACACCAAGCCUCACUCAUACAUGGAUCACUUUAAUGCAGUUUAGUUUUUCAAGAGUUUACACAUCUAGUCUAGAAAAUAAUGGAAUUUCCAUUACCUCACACCUUCUCUACUACAUUAUCCCAAAAUUCCUAAAAUAGGUUAAUCCCAAUACGACGCCGUUUCCCACCCAUAUAUAAAUAUACAUAUAUAUGUUUAUAUAUAUAUAAUAUUAAACUCUCACACACACAGUAGUGGUGUGUUGGAGAAAGUAAACUAAAAAACCAGUACACUGGGAACUGUUAAAUCUGAGAGAGAGAGAGAGAGAGGAGCAGUUUACACCUCACACUAUUCUUCUUCUCAAUCAUCUUCAUCUUUCUAGGGUUUCUAAUUUUUACAGAACCAAAAUCUGAUUCUUGAUUUUCUCACUCCACGAUUUCCCAGAACACAAAAGGACUUUUAAUUAGACGAAGCUGAAGAAGAACAAGAGGAAGCUGGUAGAAACUUUGACCUGAACAAAUCGGAAGAACUACUAUUAGACCUUUUUGAAUUUGGGGAACGAAAUGGUUGAAGAGAUUGGACGGUGUUGAGAAAACCCUAGGGGUUAUGGAGAGGUCUAGAUCCAAGAGAUCGUACUACUAUGACCAGCACCAGGACUACGACGCCGAGCCGGUACAACAACGGCAACGGCCUCGGUACAACAACCACCACUACGCCAACGGAAACAACGGCGGCGGAGGCGGUAGAAAUCACCGGCAUAACAGCGGCGGCGGCGGAGGUAGGGCGGCGGCGGUGAAGACGGGGCAGCAGGAGGCGGCGUCGGCGGCGGUGACGACGUCGUAUCGGAUACUGUGCCACGAUAUGAAGGCGGGAGGGGUGAUAGGGAAGUCCGGGAGCAUAAUCAAGUCGAUCCGGCAGCACACCGGCGCGUGGAUCAACGUGCACGAGCUGGUCCCCGGCGACGAGGAGCGGAUCAUCGAGAUUUCCGACACGCGGCGGCGGGACCCGGAGGGGAGAAUGCCGGCGUUCUCGCCGGCGCAGGAGGCGCUGUUUCUGGUCCACGAGCGGAUUCUGGAGAGCGAGGUCGGCGGCGGCGGGGCGGAGGAGGAGGACGAGUACGGCGGAGGCGGAGGAGGAAACAGAGGGACACGUGUCGCGACGAGGCUUGUGGUGUCGAGGAUGCAUGUGGGGAGUUUGCUGGGGAAAGGAGGGAAGAUAAUAGAGCAAAUGAGGAUGGAGACUAAGACGCAGAUUAGGGUUUUGCCGAGAGAUCAUAACCUGCCGCGAUGUGUUUCAAUGUCUGAGGAGAUUGUUCAGGUUUUCGGAACUUUCCAGCUCUCUGAUGCUUUACUCUCAGUUGCAUUGAUUUAGUUACACUGGUUUGCUGCUUUGGACUGAAUGAACAUUGCUAAAUAUAGACUGAACUGGACUGACCCUCUUACUAAAACUGAAAAUAAGGACAAUAAUCGGCAGCUUAAAAUGAUGAUGAACUGGUUAUAUGAUAGUGUGUGACUUGGGCUGAACUGUGCAGUAAUUUUGAUGUUCAUCGAGUAUAUUGGUAGUGUUGGGUACCUUGAUCUUUGUUAUGUUGAAGGUUCGUAGUCACUGCAUUAUUGGAUAGACACCAAGUAUGUAGGUGUAUAAUGCAAUGACUGGUUUAUGCUAUUCUUUAACUCAGUGUACUGGGUACAUUGAUUUUGUUACUGGUUUUCUGCUUUGGACUGAAUGAACACUGCUAAAUAUAGACUCAACUGGACUGACCCUCAUUCUGAUACUUGCUAAAACUGAAAAUAAGGACAAUAAUCGGCAGCUUACAAUGAUGAUGAACUGGUUAUAUGAACUGUGCAGUAAUUUUGAUGUUCAUCGAGUAUAUUGGUAGUGCUUUUGAACAUUUUGCAGCCUUUAGUUGCAUCAUGUUGGGUACCUUUGAUCCUUGUUAUGUUGAAUGUUCGUGGUCACUGCAUUUAACGAUGUGAACAUACCAUCAGUGAUAUGAUGUUGGAUUUCUGCUGCAGGUAGUAGGCGACCCGAAUAAUGUAAAGUCUGCUGUGGAAAUUAUUUCAUCUCGCUUGAGGGAGAGCCAGCACCGUGACCGCAAUAAUUUCCAUGGACGAGCUCAUUCACCAGAACGGUUCUUUCCUCCUGAGGAUGAUUAUAUUCCUCACAUGAACAAUGCAGGACGUAAGUCGUCCAUGGAUGGGUCUGGUUACGGAUCAAGAUUAUCCGGCCACAAUACGAGGAACAACAACUAUGGCUCACGUUCAUCUGGUUAUAUGAUAGAACCAGGGUCUGUUCCAAUGGAUGAUAGUGUGCAGCCCUUUUAUGGAGAAGACCUUGUGUUUCGAAUGCUUUGCCCGGUUGAUAAAGUUGAUCUUGUCCUCGGAGAAUCUGAUGGAAUUAUAGAAUUGCUUCAAAAUGAAAUUGGUGUGGAUGUCAGGGCUACUGACCCUGUGGCCGGAGCAGAUGAACAGAUAAUCAUAAUUUCUUCUGAGGAGGUACUUCAAAAUUUUCUGGUGAAAACUGAAUACAUAUAAUUAUCAAGAUCCAUUUUCUUCUGGUCGUUGUGUAAAUAUGAACAGGUGACACUGUCUCAUAUAGCACUUAUAUAUGAUCUGGAAAUGUAUCUGAUUAGUUCAAAUGAUCUGCUUUUUUCUUUUCUUUGGGAACCUCUACUCUCUUUUCUUGUUUCUGGUAACACUUGACCAACUUUUGGUUUCUUGUCUGUUACUAGGGUCCUGAUGAUGAGCUGUUUCCGGCUCAGGAAGCUUUAUUGCAUAUCCAAACUCGUAUUGUUGAUCUGAUACCAGACAGAGAUAACAUUAUAACUACAAGGUUACUUGUUUCAUCAAGUGAUAUUGGAUGCUUGGAGGGAAGAGACGGGUCUUUAUCAGACAUGAGGCGACUUACUGGUGCAAAUAUACAAAUUCUGCCUAGAGAAGAACUUCCUCCGUGUGUAUCAGGGAAUGAUAUGCUUUUACAGGUUUGUCAUUUAACCUGCUAAUUUCGUUAAGAUUUAUGGUUUGUUAAUUAUUUCCUUUAUCUGGGUUGGACUUAUUUUUAUUGGGUGAAUAAGUUCAAAACGGACUUUUGGAAUGAUCCCAAUGCCUCCUGCAGUAUGAUGGCACAUAUGCUAGUUUCACUUUACAAAUAAAGUGGAACCUGUAUAUUUAUUUAUGGAUGAUCCUGGACUGACUGUUCAAAGUGAACAAUAUGCUGGAAGAGUUGAAAUGUCAGCCCAUCCAAUUUCUGCUGUUCAGCUAGGAUAUAUUGUGAAUGCUUCUUUUCCUUGUGUCUGGGUCUGAAUAUGGCAUCAUAUGUGCUUCUGUGUUUUAUCAGAUGAAAUGUUUCUACAAAAGAUAAGGGGUCCAAUAACAUAACAAGUCUAAUAAAGGCUUGGAGUUCCUGGUGAACAGAAUCAGUUAAACUUAAGUCGAUUCUUAGUUUGUUUUUUAUGUCAUCUACAGAUAGUAGGGGAAAUAAAAGCAGCUCGAGAUGCUCUUGUUGAGGUGACAUCACGACUAAGGAGUCACUUAUACAGGGAGUUGUUUCAAAAGGAUACCAUGCCGCUUUCUGUGCCUGGCCCUGCAAGUAGUGCUCUUGAUUACAUAAAUCCUGUUCGUGAAGCUCGUACUGGAAAUGGCCCUUCUAUAGCUACCUAUCAGAAUGUGCAAACUACUCAGCCAUCUAAGGUUUUCUUUAUAUCCUUCUGUCAAUUUUACAGUUUUCUUCUCUCUCUCCUUUGAGUUUAACUGAUUUGAUGAGGGCUUCAAAAGUUAUGGUUAUUAAAGUUCUGUUCAUGUCCCCAGUUCUUGUGUUUUAAGUUUUAGUACUGGUGUUGUAGGACUCUGGAGUGGUUGUCAGUGAAGCAGUAAAGCAGAAUGAAAAUGAAAGGCGUGAAGAUGUUCUGACUGGGCUGAAUAGGUAUCACAUUAUGUCUUGUUUUCACUUUAUUUGGCAUCUGUAAAUCAAUGAAUUAUCCCUCUUUCUCUUUAGUUUUGCUAUCUAUGAGUAUCUGCCUUAUUGAUGCUUUCUAUACUUCUUCCAGUAGAAUACCCGUGACACUUGUCACUCGGAGUAUACUUGAAGUUGUCAUACCCGAGAAGGCUGUUUCAAAGCUCAUAACAAAAUCGAAAAACAUGCUUGCUCAGAUCAGUGAGGUCAGCCUAAUGAACACUUUAUUCUGAUGGUUGCUCUUAUCAUACUUCAAUUUUGGCUCUGCUAAUUGUCUUUUGAUGUGUCUUUUGGUGGAACAGUUAUCAGGAGCCAGGGUAACCCUGGUAGAGGAUAGUCCAGAGGUAGCCCAAAAGAUAAUUCAAAUUUCAGGCACUCCGGAGCAGACUGAGAGGGCUCAGAGCUUGCUCCAGGGUUUUAUCUUAAGCAGUAAGUCUCUUUCUCUGUCUAAGUGCUUGUUGCAUGUGGCUAUUGGUAUUUUGUACUUCUCUGGUUUCAUACAUGUCAAUUCUGAAUCCUCCUUUCUCAUUCAUCAGCACAAGAAGACGACCCUUGAAUGCACAGAAGCAACAUGGUUACCAAAUUUUGAGCUCAGCCUACUGGGGUAUUGCUGCUGUCAAGAUCGUUCCCGUAUUAUCCUACGCAAGGCAAGGAACUUUUUCGCUCCAGUUUAGGCACACAUAGAGCCUCUGUGAUAGAGGCUUCUGUGUUACUGUACCACUGUAAAUGUAAUAUCUGAACACGUUUUAGCUUUAGUCCCCCUGCCAUGUUUCAGUUUUCAUGUAUGAACUGGGCAGUAGAAACACAACCCAGUAACUGUUCUCUUUUAUGUUGUAUCGGCGACCAAUUCUCCACAUUCUGUUUGUUCUGCAAGAUGAAGCUAUUGAUAUGCAAGAGCAUAUCCAAUUUUAACAUACAUGACAACAUUCAGGUAGUCUUGGUAUAUGUAUAAUGUAACAUUGAAUGCUCAUGAUCAACCGUCCUUUUGUUUGUUACAUUCAGCUGAGCAAACGAUAUUUUUUUACUUUAAGUUUUUUGUAGAGGUGAUCUUUAUUAGAUUUACAAUUUUACAUUAACAAGAGAGAAUCUAAAUGCACACGUAGUCAGUAAUAUCAAGCCAUCAAGGGAAGUAACUUCCUACAACUUCCAGUUACUGCUGGGCCGAACGGGCCGUCUUACCUGCACAUUGGGCUUGGCCCUUACAAGAUAAAGAGAAUACAACCCACUAAUACUUCCCUACGCCUACUGCCAUUGUUCCAUCACCGUCGCUCCGAAACCCUAAACCCUCAUUUCCUCCGGGAGCAGCUUACGUCAUCAACCGGUACGUCUCCUCCUCCUCCUCCUCCCUUCUUUUACUUUCUCGUUCGCAAUUUCGUAAUCAGCUAAUUUCGCGAUAAUCAAAACCGAAGCGUUUUUCCGUUUCGCAAUUUCCGAUCUCUGAUUUCGUUUCUGUUCCGACGAAGCUCUGGGCUACAUGGCUUGUAUGCGAAAUGGCAGAAAUGCCCUCCGUCAGAUCAUCAACAACGUCCAUUCUUCCGAGUCGGAGCGCAUGAUGAAUCCGCUGGUCUUCGCUUGCCAAGGAGUCCGGCAUAGAAAAUUGGAAGUGAUUUUGACGACGGUGAGAAAAAAAUUUCAGAGAAAUUAUGGUUUUGGAUAAUUUAGGUUUUUAGUGAGUGGAAGUUUGUUUGAUUUAGAUGUUGCAAAUUGUAGAAUGUAGAUAAGCUCGGCAAGGCCGGUGAGACUGUGAAGGUUGCGCCGGGGCAUUUUCGCAACCACUUGAUGCCGAAAUUGCUUGCUGUACCCAACAUUGACAAGUAUGCAUAUCUAAUCCGGCAGCAGCGAAAGGUGAGUUAGUGUUUACUUUUGUCAAAUGUGUUUGUUGUUAGUGUUGAUUCGUUGCGUUUGGUUGUGUAAUGUGAAUGUUGUGUGGUUUAGAAUGCGCCGUUGGAAGAGGAGGAGGAGAAGGAGGAGGUUAAAGUGGUUACUGUGUCGGAGGAAGUUAAGAUGAAAGAGUAUGAAAAGGCAGCAAAGCGUCUGGAGAAUGCUCGUCUGGUUCGUAAGCUUAUCUACUGUCUUUUGAGUUCUGGUUGUGUUCAUAAACGUGCUACUUUUGAUACAGUAAUAGGGAUGUGUUUAGUUAUAGUUCAAUGUCGUAUUCCGAAUGGUGCUAGGAAGAGAGAUGAAUGUUGAGAAAUGUGAUUACUUUUGAUAUGAGAUUCAGAUGCUUAUUUCAUCAUAUGAAUGUUCGUAGUAAUGCAUAGUUUUGAUAUGAUAAUCAGAUAUACGGCAAGUUAUGCUUUUUGAUAGCUUAGUAUCUUCUUGGAGAUAGAUGUGAAGCUCUUUGUUAUAAUGCUGCUUUGGUUUACAAGUUAUACAGAGCAUCUGAAGUUCACAUAUAUUUGCAGGUGUUGCGGAGGGCCAUUAAUCUUGAAAGGUUCAGGACACGCGCAACAAAGGAGGAUCCUAUAGAAUUGCGAUCUGUUGUGACCAAGGAGGAUAUUGUGGCUGAGGUAUGGUUUUGUUCGUAGUUGUUUUCAAACUUCAAACCUUGAGAUGCAUAUCUUUCCUUUGUUUUCAAACUGAUACCAUCUCAAUGUCGAUUUAGGUGGCAAGGCAGCUUUGUAUUGGCUUAGAACCUGACAAUGUGCAUCUACCAUCUCCAUUGUCAACCGUGGGAGAGUAUGAGGUACCACUGCGCCUUCCGAGAUCCAUCCCUUUGCCUGCAGGGAAGGUUCAGUGGACACUUAAUGUUAAAAUCCGAUGUGCAUAAGCAUUGGUCUUUUUCAACUCGGUUCUCUCAGAAUGUCUUCUUCUAGCUCACAGUUUUGGUUUUUGUAAUCUGAGAAUUGUUGUAGUGGCUGUUGUACUUUGGAAUCAAAAACAUCCCCAUAGUAGUAAAACCAUGUUGCUUCAAGGAUCAUUUUCUCUUGGUGUCUAAUAGUAGUUGAUGAUAGGCUUACUUUCAAUAAAUGGUUUUUCCCACAUUUAUGUGGUCUAUUAGUUUCGUGACUUGCGGACAUCAAAACUGAACCAUACUGGGUUCCGCCUAGCCAGCUUAGAGCAAAUGCAGCAGAGGACUAUUUGCAUGGGUUGGACUGAGAGAUUGGACCAAAAACUGCAUCCAGUGUCAAAAAAUUGGACUGGGUUGAUGCUAGCCCCAUGCGAGACCUACCAUGAUAGACUGUGGUCUGAGUUAAGGAUUAACUCAUCUCUCAGUCCAGGACUAAUUUCUCCACGGGACCCACGUGAGACCAAAUUGCACAUGGCGAGUGGACAUGCAGAUGGGGCUGACAACUUUUUCUAAAUAACUCUUUAACAUGGGCUGUUCAGAUCAAGAUUUAACGGUUCAUAUAAAAUGUGAAUAGUAAUUGGUCUUAUGAUCGAUCUUGUUGUUGUAUUAUUGAACAAAUGACUAAAGACUGAUUUGGAUGAGUAGUAUAUUAACCCGGGUUGAAAAUUGAUCCAACCCACCCAAAAUGGGUGCAUUUGCUCUUAGGCCCGGUCUGGCUUUAGAAAAACGACGAUGCGUUUCUUGAGAAAUGAACGGCAAGUCGCUAUUUAAGAGGGUUUUAAGUUUGAACCGACCCACAAAACCCGACCCGCCCAAAUUCCCAUUAUCUCUUUGGCUCCGUCUUCACAGUUCUGCAACUCUCACUCCUCUAAUGGCUGCUUCUCUCAUUCUACCUUCUCACUUCUUCACCACCUACAAGUAAUCCCCCCUCUCUCUUUUUUUUAAUUGGGUGUUUUUGUAGUUCAAGAAUAAUUGUUGGGUUAAUCUCUAACUGCUAUUUCUAUUUGAAUAAUUUCUAGGAUAAGCAAACUGUGCUUACAUCACAUGCAGUCAGCAAAUCCACACAAAGGCAUCACCUGCUUUUUCCCGGUUAGAGCAUUGGCUUCUAGAACUUUUGCUUCAGUUGGGUCAGUAGAGAAUCACGUCUCAGCUCCAACCAACACUCAAAGGUUCUUCUUUUUUGCUUUGUAUUUUGUUUCUGUUGGUUCUUUUUUGUUAAGCACAUUUUUUCUGCAAGUGAUUUUGUUAAGUGGUGUUUGAUGAUUUGGCAGGUCUGGAGGUUCUAAAACAUCUGAUAAUGAUUUCGAGAGGGAGUUACAGGAGUUGUUUGAUGAAGUGAAAACGUUGGUUAUGAAUGGGAGUAAAGAUGAUGCUGUGGAUUUGCUUCGAGCGAAUUAUGAGGCUGUGAAGGAGAGGAUGGAUGCCGGGGUUAGAGGCAUUGAGGAAGCUGCUACCAUUGACAUCAUAGCUCUAGGGUACAUGGCUGUUGGUGACUUUAAGUUUGUCGAGUCGUUACUGGAAAUGGUGAUUUCUUUUUCCGUUUUGUAGUUGUAUUAUUGCUUUUAUGUUAUGGACUUAUGUAUAUUCCCUGCUCAAGCAUUUCUAGAGAAUGUACUCCUUCUUGCUCAUUGUAUGCCCUUUCAUGUGUUGUAUGAUUUGAACUGGUGUAGUUGGUACAUUGAUCCAUGAUUUGGGCAGUUCUUCAGGAUAUUGUUACUACAUUUCACAUACUUUAGGGAAGACAUGGUUUUUUUUCUGAAGGGCGUAUAGUUUUCUUAGCCAUAUUUGUUUGUACUUUGCAGCCUGUUAUUCCACUCUUUUUUUGUUGAUGUAUUUCAAUGGUGUGCAGUUGAAUGAGAUUGUUGGAAGUCUAAAGGAUGAUGAACCAUUGCUGGAUUCAGUUCUGGUGCAUAUGGGAAGCAUGUAUUCAACUUUGGGGAAGUUUGAGAAAUCAAUGAUUGUAUAUAGGGGAGCAAUUGAUAACAUGGAGAACAUAUAUGGUAAGGUUUUUUUUGUCUCUCAGGCCCAUUCUCAUGACUCAAAAAUUGAAAACUGUUGUGGUGUCUUAAGGUGGUGCUAUGUAGAUGUAUCUGGUCAAUAAUACUAGAUAUGGCUCAUUGACUUGAUAAUAAAUACUCAGUCAUAAUGGUUUUCAAAUUCUUUAUUAGUACAACCUAAAUGUGAAUUUACAUGAUCAUUUUUUUUUUUGGGACAAGAAUUUACAUGAUCAAUUGAAGGACCUUACAUUUGCAGUAUGAUCUGAUCGAACUGCAUGGUAGAUACUGUAGGGUACCAUUGUUCAAUUAGUGCUGUCUGCAAAUUAAGUUUUCUCUGAUAUUCAACAGUUGUUGUCACUUUUUCUUCAGGGAAACAUAGUGUUUUUCUUAUCACGCCAAUUUUGGGCAUGGCAAAAGUUCUUGGUUCUAUUGGAAGGACUACAAAAGCAGUAGAUUUUUACCAUCGUGCAAUAGCUCUUCUCGAAUCUAGCAGAGGUGCUGAAUGUGAGGAUUUGGCCAUACCUUUGUUUGGUCUCGGCAGCCUUUUACUCAAACAAGGGAAACCUACUGAGGCAGAAACUCCUUUUUUAAGGUUUAACUUUCAUCCCCUCUUUGUAGAAUGGCCUACUCUGCCCUAACUGAAAUAGGACUGUUUGGUAAUUGUUCUUUCUUGUUCUUCUUCAGAAUUUUAAAUAUAUACACAAAGUUGUAUGGAGAAGAUGAUGGAAGAGUUGGGAUGGCUAUGAGUUCCCUGGCCCAUGUCAAGUGUGCAAUGGGUAAUAGAUCUCACUCUCUAUAUGUAUAUUAGCUUCCUGGUCUCAUUUUUGGACUCAUGUGGUAAUUUUCUACAGGAAAGGCAAAUGAAGCAAUCGAUUUAUAUAAGAGCGCUCUUAAAGUCAUCAAGGAUUCCAAUUAUAUGGCUUCUGAUGACAGCAUAGUGGAGAAGAUGCGGAUAGAUCUGGCAGAAUUACUUCAUGCUGUUGGAAGGUAAUAUCAAAUUUUGUGCAAAGUUUCAUAGAUACUGGAUUAUAAAUGCAAGUUGGUGUUUAGUGCACAACAUAUAUAUUGUUUUUUGUUAUUAUAUGAUCGUGGUGGUUUUUUGGUUUAGUGGUACUCUUUGAAUAGGACAAUGACUAAUUGCCAUAUGAAAAUGAUGAUAGGUACCCUUGGUACAUGUUAUACAUUUCAUUAUCAAUCACCUUAUGUUUCUCUUUCAAGUUAAAAACCACAAUCCUACACAACCUGCAAUUGCUAUUUCUCUUUUAGUAUUAAACUUCGGUUGCUUGCAGGGGAAAGGAAGGCCGAGAGCUACUGGAGGAAUGCUUGCUGAUCACUGAGAAACAUAAGGGCAAAGAGGACCCCAGCUCAGUGACACACCUCAUCAAUCUCGCAACUUCACAUUCCCGCUCAAAGAACUAUGUGGAGGCUGAGCGCUUGCUGAGGACAAGUUUGCAGGUCUUGUCAAAGACAGUGUCACCCGAUGACCAAUCCAUCUCAUUCCCAAUGUUGCACCUCGCCGUUACUCUCUACCAAUUAAAACAGGACGAAGAAGCUGAACAACUCGCCCUCCAGGCUUUGCACAUUCGUGAGAAAGCAUUCGGAGAAGACUCCCUACCUGUUGGUAGGUUAUCAUUUCCUUCCCGGUCAAGAAACACUAGAUUCAGGAGUCAUCAAGUUAUGGUUUGACGUGUUCUAAUGUACAUUGCAGCUGAGGCUCUCGAUUGUCUGGUGUCAAUCCAAACAAGACUGACAAGGGACGACGAAGUGUUACUAGAUCAGCUGAAGAGGGUAUUGAGCAUCCAAGAGAAAGAGUUCGGCCCCGAGAGCAAGGAGGUCUUGACAACCUUAAAAAAAGUUGUACAUUUCCUAGACAAACUAGGCAGGAAAAACGACAAGCUCCUCUUGCAGAAACGACUCUCUGCCCUUAGAUCAAAAUUCAAGCAACAAAUUCAACAGUAAUAGCAAUCAGACCAUAAGUCUCGUACUCAUCUCAACUUUGUGAGCAUCACAACGUCAAGUCAAACACAGUAACAACCAUGUUUAGCUUUGCGUCACGGAACAGAACAGUGUUCUUGGAGCUUACCGCGACGUCGUUCUCUGACCAUUUUACGACACGUCGUUUCUCCUUAAGUGGUGGUGCGAGAGUGAUUUGAGAGAUAUUUUAGAUCUCCGAAAUGGUCCCAUAUGUAACUUACCAACCAUAUGUAACUUGCCAAUUUGCCGAGGAACAUUUCAUGAUGGGUACAAAGAGAAACAUGCAUGAUGCCCAAACUGAGAUUUACACCAAUUACGGUUAACAGUUAAUAACUGACCACUCCCUACUUUCCCACCAAAAUAGGACCCGGUUCACUUGCGGUUCUUGAAGCAUAAGGUACACAAGUCUAUAAAGCACAGAAGGUAAUAGUAAAUUUUCAUUCUUUUUUCUUUUGGAUAUUUUUUUUGACACUGGAAUGGAUAUUACUGAAAGCAUUAUUAUAGCAAAACGGUGAUGUAGGCUUCAAGAAAGGAGGGUCUUCGUCUCUGUCUGUAUCUCUGUCUUUGGAUCUUGGAAAACGUAUGCAAACUCCAGAAGAGAAAACCCAUCUCUUCUUAGAAGGUAGUUUCCAUUUUGGGUCUUCUCAGAUUGUAUAUAUUCUGCUUAAAGCUUGGAUCUUUUUUGUUUUUGGCAAUCAAAGUUUGAUCUUUGUAACUGUGUGAAGUUUGUUGUAUCAAAUCUUUGGGGUUAUGGAGAAACCUUUUUGGGUUUUCUUGUUUGUGUUUAGAGUCUGAGCCGUAUAAUUGAGGUGGUGAACUGUUUUGAUUUUACAGUUUCUUUGAAACCUGGAACUUGAUUAGAUACAUGAAUUCUCGGAUAUCGAAGCCUUGUAGAAUUUGAUUGGAGUUUGGAUUAUACAAUGACUAUAUGAGACUUUUUGAAAUUGUUUCUGCUAUUCUCUUAAUAUAUAGUUUUGUAGGGUUGUGAGUGUGAGUUUGUAUUGCUUUUGUUAUAGGUAGAAAUGGGUUGAAUUGGAAUGGGUUGAACUACAGGUACUGAUAGGUUGAAGUUAAGGUAGUUGUGAGAAUGGGUGAGUGGAAAUGAUAUUUAAGUAAAAUCAUCUGAUUUUGGAAGUUUGGAUCUUCGUGCUUUUUGAUAUUUCUGAUCGCCUAUUAUCAGAGUUCUAGUCAUGGUGUUGAGACUUGGGGAUCAUGCCCUGAUGAUUCAUAUUUUGAUCUAGUAGUUAAAUUUUCUGGUUUACUGCUUCCAAAUCCUUUCGAUCUGCGUAUGACUUAACGAUCCUUUCUUGAUGUGGCCACUUGUAAUCUAUGACUGAUCAUUAUCUUUUCAUUUUAAAAUCUGCUGCAGAUAGAUAAGGGUAAUGGCAGCAGCUGAAGCACGGAGAGCAUGGCAGCAUAGAGCGAAUUGUUGUUUUUCCCAAGAUGAUGGGAGGAGUGCUCAAAGAUUUUCACGUCACCCGUCAUCAUCUUCCUCAAAAGAAUCUGAUAGUGCUCAUGAGAAUGCUUCAUAUGGGAUUGAUCACCUUAUCCCAGAACGCACGCCUUAUAACUCAACUCCGGAGCUAACACCCAGCACUAGAUGGUGGUUAAACCUGGAACCAAACUUUGGGCCUCAAAAGGAAUUUAUUGAUGAUCAGCGAAAAAGCCUGGACGCUGAAGUGUUAAAUUCUGGAUAUAUCAAUAAAACUGCCAUCAUAAAUGAUUAUUAUCAGUGCAAGGAGGUAUUUAGUACUCAAAGUGAUAGUGAAAAGAGUGUCAACUGUUUUUUGGAGAAACCAUGUACUGUUUCAGUCACUUCUCCAAAAGGUGACCAAAGUAAGAGAAUACAAGAACUCAAGGCUGGAACUGGUAAUGGUCCACAGUUGCCUAAGAAAAGGGACACAGGAGAGUUUUGGUGCUGCGAUGAUGACUUCAUGAACUUGGAUUCUUUCAACAGCUUGGAUUCUGAACAAAGCAAGAAGCUGUCUCCUGAUUUGGAUACCCAAUGGGUGGGAAGUGAGAAGUCUGAACCAUGGUGGCGCUCUGCUGGUAAAGAUGAGUUGGCUUCCUUGGUUGCUCAGAAGUCACUUGAAAAUGUUGAGAAUUGUGAUCUUCCACGGCCCCAGAUUAGGAUGGGCGCUCUCGCUUCUACAAAGUUUCCUGACCCUAAUUUAUCCUUAGAUCAGAUGACUGAACUGGGUUUAUCCAAUGUCACCACUUAUACUCAGGGAAGCUUAACUUCAGGUCACUCAGCAUAUGAUCCAGAUAGUUCACUAAGGUAAUUUUGUGUCUUGAGCUGUUCUUUAUAUUAUUUCCUGGACAGUUAUGGUUUGUGUAGAUUGUCUAACCAAAUAUCUAAUUACUUGGGAAGUUAUUUUGAAUGCUUAGUUUAUGAAUUUCUACUUUGUGCCCGAGGAUUUCCUUUGGUGCAAUUUUAUGAGUUUACAACUGAAUAUUGAGGAUGCUUUAGUAACAUUGGUAUAAUUCCAUGAUCUAUCGUUGCAGUUAUAGUGUACAUUCCUUCCAUUGUUCUGAUGUUAGAAACACAACUUUACAAUGAGUUUUUUAUAUUUUGAUCCAAUUUUAUGUUUGUUUGUUUUCAGCCACAACAAUGAUUAUGCUGCAACCAACCAAGAUGAGCCAGAAGAUGAGCGGAGCAAAGCUCAGCUGCUGGAAGCGUUGUGUCAUUCUCAGACACGAGCUAGGAAAGCUGAGAAUGCUGCACAGCAGGCCUAUACAGAGAAGGAGCACAUCAUCAGUCUCUUUUUCAAACAGGCAUCACAGCUGUUUGCCUACAAGCAGUGGCUCCAUCUGCUCCAAAUUGAGAACUUUUGCCUGCAGCUGAACAAAAAAGAUGGCUUACCAUGGUCCCCAUACAAGGGCAGACCCUUAAAAAAGAAGGGUCAGCGCAGGGCGGGAAGGAGGAGCGGCGGCAGGAUAAGGUAUGAGAUCAGCAAGGGUGCUGUUGCUUUUGCUCUAGGAUUAGGUCUUGCUGGUGCGGGCUUGCUCCUCGGAUGGACUAUGGGGUGGUUGUUUCCAGCUUUUUAGACUACUCUUCAUCCUGACCAUUACCUUGUUUAGUAUGGCUCUUGAGUGGUAAUUACUAUUCCCUGAUUAUGUAGGGUUUCAAUAUCAGAUUAGUUCCUCUUUCAUCACCUCUUAAGUAAGAAUUUCAGUUGUUUAGGUUUGUUGAUUGUGUAUAUAACUAUAUACAAAAACAGGUAUUUAUGGUCAUUUUGUAAAAAGUAUGUAAUUAAUUUUAUGUAUUUUUAGUCGAUCUUUCUUCCCCUUUUCUUGUGUUUAUUGUGGAUAUUCCUCUUUUUAACUCUAUUCAGUGCAAAUAUUAUAUGCCAAAUGUGAUUCAUACUUCAGCAUGAGGGAUUAUAAUGUCUUGUCUAUAUUUGGAUUCAGCUAGAGAUUCCAUUGCUGGAUAUGAACAAGUGCAUCGACCACCUACAUGAUCUUAUCUGCUACCAUAUUCCAUCCAAUCACAUCCAUCAUUCAAAACGAAAACACGUGCUACACAUUAUUCAUAUACGUUCCAAAAUUUGGAUUGUAUUUCGAUUUGUAUUUUUGCCAUCUACACCCUCGAGUCAUACCCUGUAUUGUCUUACUUGCCACAAGUCAGAUAUAUAUUUGUUCAUUAAUAUUUUUCUCUUUAUAUCUAUUAGUUAGAGAGAAGGUUUAUUGUGCAAAAUGUAUUAAGUAUCGGAGUUAUACGUCACCUUAAAUUCAAAAGGGAGAGCUUAUUCCAUUACAUAUAGAGAUUUUUUAGUUUUGUCAGUUUGAGAAGUGCUAAAAAUCAUGAUCUAAAUGUGAGAAAAUUUUGUGAAAAAAUAAGAACAUGCGUUUUUAACAAAAAAAAAAACGUAUGUAUAAUCCCCACGGUUUUUAAUAAAAAAUGAGUUUUUGACAAAAAAAAAAUUAUAGUUUGAACAAAAUUCAGCAGUAGGCUCUCAUUGCACCUUCAUAACCUCACUAGUUUGUAAUCACAACUAUUCAGCAGUAGCCAAUAGUUGCGAUUACAUGAUUGAUCGACAAGAAUCGUGGUGAAAAUGACUCACCUUAAUUGCUCAACAAAUCAACACUAAUUAUAAGAUUUCGUUAAGAAAGUAGAUUAAACUAAUAUUCUAGUCUAGAUUAAACUAAACUAAUUAGUGAUUAAGAACACACAUUUUCAAAUGACGGUUAUACCCUUCCAUGCUUCCCAGUUCCUUCCUUCAUUGGCCGAGUUGGUUGACUCUGACCCCUUACCCUUAGGUAGCCGACCACUCUCCCACAACUCAACAAACCCGCUGGCCGCACGCCACGUGUUCCCGCCCAAUCUCUCCGAUAAAUACGCGGACCCAAAUCCCAAAGCCUCCAGAAAAUUCUGCGUCAUUUUUUUUUCAGAAUCUAAAAUCCACAGCGUGCCGAAAUUUCAGUCUCAUUUCAUUAAUUCAUUUAAUCCUCAAAACGAUGCCGUAUUGCGAAGUCGCGUCGCCGCAGAAUGCCGCCGCCGACGACGAAGCAACAAAAAUCUACUACCGGACUUACGGCCGCGGCCCCAUCAAGGUCCUCCUGAUCAUCGGUGAGCGUUUGUUUGUUUGUUUUUUUUUUUUUUGUGAAAUCGGAAUUUUCCGGUGGCUGAUGGAUUUUCCGAUCGACGGUCAGGAUUGGCCGGAACUCACGAAUCGUGGGGGCCACAGAUUCAGGGGCUCACGGGGUCGGUUACGCCGAACGACGAGGAUAGGCCGGCGGCGGAGUGUGGCGACAAUGAGGCUGGUUUCAGCGGCGGAGGUAUCGAGGUUUGCGCGUUUGAUAAUCGGGGCAUGGGCCGGAGCUCCGUGCCGGCGAAAAAGUCCGAUUACACGUGAGUGGUUUGAUAAAGUCAAUUUUGUUCUAGAAGAAUGAGAUGUGUAGUCAAUUUUGAUUCGUUAGAAAAAAAAAAUUGAAGCUUUUCGGAACCGUAGUUGUUUUGUAAAGUAAAGUUUGCAUUUUUUAAUUAAUUUGUGAAAUUUGGAAUUUUUGGAUUUGGAGUUUGACAAGUUUGGAAGGGAAUUGAAGCUGAAUUGAUGGAGUUUUUGUGUGUUGCAGAACAAGAACAAUGGCGAAGGAUGCAAUCGCUUUGAUGGAUCAUCUGGGGUGGAAGCAAGCGCAUGUUUUCGGGCAUUCAAUGGGUGAGUUCACUGUGUCGGUACAUUGUAUGAGAUUUUAGCACAGACCGAAAUGUGAGCCGAGUUUUUUUCUGUUUCGGUAAGGUUUCGAGCUUAAUGGUGAACUUUUGAUUGCGUGAUACAGGAGCUAUGAUAGCUUGUAAGUUAGCAGCGAUGGUUCCUGACAGUAAUUUUGUCAUUGGGUUUGCUCAAUGUCACCGGAGGCGGUUUUGAAUGUUUACCAAGGGUGAGUAUAUCACUUGUCAUGUUUCAUGAGCUAUCCUUUAUUUAGUUAUUUUUAUUGUUUUGGGAGUGGUUGCAUUGCAUCAACUACAUCUUAAUUGUUUCCAAGUUAGUUGUUUCUUAUUAGUAGUCAAUGUUUUGCAGCUCGACCGCCAAACAUUAUCUAUUGCUAUUCGUUUUCUAAAGGCAAAGACUCCGGAGCAAAGAGCAGCUGUUGACUUGGACACCCACUAUUCGAAGGUCCAAGUGCUCUUCAUUCUGUUAUGUUUUUGGAUGUUCUCUGAAUGGAUAAUUAAUGGACAAAAGGGUUACUACUAAUAUAGGUGUUAUAUUCUGUUGUUGUACAGGAGUAUCUUGAGGAAAAUAUUGGAUCCAACACAAGAAGGGCAAUUUUAUACCAAGUAAGAGCAUCACUAACCCCUUUGUAGCAUCUUGUCGGUCGUUGAGAAUUAAAAUAUGUUACAAAGAGUAUGAAAAUCAACUCUGAAGUCCGCUCAGAAUCAAUAUAUGGGGAUCUGUUCCCAACUAAAAUGGUAGAAACUAGUCGAGUCUUUAGUGUACUUGUGUUGAAAGAUCAAUGACCUGAUAUUAAAUUUUUCUCCAGCAAUAUGUAAAAGGUAUAUCGGCUACUGGGAUGCAGUCUAACCAUGGUUUCGAAGGUCAACUGAAUGCGUGCUGGACACAUAAAAUGACACCAACUGAAAUUGAAAUGAUCCGCUCCGCUGGGUUUCUUGUUUCAGUCAUUCAUGGCAGGUGCGCUCAUAUUUCUUUUCUUCCCUUGAGCAGUGUAUUCAAUCUGCGUUCUGUGGAGUAUCUAAGAUGUCAUUUUUUUCCCUUUGCUCUCAGUCGAGCAGAAUUUGUAGCCCUACCAAAUUGCAGUUGUAUAUAUAAACCGAAUGGAAAAUCAUCUCUGUGUCUGAAAUUCAUGUUUUUGUUGGAUCUGUUAUAUGCUGUUUCGGUGUGAUUUUUCUUCUGAAAACCAAUUUGACAUGUUACCAAAUCUGCAGGCAUGAUGUCAUUGCUCAAAUAUGUUAUGCAAAGAGAUUGGCACAGAAGCUGCAGCCUGUUGCUAGAAUGGUAGAUCUUCCUGGAGGACAUCUUGUGAGUCAUGAGAGGACUGAAGAGGUAUACCUUCAUAUCUACCACACCAAGUAUAUCUACUAUUCAUGAUAUGAUUAUCUUGAAAGUGGAAAUGAACGCUGAGCUUGCUUUGUGUCACAUAUCAGGUCAAUAAAGCCCUUCUUGAGUUGAUCAAGGCUUCAGAAGCUAAGACAGAGCCACAGGACUGGACAAAUUUGCCUGAGAAAAGUUCCGGUAAGCAAUUUUACUUUGAGAGAAUGUAUUUCUCCUCUAUCUACAUGCUAAUCUGUGUUGUUCUUUGGCAGGGUGGGUGGUUACAAGGAUGUCGUUUAUCAAAAAAAGUAAUAGCGAGGCUAACAGUGCAUGUUUGGCAUCCAGUAUGUUGCAGAAGCUACAUAUGUUCCUCUUGUACUUGUUUGGUCUCUUUGCCUUGGCGUGCGAGAAAGGAUUGAUGACUUUCAGAAGUAUAAAACCAGCUAGAGUUGCAAAUUCCAUUACAUAAGCUGUUGGUCGAUGGAAAUCCAAAUGUUUCACUGGUAAAAAUACUUCUCUUUCCAUCACCGAUAUUCUAUUCCUUCAGAACAAGCCUAUAUACAUAGAGUAAAAGAAGACUGACAUGGGAAUUUCUCUCAACAGGGGCUCAUCAGUUUUUCAUUCUAUCAGCCAUGCUAAGCGUAUUUAACUGGUUUUUUGCACAUCAAGUAAAUUUUGUGUAGAAUUCGGGGUUCCUGAUUCAUAUACCAGAGUUCAUUAACUUAAUGAGGUCCUUUAUACACAAUAAAGACAUGUUGCAGUUGGUGGAAGAAAUGGAGAGAGAUUCACUACAGCCAAUAUUUAGGCAGUUCCCAGUUCUCCUUAUGACCUUAUCCUGCAACAAAUAUUUACAGAUCCACACCUUUACUGUCCUCCAGCAGAAUGAGGGAAAAGGGAUAGGGUGUUUCUAUUUGUAUCUAUCUUCUUGUUCCUCGUGUAAUUUUACUUGCAAUUGCCAAUAUAUUUACUCUUGGCAACAGAACAACCUUAGACUUGAAGAUUCUGAGAGCAGUUCUAAACUAAACAGUCAUAUAUCAACCUUUCAUGUUAAGAAGUUAAACUUAAAUGCUUGAUACAGGAAAGUUAGCAGCAUGAAUAUAUUGUAUGCAGAAACCUAUAUUCUAUCAUAUUAUAUAACACAUAUAUAAUCUCCACAACUUUAUUGUCACACAAUUUAAACAUCAGCUGAUAUCAUACGAGAAACUCAGAAACAUUCAUUCAUGGAGAUACAUAACACAGAUUCAAGGAAACCAUGUGCUACAAAAUGUAAUAACAGCACAUACCUGUGAUUAUGUACGACAUAUACAUCCGAUUCUUCAACCUUUGACAAGAACUUAGAAAAUCCGAAACAUGUAAUACUCCGAAACAUGGUAGAACUUUGGUUAACAAACACAUGCAUGAUACAGCUUCGGGCGAGAAUUCUCAACCCUCAAAGAAGAAAAGGAUGCAACUUACUACAGAGGAAGAAGAGAGAUAGGAGAUUCGUUGCUUUGCUGAAUAAGAUGCCAUCUCCGAAGCAUUUGAGUAUUAUAUAGCAUGGCAGAUAUGCCUCUGGAAUAUGCCUAUAUUCCUUGCAAGUAAAAUUUGAGAACCCAAUCGUGUAGUUUCUUUAAAGUGCCAGGGAUAUUUUUGUCUUUGACUGACAGAUCUUGAACGGCGUCGUUUCACUUGAGCUGUAAAACCCUAAAUCGUUUUAUAACAAGUUCAAAACGCUGCCGUUUGAUCAACCAUUUCAUCUUAAACCCCCCAAAUUUGGUCAUCGUUCUCCAACUUUGUUGGGUCCAAAGGAAUGGCUGCUAUGGCUUCUGACAAGGCAGAUGGGCAGACCCAGUGGGAGUUUAGCUGGUUAUUACUCUAAGCUUCUCUCUUUUAAUCUCAAAUAUGUAUAUGGUUCUAACUCUUGCAAGAUUUAGGGUUUUGGUUAUACCAAAGUUUAUAGAUAUUUUGUUGAUAUUCCAAUGUUUUUUUGCUUGAAUUUGAUUGAAUUAGGUUUAGGUUAAAAAAGGGUAUGCUUAGUAAUCUUGAAGAUUGAUUAUUUAUUUUCAAUUUGGUUCUGCUGUUUUGUGUUUGUAGCUUCUAGGCUCUGUUCUUUUACUUCAUUCAGUUUCAGUUUAUCUGCUUCUUUUAUGCUCCCUACUUUUCAUGUGCUAAUCUUGUUUGUGAUUUCAAUACAAUAUUGCAAUAAGUUUGAGGUUGGUGAGUUGUAAUGAAAUGUAAGUUCAGGAUAUGAAACUAUGGAAGAUGUUCUUAGAUUGCUUGAUAAGAGGCACUGUUACUAUAUGAACUGAUGAACUCAAAGUUUCAAUUUCUUGGAUACAACCAACUUAGGGAGUAAUUAUAGCAUCGUGAGUACCAAUUAGGCACGAAGAAAAAUUUAGGCUAGUGUAUUGAAGUAGUGUGGUGAAUUUGGUAUAUUGAGGUAGAAUGGGUGAGAAUGCUGGGGUUAUUCUAAAGCUAGAGACUUACUAGUAGUGUUGUAGCCUAUUCUGUAUCAAGGACUAAAGGGAUAUGUAUCUCUGGGAAAUUGAGACGUUUUGCUCAACUGUCGUUGUUUACAGUUGAUCUGAAUCUGGGAAGUGUUCAAACCUGCGGAGGUGCAUUUGUUGUUUUUAAACGCAGAUUUUUUUCGUGCAGUGACAUGGAGGUAGAUUAUGAGUCUGAAGAAAUUGCUUCUAUUGUCUAUAAUACAUUAGCUGUUGAUAAGGAGGUGAUGCUUCGUAUGCUCAAGAUAUGCCUUUACUCAUUUCAUUUUGGUUUGAUUACCUUCUUAUCUUUUUCCGUUUAUGAUCUUCAGUUGCAACCAGACAAGGUAAAAAGGCAGAUGUCAGUAUCCAAUGGAAAGCUUUCAGUGUAAGCAUUUUUUUCUGUUGUGUUAGAGUUCAGUAUUUAAACUUCUAUUGAAGAUUGAUUUUGGUGGAAAUUGAUUCUGAUGCGAUAUUUAAGCUUUAUGAGGAAUUUAGGAUUACUGAAAUGCAUGUGCGCUGAAGUCAGUGACUGUUAAAAUCUAUUUUCUGCUGAAUGUAUGGUUGAUCUUAUGGACGCAGGCAUUUUGAGGCAGUUGAGGCAAGAUUUCUUCGAGCAUCAUAUAGUGCUUUUGUGGAUGUAUUGACACUUGCCACGAAAACAAUUGAAGAGUUUGGAAAAGGAAUGGAAUUGUAACAACUACAUGUACUUUGACCCGUUAACUUGGCUAGUGUUCUUCAUGAAACGAGAUGCAACUUUAUACUCUCAAAGCAUCUCCAUUGUAGUUUGAUUAGUGCUUGGAACCAAUAUCACGGAUAUUUGAAACGUUGUUCUAUUAUUUGUGGUGCGUAUCAAUUUGCAAUUUUCUGUUCUUUUUCUUUUACUCUGAGUUAAUGAGUGAAUUUCGAAGAUCGAGACAUUUUAAACGUCUAAUAUUUGGAACCUAAAAUAAGUUGUGUUUUGAAACUGAACUUGAGAAAAGUUUAGUAUAUGAAUCAAGAGAUACGAAACAUCUUUCCACGACAUGAGCUGUAACACAAUCAACCAAAAUUACUGUUUGUGGGAUCUAGCUUGAUUACUUGGUGCUCUUUUAGAAAGAAUCUUCCUUGUUACGAUUUGUGAUCCAUUGAUAAAGAGUCGACGAUAUUGAAGAUGAUUUGUAGGACAAAGAUGAAUUGUGCCCCUUGUGAUGUUGCCGACAAUGGGGUAAAUAUAUAAAACGACAAUGUAUGGUUUAGAGAAGCCGUUCCCUUCCCAAUUCUGUUGCAGCCAAAAUUGUCUACAAAUCUGAGGCUAAAAGCAGCAACUUCUGAAAUGGUAACUAUAUAACAAUUGAUAAUUUGAUAUAUGAUGUUUAUAAAGAGUCGUCAGGACAUACAUUUCUCUAUAAAAAGCAGCAGACUUUGAAAUGAAAAGGUAAUACAUCUGUAUCAAGUGAAAGGGAACAGCUGAAGGCAAAUGAUGCAGCAAUUUCCUGCUUCCAUUGACCCUACUCUUAGUAUUCGUCCAAAUAAGUGUAUAACAUGUCAUCUUUCUUUGACUUGCGUCGGCUAAGCAAGGCUUUGAGGAGGCGUUUACUUUUGCUGGGAUAUUGUUCAACCUCUUUGCUGUUCUCUCUUUCAGCAGGUAGCCGCAUUGAAGCUGAUUUUCGAGGCUCUGAAGGGUACUGGAAUAUACACAUACAAUCGGUCUAUAAGUAUUAAGGACAAAAGGGGAGGGUAAUUCUAGUUUCACACUUGGAUAACAGUUCGCAGCAGCUAUUACUGUUCAGGUUAAAAAAAUCCUACACUCACCCGUCGUCUUGCAUUAGUAAGAUUUGGAGUUGUCGGUCUACUUGAGUUUGGGGUAGUUGACCGACUUUUGCUUGGAGUCGUCGGCCUACUUGCAAGAGAACCAGACCGUAGAAGUGGAAACCGAUGAGGUGAAACUGUUCGCUUAUCUGUUGAUAGUAAACACAUCAUAAUCAGAUUGUCACAGAAGAAAAACAUUAUAAAGGUGUUAAUGUCAUAAUGUCCAAGAUGUUAACUCACCUAAUUCUUUCUUGGGCAUGGUAGAUGUAAACGAAAAAACUGCAGGUCUUUGAGGUUGUGGAGAUGGAGACCGCCCUCUACUGCACAUAACACGAUCAAAAUUUAUAAGGAUCCUCUUACAGACCCAACUUAAAAUAGAUUCCACAUGAACAAUUACCUGACUGCAGUUGGUGGGGUUUCACUGAUUGUAGCACGAACAGCUGUGCAAAAUCCAAUCAGAAUUCCAGAAAAAAUCAAAGCUAUAUUAAACCCUUAGCUUAGUAAUAUGCAUUUUGCAAUGAAACAAAACAGAAUAUAAGGCAGAAUACCAUUCCGAAACUGAUGCCAUUCAUCUUCAUCAUCUAAGUUGCAUCCUUUGUAUGUAGAUUUAGUUUUGUUUGCUCCCCCCAUGGUCUCACCAACUGAACAAAAAUUUGAGUUGUAAGAAUAGUCUUCAUCUUUGUCAACAAUUCAAGGGAAGGGGAAUGUCGAGAGUAUCAAAAAGUUAAAUUGAGAGGACAGUGAAGUAUUGCCUGGCAAGAUGUACCGCUUGUGGUAUUUGGGAGUGUCUAUAACUGAUGAUUGUUGGGAAAGGCCCUCAUGAUCAAUGUAUUCUUGACAUGUCCUCAGCCUCUAGGAUACCAAAUAAAAGAAAAGAAAAGGAAAUUAUCAACGCCUACAAAAGUAUUGGUUUCUUGUGAUUGUAACAGAUUGCUACAUAUUCAGAUGAUUCAGUUAUCAACAUAAUGCUGUCAAGUGAACCAGGUAAGCAACUCCCACUAAAGAAUGAGUACAAUUGAGAUCAGGGAGAGAAUCGUCUGAUGAGUAUCAUUUAAGAGCUUUGAACCUUAGUAAAAUUGCAUUAUACCCAAUUAUCAGUUGAAGCAGGUAUAACACAAAACCAAUCUACAGCAGCCCAAAAAGGCCAUUUUUGAGCUGUAAACAGCAACACACAUUGUAUAAACUUGUUCACAUUUUCUUUCAUAAUUGAAUUUGAAAUGCUUAUAUGAUGAUGGAAAAUUUCUUACUUUUUACAGUUACCCAUACCUGUUCAAUGCAAGAAACCCGAAAUUCUGUGCCAGAAACUUCAUCCACUUUUUCAUCCAAGAGAUCAUUGACCUUAUAUGUCACAGAACCCAAAUGGUCCACCGUAUUCACAAGAGCUUUAAUGGCAUAAUCUUUCAAUGUUUCUACCACUCUGCAAAAGAGUAGGUUUUUGUCUUUAUCUCAUUUUAUAAUUAGGUUUCUAAAGAAGAAAAAGAACCUGGAAAAACUCCAGCAGCAAGGAAACAGAAUAACUCACGUUUGUUUUUGGUCAUCAUUUGUAUAAGAAAGUUCAAAGUACUCUGCCGCGGAGUAUAACUGUGAUCUCAAAUUCUUCAAAUCCUGAAAUGGUAAUGCAAUGAACAAAGUGAACCACUGAACUUUUCAGUUUGUAAACCUUCCUUACCAGAGAUCAACACCAUUACAAAACGAGCUAUCUAAUAGAAUUCCUAAUGCACUUGUAUUCAGAUAAUAUUGAUUGAGGGAUACAAAAACCAAAGAGUUUAUUAUAAAUGAGACUAAAAAUGCCAAUAGAGACUACACCUAACUUGCAGAUUUAAUCAUUACCAAAAAACUUGCAGAUUUAAGGACCAACAGACAUAGUUUCAAAAUAGUACCUUGAGACUAUCAGAGAAGAGCAAACUUUGAUGCAUAGAAACCUCGUCAAAAUUAGACGCUACGCCAGGGAUAGGCGUAGUCAUUGUUCCCAUGAAGCCAAAAACUUUAUAGAGUGAACUCAGAUUUCCCUAUGCUGCAAACAACAGAGACAACAAUGUUACAUCCAUGAUUCCAAAGCAAAUUAUGGGACUGAAAAAACACCAGGAAAACAUCAAUAUGAAUCACCACCUCCAGUACUGGUUGUAACAAUCGAAAGACAUAACAUUGAAGUCGACUCCUAUGUUUGAAUGUUAAAUUCAACACCUAAAACUCUGAAAACUCUCAGCCAAAUCACCUCCUUGCAAAGACCAGAAACAAAAACCCUGUCUAUGUGUGAAAGAUGAAGAGAGAAGCUAUGCACCCAAAAUGAAAAACUCCGUUUCAAUUCUAAAGACUUUAAAUUGAAUUAAGUUAAUCACACCAUCAAGUGUGUCUGUGGGAGAAAGACAGAAGACUCUCCUUUAACAACUAAUAAAAUACCUGAAGCAACUAUUCAAUUAGACAACAGCCCGCUGUCAGAGAUAAACAAAUAUAUAGGAAUGAGAAAAUGAAACCACAUAAAGUUAGUGCUUUGCCACAUUUCUCCUACCAUUUGAGACAGGAAAAUCAACAUACCAAUAUUCUAAAGCACUUGGAAACAUUGAAAUCUCAUUCACAAUUAUUAAAAAGCUGUAAAAUUUAAGCACACCCUUUAGUUUAUAGUCUCAGAUAAUUAUGGUUAUACCUUUUCUUUUUCUGUUCAAACAAAGUGAAAACUCUGAAAAGGAAAAGACAAAACACAAAGAAAUCACAAAAGGACAAUGGCAUUCCAAUCCAAUCCAAACACCAAAUCUCUAAGCUGAAAUUGAAAAACAAUCACACUCUCAGUUCAAAGUAGCUAUCUUUACUAAGAGAGCAACAAAAAUCACAAUUGGGUGUUAUCACCAACCUUGUUCUGCUCUCUGGAAAUGCUCUUCUGGAGCUGAAAGCACAACCCAGAAGAUCAAAAGGCUCAAAACCCAGUAACCCACUCUCAAAACUCAAUUCAAAGUUGGAAACUUGGGAUUAUCUGAAAGCUCAAUGAUGAGGAAGAAGAACAUAAAUGAGCUACUCAGUGACAGUGACCAAAAUGGUUUGGUGUGAGAUUUGACUAAAGCAGAGAGAAAAGGACAAGCCUCGAAAGCAGAGAGGAAAGAGAGGGCAUGGAGGGACAUCCAUGAAGACGAGCACGUCUAUGUGGGCUACUACUGGACACUGUGAAUCUGAGACUGAGAGAAGCUCUUUCGUUUCUAAAGAGGGCAAAAGUCUCGACCUUUUGGUUAGCAACAAAAUGGAAAACACAGUUCCGUUUCAAAACCACUUCAGUUUUUCUCUACUUCAUUAACCUCUUUGGUGGGGUCCCAGGUCCCACCCUUCCUUAAUUUGCUCUUUAAUCCUUGUCUCAGGAUGAAACCCACAGAGAUGGGUAAAUUUAUUUAUUUAUUUUUUAACUUUUUCGAGUUAAAAAGAAAAAACUUACAACCCUAUUCUCUGAAAAAAGUCUCGAGUGCGAUGAUUAUAACAUGAAACGUCAUGUUGCUUAAGAUAUUGAUUCUUUGGUCAUUUCUCGUGGAGAGUAAGUUAAUAUGUAGCAAAGCAAUAUAAAUGUGUUACAAUUUAAAUACGUAACGUCUAAUAAUUGAUGUAUUCGUCUGAUCGUCUAACUGAAGACUCUUUCACUUUUGUGAUAUUUCGGUUACUUUCACUAAUGGUGGUUAGAUUAUAGAUGAUGAAUUUGUAAAACCGUUCUGAUUUGUGGGUUUGAACUUCAACUUGCAUUUCCCCAUCCAAAGGAAAAACGUGCAAGUUGGAACCAUUCAUGUGUUGUUUUGGGAAAAUGGAUGGUUUCCACAAUUCUCAAAAUGUUUUGAAUGGUUCAAAUCUCUACAUCACUAGCUACCCUACGAUCCAUACAUACAUUCCUUGUGAUUGCCAAAUGUGUAUCAAGUAGGAAUGGUAUUAAAUAUGAAUGGGACCUUAACUAGUGUAAUGCAUAUAUGUGAGAUUUGAGUUUGUAAGGUCUUAGAAGGUGUUUUUAAGACUUUAUGUAGCCGGUAUGAUUUUCUACAUUUCAAAACCAGGUUUAGACUCCCUUAAUAGAGAUGUUGAGAGAAUUGUGAACGAAACCGAAAGAACAAAUGCGAUUCCUCACUGUUUUUGUUGUUAUAGCAUGAUUAAUAGAUUUAAUGGAAGACGCAUAAGCUAAUGAUAGGAUUAUCAAUUUUGGAAUACUUUCCUUACAAGUAGAAUGAAUUUAGAGUUCAGAAUUUAGGCCAUAUGAAUCGGAUAUGAGAAGAUAUGUAUUGCUAGUGGAUUGAAACUUGAGAAGCACAUGGGAGUAGAGACCACGCUCAAUCAUGUAGAGAAUGGUAAUAACUAAAUGCGAGAUGUCUAAUGGAGUGGAUGGUACUGUGUACAAGUCAUUUGACCCAGGAUGUGAGCUUGGAAGGCACUCAUUGCUAAACGUGCAAUCUAAACAUUAAACUAAGUUGUCAAGGAAUGGAGAGAGAGACCCCAUCAUAACAACCUUGAAUUGUGACUUUGUAAUAAUCCUGGAAGACAAGAAAAUGAAACUUGAAGGUUUUGAGUUAGAGCAAUUGGAGAUGUGUGUGUGGAUCCUACUGUCUUUUUCUUUAGAGGAAAGUGAGGGGUUGUGGACUUGUGCAGGACUUGCAAUUCUAGCUUUUCUUGAACCUCCGUGAUUGCAGCUGGCUAUGAAAGUUGAUAGUGGCGUGAAUGGUGGCAAAGACUAGCUUCGUCAUGAUCGAACAAGUCUUCACUUGUGCGAUUUAACUAUCAGACUUGUCCGACCGUUUUAACGAUUCAACCUUAAACUUGUUUGAUUCAACUUGGUUGAUUGUCUAAUUAACUCAUCCCGUUUGUUUUGAGCAAUUACACAUUUACUUACUAAGUUGAAUGAAUGGGGCUCUAACCAAUCUAUCAGGUUUAUAGAGAACAAACAAAAUCCUACACACGAAGGCGCGUUAUGUACAGUACUGAAGUUUUAUGUAAGGCUGGAUUGGGCCUUAUAAACUUAGGUUCAUGGAUUCGUUUUACAGGAUUAGAGAGACGAGCUAACCCAUCCAAGCCACAAAAAGAUUAGAGGCCCACUGGCCCAUAACCCAUCUCCCUCCUCUCCUUUCCUCCUAAUCAAAUCUUAACUCCUCUACCAAACACGGCCAAAAUGUAAAACUCCACUUUGAUAUAGUUUGGGAGAUUUUUGGACUUCGAUAAAAGUGGCAGCAGGGCUUACAUGUCCUCUGAAAUGGUUUUCAAUGCAAGACCUGCUACCAUGAUACCAACCUACCCAACUUCACUAGAGAAACCUGGUAGUUUGCUACGAUAACUAAAAGCAAUUACUAGCAGACUUCCAAUUCUGAAACUACAAAAACCAUGUGGGGGAUGACAAUUGCAAACACAAAUCUUUCCAUUAUAUAUAAGCAUGCAUGAACCUAUGGAGCCCAACUGCAGGAGCAGGCACCAAAAUUGCCUCCUAAGUCCUACCAAAUUGCGUAUCAUACCAAUAACACAAUUUACCUAAUCAGGCCCGUUGUGAUUUCUUCAUUUUCCUAAGGAUUGAAUUUAGUUGGGCCUCUUGAUUAACCAAACAAUGGGCAUUGGCCCAGUUAAGAUGAGGGAUAAGUUCAUUCCUAUGUAUUUACAAGCCUUCAUGUAGCCUCUCAUGGUCGAGUUGGUAAGAGCCUAGGUGUGAAACCAUAUACCUAGGUUCGAAUCCUAGCCGACACUAAUUGGAGUUAAAUCCUAAUUUAUUCUUGGUGGCCAGAGGGGAUGAAGUGUUCUGACAUGAUCCCUCGACGCAGAUUAGUCUUUGAACCUGGAAAGCCUUUGAGGAUACCGUCGUUGACACUCUAACAAUAUAUAUAUAUAUAUAUAUAUAUAUAUAUAUAGUGGCUUUUCCAGUGCUAGACAAAAACUGAUUUCACGUGUAUCAUGAAGUUUGGUUUUCUCCAACUCACAGUUUCUCUAUGGAUGACCAUUACUCAUCCACCGGUUAUAGGCAAGAGAGGAAAGAGUUGUUAGGGUUGAGAUAUAUCGCAAGCGGUAACAAACAUAGAAAAAGACAUGUGAAUGAUAGUGGAAGCAAAAAGAAGACGACCAAGACCAAGAACAAGACCCAUUGUCUAGCAGUCCGAGGGAGAACCUAUCUUCUUUCUUUAAUUUCAUACCACUCGGCCACUAUAAUAAUUCAUACAACUUUACUGAAUGAAUCAUUGAUCACUCACCCAAAAAAACAAAAUAAAAGGAAUCAUUGAUACCAAAAGAAAAAAAGCUUUACCAAAUGAAGUGGAUCCUGAGCUUUUAUCAAACAAACUUGCAUGUCAAUAUAAUAGAAUGUGGUGCUAUUGAUUCACACUUAUAGUUGAUCGAGUAUAGUGCAUGUUUCUCAAUCUUUCUUUCGAAGGCGAUUCAGUUGCUGCAAAAUUUAUUUGAUCGAGUAUAGUGUAUGAUUUCUUUAGUCACUAUGUGACCAUAUGAACAAUACUAUUUGGUUUAUAACAUCGUAUACCCUCAAAAUACUCCAACAUAUGGGAAUCCCCAACGUAUGCCAGAAACUAAUAUCAAAAUCAAAAUAUGUUAUGUACACAUGUACAUAUUGACUAUUGAGGUUAUGAAAGUUUUGGAUUCAGUUUUCCGGUUGCGGUUUUUCUUCUUCUUCUUCUUCGUCGAGUACAGAGCAAGUCGGAUCCAUCUCUAUCUCACCGUCUUUCGCUAACACCCACUAACUUCACUUGUGCCUAACAUCGUUAAUUUCAAUGACGUGUGGGCAACACGCGCCAAUUCAACUGCAGUCUAUGGGCACCGCAGUCUAUACUAGACGCUCUCAAGAAACUUUAUUAUAACUUCACGGAUAGUCAAGUUCCUUCCUAGUUUCACUAAACAUAUCAGGUAAAUAAUUCUAUAUAACUUUCAUUACUUAUGUCCUUAUGAUGUAAACAUUACUCCUAUAUAAAAGGGUAUAAUGAGAAUGAAUGAUAUAAUUCUUCCUUCUCCCCCAAAAAAAAAAAAAAAAAGAAAAGUCUAUAUAACUUAAUCCAGACAUAAUUGGGUUCCAUAGGCUAGCUAUUUCAGAUUAAUCUGGUUUCAAGUUAAUGAUCAAUUCCAGCUUUCCAUCAUGCAAUCUUAUAAUGUAUGCUACUUCGAUUCUAGAGCGCCAAUCUUUGCUCUAUAGCUAGCUACCCAGUACUACUAAUUGUCUAGUUGAUCCUGCUUUCCUCAAGUAAGGAAAAAACAUACUCUUUCACUGCAUAUAUCUUCCUUAAUUGGUAAUUCUGUCUCUAUUCUUGAUUGUAAACCGUAAACUAACAAUUUUCUAGCUUCCGACCACCGUUGUUCCUCUUUCUAGCUAGAUCUAAACCACAUGCACCAGUCAUUACUGUGACUAAUUUUCAUAUUUAUAUUUUUCAAAUUUCAGUACUGCGGAUUGGAAAAUUGCUCGAGUACGAAGACUACCAUCGCGAUCGGCUGUGUUAGUAAUUCUGAGACCAUCUCAUCCAGCAUAACAGAAAGGCAUAAAAUAAUUAUGGCUAAACAUCAGGGACCAAACAAUGAAAUCCAAAUGAGGUUUGUUUUAUUAACCUAGCAAUAAGUUAGUUUUCUGCAAUUGUACUGAUAAAUUUAGGUUACGGAUUCGAUCGUUGAGCUUUUUGUUCAGUGGUCAGUUGUAGUAGUCGACGGCUUCGAUUCAUUUAAUUUACAUUAUUUUUGUUUUUCUUCUAUCAGCAUUACACCAGAUGUGUCUCAUGAUUUCGGUAGUCCUGAGGCUCAUCGAAAACCGACACCCGAACAUGGACAACCUCAAGCAAGCAGCCAAAGAUGGAAUUGGCCAACAGUUGCCGGAGUUUCUUCAGAUUUGAACCCAUGGUGGAAUAAGAUACUGGUAACUUCAUGUGUGAUUGCAGUUUUAUUUGAUCCCUUGUUCUUUUACAUUCCAUACACCAGCGAGGAAAAAAAGUGUAUGGGAAGCGACGAAAGAGUGCAGACUGCAGCUCUGAUUUUCCGAUCAGUCACAGACAUCACUUUCCUGGUGCAUAUCAUAUACCAACUAUAUGUGGCUAUCAAAUUUGCACUCUCAAGGGUGGAUGAAAGUUUGGUUUUUAGAUAUGAAUCGGUAUCCCGAGUGCAAAUGAUUCGGUUUGCAAAGGCAUUUUCUCUCAAGUUGUCAUGGCGAUCUUUCCUAACUGACGUUUUCGCUAUUUUGCCCAUACCACAAGUAAGACAUAUCGUAACUCUCUUUCUAGUUAUUAGCUAGAGAUUGGCUAAUAAUUAACUCGCUGUAAUUUACGGUCUUUUUAAAAGUUUUAACCCACGAUUUUUUGUCCAGCUGCUAAUAGUAGGAUUGUUUUUCAACAUCGGAGGCAAUGACUACUUGUUAAGAAGAAAGAUUGUGAGCGGUUUUCUUCUAGUCCAAUAUGUGCCAAGAAUCUAUCGAAUUUAUCUUUCAUCUGUCGCGAUUACAGAAUCUGCAUUAUGGGUUAGAGGUGUAUUUAACCUUUUCCUCUACAUCCUUGCGAGUCAUGUAAGUUUAUCCAUCUCACCUCUUCUCAUCAAUUUUUUAUUAUUGUUUUUUUUUUUUCUUUUCAUUGAAUUAGGUGAGUUACUUGAGUUAAGUUUGUGUUGAUAAAAAAUGUUUGUUGUUAAUUAUAGGCACUUGGAGCCUUUUGGUACUUUUUUUCUAUUCAACGACAGACAUCAUGUUGGCAUCGAACUUGCAUCGCCGAUUUAAAUCGAACAGAAUCAGAAUGCACAUUUUACUGUGAUGACAGUACUGCUGCACUUAUAACCGGUACCCCACAAUUCAAUACAACUCUAGACGAGCAAUGCGUUCUAAAAGUUCCAUAUAACAUGACCGAUCCACCAUUUGAUUUUGGAAUAUUUUUUGAUGCCCUCAAAAAUGAUAUCCAAGGGAAAAUAAAUGUUCCACAAAAGAUUGGUUACUGUUUUUGGUGGGGCUUGCGAAACUUGAGGUAAUCUUCAUUUAUAACUUAAUUCAGUCGGGUCAUUCAUCAACCAACAUUUUACAAUUACUAAUCAUUUAACAAUUUCUUCUGUGGCCGGCAGUAAUUUUGGUACAAGUUUAACAACGAGUACCUAUCUGUGGGAAAACAGCUUUGCCAUUUUAAUUUCUAUCAUCGGCUUGCUAUUGUUUUUAUACCUCAUUGGAAAUGUACAGGUUGGUAACCUAAUCGAUCACCCAUAUAUGUUAUGUUACUUAUGUAUAUACAGUAUUAUAUAUAUAUAUAUAUUUGCUAUUGUACAUAGCAAUGGUUAACUUAAUUUGAUCGAGGAGGUGAUUAAAUUGAUGGAUGGAGUUGUUAAUUAUAUGCAACAUGCAGAUUUAUAUGGAGAGGGCAACUACCAGAGCGGAUGAGGUAAGAGAGAAGCUUCGGAUCAAAAAGAACGAUAUAGAUGAUUGGAUCGAAAAUAAUGGUAUCGGGAAGGACAUGAAGGAAGAGAUCAUGAAAAACAUCAAGGAGAAGUUGGAAAAGGACAUAAGUGCAGAUCUGGAUGAUAUAUACUCUAUUCUUCCCCCGAAUACCAGGAAAGUUGUGAAGCGAUUUGUCGGCAUGAGGACGCUAAGAAAUGUAUGUCACAGUACCCUUGUUUGUGACUUGUGUCAUCAGUACGUUGUGUGUGUUGUUGAAGCUAGCUUACUAAUCAGUGGUCUGCUUAUACAUACAUAUGUAGGUACCAAUGCUUAGCGAGGUGGAUGGAAGAGUUUUGAAGAUGAUGUGCGACUAUCUGAAGCCGGUCAAGUACCAGGAGAAUACAAUGGUUUUUAAAAUGGGAAAACCAUUUGAUAGAAUGGUCUUCAUUACAGAUGGGUCAAUGUGGACUUACACGACUGCUACUGAUCAUCAGACUAGUGAUUCUGGAAAAGCAACGUCAGGAGGACUAGUUACUUCUUCGUCCACGGAAGCUCACUUCCUCGAGAAGGGUGAUGCUUAUGGACACAUGCUUCUGCAAUUAGCAUCAUCAUCUUUUACGACGCUUCCUAUCUCAGAUGCAAAUGUCAAGUGCCACACAAAGGUAGAGGCGUUUGUCCUCAUGGCCAGUGACUUGAGAAACAUAGUAACUGAGUGCGGUCGGUGCGGUCGGUGCGGAGAUUUGUGGCCGGAUUUCAAGUAUAAUGCUUCUCAAGAUGAGGAGGCUGUUCAGAAGGCACCGCCGGGGCACUUUCAGCAACAACAAGGGCCAAAGAAGCGUGGAACAACAUCAAAUAUCCAUCCUACCGGCUACAGUGGGUGAUGCAUGCGAAGCUGAAGCCUGCUGCAAAUCGCCCCUAGCUAGCCUGCAGUGAUCUAGGGCGCGCAGUACGUUGUGCAUUAUUUGCUUUUACAUAUAUAGCAGCUACAGCUAAAGCUAGCUAGCUAGCUAUCCAUCAACUCCAUCCUUCAAGCUAGCUGCUACUUACUCUUAUUGUCAUAUAUAUCAUCGUUUCUUCAUUUGUAUCGCUACGUACUUGAGCUAUGGUACUUGUUAUCGAUCAGUGAUUGCCUGUUUUAAUAUAUCAAUUAUUUGAGAAUAAAAAUAAGACUUGAGUUUUGAUAACGGAGUUAUAUGAGCAAAUUUCUUUGAUUCCCACCAGUUCAUUCAAAGAUCAACAAGACACUCAAGGAAGGCAAUUUCUAUGGAGUGGAACAACUUCUACGUUGGGUAGCAGUACCUGACGAACAUUUCUCCAAACUUCCUAGCUAGCUUGAACGAGAAUGUGAGAUCUCAAUCAAAAGUGGAAGGCUUUACUCUCAUGGCCAGCGACUUGAGAAAGGUAGCCAACAACUGCGCAGGCCUUUGGAAGUUCACCAACGCCCUGAUUGCCCUCAAUCCUGAAGAAAGAGAGGUGGCGGCACAUACUAGUACGUACUACGUACCAUAGCAGCAGCAGUAGUCAGUUGUUUCCGAAAUGCAGCAAAGAAGUCGUCCGGAGCAAACCCGUCGGCAGUUGAAUUGGCCAAUGAACAACGUUUAGCUAUAGCUUGUGUUGCCCUAGCUCGCAACUUGGUAUAUAUCCAUUUUGAUUUUACAAGGCAACUAGCUAAUAAUUAAGACAAAGUCGAUUUAAUUGGCAUACACGGGGCGUGAAAUUGUGUUGUUUUAAUUUGAAUGUUACAAUUAAGAUUGAUUAUGGUUUGUGCUUAAUUAUUGGAUUUCUCUAUCUUCAAUCACUAUAUAUAUAUUAUAAAAAAAAUCUUCAAAGAUUAUAGUGGAUAUGCUUCCGCUAGUUCCUCAGAACAAACAAAACACUAAUGAAUCUAUCCCAGAUGCUUGAAGAUUGGAUCACUGAGCACGGUCGUAUCUACGUACGUACUCCAACAAUUUGAAGAGAAAGCAAGACGGUAUCAGAUUUUUAUAGCCAAAUAUCUCUCUGUGCAAAAGUUCAACAAAGAAGGUGCGCAUAGUGAUGAUAUUCGGCUUAAAGAUUUGAAACCGCCUUGCUUCGAUCUCUUCAUUGCUGGAAUAGACACAAUAUGUACAGUACUCUGAAUUUUUAUGUAAGGCUGGAUUGGGUCUUGUAAACUUGGGUUCAUGCAUUCGUUUUACGGGAUUAGAGAGACGAGCUAACCCGUCCAAGCCACAAAAAACAGCCCAAAUAGAUUAGAGGCCCACUGGCCCAUAACCCAUCUCCCUCUUCUACUUUCCUUCAAAACUGUUUACCUUGUAUUCUAGCUACAACAUUGUUUAAGAUUGAGAAAUUUUAAAUACACACCCCUAAUAUCUUAAUACACACCCCUUACUUAAUACACCACCUAUCAAGUUUUUUAUUUCAGUAUUAUACUUAAUACACAUCCCAAACUGCCUAAAAUGCCCUGAAUUUAUGAAAUAUUCCGUUAUUUAAUAUAAUUAAUAUAUAUUUACUAUUUGGUACAUCUUUUUACAUAUUAUUUCGUCUAAUUUUUGCUAGAAAUUUGUGGUUAUCAUCGUUCAAUUUAUAAUCAAAUGAUUAUUAUUAUAUCCCAACUCCAAAUCACCAAUACAAGUUUUCAAAAUUCACAAACUAGUACAAGUGUAGAAGUAUAGUAGCUAUUAAACAUAAAUAGCUAAUUAUUCGAUAAAACAUGUCAUGAUUAAAAUGCAAUAUUUGACAAUAUGAUCUACAAGAUCAAACUAAAGCUGAUAAAGAUAUAGUACUUGACAAUAUGAUCUGUAAAAUCAAACUAAAGCUGAUACGGAUACAAAAAAAAANNNNNNNNNNNNNNNNNNNNAAAAAAAAAAAAACAAAACCCCAAAAUGAAUUGUGAAGAAGAAUUUGGGUCAUGGGAGAAUACGUGUUUUCGACUAUUUUAGGGUAGAAGACGUUGAAAAGAAUACUUCUAGCGUGAAUUUUUUUUUUUAAUUAAUAGAUGUAUGUUUUGGUCAUUUAGCUUACCUAUAAAAUCUCAAUAGAAACAAAAUAAUAGGGGUGUGUAUUAAGAGAUUAGGGGUGUGUAUUUAAAAUUUCUCUUUAAGAUUCCAUAAGAAAUUCUACUUAUUGAAGAUGAUAAUUCUAGAUAGAAAAAUUAUUGGUUUUAUAAAAAGAUUCAAUUUCAAGCACGUACUUGGUAAAACAAAAAUGAUAAGAAAAAGUUUGUAAUGUGUAACAAUGUAUUGUCCUUUAUUGUAAUUAGGUAAUUUAGUUUUUUAAUAAAUCAACAUCUUAUAGGGUGAGUAAAAUGGAUGAUAGGGUGACAUCAGCCGUACAUUUUGAAGUUGGCAUCUUCUGUCCAAUCUGAAGUCUAAUACAUUUUGAAAUCCUAAUCAAAUCUUAACUACUCUACCAAACACGGCCAAAAUGUAAAACUCCACUUUGAUAUGGUUGGGUGAUUUUUGGACUUCGAUAAAAGUGGCAGCAAGGUUUACAUGUCCUCUGAAAUGGUUUUCAAUGUAAGACCUGCUACCAUGCAUGAUACCAUCCUACCCAACUUCACUAGAGAAACCUGCUAGUUUGCUACGAUAACUAAAAGCAAUUACUAUCAGACUUCAAUUCUGAAACUACAAAAAACCAUGUGGGGGAUGACAAAUGCAAACACAAAUCUUUCCAAAUCUUUCCAUUAUAUAUAAGCAUGCAUGAACCUAACUGCAGGAGCAGGCACCAAAAUUGCCUCCUAAGUCCUACCAAAUUGCGUAUCAUACCAAUAACACCAUUUACCUAAUCAGCCCCGUUGUGAUUUCUUCAUUUUCCUAAGGAUUGAAUUUAGUUGGGCCUCUUGAUUAACCAAACAAUGGGCAUCGGCCCAGUUAAGAUGAGGGAUAAGUUCAUUCCUAUAAAUUUACAAGCCUUCCUGUAGCCUCUCAAACUGCGGAACAUAUGAAAGUAACUAUACAUCUAAGUUGGCUUUUCCAGUACUAGACAAAAACUGAUUUCACGUGUAUCAUGAAGUUUGGUUUUCUCCAACUCACAGUUUCUCUAUGGAUGACCAUUACUCAUCCACCAGUUAUAGGCAAGAGAGGAAAGAGUUGUUAAGGUUGAGAAAUAUCGUAAGCGGUAACAAACAUAGAAAAAGACAUGUGAAUGAUAGUGGAAGCAAAAAGAAGACGACCAAGACCAAGACCCAUUGUCUAACAGUGCGAGGGAGAACCUAUCUUCUUUCUUUAAUUUCAUACCACUCGGCCACUAUAAUAAUUCAUACAACUUUACCGAAUGAAUCAUUGAUCACUCACCAAAAAACAAGGUAAAAGGAAUCAUUGAUACCAAAAGGAAAAAACUUUACCAAAUGAAGUGAAUCCUGAGCUUAUAUCAAACAAACUUGUAUGUCAGUAUAAUAGAAUGUGGUGCUAUUGAUUCACACUUAUAGUUAAUCGAGUAUAGUGCACGUUUCUCAAUCUUUGUUUCGAAGGCGAUUCAGUUGCUGCAAAAUUGAGGAUUGUUAUAGAAAAACGAUUCAGUUUUGAGUCAUAUGGCCAACCCUGAAGUAGCUGUAAAUGUAGAGCACUUGGAAGAAGAGAAAACUCUGAGGUCAGUCGUUCUUCAGCUCACUUUAAGAUUAUGCAUUUUCUUCUUGUAUAUUAUAGUGAUGAGUGUAACUUGUGGUCUUGUUGUGUGAUUUUAGAUCGGUUGUUGAUGAACAUAGCGAGUUAGAGACUACUGCAACGGCAGAAUCUGCCCCAAAAGAUGGAGGAGAUACAAAAGAAGCUAGAAGCUGCAGGUUAUCCUUCAAUACAAUUUUCAAUCGAAAUGGGAACUUCCUUCCUAUGUGGAACAACGUAUUUGUAGUAUCUUGUGUGUUUGCUGUCUCCUGUGAUCCUUUGUUCUUCUACAUUCCGAUCAUUAACGAGAAGAAGAAGUGUCUAUAUUUUGACACAAGGUUGAAGACCGUAGCCCUCGUCUUACGGUUACUCACAGAUCACUUCUACAUUGCGGACAUUAUUAUGCGAAUUUUGACCAGUAUACGUCAAAUCAAGUUAUCAAAGGCUUCUGGGGUGAUGAAAGCACAAUUAGGAUCUCCUAAUUUGAAUGGGAAGACAUCAGUUGGUGAUGUUUUUGAAAUAGCUAAGAGGGCUUGGGCGAAAACUAAUAGAUUAUACGUCCUGAUUGACAUUUUAGCUAUUCUUCCCAUACCCCAGGUAAUCAAGAGAACCCUUUCAUGGUGUAAUGUUGUUUAAUUUCUUUCUUUCUAGCUAGUUGCUUGAACUUAUACUUGCCAUUUGCAGGUGGCAAUGUUCAUUUUCUUUUCGAAAAUGAAGGGUCCGGGAUGUUCAAAAGAAAGAAGGUUUUUCGACACUCUUAUUAUAUUCCAAUUUGUCCCACGAGUUCUUCCCGUUUACUUAUUGUGCAGAGAACGCAAGAGAACUCUUAAUAAAGCAAGCAUGUGGACUAAAGGUGUUUUCAAUUUCUUCCUAUACAUCCUUGCAAGUCAUGUAAGUCCUACUACUGAGGCCAGUUACAUUUCUUUUAUAAGUUCCACCUAUAUGCAAUUGUCUUAAUUUGCAGAACAAAUGUUAAGUAGUUUUUGGUUUUAAGGUACUCGGAGCUCUUUGGUACUUCUUUGCCAUUCAACGAGAGAUGGAUUGUUGGCAUUCUGUUUGCCAACAUCACAAUAAAUGCCAACUCAGUACCUAUAGUUGUAGCGCAGGACAAGAUAGAUUGAGAAAUAUCCCAUUGUUAGACAUAAAAUGUCCGAUAAACCUGCCGGAAGAAAAGAAAGGAAAGCCCUUUGAUUUUGGUAUAUUUGCUGAUGCGCUUGACUCCGGCCUAGUGCAGACUACUGAUUUUCCUGAAAAAUUCUUGAAUUGUUUCUGGUGGGGGCUGCGAAAUCUGAGGUUUGCACAUAUUACUAGUUCUGUGCUUUGUUUACAUAUCUUCAUGACCUAGGAGAUGUUCUUAUAUACUAAUUGCUGCAUUUGUUUUGUUUCUAAUUGUGCAGCUCUCUGGGUCAAAACCUCCAUACAAGCACCUAUGCAUGGGAAAACCUCUUUGCUGUGUUUAUUUCGAUCAUAGGCUUGCUAUUGUUUAUAUAUCUCAUCGGAAAUUUGCAGGUUGGUGUCCAGUUUAUGAUACCUUAAUGCUCAUGUAUUACAUAGAAAUGCAUUUUGAUCAGUACUAUAUGUUUAAUGAACUAAACCUAUGCUUCUUUUGUCGUGGACUAUCAUAUUGUAGACAUACUUGCAGUUUGCGACUACAAGAUCAGAGAAGCUCAGAAGAAAGAUGAAAACGAAAAAUUUAGAGGUUGAUUUGCGGCUAUCAAGAAAAGGCCUCCCUAGCAAUUUGAAGGUAGUGAUAAUGCAAAUCAUACAACAAAAACUUGAACAGAACAAAGAUGUUCAAGUUGAGGACAUCCUUUCUGUUCUUCCUUCAGCACAUAGUAAAUAUAUCAGACGCUAUCUUAGUUUGGCUACACUCAAGAAAGUAAGCAAUUUCCUUUGUGAAUAUAACAGUGGAAAGGCCUAGCCAUCGUNNNNNNNNNNNNNNNNNNNNNNNNNNNNNNNNNNNNNNNNNNNNNNNNNNNNNNNNNNNNNNNNNNNNNNNNNNNNNNNNNNNNNNNNNNNNNNNNNNNNNNNNNNNNNNNNNNNNNNNNNNNNNNNNNNNNNNNNNNNNNNNNNNNNNNNNNNNNNNNNNNNNNUUCUCAAAUGGGCAUCCAAUUUCAGCGGUCACCAGGACUUACCAAUCUCAACGAGAAUGGUUAAGCCUGUCACUAAAGUUGAAGCAUUUUUCACUGAGUAAGGACGACUUGAAGAGUGUAGCCAUCAAGUACUGGUGGAAUUUCACCAAGAACAAGGAUCCGAAGGAUUUCGACCAGUCUGUGUUGGAGGAGUUUGCAGUAUCUUCCAUAGAAAAAGAAAUCCGUCGCCGCAGGCAAGUGAAGAAGAAGCAUACAAUAAGGUCUCUUCAUAAGUUGGAUACUCAGGGUAGUGCUAGCCAGAAGUUGCAGAAGGUUAUCAGUAGGGUCAUGAAGGAUCAGUUGCCUUCACCUGUUUGUGCUCUAGAUGGCAGGUAAUUAAUUAGCUGCCUAAGCUAAGCUUUUUUGAGUAUUAUUAAUGGAUCUAGCUAGUUUCAAAGAUCAAGUGUAAUUAACAAAUAACAAGCCCCUAAUCAGAAUAAAGUACCUCCUUUUGGAUAGCUCUGAUUUUGAGCACGUGCGUAGUGCAAAAUCCUACAACACGUACACAAGGUCUCCCGUGAUUCAGACCGAGUCGGGUAUAUUUGAGACUGGACUCAUGGAUUUGAAGGAGCCCAAGUGUGGAGCCAAUAGCAGCCCAGUAGCUAUUUAUGCCAUGCACAGUAUGCACUACCCUGGCCUCCGAUGACCGAAGCAAGAGGACGACAUCAUGAGUCAUCAAUCAUGACAACUCGUUACGAUUAUGGUGUUAUUUACAUAACAUUAUAUAUAGUUUAACAAACACAGAGUCUAACUGGCCGGGUUUAAUUGUGUUGAUUUGUUAUAGUUCACGAUGAUAGAAAGCCUCCAACUAUUACAUACUGACUUAAAAAAUGUAAGGACAGCAAGAGAUAUGGAGUGCUUGGAGUUCUAAUGACUUUAACUCCUAGAAGAUCGAAGAUCGAAAAAACAAUUAGACCAAAUGCAAAUGUAGUGUGUAUGGUUCUUCUUUUUCUUCCAUCAACACACAACAGGUAACUAAACUAUCACAAGUGGUUAUCCAAAAAAAAUAAUUAAUAUCACAAGUGGACAUUGUCAACCAAAUUAUAGAAUUAGAGGUUGAUGAUUAUAAAUUAGUUUCUAAAGAAUGAGGUAAUGUAGUGGGCAUAUUUUGGUUUAUCAGUGGUGUUCACAUAGUCACAUAGUGACUAAGGAAAUUAUAAUUAAUCAUUGUUUGAUGUAAAUUCAAGGGUGGAAAUGUGGAAAACAAAACAACUUAAUUUUACAAUAAUACUUCUCAUAUUUAGAUUUACAUUCAACAGUAAUUGACCAUGAUUUCUUUAGUCAUUAGGUGACCAUAUGAACACUACUAUUUGGUUUAUAACAACAUAUUCCCUCAAAAUGCCCCAACAUAUCCCCAACAUAAGCUAGAAACUAAUAUCAAAAUCAAAAUAUGUGUACAUGUUGAGGUUACUAUAUUAUUAUCUACAGAGGGCCGGUUGACUCUGAAGAGGAGUGUUGUUUAAGGUUCCUAAUUAACUUAACCUCCAAUGUCUAAAGGUCUAAGCAGGAAUUAAGGGAGGAUAUAUAUAUAUAUAUACUACCAGAAGAAAGACUUUAGCCGAAACGAAAAAAAAAAACAGGCCGNNNNNNNNNNNNNNNNNNNNGUUCAUUUCUAGGGAUAGAUCAUUUGACGAACUUUUUUAUCACAAAAUCAAAUCUCCACCGUUCAGUUCGUUGGGCUAUAUGAGUAGAUCACUUAUGCAAAUUUUCAGAAAAUUUGGUGAUCGUUAAGUCAUCCAAAUGAGGGAUUUAUUUUUAAUGAUUUUGAACGGUGUAGGUUUGACAUAAGUGUUAAGUUUUUUGUUUUAAUCUCAACCAUUCAAGCCCAUUAAAAAACAGAUCUAAUGUAGUGGACCUAUCCCUAAAAAUGAAAAAAAAUAGGGAUCCCUCAUUAGAAGGGCCCUAUAUAUAGCAGGGAUGUGAAGUGGACGUCCGCACAGUCCUUAAAGUGCAGACGUCCCUCCGUUCUCCACCGAACGGCUCCAACGACGCGGCGCCUCCACCCCAGCGGCCUCCAGCAGCGUCCCCGAUCACUUUUCCUCCUCGGCGAGUCCGCUGAAUUCCAGUUUUCCGGUGAGAUUGAUUUUGUUUGAAGUUUUGGGUGAUCUCGGCGGACUCGCCGGGGAGGGAAAGUGAUCGGGGACCCUGCUGGAGGCCGCUGGGGUGGAGGCGCGCCGUUAUCGGAGCCGUACGGAGGAGAACGGAGGGACGUCCGCACUUUAAGGCCGAUGCGGACGUCCACUCCUCAUCCGGCCUGUAUAUAUAUAAACAUAAACCCAUCAAGGUUUUACAUCAAUUUAAAUAGUCACAAAGAAAGUACAUUAUAAAGACCUCCACUUUUGGUUCUUUUUCCAUGUGGGAUAAAUCUAACACAAGUUCCAACAUGACUCUAUCCCAGAUGUUUGAAGAUUGGAUCACUGAACACGAUCUUAUCUACGUACGUACUCCAACAAUUUGAAGAGAAAGCAAGACGGUAUCAGAUUUUUAUAGCCAAAUAUCUCUCUCUGUAAAAGUUCAACAAAGAAGGUGCGCAUAGUGAUGAUAUUCGGCUUAAAGAUUUGAAACCGCCUUGCUUCGAUCUCUUCAUUGUUGGAAUAAACACAAUAUGUACAGUACUUUGAAUUUUUAUGCAAGGUUGGAUUGGGCCUUGUAAACUUGGGUUCAUGCAUUCAUUUUACAGGAUUAGAUAGACGAGCUAACUCAUCCAAGCCACAAAAAACAACCCAAAUAGAUUAGAGGCCCACUGGCCCAUAACCCAUCUCUCUCUUCUCCUUUCCUUCAAAAGUGUUUACCUUGUCUUCUAGCUACAAGGUUGUUUAAGAUUCCAUAAGAAAUUCUACUUAUUGAAGAUGAUAAUUCUAGAUAGAAAAAUUAUUGGUUUUAUAAAAAGAUUCAGUUUUAAGCACGUACUUGGUAAAACAAAAACGAUAAGAAAAAAGUUGUAAUUUGUAACAAUAUAUUGUCUUUUAUUGUAAUUCAGUAUUAAGGUAAUUUAAUCUUUUAAUAAAUCAACAUCUUGUAUGAUAAGUAAAGUGGAUGAUAAGGUGACAAUAGCCACACCCUUUGAAGUCGGCAUAUUCUGUCCAAUCUGAAGUCUAAUACAUUUUGAAAUCCUAAUCAAAUCUUAACUACUCUACCAAACACGGCCAAAAUGUAAAACUCCACUUUGAUAUAGUUGGGUGAUUUUUGGACUUCGAUAAAAGUGGCGGCAGGGCUUACAUGUCCUCUGAAAUGGUUUUCAAUGUAAGACCUGCUACCAUGAUACCAUCCUACCCAACUUCACUAGAGAAACCUGUUAGUUUGCUACGAUAAGUCGAUAACUAAAAGCAAUUUAGACUUCCAAUUCUGAAACUACAAAAACCAUGUGGGGGAUGACAAAUGCAAACACAAAUCUUUCCAUUAUAUAUAAGCAUGCAUGAACCUAUGGAGCCCUAACUGCAGGAGCAGGCACCAAAAUUGCCUCCUACCAAAUUGCGUAUCAUACCAAUAACACCAUUUACCUAAUCAGCCCCCGUUGUGAUUUCUUCAUUUUCCUAAGGAUUGAAUUUAGUUGGGCCUCUUGAUUUAUCAAACAAUGGGCAUCGGCGCAGUUAAGAUGAGGGAUAAGUUCAUUCCUAUAUGUUUACAAGCUUUCUUGUAGCCUCUCAAACUGCGAAACAUAUGAAACUGUAUACAUCUAACUUGGCUUUUCUAGUGCUAGACAAAAACCAAUUUCACGUGUAUCAUGAAGUUUGGUUUCUCCGACUCACAGUUUCUCCCUAGAGAGGAAUGAGUUGUUAGGGUUGAGAUAUAUCGUAAUUCGUAAGCGGUUGUUAAGCUCAUAGAGCUGAGUAACCUCGAUGAAAAUGGUGAUGAACGAGCUAAUGAUCAAGGAGCUACAGCAGUUGAUCAAAGUCAGAAGAAGUCAAAAGUUUGACCUUGACGGUGGGCGCGUGGCUUUCAAAUGUGUAGGUGUUCUUGAGGAUUCUUGUGAAGCUGUUAUCCUUUCCCUCAUAACAACUCUUCAGGAGCAGCACUCUCGUGACCAAGAAGAAAAGAUCUAGACCCUACACGUGUCCCUUUUGUAGCUGUCAAGAAAGAUAUUUUCUCUGCAUGGUGAAAUCUAGCAGCGGUUACAGUGCGAGGGAGGACCUGUUUAAUUUCAUACCACUCGUUCACGGUUCACUGUAAUAAUUCGUACACUCAACCAAAAAAAAAAAAAAGGAAAUCAUUGAUACCAAAAGGAAAAACUUCACCAAAUGAAGUGAAUCCUGAGCUUAUAUCAAACAAAAUUGCAUGUCAAUAUAAUAGAAUGUGGUGCUAUUGAUUCACACUCAUAGUUGAUCGAGUAUAGUGCAUGUUUCUCAAUCUUUGUUUCGAAGGCGAUUCAGUUGCUGCAAAAUUGAGGAUUGUUAUAGAAAAACGAUUCAGUUUCGAGUCAUAUGGCCAACCCUGAAGUAGCUGUAAAUGUAGAGCACUUGGAAGAAGAGAAAACUCAGAGGUCAGUCGUUCUUCACCUCACUUUAAGAUUAUGCAUUUUCUUCUUGUAUAUUAUAGUGAUGAGUGUAACUUGUGGUCUUAUUGUGUGAUUUUAGAUCGGUUGUUGAUGAACAUAGCGAGUUAGAGACUACUGCAACGGCAGAAUCUGUCCCAAAAGAUGGAGGAGAUACAAAAGAAGCUAGAAGCUGCAGGUUAUCCUUCAAUACAAUUUUCAAUCGAAAUGGGAACUUCCUUCCUAUGUGGAACAACGUAUUUGUAGUAUCUUGUGUGUUUACUGUCUCCUUUGAUCCUUUGUUCUUCUACAUUCCGAUCAUUAACGAGAAGAAGAAGUGUCUAUAUUUUGACACAAGGUUGAAGACCGUAGCCCUCGUCUUACGGUUACUCACAGAUCACUUCUACAUUGCGGACAUUAUUAUGCGAAUUUUGACCAGUAUACGUCAAACCAAGUUAUCAAAGGCUUCUGGGGUGAUGAAAGCACAAUCGGAAUCUCCUGAUUUGAAAGGGAAGACAUCAGUUGGUGAUGUUUUUGAAAUAGCUAAGAGGGCUUGGGCGAAAACUAAUAGAUCAUACGUCCUGAUUGACAUUUUAGCUAUUCUUCCCAUACCCCAGGUAAUCAAGAGAACCCUUUCAUGGUGUAAUGUUGCUUAAUUUCUUUCUUUCUAGCUAGUUGUCUGAAUCUUUACUUGCCAUUUGCAGGUGGCAAUGUUCAUUUUCUUUUCGAAAAUGGAGGGUCCGGGAUGGUCAAAAGAAAGAAGGCUUUUCGACACUCUUAUUAUAUUCCAAUUUGUCCCACGAGUUCUUCCCGUUUACUUAUUGUGCAGAGAACGCGAGAGAACUCUUAACAAAGCAAGCAUGUGGACUAAAGGUGUUUUCAAUUUCUUCCUGCACAUCCUUGCAAGUCAUGUAAGCCCUAAUACUGAGGCUAGUUACGUACUUACAUUUCUUUCAUAAUUUCCACCUAUAUGCAAUUGUCUUAAUUUGCAGAACAAAUGUUAAGUAGUUUUUGGUUUUAAGGUACUCGGAGCUCUUUGGUACUUCUUUGCCAUUCAACGAGAGGUGGAUUGUUGGCAUAUGCAUUCUGGUUGGCAACACCACAAUAGAUGCCAACUUAGUACCUAUAGUUCUAGCGCAGGACAAGAUGGAUUGAGAAAUAUCCCAUUGUUAGACAUAAAAUGUCCGAUAAACCUGCCGGAAGAAAAGAAAGGAAAGCCCUUUGAUUUUGGUAUAUUUGCUGAUGCACUUGACUCCGGCCUAGUGCAGACUACUGAUUUUCCUGAAAAAUUCUUGAAUUGUUUCUGGUGGGGGCGGCAAAAUCUGAGGUUUGCACAUAUUACUAGUUCUGUGCUUUGUUUACAUAUCUUCAUGACCUAGGAGAUGUUCUUAUAUACUAAUUGCUGCAUUUGUUUUGUUUCUAAUUGUGCAGCUCUCUGGGUCAAAACCUCCAUACAAGCACCUAUGCAUGGGAAAACCUCUUUGCUGUGUUUAUUUCGAUCAUAGGCUUGCUAUUGUUUAUAUAUCUCAUCGGAAAUUUGCAGGUUGGUGUCCAGUUUAUGAUACCUUAAUGCUCAUGUAUUACAUAGAAAUGCAUUUUGAUCAGUACUAUAUGUUUAAUGAACUAAACCUAUGCUUCUUUUGUCGUGGACUAUCAUAUUGUAGACAUACUUGCAGUUUGCGACUACAAGAUCAGAGAAGCUCAGACGAAAGAUGAAAACGAAAAAUUUAGAGGUUGAUUUGUGGCUAUCAAGAAAAGGCCUGCCUAGCAAUUUGAAGGUAGUGAUAAUGCAAAUCAUACAACAAAAACUUGAACAGAACAAAGAUGUUCAAGUUGAGGACACCCUUUCUGUUCUUCCUUCAGCACAUAGUAAAUAUAUCAGGCGCUAUCUUAGUUUGGCUACACUCAAGAAAGUAAGCAUUUCCUUUGUGAAUAUAACAGUGGAAAGGCCUAGCCAUCGUUAACGUACAACAAGUUUUUCUUGAACUUAGGUGCCAAUGCUUCAAACUAUGGUGGUAAGAAUGCUAAAAGCAAUCUGUGAACACCUUACGCCGGUGGACCAUCCAGAGGACAGUUACAUUAUCCGAGAGGGGAAGCAACUCCAUCAGAUGAUUUUCAUCACACAUGGUACUGUACAGACCUACAAGACCAAUGGUAAAGGUGGAAAAAUUGGUUCCAAGUUUCUUGAGAAAGGGGACUACUAUGGAGCAGAAGAACUUCUCAAAUGGGCAUCCAAUUUCAGCGGUCACCAGGACUUACCAAUCUCAACGAGAAUGGUUAAGCCUGUCACUAAAGUUGAAGCAUUUUCACUGAGUAAGGACGACUUGAAGAGUGUAGCCAUCAAGUACUGGUGGAAUUUCACCAAGAACAAGGAUCCGAAGGAUUUCGACCAGUCUGUGUUGGAGGAGUUUGCAGUAUCUUCCAUAGAAAAAGAAAUCCGUCGCCGCAGGCAAGUGAAGAAGAAGCAUACAAUAAGGUCUCUUCAUAAGUUGGAUACUCAGGGUAGUGCUAGCCAGAAGUUGCAGAAGGUUAUCAGUAGGGUCAUGAAGGAUCAGUUGCCUUCACCUGUUGGUGCUCUAGAUGGCAGGUAAUUAAUUAGCUGCCUAAGCUAAGCUUUUUUGAGUAUUAUUAUAGCUAGUUUCAAAGAUCAAGUGUACUUAACAAGCCCCUAAUCAGAAUAAAGUACCUCCUUUUGGAUAGCUUUUGAUUUUGAGUACGUAGUGCAAAAACCUACAACACGUACACAAGGUCUCCCGUGAUUCAGACCGAGUCGGGUAUAUUUGAGACUGGACUCAUGGAUUUGAAGGAUCCCAAGUGUGGAGCCAAUAGCAGCCCAGUAGCUAUUUAUGCCAUGCACAGUAUGCACUACUCUGGCCAUGAGUUACAGUCUCAGCUCCUAGCUAGCCUCCGAUGACCGAAGCAAGAAGGCGACAUCAUGAGUCAUCAAUCAUGACAACUCCUUACGAUUAUGGUGUUAUUUACAUAACAUUAUAUAUUGUUUAACAAACACAGAGUCUAACUGGCCGAGUUUGUGUUGAUUUGUUAUAGUUCACGAUGAUAGAAAGCCUCCAGCUAUUACAUACCGACUUAAAAAAAAAAAAAAAUGUAAGGACAGCAAGAGAUAUGGAGUGCUUGGAGUUCUAAUGACUUUAACUCCUAGAAUAAAAAAUAAGGAAAAAAUUCAGUUUACUACCCUGAACUUUAGGUCUAAAAUCAGUUUGAUACCUCAUCUUUUUUUUUAAUCAGUUUCAUACCUAAACUUUCAAAAUGACAUCAAUCUCGACCAAAAUGACUAAAAUAGCCCUGGUUAAUCUUUUUACCCUCUCUAUCUCUCUCUCCCUGCCUCCAAAUCCACCACAUGGCUGGCGCCGGCAUCCACCCCUACCACCAGCAAUGGGUUCCGACGGCAGCCCCUCCUCCUCCCCCGGCAGUCGCCGUUGCCAUUCUUAACUCUGAGAAGGUAAAAAGAUUAACCAGGGCUAUUUUAGUCAUUUUGGUCGAGAUUGAUGUCAUUUUAAAAGUUUAGGUAUGAAACUAAUUAAAAAAAAAGAUGAGGUAUCAAACUGAUUUUAGACCUAAAAUUCAGGGUAGUAAAGUGAAAUUAUCUCAAGAAAUAACAUAUUAGACCAAAUGCAGAUGUAGUGUGUAUGGUUCUUUCUCAUUACAUUAUUUUCUUUUUGUUCCGUCAACACACAACAGGUAACUAAACUAUCACAAGUGGUUAAAAAAUAAAUAAAUAAAUAAAUAUCACAAGUGGACAUUGUCAACCAAAUUAUAGAAUUAGAGGUUGAUGAUUAUAAAUUAGUUUCUAAAGAAUGAGGUAAUGUAAUGGGCAUAUUUUGGUUUAUAACAACAUAUACCUCCCCAAGGCCUCAACAUAUGGGAAUCUCCAACGUAUGCCAAAAACUAAUAUCAAAAUCAAAAUACGUAUACUGUACACAUGUACAUGUUGAGGUUACUAUUAUUAUCAAGCAUCAACAGAGGGUUGACUCUGCAGAGGAGUGUUGUUUAAGGUUCCUAAUUAACUUAACCUCCAAUGUCUAAAGGUCUAAGCUAGGAAUUAAGGGAGGAUAUAUAUGCAUGUGAAAUGUAAGACAUCCAGCUAGAUGGAUUAAUUAAUCAACUUAAACUCCCAGAAAGAAAUUAAAACAAAGACUAAGACUUUAACAUUUCCUAGCUAGUUAUCUUCAAUUCAAUUAUUGUUGAUGCUUUCUCAUCAGUACUUUAGGUCAGUGACCGAGCAAAGAAUUUGCAAGAAAAUGUAUAUAUAUCGAUCAUACGUACUCCAGCUUUGGUGUGAUAUGAAACCUUAUAACGUAUUAUAUAAAAUAGAGAAAAUGAAAAAUGAAAAUAAUAGAAAUUUUAGCAUAUAUACAAGAGAUACCUUUUGGUUUUUUUUUUUUUUUUNUUUUUUUUCCCGAUUUCAAGAGAUGCCUUGGUUAGAAAAACUAAAAAAUUGACACUAGGCCUUUGUUCGACUUUCUGGGCAUUUGUCUGCAAGAGCAAUCAACGGUAGGGCGAGCCUUUGUCAUUUGCAAAAGAUACUAAUAAAAAAAAGAAAAAAGAAAAAAAAAAACAAGAAUUAGCAAAUGGACCAAUUGACAAGGCAUUUUGCACACACUCAUUUUUAUUCCACACUAGCUACUAUAAAUCACCAUUCAAGCUAACCUUGCCUUCUCACAACUUCAACACAAAACAAUCAAAUUUUGCAGCAGCUAGCUAGCAUUGUUCUUCCUCUUAUAUAUUGUGUUACAUACAUAGAAAGUGAGCCGUGCCAUGGCCUUACAUGGGAGAAUGCUUCUUUUGCAACUCUCUUUGGCCGCAGUGCUAUUAGCAAGGACAAUGCUAGCAGCUGCUCAAGCCCCGCCGCCUGACUGCAAUGAGAGCUGCGGUGGUGUCUCAGUUCCUUAUCCAUUUGGUCUCAGUGAUGGUUGUUACCUACAUGUGCCGGGACAAGAUUCUCAGCAGCCAUUCAAGAUCACUUGCAACACCACCACCUCGCAACCAUCCCUACAGUUCUCGGACAGCGAUAACUUCCCCACAAAUAUUGCCAACAUUUUUGUGGAAGAGAGUGCGCUGCAAGUAAUGAUGGCCCCAUCCUAUAACUGCUACACCAACAAUACAUACGACUCCUCCAUGGACAAAGUCAUGGACCUCAAUCUUCCGCCUUCUUUCACCCUCUCCGACAGAAACAAGGUUUAUAACCUUGGGUGCAACAAAGUAACCAAGCUCAUAGGUUAUCCUCUUCAAGUUACAGACCCUGAGCAGCUCUUUGAAGUAGCGUUCAGCGGUGUAAGCUUGUGUCAAGAUGAAUUUGGCAAAAGAUUCCCCGACACUUGCACCGGAUUUGGGUGCUCCGUAAAUCCUAUCCCUAUCGGACUGCAGAAUAUUACGUUGGGUGUGUGGACACUCGGUACCAGCCUCGGAACAACGGCGCAGUGGGGCCUGAGCUACCCUUGCAGUUACGGCUUCGUUGUGGAUGAACGCAACUUCACAUUCGCCGGGAAUCAAAGUUUUGAUGCACUGAGGUCCGGCGCAAUAAAGAAGCUUCCGGUGCUUGCUAAUUGGGCGAUUGGGAAUGACAACUGCGAAGCAGCAAAGAAGAAGAACGAGACUGCUUUUGCAUGCAACACUGUGAAUUCCAAGUGUGUCGACCGUGCUGGUGGUGGUUACUUUUGCCAGUGUGAAGAUGGUUACGAAGGGAACCCAUACCUCCUCGAUAAUUGCCUAGGUAAUUAAUUACACAAAUCAUCUUAAUUUCGCGUUAAUUUGUGAUCUAUAUAUAGGAAAGUGAUUCUUUCUAGAUUUGCUUUAUAUAUAGCUUCCCCUAAAUGUGAUGUCUUUUUGUUUCAGAUAUCAAUGAGUGCAAGAACUCAACCCUUUGCAGUGGUCCUGCAACUUGCGUAAACUCAAUUGGAAGUUACAUCUGUAAAUGUCACAAGGGCUAUAGAAAUGAUGACCACGACAAGAAUAAGUGUGUCCAAAUCACUGAAACCUCCAGCAAAAAUGACAAAGAAAUGAAAAUUUCCCUGGGUACGCACUCUCAUCUUUUUUUCUUUUUCUUUUUCUCUCUCGAAGUACUCUCAUCUCUAUUAAUCCAUUAUUGACAAGUUUGUCAAUUCUAUCUAUCAAUUUCUAAAUUUGUCCUCUUUAAGUAUUAUGUUUUUUUUAUACGAACACUUUAACUAUUGUAAUGGAGCUCAUAUUUACUUUAAAAAUUAAUAAAUUUUAACGGUUUCGUUUUAACAAUUCUAUUGGAGAUGCUCUUAACAUAGUCAAGUUGUAGGAGUGGAUUUGACUACGUUGUGCUAAUCCGUUCUUUUGAAUUUUUGCAGGUGUCUCUUUGAGCUUCCUAGUCAUAUUGAUUAUAACUUUUUCGAUAUACUGCGUACUGAAAAGAAGAAAGUUCAAGCAGCUCUGUGACAGGUACUACAAAGACAAUGGGGGCUUCUUGUUACCACAAGAAAUGCAGAAGUACAAAGGGUCUCAGGCACCCAGAAUCUUUAAAUUAGAAGAGCUUAAGAAGGCAACCAACAAGUUUGAUCCCCACGAAAUAAUUGGAGAAGGAGGCUUUGGAUUGGUUUACAAGGGAACAUUGCCAGACAACAAGCAGGUGGUUGCCAUAAAGAAAUCAAAAACUGAUGCUCCCACCAUGACCCCCGAAAGUAGGAUCGCCCACACUAAGCAGUUCAUUAAUGAGAUGAUUGUUCUCUCUGGAAUCAAGCAUAGAAAUGUCGUGAGGCUUUUAGGUUGUUGUUUGGAGACCAAAACGCCUAUAUUAGUGUACGAGUUCGUCAGCAAUGGCACACUUUAUGAGCACAUUCAUAAACAGAAAGACAAAGGACCUCUUUCCUUUGAGCAACGAGUGAAGAUAGCAGCAGAAACAGCAGGAUCCCUAGCAUACUUGCACUACAGCGCUUCUUCCACGCCAAUUCUGCAUCGAGAUGUCAAGGCAUCUAACAUCCUACUGGAUGAGAAUUGCACAGCCAAAGUAUCAGACUUUGGAGCUUCAAAAUUGGUUCCUGAAGAUGAAAAUACUCAAAUGGCUACUUUAGUGCAAGGGACGCUAGGGUACUUGGACCCUGAAUAUCUUCAGUCACACGCACUGACGGAGAAGAGUGAUGUCUAUAGUUUCGGGGUUGUCCUUGUGGAGCUAAUAACAAGUCAAGUGGCAAUUUCUAACAAGAAGCUUGAGGCAGAGAAAAACCUAGCAAACUGUUUUUUAAAGUCGGUGGCAGAUAAUAACUUGGAUCAGAUUCUUGAUCAUGAAAUUAUCAAAGAAGAAAGCUUCGAAAUAGCCGAACAAGUAGCCCAUCUUGCCAAAAGAUGUUUAAGUUUGAAAGGAGAAGAUAGGCCUACCAUGGAAGAAGUAGAAACGGAGCUUAAGGUAAUAUUGGCAGUUAUGGCAAAGCAUCCAGGAGGAAAGCCUGACUCCUCCCCCAAAGAGACAGAUUACUUGCUUAGAGCGUCACCUUCAAACGCUUACGUUGUUGAUGUUAGAAGUGAUGAAGGUGAAGUCAUAACCAGCAUAGAUUAUGACAAGAGCAUGCAGAAUCAAGCCCAGAUGAUGAAGCCUUAUGAUGGUGGGAGAUAGUUCAUCAAUUGGCAAGCUAGCUUCGAAUCUCUUUCAUAGCUAGUUAUGUAUGGAGUUGUUCUUUUGAGUGUGUUGUGUUUAAUAAAAGAUAAUGUAAUCAUACUGCUGCAGUUGAGUGCAAUGCUGCAUGCAUGUAUUGACAGUAAGUCAGUAAUAUCGGUCCGUCGUAAAUUUUCCUUCUGGCCAAAAUGUGAGUGGUAAAAUAUUACUAAUUGCCUUGUUUUAGUAACAGAAGAGGAAAACUAAGUAUUACAAUUACUUGAGCUGAUUGGAUAUCACUGCAUCAACACCGUGUUCACCGUUCAACCGUCCGGAAAUAAUAGAUAAACACCUCGAUGAACAUGAGGCACAUGAACAACAUUAUUGGAGCAGACAGAUAAGCAUAGACGACUCCAGCAUAUGCAUGAUGGAAGCCGGAGCCCUAUCGAUCGAGUUGGUGACGUAGAAGGGAUUUACCUGCUUCUUCUUUAUUCAUCACUCCCUAUCACUUAAGCAAGCCAAUACUUUACUUUAUGUACAAGUUUUGUAGUGGUAUAUAUGAACGUGGGAAAAUUCUAUAAUGAGUUAAUGCAUGUCAUGUAUCAAUUCUGUCAUAAAGUUGUAAAAUGAGUUCUUAAAAGUCUUGAAAGUUGUAAUAUGAGUCUUUAAAGUUGUAAAAAAAUAUAAUUACAACAUCAGUCCUCAUGUAUCGUUAAAGUGGUAAAAUGUGUGCUUAAAGCCUAAAAGUGAUAAUUGAAUCCCCAAAUGAUAAAAGAAAAGUUGAUGUAACUUUAAGGACUCAAUUACUAAUUUAAGGACACAUGAGGAAUAAUGUUGUAACUAAAAUUUUAUAACUUUGAAGACUAAUAUUACUACUAUGAGAACUUAUUUUACAAUUUUGAAGACUAAUAUUACUACUAUGAGAACUUAUUUUACAACUUUAGAACAUAAUUAAUAUAUGACAUGCAUUAACACGUACACCCUAGCCUUACCCAUGAAUGUGUGAUAACAAAUGAUUGUAUAUUAUACGUUUGAUUAAUUAGUCUAGUUAGUAAAUUAUAUGUAAAUGAAACGUACGAGUUCUUCACGUCGAUUUUAUUUCAGGUUAACAUACAUGUCGACCAAAACCAAUUCAGUACGUUAAUGGAGUUUCUUUCCCCUGCAACCAAAGCAGUACGUAGCUUUUUUCAAAGAGACCCUUUAAGAAUUAAUUCUACGAAGGAAGAAGAAUGGUCUCGCAAUUUUCACAUCUCUCUUUAUUAAGUAGUCCCUCCAUGAGUGACUGAUUAAAUGCGAAAUGAUUAAUGGGAAGAUCAAGGCUAUCAAUUUUCAUGAAGCGAACAAAGAGAACAAGAAAUAUGUUCACGUUUACUUAACAAUUUUCUUGCUUCAGCAAUACUUGCGCGUUAUGAACAUAACCAGGUUAUUGCUUGCUUUCUCACUUGGCCGGGUCAACUUAAUUUCUUACAGUACGUGUAUAGUAUUAACUUUCAUUACCAAGUAAAAACUAAAAUUUGUGACACUAGCUAGGCCUUUGUUGACUUUCUGGGCAUUUGUCAUGACAGCAAGAGCAAUAAUCGGGUCUUUGUCAUUUGCAAAAUAUACCAAGGAAAAAAGAAAGACUGAGCAAAUGAACUAAUCGACAAUUUGACAUCGCAUUUGCAUACUAUAGAGUAUAGACUCGAUAUUAAAAUAAAGAAGUGAAACUCCUUUCAUUUGUUUAGUAGGCAUACCAUCUCCAUCUAUAUAUCACCAUUCAAGCUAACCUUAGCUUCUCACAACUUCAAACACAAACAAUCAAAUUAGCCGUGCCAAUGGCCUUACAUGGGAGAAUGCUUCUUUUGCAACUGAUCUCUUUGGCCGCAGUACUGCUGUUAGCAUCCUCAAUGCUAGCAGCUGCUCAAUCCCCGCCGCCUGACUGCAAGGAAACCUGUGGUGGCGUCUCAAUUCCAUAUCCAUUUGGUCUCACUGACGGUUGUUACCUACAUGUGCCGGGACAAGAUUCACAGCAAUUCAAGCUCGCUUGCGACACCACCGCCACCUCGCAACCGUCCCUAAAUUUCUUGGAUAGCUAUAACUUCCCCACAAACAUUUCCAACAUUUUCGCGGGUGAGAGUGCGCUGCAAGUAAUGUUGACCACGUCCCGAAACUGCUACAACGACACUGUAUACAACUCCUCCUUGCACAGAGCCAGUUACCUAUAUCUUCCGCCUUCUUACACCCUCGCCGACAAAAACAAGGUUUAUAACAUUGGCUGCAACAAAGCAACGAAGCUCGUAGGUUAUCCUCUUCAUGUUACAGGCCCUGAACAGCUCUUUGAAGUAGCGCUCAGCGGUGUAAGCUUGUGCAACGAUGAAUUUGGCAAAAGAUUCCCCGAGACUUGCACCGGAUUCGGAUGCUCCGUAAAUUCUAUCCCUAGUGGACUGCAAAAUAUUACGGUCGAUGUGUGGUCACUCGGUACCGGCCUCGGAACAUCGGCGCCGUGGGGACUGAGUUACCCUUGCAGUUACGGCUUCGUUGUGGAUGAACGCAACUUUACAUUCGCCGGGAAUCGAAGUUUUGAUGAACUGAAUCGCACAAGAUUGGAGCUUCCGGUGCUUGCUAGUUGGGCGAUUGGGAAUGACAACUGCGAAGCAGCAAAGAAGAAGAACGAGACAGCUUUCGCAUGCAAGGGUGAGAAUACGGAGUGUGUCGACCGCGCUGGUGGUUACUUCUGCCAGUGUUGGGAUGGCUACGAAGGGAACCCAUACCUCCUCAAAGAUUGCGUAGGUAAUACACAAAUCAUCUUAAUUUCGUGUUAAUUUGUGAUGUAUAUAAGUGAUGGUUUCUAGAUUUGCUUUACAUAUAACUAUACUUUUUUGUUUUCAGAUGUCGAUGAGUGCAAGAAUAAUUCAACCCUUUGCAGUGGUCCUGCAACUUGCGUAAACUCAAUUGGAAGUUACAAAUGUAAAUGUCACAAGGGCUAUAGAAAUGAUGACAACGACAAGAAUAAGUGUGUCAAAAUCAACGAAACCUCCAGCAAAAAUGAUACAGAAAUGAAAAUUUCCUUGGGUAUGCACUCUCUUUUCUCUUUUUUUUGUCGAAGCACUCUUAUAUUCAUUAUUGACAAAUUAUCAAUUUUAUCUAUCAAUUCAUAAAUUUGUCAACUCUUGUUUAAGUAUUACGUUGGUGCUCAUAUUUACCUUUAAAAUUGAUAGAUUUUAACUUUUUAAAAAAUAAUAAUAAUAAUAAGGGUAAAAUAUUGUAUAGUCCUUGUGGUUUGAAGUCGACAUUUGUUCAGUCAUUAUGGUUUUAUUUUAAUCUGAAUAAUCCUUAAAGUCAUGAUUUUUCAUCAAAAUAGUCUUUAUGACCUUUAAUUAACUGAGAAAAUGAAUCGGAAAGACUAUUUGGAUGAAAAAUCAUGACUUUAAGGACUAUUCAGAUUAAAAUAAAACUAUAAUGACUAUUUGGAUGAAAAAUUGUGACUUUAAGGACUAUUCAGAUUAAAAUAAAACCACAAGGACUAAACAUAUGUCAACUUCAAACCAUAAGAUCUAAACAAAUUUCAAUUCUAGUGAUAAUAACUCUGCUGGAGAUGCUCUUAAUUAAAGUCAAGUUGUAGGAGUGGAUUUGAGUACGUUGUGCUGAUCCGCUCUUUUGAAUUUUUGCAGGUGUCUCUUUGAGCUUCCUAGUCAUACUGAUUAUAACUUUUUCGAUAUACUGCGUACUGAAAAGAAGAAAGUUCAAGCAGCUAUGUGACAGGUACUACGAAGUCAAUGGGGGCUUCUUGUUACCACAAGAAAUGCAAAAGUACAAAGGGUCUCAGGCACCCAGAAUAUUUAAAUUAGCAGAGCUUAACAAGGCAACCAACAAGUUUGAUCCCCAUGAAAUAAUUGGAGAAGGAGGCUUUGGAUUGGUUUACAAGGGAACAUUGCCGGACAACAAGCAGGUGGUUGCUAUAAAGAAGUCAAAAACUGAUGCUCCCACCAUGACCCCCGAAAGUAGGAUCGCCCACACUAAGCAGUUCAUUAAUGAGAUGAUUGUUCUCUCUGGAAUCAAGCAUAGAAAUGUCGUGACCCUCUUAGGUUGUUGUUUGGAGACCAAAACGCCUAUAUUAGUGUACGAGUUGGUCAGCAAUGGCACGCUUUAUGAGCACAUUCAGAAAAAGAAAGGCAAAGGACCUCUUUCCUUUGGGCAACGAGUGAAGAUAGCAGCAGAAACAGCAGGAUCCCUGGCAUACUUGCACUCCCGCGCUUCUUCCACGCCAAUUCUGCACCGAGAUGUCAAGGCGACGAACAUCCUGCUGGAUGAGAAUUUGACAGCCAAAGUAUCAGACUUUGGAGCUUCAAAAUUGGUUCCCGAAGAUCAAAAUACUCAAAUGGCUACUUUAGUGCAAGGGACGCUAGGGUACUUGGACCCUGAAUAUAUUCAGACACACAAACUGACGGAGAAGAGUGAUGUCUAUAGUUUCGGGGUUGUCCUUGUGGAGCUAUUAACGAGUCAAAUGGCAAUUAAUUCCAACAAGAAGCUUGAGGAAGAGAGAAACCUAGCGAACUGUUUUUUAAUGGCGGUCGAAGAUAAUCACUUGGAUCAGAUUCUUGAUCAUGAAAUUAUCAAAGAAGAAAGCUUUGAAAUAGCCGAACAAGUAGCCCAACUCGCCCAAAGAUGUUUAAGUCCGAAAGGAGGAAAUAGGCCUACCAUGAUAGAAGUAGAAACAGAGGUAGGGGCAAUAUUGGCAGUUAUGGGAAAGCAUCCAGGAGGAAAGCCCGACUCCUCCCCCAAUGAGAUCGAUUACUUGCUUGCAGCGUCACCUUCAAAUGCUUUCGUUGUUGAUGUUAGAAGUGAUGAAGGUGAAGUCAUAACCAGCAUAGAUUAUGACAAGAGCAUGCAUAGUCAAGCCCAGAUGAUGAAGCCUUAUGAUGGUGGGAGAUAGUUCAUCAAUUGGCAAGCUAGCUUCGAAUCUCUUUCAUAGCUAGUUGUUCUUUUGAGUGUGUUGUGUUCUUAUGAUGGUGGGAGAUAGUUCAUCAAUUAGUUAGUUCAUCAAUUAGCUGGCUAGCUAGUUAAUUAUGGAGUGUUGUUCUUAAUUUUCUUUACUACGUACUUUUGAGUAUGAUGUGUUUAAUAAAAGAUAUGGAUGUAUGUAAUGUCAGUGAUAUCGAUCUGUUGUAAAAUUUUCCUUUUGGCCAAAAUGUGAUCGAGGUGGUAAAAUAUUUGUACUUAGCUUGCUUCAUGCAUAUUCCUCUUCUUGGUACUCCACAUGUAUAUAAUUAAUCCUUAUUACAACAACACUCCGAUUUAUGUUCAUAACCAAUUGUGACUUCAACAGAAAAUGAUACGAUUAGUACCAGUACAUGCCCAUUUAUAUUCAACGGUAGGGGAGUCAUUUUCAUUGUAGUCUGUCGUACCUCUCUAAAGAAAUAAUACGCACGCUUAAUUUGCUAUUUAAUUAGAAGAGAAGGAACAUAAAAUAGGACCAACUACAACAAAAUAUCCUCAAACAUAAAAUGAGAUAUGAGAUACAUAGUUGCAAUGAUUGUAAGAGAAAUUCUUAGGUGCAACAGCCGCACCAUCUGGCAUUUGCGCACCCAACCAUUCUUUGACACGUGUUUUUUUUUUUUCCUUCCUUUUCGACGCCGCCGAAGGUCCCCUCCGGCCAAAGCAUACCAGGUCCCUCUGCCAGUCGUCCCAUGGAACCCCCACGGCUGACAACCGCCAUCGCCUCCACCAAGAGAGAGGAAGGAAGAAGAAGAGGAGGGAAGAAGAAGAAGAAGCAGAGAGGAAGGAAGAAGAAGAGAGAGGAAGGAAGAAUAAGAAGCAGAGAAGGAAGGAAGAAGAAGAGGAGGGAAAAAGCUUCGCCGGAGAAGGGAGAGGAAGGAAGAAAGAAGAGCUGGACGAAAAAAAAAAAAACACGUGUCGCUGUGUGACUGGUGGGUCGCACAUGACACGUGGUCCGGCUGUCGCACGUAAGAUUUUCUCUGAUUGUAAUGAUUGGUUAUUAUUAUAUAAAAUUUUACUUUUCUAAAAAAAUGAUACAACGUAUAAGAGCCAUUAGUAACUUAACUUUUGUCUUCUUAUGAAAAUAAUGACUAAAAAUAGAAAAUGAGAGUGUGGAUUACAAUUUAAGGAAUGUGGAUUUCACAUCCCUAAUUUAAUCUACAUAGCAUUAUAUACCAAACAAACAAACAAACAUAGUGUACAUUAUGUCAACCAAAUUCUAGAAAAUAGAGGUUAAUUAAUUAUCAAUUAAUUUCUAAAGAAUGAGGUCAUGUAAUGGGCAUAUAUGUAUAUUCACUACAACAAUAAUCAGUAAUGCCCACACAAUGUGUGUGGCUUCUGGAAGUGUGGCUCUUAAACCAUAUGUGGGUAUUGGUGGGGGUAUGAGGCGAAAAACCACAUUUAUGUAUGUCAUAUGUAGCUAUAGUUUAAAGGCCCAAUUCCUAGAGGCCACGUACAUUGUGUGGGUGUUGCUCACUAAGUAGUCCGUGUCGUAGUGAUUUUGGUUUAUAACAUAUAGCCAACAUAUGUAAAAAACUAAUACUGUAUGUUGAGCGAGGUUACUAUAUCUCAAAGGAGUGUUGUCCAAGGUUACUGUAUGUCUAAAGGUCUAAGCUAGAAAAGGGAGGAUAUGCAUCUGGAUGUGUCCAGCUGCUAGAUGGAUUUAAUCGACUUAAACUACCAGCUCCCAGAAAGAAAAACAAAGACUUAGACUUCAACAUUUUCUAUCUUCAAUUAUUGUUGAUGAUUUCUCAGUUUGGUGCUUUCAACAACUUUAGGUCAAUGACCGAGCAAUGACUUGCAAGAAUAUUAUCGAACAAAUACGUACCUCCACAACGCGCAAGAAGCUAAAGUUCUAGUUGUUAUGAUAUAUUUUUUUAAUUAAUUUUUUUCUCUGGUCAAAGGUCGAUGCUCAAGUUUAAAGUAAUUCAUUCAUAUCAUCAAGAUAGAUCAAUUAAGGAAACCAAACUAAUCAAGGGCAGUUGACGUAUGAUACAUAUAGUUAUGCGCUGAGUUUGGACAUCCAUGUCAUUAUUGUAUGCUGUUCAUAAUUAAUCCUGGCAUACCAUCUAAAGUCACAGACUAAAAAUCUAUUUCACAAAAGCAUAAACAUACCAACAUGAAGAUCAAGAACAGUCAUGUGAUCUGCAUAAUAGAAUUUUCCUAGAAACACCAGGAACAUACGUCCCUUCAUUGCAGCCUUUGAUGCAACCAUCCUGACAACCUUAUUAGAGCAACUGCACACCUACAAAAAGAAUCAAAAGGGAGAUGCAAAGCCAAUGAGGAUUCUGCUCUCAGUGCAAAAAAAUGCAGAAGACAGAGACUUACCCUCCUUUAUAUAAUGAUCAAAACCGGAUCCAAUCUUUAUUCAACUCUAUGUUAACACCUCCAUAGGCAUAAUCCUAUCAUAGUACUAAUUCGAUACAACUCGGGUUUAAUACAAUGAACUUCUAUGUAAACCAACCAAUAUACAACUUGAAAUACUUACGAAACUGAGUUGAAGUCUCUUAAGCUUCUUGUUGAAUGAUCCAUGUCCGAUACUAAUUGAUUAUAUAUUAAACUAACGGAUAGUGUCUGAGUUCAAUAUUGUUCUAAGUUCUAACAUCCAUCGCAUUUCAAUCAGCUGGUUCCUCGUGUGCACGAAUCUUAACUUGAAGGCCUACAACCAACUACCGACACAAAACAUGUACAGGUUCCUAUAAGUUUUACUCACUUGUAUUAACAGACAUUUUAUGUUCUAUAUGUGAUUAAAUCCUCUUAUAUGUGCAAGUAAUUCAUUGAAUUUUUGCUGCACCUGCUUUACUAGCUAGUUUAUUGACUUUAUUAAUUCAUUCAGGCAUGAGGAAUAUAUAACUGGGGAAAUGAAAUUCGCAUGUUCUACGGUUGGCAACGAAUUAGUAACUGAAUUAAAGAAAAUCUAUUAUUGAUUAGUUAAAAAAUUAAGAAAAACUAAUUGACUUGUUAGGACUUCGUUCACACCCCAACUCAUGACUUGAUUAGUCCUAGUCGUUUUUAAUUCCUACUAUCAUUGUUGAGUUAUGAGUAAUAAAUGAAUUAGGGUCCCAUGAAUUAGUGCUGCAUAUAUCCAGGUAAAUAAGUCUAUAUAACUUAAUCUGGACAUAAUUGGGUUCCAUAUAGGCUAGCUAUUUCAGAUUAAUCUGGUUUCAAGAAGUUAAUGAUCAAUUCCAGCUGAAUUUCCAUCUUGCAAUCUUACAAUGUAUGCUACUUCAAUUCUAGAGCGCCAAUCUUUGCUCUAUAGCUAGUUACACAGUACUACUAAGAGUAAUGCUAGAUGAACCAUUUUUUAGGGAACCAUUUUUUUUGGGAAACUAUCUUAAAGCUCACCUUAGGUAGCAGCUUAUGUGGCAUUGCCACUUCAUCAAACCAUAAUUUCAUAAUAUUUUCUUAUUUUUAUUUUUUCUUAGUUACAAUUUUCUUUUCUUUUUUUCACUUUCAUGUUAUUGUCUUAACCCUAUUUUUUCCGCUUCUUCUCUCAAAUCUAUAUUUGUCGUCUUCAUCUCUAUCAAUCAGACUUUCGACUAAGCUAUUCUUUUCUCCUCUCUCACCAAUACUGCUAGAAAAGGGGGCUAAGGGGGGACAAAUAAAAUGGGUAUAGAUAUCAUUUGCUCCAUCUAUGGCUUUUGGUGUCGAUUUCAUCCAUAGUAAUUAUCUGAGAAAUUUGCAGUUGAUAUUCCUUCAAGAUGAAGGUAGUUUACAUGUUGACUAGAUUAUUUGAAGUAAAACCUAGGUAUUUGCUUAAGUUAGGGUUAAAUUUGUAUACGAGUAACAGACUUGAUGAAUGUUCUAAUUUUUUUUUUUUUUUCCUAGAUCUCAAAUCAAUUACGAACACUCAUCUCAAGUCUAAAUAUAGUUUUAGAAUUUCAGAAAGCAUCAUCUGAUGAUAGAAAGGAUAACAACAAGUCGGCGGUACAAUCUGGCAAACAAUGAAAAGUCAGGUUUUUUGAUUUCCAACCGUCGUUACAAUACUAUAGAUAUGAUAAGCAUAGGUAAACAGGCGUUGAGGUUGUUUGAUUUUCAACAGUAUACACAAAUUAACCAAAUGCUUCAUUAAUUAUCAUAUAGCUAUGGCCAGAGAUCAAGAGACUGCAUGAUAAAGUUCGAGUUCACCGGUCGAUCAAUUUUCAACGCAAAUUAUGAUCUACAACUGAUCUACAACUCUGUUCUAAUGUAUUGACAGAGAUCCUGAAUUCCGAACAUGUACUUUCAUUAUUUUAAUUCUUUACAGUCAUUAAUUUCGUAAAACAUCAAUAUAUCAUAUAUAAAACGAUUCAAACACCAAAUAGACAUGGUCAGGAAACCAAUCUACAAAUUAAUAUUGUUGAAGAUGGAUCAAAGCUUGUAUAUGCUUGGGUUUGGAGAUGAAGACUACAGAUGUAGAUUUGAGAGAAGAAGGGGGAAAAAUAGGGUUAAAAGACGUACAAUAACAUGUAGGUGAAACAAAAAAAAAUUGUAACUAAGUAAAAAUAUAAAAUAUAAAUAAUCUGAAAUUAAGGUUUGAUGAAGUGGCUAUACCACAUAAGCUGCCACUUAAUUAAGAUGACUCUAAGAUGGUUUCCGAAAAGAUGGUUCAUCUAGCAUUACUCGUACUACUAAUUGUCUAGUUGAUCGAUCCUGCUUUCCUCAAGUAAGAAAACAUACUCUUUCUCUGCAUAUAUCUUCCUUAAUUGGUAAUUCUGUCUCUAUGCUUGAUUGUAAACCGUAAACUAACAAUUUUCUAGCUUCCGACCACCGUUGUUCCUCUUUCUAGCACCAGUCAUGUAACUAAUUUUCAUAUUUAUUUAUUUUCAAAUUUCAGUACUGCGGAUUGGAAAAUUGCUCGAGUACGAAGACUACCAUCGCGAUCGGCUGUGUUAGUAAUUCUGAGACCAUCUCAUCCAGCAUAACAGAAAGUGUUGGUAUAUGAUUAGUUGGCAUUCCUAUACAAAAUAAAAGAAGCAUGAGCAAAGAAGUUCUAAUUUGAUUAGAGCUUUAUAUGAGAUUAAAUAUAUAAUUGAUUUAUUUGGUUGUGUAUUUUCCGUGAGUAAUUGGAAUCCUAAUUGUUUUGAUUAGGAUAUUAUCUUAUUGAUUAACCGAUUCUAUAGCUUGGUGUUUGCUUGAGAAAAGGAAGAAACCUAAGUUGAUUAGGUUUAUAACUUGGGUGCGUGGAAAGGAAAUGAACCUAUGUAAUUUAGGUUCUCUAUUCAUUUAUUAUCAUAUUUGAUCUGAUUGAUAUUAUUUAAUCUCAUUGAUCUAUCUUCCUAAUUGGGUUGAGACGUGCUCAUGGAGCAUAUGGAUUGGUUAUAUGUGAUAUUAUCAUGUUGAUUUGAUCAUAUAUAUGAUUAUGUGUUAAUUGAUAUAAGGAGAUUGCAUGUGUAAGAAAUCCUACGUUGUGGAGGAUAUUAAUUCUUUUAUGUUUCAUUGGAUAAUAUCUUCUGAUUUAUAUUGUGAUUUGAUACUAAUAAGAAUUCCUAUUUUGGAUUUCUAUUAGGGUUGCUGGCGCAUGAAUAUUAAAGUCAUAUAUAAAGGAGACGCCAGUUAUAUGGAGACACACCUUUGCACGUAUAACGUUUGAGAAAGCAACUUCCGCUGCGAACUUUGUAAGGUCAGAAGUUCAACUGUUUCAUGUUGAGUUGAACUUCUUGUUUAUGUGAUUGAAGAACCAAGGAGGUGGUUCCUUGGAGAUUGAAGGACAAAGUUUUCAUUGAGUUAAAAACGUAUUGCUAUAUUGUUGCUUAGUCUACAAUUAAUAUCAUUUGGAAAACUCUUGUCAAAUUAUAUGCUUGUAUCAUUGCAUAUGUCAUUCUUAUAGUGAUCAAGAUCAGUGGCUUGGAAAGCAUUGAAGGCGUGUUCAGUUCCUUUAUAUCCGUAUCAAAUUCAAGAAGAGUUAGAAUAGAGUUAUCAGUUUGUAAUCAAGUUAGUUUGUAUACUAGUGAAUGUGAUUGUGUUGAAUAUCACUACUUGAUAGGUCUGUAAUCAUUCUUACUCUAUAGUGGAUUUGAUUUAGUGUGGACUACUUUAAAAGUCUCACAGUGACGUUUCCUCGUGGGAGGUUUACACUGUUAUUAACAAAAUCUCGUGUUCUUGUAUCUGUUGCUUUUAAUUUAUCAAAAGAUUGAAUCUACAUAUUCAAUCAUUUCAUAUUCUGUUCCAUUCUAUACUUUCAGAAAGGCAUAAAAUAAUUAUGGCUAAACAUCAGGGACCAAACAAUGAAAUCCAAAUGAGGUUUGUUUUAUUAACCUAGCAAUAAGUUAGUUUUCUGCAAUAUAUAGUACUGUUUCUUUUCCUUUAAUUUGGAAAGGAUCGACAUCUCCGUUCGAGAGGGUAUCGACUCUGAUAAAUUUAGGUUACGGAUUCGAUCGUUGAGCUUUUUGUUCAGUGGUCAGUUGUAGUUGAAUUAUUGCUUAUCACUUAUCAGACGGCUUCGAUUCAUUUAAUUUACAUUAUUUUUGUUUUUCUUCUAUCAGCAUUACACCAGAAAUGUCUUAUGAUUUCCAUAGUCCUGAGGCUCUAUGGCCACAUCGAAAACCGACACCUGAACAUGGACAACCUCAAGCAAGCAGCAAAAGAUGGAAUUGGCCAAUAGAUGCCGGAAUUUCUUCAGCUUUGAACCCAUGGUGGAAUAAGAUACUGGUAACCUCAUGUGUGAUUGCAGUUUUAUUUGAUCCCUUGUUUUUUUACCUUCCAUACACCAGCGAGGAAAAAAAGUGUAUGGGAAGCGACGAAAGAGUGCAGACUGCAGCUCUGAUUUUCCGAUCAGUCACAUACAUCACUUUCCUGGUGCAUAUCAUAUACCAACUAUAUGUGGCUAUCAAAUUUGCACUCUCAAGGGUGGAUGAAAGUUUGGUUUUUAGAUAUGAAUCGGUAUCCCGAGAACAAAUGAUUCAGUUUGCAAGGGCAUUUUCUCACAAGUUGUCAUGGCACUACCAGGACAAGCAUUUUAGCCGACGAAAGUUAGCUUAAUUUGUCGGCUAAGAUCUUAGCCGACGAGCCUUCGUCGGCUAUAGUUUCGUCGGGAAAAUGUCGUCGGCGAUUACUUUAGCCGCCGAAACUAGAAGACGUCGUCGGCUAUUGUCCCAGAAUUUAGCCGACAAAUAUUUUAAAUGUUUCAUCGACCAUAGUCUGAGACUUUAGCCGAUGAAACAGAUAUUUUUCGGCUAAAGUAUGUAAUAAAAAAUUAAAAAAAUAACUAUAGCCGACGAAAUAUAGUCUGUUUCGUCGGCUUUAGAAAUGUUUAGCCGACGAAAUAUGCCAUAAUUCGUCCGCUAAACCUUAUAAAAAAAAUUAAAAAAUAUAGCCAACGAAUAUCUUCGGCUAAAGUAUUUAAAUAUCGUCGGCUAAAGUUGCUGGUUUUUUUAAAAAAAACUGCAGAAACUUUAGGCCACCUCCAAUCACCACCAAAAUUUGACAGAAUCUUCCUCUGAACAUUUCGAUCAACAUUUCGAACAACUUUCAGAAGAAGUCCAAGCCCAAUUCUAAAGCUAAACAUUUCAAUUGAAUCAAAAUAUAAAAAUCCCCAAUUUUAAACCCUAAAAACUUCAAAUCUUCGAUUCUCCUCACACACACCGAAUCGAGCUACCAAAUUAUAAAGGAAUGUAGUACUAAUCAAACUCAACUUAUCCAUAUAUAGAACUCACCAAAUGGUGACCUGAGGAAGAAGAAAUUUGAUCGACACCGAAUCUGAACCGACGGAGUUUUGGAGCUCGAUUUAUCUCUCACGGCGGUGCCACUCAAUGCACCACCUAUCCAGGAAUGAAGUAAAGACGACGGCGAAGCUUUUGGGACAAGUGUGGCGGUCUCCGGUGGCUUGACGGCGGAGCUAGGCCGAGAAGAAAAUCCGGCAGGCGAAACAGUAACUUUUUCUAAUUUUCUGACUUCUUACCAUCCACCUCCGGUAAAACUCCUAUAUAAAGAACUUUACCCGACGAAAUUCUUAAUUUUCGUCGGCUAAACUCUUUUGAAAAUUUUGAAAAUUUUGGUUGACCGCCAAAAAUAUUUUGACAAUAGCUGACGAAAUCAUAUAUUUUCGUCGGUUUAAGUCCUUUGAAAAUUUUCCCCCAAAUUUGGUUUGCCGCCAAAUUUUUUCGACUUUAGCCGACGACUUUUCGUAUAUUUUCAUCGGCUAAAGUCAUUUGAAAAUUUUUCUCCAAAUUUGGUUUACAGCCAAACAAUUUUUGACCUUAGCCGACGACUUUUUUAAUAUCUCGUAGGCUAAAGUCUAUAAAUUCACGAAAACGCUCAUAUCUCCCUCUAUAUUACGUAGUUUGGUCAAACCUUCCACACGAAAAACUUUCAUGUAGAUGAGACGCAACCGCCUAUAUAAAAAUUUUGAGACAUUUACCUUCCGACGAUAUGGCUCCCCAUAAGGAAUAAUAACGGUAAAUAGGGUUGACCGCUACUAUCAGCACCGAGAUGUUACCCGAUUUACGUGAUUUUUGAACCAUAGCCGUAUUUCACUAUUCUGAACAUAUCUUAUUUCACGAUAUUUUUGAUAAUUUUUCUUCCUAUGUAGAGUUGGUUCACAAAGUUGUAUAACCUAUUAAAUAAGUUAUACAACAUUAGUAGACACGUUGUGAUUCCGAUGACUAAAAUUUACAAACCAAAAUUCGACCGUCAGAUAUGAUCAUUAUGACGAAAGAUGUCUAUGAUAAAAAAUUCAACUGGAUCCGACAACGUUAAGGGCUCGAUCGAAACGGUCAACCCUAAUCCAUCGUCACUUAUCACACGAAAACGCUCAUAUCUCCCUCUAUAUUACAUAGUUUGGUCAAAUUUUCCACGCAAAAAACUCUCACGUAGAUGAGACGCAACGGCCCAUAUAAAAAUUUUAAGACAUUUAUCUUCCGACGAUAGGGCUCCCCAUAGGGAAUAAUAACGGUAAAUAUGGUUGAUCGCUACUAUCAGCACCGAGAUAUUACCCGAUUUACGUGAUUUUUGAACCAUAGCCGUAUUUCACCAUUCUGAACACAUCUUAUUUCACGAGAUUUUUGAUAAUUUUGCUUCCUAUGUAGAGUUGGUUCACAAAGUUGUAUAACCUACUAAACAAGUUAUACAACAUUAGUAGAUACGUUGUGAUUCCGAUGACUAAACUUCACAAACCAAAAUUCGACCGUCAGAUAUGAUCAUUAUGACGAAAGAUGUCUAUGGUAAAAAAUUUAACUGGAUUCGACAACGUUAAGGGCUCGAUCGAAACGGUCAACUCUAAUCGAAAAUAAGAAAACUGCAUUUUGAAGCCCUAAACGGACUCGGAUGGCCAAAAAGGCCCAUAUUUCAUGGCAAAGUGAUGAGUUUGACUCGUAGGGCUGUUGUGCUUCCGGAAAGGUAUCACAAUAGUCAAUCGGACACCGAACACCAAAUCUGCAGCAUACCGGGUUUCGACUAUUCUACAUCAGAGAUGUUACCCGAUUUAAGUGAUUUUUGAACCAUAGCCGUAUUUCACCAUUCUGAACACAUCUUAUUUCACGAGAUUUUUGUUAAUUUUGCUUCUAUGUAGAGUUGGUUCACAAAGUUGUGUAUUUGUUUAAAACCUACUAAACAAGUUAUACAACAUUUUAUUGUUUUUCUUUUAGCUGACGAAAUAAUAGUCGACGAUUUUUUUCGAUAAUAGCCAACGAGAUUUUUUUUCGUCUACUAAAAUACUUUAGCUGACGAGUAAAAACUUUGGCCGACGAAGGAAAAUUUUGGCCGAUGAGUAUAGUAUAGCCGACAAAAAAAUUUCUUUAGCUGACGAAAAUUUAAAUUAGCCAACGAAAAAAUAAUUUGUCGGCCUGGUUUUUUAUUUUCGUCGGCUAAAGUAUUUCUUCUAGUAGUGUGGCGUUCUUUCCUAUCUGACGUUUUUGCUAUUUUGCUCAUACCACAAGUAAGACAUAUCGUAACUCUCUUUCUAGUUAUUAGUUAGAGAUUGGCUAAUAAUUAAGGGCCAAUUACAUAUAAGUCCACUUUGAGACAUUUUUUCCCACAUAGAUCCACCCCAACAUUUUUACCCACAUAAGUCCACCCAAGUCUAAAUAAAGUUUUGUAUUAAGUAUUAAAGUUCAACAUAAUUACAGACUGCCAUCCAACAAAAAAAUUAGAUUUUCUCCUUUAUAUUUACAAGAAUGCCACUAGUAUAAAAAGUCAACAACCACUCUCAUUUCGGAACAGUCUCCGGCGGACCUCCGGCGAGAUUUCCGACUGACCUCCGGCGAGGUUUCCUGCCGACCUCCGACGAUGACAAAAAUUACUACUACCAGCUAAAAAAGCUACUACCACCAGCUAUAAAAGCUACUACCACCGCCUACAAAAGNNNNNNNNNNNNNNNNNNNNAAAUAUCAUUUUAUUAUAUUUUUAAUAAAGAUUUGUGUAUGUUAGGCUUAAAAUAAGUACCUUGUAUUCAAAUGAGCUAAUAAAAAAGAUUAUCAUUGAAAUGAGGUUUGACUUUUUCUAUUUUGUGCAAAUGGUCUUAUUCCCUAAUUAAAAUCCUUCUUCUUAUUACUCCACACGCAUAUAAUUAAAAUCCUUAUUUACAACAACACUCCGAUUUAUGUUCAUAGCCAAUUAUGACUUCAACAGAAAAUGAUACGAUUAGUACCACUACGUACCCAUUUAUAUAGAUCAACGGUAGAGUCAUUUUUCU
Molecule: long non-coding RNA, 253807 nt
Filed under: Fragaria vesca (wild strawberry)
Lineage: Eukaryota; Viridiplantae; Streptophyta; Magnoliopsida; Rosales; Rosaceae
Source: RNAcentral